This 269440-nucleotide long non-coding RNA is filed under the name Daucus carota (carrot). RNAcentral describes it as "long non-coding RNA (DCAR_LNC002600)". Lineage: Eukaryota; Viridiplantae; Streptophyta; Magnoliopsida; Apiales; Apiaceae. The record is from RNAcentral.
AAUUCCCAAUGACAUAAGGUUACUUUGUGAUCUUGAAUACCUAUAUUUAGGCAACAAUUCCUUUGAAGGACCGCUUCCACCAAAUAUAUUCAAACUUUCAAAAUUAAAAGAUCUUGUUCUUUGGGGUAAUAAGUUUUCGGGUUCUGUUUCCAAUGAUAUAGGUUUGCUUUAUGAGCUUGAAACCCUCGAUCUUAACUCUAAUUUUUUUGAGGGGCCGCUUCCGCCAAAUUUAUUCAAGCUCUCCAAACUAAAGAUUCUUUCCCUUUAUAAGAAUAACUUUUCAGGUUUUAUUUCUAAGGAUAUAGGUUUGCUUUUCGAACUUGAAAGCCUCUAUCUUGGCUCUAAUUUUUUUGAGGGGCUGCUUCCCCCACAUGUAUUUAGGCUCUCCAAAUUAAGAGAUCUGGGUCUCUCAGACAAUAGAAAUUUAUUUGAAGGAAGUAUUCCUAUUGGACUGGGACUCUUGACUAACCUCAGGUACUUAGAUCUACAUUCCAAUAAUCUCGGUGGCUAUAUUCCAUCUGACAUUGGAAACCUGAAGCUACUAGUACUUCUUGAUCUCAAUUCUAACCAAUUGACUGGACCGCUUUUAAAGAUCGUUUCUAAUCUCACAAAUCUUAUGUUUCUUGAUGUAAGUGAUAAUAGUCUUAGUGGAAAUAUUCAGAGAGACUUGUGGAACUAUAACGAUCAUCCAACUUUGGAAUUCAUCAAUUUAAGUGGGAACCAUUUUACGGGUAUAGUUUUUCUCUAUAGAUCUUUCCUUUUGUCAUAUGUAACUAAGCUAGUAAUCUGAUUAAUUGCAGUUUUACCAAAGUUUCAACAAUCUUGACAGGUGAGCUUCCAACAACAAUUUGCAAUGUCACUUCCCUUUCGGUUCUUGAUUUGUCAAAUAAUGCAUUAAGUGGUGCACUUCCAAACUGUUUCGGGAAUCUUGCUGAUGGAUUGCUUUACAUUAAUCUUGCUAAUAAUCAGUUUCGAGGAACAAUACCAACUACUUUCUCCAGGAGUUGUCAGCUGACAUAUCUGAACAUGGAUGAUAAUCAGUUUGAAGGAUUGUUACCCCCAUCUUUAGCGAACUGUAAGCACUUGAGAAUCCUUGAUAUGGGCAACAAUAAAAUAGGUGAUACAUUUCCGUCAUGGCUUUAUGUACUUGGAGCGCUAGAAGUCCUUGUCUUGCGAUCAAAUAAACUCUAUGGUACAAUAAGGGCAAGGAGCAUAGAAGAUCCCUUCCCCAAGUUGCGGAUUGUGGAUCUGUCCAACAAUCAAUUCAUGGGCCAUUUGCCAAUUCAAUACUUUAAGAAUAUGAAAUCAAAUGAUAAUUUGUAUCGUUAUCUGAAUUCCACAGGAGAAAUAGAUAUCUCUUAUGAAGCAGCAGUCUCAUUAACUGUGAAGGGAACAGAGUAUGAAGUAGCAAAUAACCUUCAUAUUUACACAGCCAUUGAUCUGUCGUGCAACAAAUUUCAGGGAGAAAUUCCAAAGGUUGCCGGAGAGCUUAGAUGGCUUGCAUUGCUCAAUUUAUCUCAUAAUAGUCUAACAGGACCUAUCCCAUCAUUGCUGAGAAAUAUGAAAGAACUCCAAUCUUUAGAUUUGUCCUCAAAUCAACUGACAGGGGCUAUUCCACCUCAGUUAACUGCAUUGACAUUUCUAGAGGUCUUAAAUCUCUCGAACAACGAUCUCAGUGGAGAGAUUCCUCAGAAAGGACAGUUCAGCACAUUCAACAAUGAUUCUUAUCUAGGAAACUCCGCGUUAUGUGGAUCACCAUUGACGAAGAAAUGCGCAAACACAGCAUCACCUCCACAAGAAGUCAGAAAUGGUGAUGAAGAUGAUGCUGGUGAUGAAUGGACAUGGGAAGCAAUCGUGAUGGGAUAUGGAUGUGGACUGAUAUGUGGAUUGUCAUCUGCGUACAUUGUUCUCAAACUAGGAAGGCCUUGGUGGUUUGUGAGAUAUGUCGAAGUAUUGCAACUGAAGUUGAUGAAAAGAUAUGCUUGAAGAAUGGUAUUUGGUCUUGUACUAGCUGCAUAAGUAUUUGGCAUUGUGUAGUAUUCUGUUUGGUCUUGAAUUAUAAUGAUUUUUCUUGCUUCAGGGGUAUUAAUAUAAACCUUGCUAUCUUGCUCAGUGUUAAUGCAAAUUAAGAUGAAUGAAUAAACAAAAAAUAUGCAUCAAAUUAAGAAUUCAGAAAUGGUGAUACUCAUGCAGUGUCACCAACUCAAGAAUUCAGAAAUGGUGAUACUCAUGAAGAUGACGAUGCUGAUGAUGAACUUUGAUGUGGGACUUGGGUUGACCACUUGUUGGGCCGCACAACACCUGUUAAGCAUUAGUAUGACGUUGUCCGCUCUGGAUCGUGACCAAGCCCGCACGGAUUUGUUUUCGAGCUCCUCUCAAAAGGUCUAAAACUAAUGGAGUUGUUUGGCUGCUUAUAUUCAAGAUAAAUCUUUUUGAUGUGGGAUUUGGGUUGACACCCACACAACAAGACGUGAGGAAAUAUUGUUGUCUUGAGAUGACAUAUGUUCUGAAUUAUUAUUAUGCUUUCAACAAUAUUUUCAAACAUUUUUCAAUAUGUAUUUUUAAAGAAUUCUCAAGCACUCGUGACCCCUAUAAUUUUUUCUCAGGCAACGCCUAUAGUUUCAAAGAAUUCCCAGGCACUUAAACAUUUGGACCGGUUCUUUGGAAGCCAAGAUGCCCAGGUUAUCAUGGCCAUGCACAAAAUGCAGUACCAAAGAAAAAAAAUAAUAAAUUAAGAGAGAUUGCUCUGGGUCACCCCAAGCCUUCGAGGACUCAUUCCAAGCCUCGCCCUUUCAAAGAAGUGAUAGUAGCCGGAAAGUGAUAUAAAUUAUUCUCCGGACACUAAAACUAAAUAAUCAGAUCAAAUUAAUCAAUAAUAAAUUAAAGAUAUGAAAUCAAAAUUAAUCCUAAAUUUUGAUAAUAUACAAAAAUUAUAAUUAUAAAUUUUAUUAUCAAAUCAAGAUUAAAUUAACUUACAUGGCCGUUAAAAUUGAUAAACGCAAUAUAAUAGGGUUAAAAAUGGGGCGGGUUCGGGACGGGUACUUCAUUUCCCAGCCUCGUCCCAUAUAUAUUUUUCCUGCCCCGUCUCCGCCCCAUUCUCCACGAAGAUUUAUUUUUAAUCCCCAUUGCCGCCCGCCCCACCGGGGAUUGAAUAUAAUUUCGCCCCGCCCCGCUGCUAUAAUAUUACACUUUAAUUAAUUACCUUAAAAUUUAAUAAUCAGAAUUUAAUAAAAAUAUACGAGACAUGUAUAUUAAAAGCAAAAAACUAAAUAUAAUAGAAAUCAAAGAGACAUGUUAUACAUUGUAAAAUUAUAGUUUUAUGUAUUAUAUAAUAGAUAAUAUUAAAUAUAUUAUAUUAAAUAUAAUUAUUUAUUUUUAUUAAAUAUAUGCGGGGCGGGGUGGGGAAUCCCCGCGGGAAUUCAACAAAUACCAUGCUUGCCCCAUAUUUUAGCGGGGCAGAUAAUCAUUCUCCGUCACUACCCCAUUCCCCAUAGAGUAGUGCUAGAUGCACAAAAUUGGAUACAUAAUUUUACACAAAAUGACAUGGCAAUCUAGGUGGAGAGCUUUAAUUGGUAUUAUUAAUGCAUGUGCAGGGGCUCAUUCCAAUCACAAAUUGACACAUACUCAUUCUGUGAAUAUUUCUGUACUCAAUUCUGUGCAGGUAGCAUUUUUCUUCCCCAUAUUAGCGGGGCGCAUCGGCUCCAUUCGGGGCGGGUUCCCCAUUUUCCCCACCCAAUUUUUAACCCUACAAUAGUAAUCAAAUUGAUGAAAAGUCAAAGUCCUCUAAUAAAUCCAUAAAGAAUAUGAUAAUCAAAACUACAAAAAUUAUAAUUGAAAAAUCAAAAUCAUCCUAAUAAGUUCAUAGAAUAUAUAUGAUCAGUAGAGCAUUAGAAUAGUGUUCACACACUUAUAUGUCAAAAUUUGUGGUCCAAAGACUAUGACACAAUAUCCUAAAUACACCCCCAUUGAAUAGUAGUUCAAAAUAUUUAAUAUAUAAUUGUUUUCAUUCAUAAUUUUGUUAUUAUUUAAAAAAUAAUAAUUUAAUUGCUGUUAACCUUUAUUUUAAUAUAUAAUCAUAUCGUUUCCUUACAAUUUAAUUAUCUAGAAACAAUAUUUUUGUUAUAAUCAUUACAUUAAUUAUAUUAAAAAAUAUAAUUUUGUUAAAACAUUGAAUGAAAUUAAGAGUAUUAAUCUACGUCUCUCCAAGUCUACAGGACUCAUUCCAAGUCUGCGUGAGACCACUGCCACCACCUUUGAGAGAUGUGGAAGUGGAAGUAGCUUCAGAUUGACCUAAAUUAUUUCCUGACAAUAAAUUUAAUAUCCGAAAUAAAUUAAAUUAAACUAGUUUUUUGAAACAAUUAAAUUAAACUAGUUAAUAAUAAAUUAAGAAUAUAUAAAAUCAAAACUAAUCAUGAAUUAUGAUAAUAAUUAAAUAAAUUAUAAUUAAGCUAUAUAAAUCAACUCCAAAUGACACCAACAGCACCAAACCUUAGUUACUUUAAUAUUGGUAAAUAAAUAUAAUAUAAUAAUCAAUUGAUGAAAAAUCAAAUCAUCUAAUAAAUUCACAAAAAAUAUAUGAUCAUUAGUAUAUUAUAUUAGUAUCCACACACUUAUAUUUCAAAAUCUAUCCUCCAAAAUUAUCAUCUCGAUAAACUAGCCACAUAAAAUAAAAAUUUAAAGAUAUUAGAUAUUUAGUUAUUUUCAUUAUAUAAUUUUUCCACACUAAAUAACAAAAUAUUUUUAUCAAAUUAUUAUUUAUGAGUUAAAUAUUCAAGUUAUAAAUCCAGCAUGCAGCGUAUAAAUAGAAGUGUGCAGUAUGAUAUCAGAAUCAUAACCCAGUUGAUCAGGAGAAACAUGGCAUACUCUGCAAAGCCUUCUCACCUUCUUCUCUUUGUUUUCUUUCUCUCAUCACUUGAAUCCAUUCUAACAACACGAGAGGGAGAAGCUCUUGUGAAGUGGAAGAAUAGCCUAGCCCCGUCUUCUUUUCUCGACUCUUGGUCACUCACCAAUCUCGAUAAUCUUUGUAACUGGACUGGCAUUACUUGUAACUCUGCAGGUUCAGUUUCUGAGAUUAACCUCUGUGAGAAACAACUUGAUGGAAUGCUGUCCGAGUUCGGUUUCACUUCAUUUCCAAAUCUCAAGAAUCUCACCCUGGCAGACAACUUCUUCUCGGGUCCAAUACCACCAGCCAUUGAGAAUUUAACACAGCUUCAAUAUCUUGAUUUAAGCAUGAAUAGUCUUAAUGGUCCCAUUCCGUUCCAGGUUAGCCAUCUUCAGAGUUUGCUCAUAUUAAACCUGUCACAGAAUGCAUUGCAAGCUCCAAAUUGGUCCCAUUUCUCUCCCAUGCCUGUUUUGCGCUUCCUCAAGCUCAGUAGAAAUCCUCUUGUGUCGAAAUUCCCAAAUUUUAUAUCCAAUUCUCAUAGCCUGACUUAUCUCAACCUUUCACAUAACAAGUUUAGUGGUGAUCUUGUACGUGAAUCAGUAUUUAUACCAAUCUGCAUCAUCUUGAAGUCCUCAGUUUUUCACCGAAGAGUUGUGUGAGCCUAUUUUAGACAAUGGAUUCUCUUACAAUGGUAUAACCUCUGUAACAGUUGUGUCAUUUUUAAUGACACAACAUAUGUGCGUAUAAAAACCGUUGUCUAUUAGACACUACAGGACAAAAUUUACCUUUUUACAAUAAGACAAAAUUUACCUUUGACUGUUAUUGUUAAAAAAACAUACAUAAUAAACGUAAAAAAUUUUGAAUUUUUUUAUGUAUGAUUAAUAUUGUUAAUUCUCGAGAUCCGUACGGUCAGAUCAUCGAAAAAAAUAUUUAUAAAUUAAUACAGAGUUAAUCGUAUACAUAACAAAGAUUCUAUUGAGUACUUUCUAAAUUGUAACCAUAAAACAAAUACUAAUAUCCACAUCCGAACUACAAAAUUAUCUUCAUUGUACAAAUGAACAAUAUAUAUUUGCAUAUAUGCAUAAUAUAAAUAUAUGUUUUAAGAUAAACUGUGCAAAAAUUAGAAUUUAUCAAGGAAUAGAGAAUUUUUAACUUUUAAAAAGAAAAAUUAAUCAUAAAACAGUUUCAUUGCCAUAAAUAAUUAAUAAUUAAUUCAAUUGUAACCCCUAAAAUAAUUACUAAUUAAUAAUUAAUACAGUGCUAAUCGUAUAUAUAACAAAAAUUCUAUUAUGUACUUCCUAAAUUAUAACUUUAAACACAUACUAAUACUAUUAUAUAAUAUUUUUCAAUUAUUAAUAUUAUAAUAUAUAUUAUAAUACAACUAAUUCUUUUAAAUUUUCAAUUAAAUUUUAAUAUUCUAUAAUAUAUAGAUAUAUGAAUUUAAGUAAUAUAACUUUUAAUUAUAUUACACAUAUUUCUUCUUGUUUUUAAUAAAUUAUUUAAAUUAAGAUAAUAUUAAUUAUUUUCUUGACGCAAAAACAAUUUUAAUUAUUAAUUAAAGAAUUAAAAGGAAAAAAAAGUAGAUCUGCCCAAUGUACAGGUGAAAGUGAGAAGCGGCAAAGUUCCCCCCAAAACUAAAAACCACUGCCGAGUAAAAACCCCUAACCUGUACUCUCAAAAAACUUCUCACUCACAAACACUCUCCCUGGAUCUAUGUAUCUAUCAACACUCGGGGGGUUUGUUAUGUUUAAAUGGAAGCAAAACAAUGCUAUAGUCAUUUUCAGUAUCCAUGUGGUCCUCUUGCAUCUCGGUUUGCUCUGCUUUUCACAUGUUUGUGGCCAACAUGAAUCUUAUAUCUUGUUUAUGAGUUUAAUUUUGUUUAUUUGUAUUUGAGUGGCUUGAUUUUGUAUUUCUUCACUACUAAUUGUUAUUUUCUAAAUUAUCCAUGUGAUUAGGGCUCAUUUUUAGGGGAACUUUGAAUUAGGUCAUUAAAUUACAGUUUUGGUGAAUUGGGGCUUUCAUUGUAUAUAUUUGAUUACAUACAACUGUUAAUAUUUGAGCAGCCAAGGCUCAAGAGCUCAAAAGAUGACAUAUCGAUGGGGUGACAUGUAUGGCUAACAAUCGGAGUAAUUUGAAAGGAUUAUUUUUUCGUUGGGCUGACAGAGGUAUAUUGUUCUUGACACUGGUUUUUAACUUGCUGUCUUUAGUUUAGUUGUGAAUAAUGAGAUGGUUGGAUAUUCUAUUUCGUAUUGUUGUAUGUGGUCGUUAGCAGAAGCUCAUUAAGUCUGCUAUGGUUUAUAGAUUUUAUAACAUUGAUAAGUAUGGUUUGGGUGUCUAGGCUAGUUUUGUUUGUGUGUGUAAUGGAUGUGUUUUGAUUUUUCUGAUUUUUCUGAUUUUUCGAUCAUCUACUUCUUUUUUGUUGCGGGGUUGUUAUUUGUUUACUCUUGUUCCCUGCAAAGAAAUAAGUGUGGAUAGUUAUGCAUUGGAAUCAUAAGUAGCAAUUAAGUGUUAAUUUCCAAUUCAACGAGUUCAAUGCACGCCUGUCUUCAACUAGAUCCGUUUCUUAAUGAAUUUACAAGCAUGUUUGAGCACAAUACUGAGCAGGGUUGUGUGUAGGUCACUUUAUAUAUUUUAGUAUCAAGAGACGUAUUAUGUUGAUAUGUGCUGUAUAAAAUAUUUAAUUGAAGCUAGGUUUAUGUGUAACUGUUACUCAUCUGGCUAUGGAAUACAUUCCCAGAUUAAAAAAUUUGAUAAUGAUUGAUACUGUCUUGUCACUCCAUUAAACAUGACGUAACAUCUGUAUUCAACUUUGGACUUCAUUAAUUGGUGUUAGUCGUGCAAUAUGUUUAAAUUAAAAAAGUUAUGUUUCUUUUAUAUGUUCGAAUUUACUCCAAAUUGCAUGUGGGCGUUUCACUUCUUAUGAGCAGGCUGUGCUUUGGGAAGUUUAGGCAUGCUUUGAGAAUAGAUAUUUUAAUCAAACUGUGCACUUUAGAUAUAAAAAAUCUUGCUGUUCUGAUGGAUUGUAUGGUGUGGAACAAGAGCUGUGUUCCAAGUUAUGCUCAAGACUGUGGGUUUUUUUUGUUUUUAACACCCUUCCAUAACUUCUCCAUCUUAGUUAUUAAACUCUUUCAUUCUGUAUUCCUAACUAUACCAUUCUUUUUUCCACAUAAACCAAGCCAUAAUAAGAAACUGACUUUCUCAAGGAACAAAGGACUAUCACCACAUGGCAGGAUUGUGCAUAGGCGUGCAUAUGCUUGAGUAAGUACACUUUUGGACUUAUGUUGUGAAGUAUUAUUUUUACAAAUGUCAUCCUUCUGGUCAUAUGACAAAUCUUUUCCCUAUCAUUUCUGUAAUUUGUUUUAAAGGUUAGAGCAAGAGUGGAGAUGUCCCAAAUUGAUGCAGUUGCUUACAACAUUGGCAUGGCUUUGUGGAAAGUUUUUGGUGGAGCUUCUAGCACAAUAAAACAGAUAUAAUAGUUUAGUUUCCGAGCUACACCAUUUCCCGGCUCAUUUUGUCGGCUUCUAUCGACUCUAUACAGGCUCUUGCCAGUUGUGUGAAACAUUACAAGAUUUUACAUUUUUAUAUGUGGUUGUACGUUGAUACUAUAGUUGGUAAUGAAAAUUUUUGUUACUAAUUUAUGGCUUGUUAAUUAUAUUCUCCAGCAUAGUUUAAUUAGAUUAUGUAAAACCAUUGUCUGACAUAACUAAACACAAAAGGAAAAGAAAAAGAAAACAGUUGUCCCAAGACUUACAAACAACACAAUUUUAAAAAUAAAAUCGUUGUCUAAGACAUAUACAAAUAAGUAAAUAGUAGUAACAAACCAUUGUCUAAAUCAGUAUUAUUCAAGCAUUUUGAACAAAAACUGUUGUAGAAGAGCUUUCACACAAUUGUUUCAUUAUAUAAACUAUUGUUAUACGGAGCUUCACAGAAGUGACCACUGCUCUAAGCCCGUUGUACAAGGUAGUAAAACACGAGCCUCUAAAACGCAAACAAUCUUGUCUGAUACUCUUAUUAACAAGUAAAUAUAUCCACAAACUGUUGUGGAUAGUCCUAAUAACAACACAAAUUCCAAAUAUGACUGUUGUUAUAAAAUGUUUAUAACAACACUUUGUUAAACUAAUCUGUUGUUGUUUGUGGGUGUAACACAACACGCUGUUAAAUAUAAACCGUUGUGUUUCUUGAUCUCACACAACGGUACGUACCGUUGUCUGAGGCGCGUAUCAGACGGCAUCGCAAUAGACCACGGUUUUCUUGGGUAUCAGACAACGGGCAAAAACCGUUGUCUGAUGCUGUUUUUGUUGUAGUGACAAUUCCUUUGAAGGACCGCUUCCACCAGGUAUAUUCAAGCUUUCAAAAUUAAAACAUCUUUUUCUUUGGGGUAAUAAGUUUUCAGGUUCUGUUUCCAAUGAUAUAUGUUUGCUUUCUGAGCUUGAAAGCCUCGAUCUUAACUCUAAUUUUUUUGAGGGGCCGCUUCCGCCAAAUGUAUUCAAGCUCUCCAAAUUAAAGUUACUUUCCCUUCAGAAGAAUAACUUUUCAGGUUUUGUUUCCAAUGAUAUAGGUUUGCUUUCUGAGGUUGAAACUCUCGAUCUUCACUCUAAUUUUUUUGAGGGGCAGCUUCCGCCAAAUAUAUUCAAGCUCUCGAAACUAAGAUUUCUUGCCCUUUGGCAGAAUAACUUUUCAGGUUCUGUUUCCAAUGAUAUAGGUUUGCUUUCUAAGCUUGAAACCCUCGAACUUGACUCCAAUUUUUUUGAGGGGCCGCUUCCGCCAAAUAUAUUCAAGCUUUCCAAAUUAAGAGUUCUUUCCCUUGACAAUAAUAACUUUUCAGGUUGUGUUUCCAAUGAUAUAGGUUUGCUUUCUGAGCUUGAAACCCUCCGUCUUGGCUUCAAUUCUUUUGAAGGACCGGUUCCACCAAAUAUAUUCAAGUUUUCCAAAUUAACAGGUCUUGACCUCUCAGGCUAUAGAAAUUUAUUUGAAGGUAGUAUCCCUAUUGGACUGGGACUCUUGACUAACCUCAGCUACUUAGAUCUAAGUUCCAAUAAUCUCAGUGGCUAUAUUCCAUCUGAACUUGGAAACCUUAAGCUACUAGUAUUUCUUGAUCUCAGUUCUAACCAAUUGACUGGACCGCUUUUAAAGAUCGUUUCUAAUCUCACAAAUCUUAUAUAUCUCCAUGUACAAGAUAAUAGUCUUAGUGGGAAUAUUCGCAGUGACUUGUGGAAAAACUCUUUAUCCUUACGUUACAUUGAUCUUGAAAAUAAUUAUUUGUCUGGGAACAUUCCUAAGGAAUAUAACGAUCAUCCAACUUUGGAAUACAUCAAUUUAGGUGGGAACCAUUUUACAGGUAUAUUUUUCUCUAUAUAUCUUUUCCUUUUGUCAUAUGUAACUAAGCUAGUAAUCUGAUUGAUGCAGUUUUACCAAAGUUUCAACAAUCUUGACAGGUGAGCUUCCANNNNNNNNNNNNNNNNNNNNNNNNNNNNNNNNNNNNNNNNNNNNNNNNNNNNNNNNNNNNNNNNNNNNNNNNNNNNNNNNNNNNNNNNNNNNNNNNNNNNNNNNNNNNNNNNNNNNNNNNNNNNNNNNNNNNNNNNNNNNNNNNNNNNNNNNNNNNNNNNNNNNNNNNNNNNNNNNNNNNNNNNNNNNNNNNNNNNNNNNNNNNNNNNNNNNNNNNNNNNNNNNNNNNNNNNNNNNNNNNNNNNNNNNNNNNNNNNNNNNNNNNNNNNNNNNNNNNNNNNNNNNNNNNNNNNNNNNNNNNNNNNNNNNNNNNNNNNNNNNNNNNNNNNNNNNNNNNNNNNNNNNNNNNNNNNNNNNNNNNNNNNNNNNNNNNNNNNNNNNNNNNNNNNNNNNNNNNNNNNNNNNNNNNNNNNNNNNNNNNNNNNNNNNNNNNNNNNNNNNNNNNNNNNNNNNNNNNNNNNNNNNNNNNNNNNNNNNNNNNNNNNNNNNNNNNNNNNNNNNNNNNNNNNNNNNNNNNNNNNNNNNNNNNNNNNNNNNNNNNNNNNNNNNNNNNNNNNNNNNNNNNNNNNNNNNNNNNNNNNNNNNNNNNNNNNNNNNNNNNNNNNNNNNNNNNNNNNNNNNNNNNNNNNNNNNNNNNNNNNNNNNNNNNNNNNNNNNNNNNNNNNNNNNNNNNNNNNNNNNNNNNNNNNNNNNNNNNNNNNNNNNNNNNNNNNNNNNNNNNNNNNNNNNNNNNNNNNNNNNNNNNNNNNNNNNNNNNNNNNNNNNNNNNNNNNNNNNNNNNNNNNNNNNNNNNNNNNNNNNNNNNNNNNNNNNNNNNNNNNNNNNNNNNNNNNNNNNNNNNNNNNNNNNNNNNNNNNNNNNNNNNNNNNNNNNNNNNNNNNNNNNNNNNNNNNNNNNNNNNNNNNNNNNNNNNNNNNNNNNNNNNNNNNNNNNNNNNNNNNNNNNNNNNNNNNNNNNNNNNNNNNNNNNNNNNNNNNNNNNNNNNNNNNNNNNNNNNNNNNAAACCUGUCAGAGAAUGAACUGCAAGCUCCAAAUUGGUCCAAUUUUUCCCCCAUGCCUUUUUUGACCAUCCUCGACCUUUAUAAAAAUAAUCUUUUGUCAGAAUUUCCCGAAUUUAUAUCUAACUCGUGUAACCUUACGUACCUUGACCUCUCAUCCAACAAGUUUAGAGGGGAUCUUGCGCGAGAAUCAGUAUUAACCAAUCUAGGUGAUCUUGAAACCCUCUAUCUUAUUAGAAAUUCUUUCAAGGGGUCAUUUCCGUCAGAUUUAUUCAAGCUUUCUAAAUUAAAACGUCUUCACCUGUCGAGCAACAAAUUUUCAGGUUCAAUUCCUAAUGCCAUAAGGUUGCUUUGUGAUCUUGAAUUCCUAUAUUUAGGCAACAANNNNNNNNNNNNNNNNNNNNNNNNNNNNNNNNNNNNNNNNNNNNNNNNNNNNNNNNNNNNNNNNNNNNNNNNNNNNNNNNNNNNNNNNNNNNNNNNNNNNNNNNNNNNNNNNNNNNNNNNNNNNNNNNNNNNNNNNNNNNNNNNNNNNNNNNNNNNNNNNNNNNNNNNNNNNNNNNNNNNNNNNNNNNNNNNNNNNNNNNNNNNNNNNNNNNNNNNNNNNNNNNNNNNNNNNNNNNNNNNNNNNNNNNNNNNNNNNNNNNNNNNNNNNNNNNNNNNNNNNNNNNNNNNNNNNNNNNNNNNNNNNNNNNNNNNNNNNNNNNNNNNNNNNNNNNNNNNNNNNNNNNNNNNNNNNNNNNNNNNNNNNNNNNNNNNNNNNNNNNNNNNNNNNNNNNNNNNNNNNNNNNNNNNNNNNNNNNNNNNNNNNNNNNNNNNNNNNNNNNNNNNNNNNNNNNNNNNNNNNNNNNNNNNNNNNNNNNNNNNNNNNNNNNNNNNNNNNNNNNNNNNNNNNNNNNNNNNNNNNNNNNNNNNNNNNNNNNNNNNNNNNNNNNNNNNNNNNNNNNNNNNNNNNNNNNNNNNNNNNNNNNNNNNNNNNNNNNNNNNNNNNNNNNNNNNNNNNNNNNNNNNNNNNNNNNNNNNNNNNNNNNNNNNNNNNNNNNNNNNNNNNNNNNNNNNNNNNNNNNNNNNNNNNNNNNNNNNNNNNNNNNNNNNNNNNNNNNNNNNNNNNNNNNNNNNNNNNNNNNNNNNNNNNNNNNNNNNNNNNNNNNNNNNNNNNNNNNNNNNNNNNNNNNNNNNNNNNNNNNNNNNNNNNNNNNNNNNNNNNNNNNNNNNNNNNNNNNNNNNNNNNNNNNNNNNNNNNNNNNNNNNNNNNNNNNNNNNNNNNNNNNNNNNNNNNNNNNNNNNNNNNNNNNNNNNNNNNNNNNNNNNNNNNNNNNNNNNNNNNNNNNNNNNNNNNNNNNNNNNNNNNNNNNNNNNNNNNNNNNNNNNNNNNNNNNNNNNNNNNAAAACCAUUGAUAAGGAUGGUAAAUUCGACUCUAAAUCUUAUGAAGCUAUAUUCUUGGGUUAUUCUUUAACAAGUCGUGCUUAUAGAGUGUAUAAUCUUGCUAAACAUACUGUUGAAGAGUCUAUUGAUGUUUCAUUUCAAGAGUCUACUGAUGAUCUUGCAAGGGAUGAGGAAGAAUGUGCAGGUACAGGUACUAGCAGCAAGCUGACAGUGAAGGAAACUGGAAAUCAGCAAGCUGACAAGUCAACUGCCACAACUUCAGAAGGCAAUAAAGCUACUGAAUCCACUCCAUCUCUUGAAGAAACUUUGGAUAAGAUGUCUAAGCUCACAUUGGAUGAAUCCAGAGGUCAAACUUCAUCAGCAAGCCAAAAUGUUGUUGAUCAGACUCCUCCUAGGCAGACUACAAGGAAUGAAGAGGUCAUAGCUCAACAUAAUCUACCAAAAUCAACUAGAACAGUGAAGAAUCAUCCUCCUCAGUUGAUCAUUGGAGAUAAAUCAGCUGGAAUCAAGACAAGGAAAGCUCAAGCCAACAUUUGUGCUUAUGCUGCCUUCAUAGCUCAAGAGGAACCAAAGAAUGUUCAAGAAGCUUUACAAGAUGAAAAUUGGAUCAUGGCAAUGCAAGAAGAACUCAACCAAUUCGAAAGAUGUGAUGUUUGGGAACUUGUAGAUCCACCAGAGGAUGCUUCAAUUGUUGGAACCAAAUGGGUGUUCAAGAAUAAAGUUGAUGAAUUUGGUACUAUCACUCGGAACAAAGCUAGACUUGUUGCACAAGGAUACAAUCAGCAAGAAGGAAUUGAUUUUGAUCAAACAUAUGCUCCGGUUGCAAGAUUGGAAUCUAUUAGGAUGCUAUUAUCAUUUGCAUGCUACAAGAAGUUCAAGCUACAUCAAAUGGACGUCAAAAGUGCAUUCUUAAAUGGAUAUCUAAAGGAAGAAGUCUAUGUCAAGCAACCACCAGGAUUCGAGGAUGAAAAAUAUCCCAACCGUGUCUACAAGCUCAAGAAGGCACUAUAUGGAUUAAGGCAAGCACCUCGAUCAUGGUAUGAAAGGUUAAGUGAAUUUUUGAUCAAAAAUGGUUUCAUUAGAGGUAAAAUUGAUCCUACUUUGUUUACUAUCUUUAAAGGUCAAGAUAUAUUAGUUGUUCAAAUAUAUGUAGAUGAUAUUAUAUUUGGAUCUACUAAUGAUUCUUUGUGUAAGUGGUUUUCAAAGUGCAUGCAUAGUGAGUUUGACAUGAGCAUGAUGGGAGAGCUCAAUUAUUUCUUGGGGCUCCAAAUUAAGCAAACUCCAGAAGGAAUUUAUGUGCAUCAAUCCAAGUAUAUCAAGAAUCUACUCAAAAGAUUUGGAUAUGAGAAUAUCAAGGCGAAAUCAACACCAAUGAGCGUUGUCAGCAAGCUGACAGCAGAUGAAAAUGGUAAAGAUGUUGAUAUUCGAAUGUAUAGAGGUAUGAUUGGUAGUUUACUUUAUCUUACAGCCUCUAGACCUGAUAUUAUGUAUAGUGUUUGUGUUUGUGCUAGAUUUCAAGCAAAACCAAAGGAUUCUCACUUACAAGCUGUUAAAAGAAUAUUUAAAUAUUUAAGUGGAACCAUUACUUUGGGCUUAUUCUAUCCUAUCACAAAUGCUUUUGAUCUUGUUGGGUAUAGUGAUGCAGAUUAUGCAGGUAGUCAAACUGAUAGAAAAAGUACAAGUGGUGUUUGUGCAUUUUUGGGUCAAAGCUUAGUUUCUUGGUUAAGCAAGAAGCAAACUUCAGUUGCUCUAUCUACGGCUGAGGGGGAGUAUUUAGCAGCUGGUAGCUGUUGCUCUCAAAUGCUAUGGAUGAGACAACAAUUGAAGGACUUUGGAAUCAAAUGCAAGCAAACUCCUAUCUUUUGUGACAACACAAGUACAAUCAACAUUUCAGAAAAUCCAGUCAAUCAUUCAAGGACAAAGCAUAUUGAUGUUCGACAUCAUUUUCUGAGAGACAAUGUUGCAAAGGGUGCUGUCAAGCUGAUUUUUGUGGCUACAGCAGAUCAGCUAGCUGACAUCUUCACAAAACCUCUUCCUGAAGAACGAUAUGUCAUGCUGAGAAGGGAAUUGGGCAUGUGUGAUGUGCAGUCAGCAAGCUAAUAAGCUUGGUCCGGGUACUAUCAGCUUACUCUCAGUUAUUAUGACCAUUAUGUGCUGAUUUGGAUAAUUGUUGUGAUCUCGAUGACGAUGCUUGAUUUUCUACCCUUUUGAUGAUUAAGGGGGAGAAAAUUUAGGAACUUGGUUUGUGUUGUGAAUGUUGUGUUGUGAAUGUUAUAUUUGUUGUAUAGUUUAAUGUUAUAAGAUUGCUAUAUUCAGGGGGAGUAUUAUUACUUUUCCUAAAUAUAGUGUAAUCAUCAAAAAGGGGGAGAUUGAUACUCUCGAGAUUUUGAUGAUCACACUAACAGCAACUUGAUAACAUAAAACUGUACUCUGGUAGCUAGCUGAGAACGAGAUUAUAACUGUGCUAACAGCUAAUGUCUUUUGAAGUUAUCAUUGUUCUGUCAGCAAGCUUACAGGAAUAUUGACAGACUAUCAGCAAGCUCACAGCGUACUGACAGGAUGCUUAUCGGAUAAAGAUCAAGUCCUAUUUUCAAGGAGAUUUGUUAGGGAACGUUUUGUGAGGACUCUAAUACAUAUAUAUACAGUAUAUAAAUAUUAGAGCUCAUCUUUUAUCAAAGAGUUUUAUUCAAAAUCGUUUUCCUAAAAUAUAGGAGUUGAUUUCAAACCUUGUUUAUCCUUUUAGACUCCUACUUCUAUUCAAACUGUUUUGUUUUAUAAACAAACGUUUACUGAGUUGUUUCAAACGUCUUUAUGCUUUUACUCAGUAAAAAUACAUUGUUCAAACGUUCAUUAUUCAAGCAAAUUAAACGUGAGGUUGUUGGGCCAAGAACGUUGGAUAGUUUGUUGAGUUAUGACCGUUUGGAAUGAUGGUAUAUAAACUUGAGUGUGGUUUCCGUUUUGGUAGAGAACAAGAACACACUUCAAGCUUCUGAAAUACAACACACUUACAUUGCAAAAUCUUUACUUGAGCUCUAGUACUUAUAUUUGAUUAUAUAUCUAUAUUGAGUUCAUAGUUUCGGUUGUAUUACACUCAUACAUUGUAUUGUUCAAAGUGUAAAGGUUUGUUGCUGUGUAUCGAGCUUGUGAAACAAGGGAACAAGGGGACUAGUUAGCUAGAAGAGUAUACUUGGGAAGUAUAGGUCUUGGAGAGCUUUUGGUUCGUGGUUCAGGGGUUUCAGCAAGCUGAUAACAGGAACAAGGGAUAAAGGGAGUUAUAUUAUUGAAUCAUUGUAAUCGUUAACAUUAUUGAUUAAUAAUAUAAUCUCUUACCAGUUGGUAGGGGACCAGGACGUAGACCAUUAGGGUUAGGGGUCGAACCUGGCUAAAAUUCUCUGUGUUGCUAGCUUACUGAUUAUAUCUGUUUUGCAUUGCAUCUGCAUUGUUAGCUAGCUGACUGUUUACUCUGAAAUUAACAGCAAGCUGUCUGUGACAGUUUAACUAUUCGGUAACAAUUAAAAAUCGGUCAUAUUAGCCAUAACACCUAUUCACCCCCCUCUAGGUGUGUAAUUUCAGUUUCUUUUCGUUUUCAAAUCUCACCAAUCUCAUCAUUACACAUAACAACUUCACUGGUCCAAUACCACCCGAAAUUGGAAAUUUAACAGAUGUUCAGUACCUCGACUUUAGCUAUAGUAAUCUCAAUGGUACCAUUCCAUACCAGGUUAGCCAUCUUCAGAGGUCGGUCGUCUUAGGCCUCUCAUUUAAUCACUUGAAAGCUCCGAGCUUGUCCAAUUUUUCCCCCAUGCCUAUACUGGUUGGUCGCGGUCUUAGUGGUAAUAAGCUGGCAUCAAAAUUUCCAGAAUUGAUAUCUAAUUGCUAUAACAUGAUUAACCUUGAUCUUUCAUUUAACAUGUUAACUGGUAAACCUCUGUUCUAAAAGUCGGUGAUUAAUCACCGAUUAAUCCAUGUUUCCUAGCUCGCCAAACUGAUUAAAUAUCCGAUUAUUUUAAUUAAUGUCCGAUUAAUCACCGAUCAAUGCAAUUAAUCUACAAUUAAUCCUUAUUCUGGGACUUCACCGAUUAAGCUCGAUUCCCAUUUUUUACAACGACAUAACAGUGAAUCAUGAUUAUCAAGCAUCUGUCUUGUUAACAUUGAAACGAAGAGAGCAUGAAGUGAAAGGAAUCCUUUAUAUUUACGAUGUCAACAGCCCUACUGUCAAAAUUCCUUUCAAGUCGGGGCUUUUUACGAAUAAUUGGUAAUUCAGUGUUGAACUCCGCUCAACUUAUAAUUAGAUAAUCGAAAUCAAAAAUCUUGCAAUCAACAAAUAAAUUAUUAAGAACUUGCAAUUGAGUAAUGGCCGUCAAGUCACUUAACAAUACUAACCGGAAACUAACGUGACGGGCUGAUAUGUUUAAAAAAAUGCAUGAUGACUAUAUACUUGAUGUUUACGACCCUAACUAAAAUAUCCAACAAAUAAUACAUACAACCUGAUCUAAUAAUGUAAUACCUCUACUUAAGUAUAUUUUUAUGCCAAAUAUUUAUAGAUUUGUUUUUACAAAAAUGAUUAGAGACUUUGUAUAUACAAAAAUUGAGAAUUAUUGCUUGACUAGACGAAAAUAGGUGAGUUAUGAUUAUAAUAAAUAUUUAUUUCUACGAUGUAGUUUUUAUUAGUUAUAUAUAAAAAAAAUCUUGCUAUAUUUUGAUACUAGUGCAAUGAUUACUUCAAUUUAUUUUUUAUGAGAGUUACUAAGAUAUAUGACCAACUCAUCUUGCACUCGUAUUAAUUGUCUUAUAUAAUAAUAAUAAGAAAAAUAUGAGGCGGUGCUUAGUCAGAUGAUUUUAGUUGUUAAAAUAUUUUUUUGUUAUUUAUAGAUAGUGAAACAUGUCUAAUAUUUUAUCAAUUUUGUUUCGUUUCUUGAGAUUUCCAAAUAUUUAUUAGGACAUUGUACCAUGGUGUAUUUCAAGAUAUUAUUGUUAUUUAGAUAAUUAGUCAUAUUCAAUGAAUUUUGAGGACAAAAUUUAAAUAAGAGGAGAACAAUGUCAUAUCUCACAUAUUAGCAGUUUUAAUUAUUUUAUAUUUUUAUUUUAAAGAUAAGAUAAAGUUUAUUUAUUUAUUUGUUUUUAUCUUAAAAGCGAUUUUGAGUACUUUGUUUGAGUUAGAUAUAUACUUCUACUGUGGUUCAACUAGUUUUGCCGUCAGUGAAUAAUUUCCGGUCAAUAUUUUGAAAUUUGUUGUUAUCUUCUAAUUAAGAUAAGGGGUUAAAUAGCUUUUGAAAAAUGUGAAAAAAAUCAAAAAAAUUGGGAAACCAAAAGUGGCAAGCUUUUUUUUGUUCUUUUCAAAUUUUCUAAAAUCUGGGGAAAAAAGAACUUGCCACCUAAUUUUUUCCAAAUUUUUUCAAAUUCUUUUCAGAUGUUUGAAUUUUUUCCCAAUUUUUUCCUUUUUUUUUGAAUUUAUUAAGAUUUUUUUUGUUUUUUCUGCUUAUUCUGAAUUUUUUAAGAUUUAUUCGCAUUUUUUUUCAUAUUUUUAAAAAAUAUUUUUGAAAUUUCCGUUAAGUAAUUAAUGGAACUGACAGAGAGUGAUGCUUUUGAAAGUUUUUAAUUAUUUGAUGAUGCAUCUGAAAAUUUUUCAACAACAUGAUUCAGUUGCAAAUUUCCGGCGAGGUUAGUGAUAAAUUAGCUAUUUAACUCUUAAUAAAAUCUAUCUUAACAAUAUUAUAAAUAUUAUUGUUAUGGGUUCGAUGAGUCGUGUAAAACAUGGAAGAAGUUUAGGUGGGGUAAAAAGAGCCUAGCUGGGUGAUUUCCAUUCUGUUAUACGUGAUAUACUGUAGUUGAUCAUCUCCUUUGUCCGCUUCAUCCUGUGCAACCUUAACCUUUAAGGUAAAACUUAUGAGAUUCUCUGGAGCAUCUAAGGGGCCGUUUGGACAAACUUAAAAGAAGUGACUUCUUGCUUAAACUAGAGAAGUGGAGUAGAAGUGAGAAGUAAAUUAGUUAAUAAAGUGUUUGGAAAAAAAGCAGAAGCCAGAAGCAUCUUCGGCUUCUGUCAAACAAACAGGGCCUAAAUUUUUGUGUGAAAAAUGUUAGUCUCAAAUUAUUUUUCCUAAAAUGCUUACAUGUUACAUUUUAUAUGUAUGUCCUGUCUUUAAGUAUAAUUUAGCAUUUGUAUUUAGUAUUGUGUAAAAGUAAUUCAUUUUAUUCCGUCUUAUUAAAAAUAUAAUCAUGUUAUGCUGUAAAAGUAUUUGUGAAUUUCUUUGUUGCAUAUGUGUUUAAAUUAUUUUAUUUAUAUAUGUUUUACAAUUUUUACAAAUGUAUAGGUUGAGUAUUGCAUAAGAAUAUAAUUACACUCACAACUGUUAUGCGUGCAUGUAUAUUGCCGCUAAGUUUUAAACUUCUUACGAACCGGAAUAAUUUUGACAGAUGUGUGGAACUUGAUUAAUUUAGUUGCACUACAAGAGAAAGCGUUUUUACCAAUAGAAAUUGCUAAGGGAAAUUAGUCCGUCGGUAAUUUCCAACGAAUUUGUAACAAUUUGACUGGUCAAUGUUCUGCCAAUCAAUUCGCAACGAAAUACCCACGCUUAUUUACCAACGAGAUGUUCUGUUAGGAAAUAUAGCCACAUAAUGGAAUAAUAACAACAGCCCAAAGAAUGAGCAACAGACUAGCAACGAAAGCAUCUGUUACUACGUUCGUUGAUAUUCCGUUUAUAAAUACUAACAGUUCCGUUAGUAGUUAUUAGUUUUACAUUGGCAAUUGAUAUACACCAGAUGAGCACAUACACGGAUACAAUGCCAGUCUCUUAGUUGAAAUGUGUGUAAUGCUAAAGCCCAAUGAGCUUUAGUUGAUUAAAUUGAUUUGAGUUGUAGAAAAAAGCUAAUAAUAUAAUGGAUUUUGAUAUAUGUAUUGUAAAUAUUAAGUAAUUCUCUUGAAUUUAUAUAUGUAACAUAAUUGUUAAUUGGUUCAUCCUUGACUAGAAAUUUUAUAUUACAUUCUUAACUACAAAUUUUGUAUUUAAAAUUGUUUUAAAAAAUCAACUUUUAUUUGGCAUGUGGAUUUUGUAGUCAAAUGCGGUCAAUUUACUUAGCCUUUGAUCGAAUACCAACCUGAAACAUAAAAAUAUUUUUUAAUCAUUUAUUUUCGACGAUCCAACUAUAUUCUAUAAUUGUAAUGUGAUAAUAUUGAUUACAAAAUUUAAAAAAAAAAAUUAACCUUUUAUUUGGUAUGUGCAUUUUGUAGUCAAAUGCAAUUAAAUUACUUAGUCUUUAGUGAAAUCUUUACUCGAAACAUAAAACUUUUUCUUAAAAAAAAAUUGGACGAUCCAACCGUACAAAUGUUAUUGCAACGUGUUAAUAUUGGUUAAAAUAAAUUUUAAGAAAAUAUGUCUUUUAUUUGGUGUGUGGAUUUUGCGGUCAAAUAACUUAGCCUUUAAUUGAAUACUUACCCAAAACAUGAAACUAUUUUUUUUAAAUCAUUUCGGACGAUCCAACCGUACGGGUGUUAUUCUAACAUGAUAAUAUUGAUUAUUUUUUUUAAAGAAAAAAUAUAGCCUUUUAUUUGGUGUGUGGAUUUUGUAGUCAAAUGCAGUCAAAUUACUUAACCUUUAAUGAAAUGCUUACAUUAAACAUGAAAUUAUUUUUUUUAAAAUCAUUUGGAUGAUCCAAUCGUACGGAUGUUAUUAUGACAUGUUAAUUGAUUAAAAAAAAUAUUUAAAAAAUUGCUUUUUAUUUAGUGUGUGGAUUUUGUAGUUAAAUGCUACUUGGCCUUUAAUCGAAUACUUAACCGAAACAUGAAACUAUUUUUUUAAAAACCAUUUUGGACAAUCCAACCGUACGGAUGUUAUUGUAACAUGACAAUAUUGAUUGUUUUUUUAUAUAAUAACUUUUAUUUGGUGUGUGGAUUUGUAGUCAAAUUACUUAGCCUUUAAUCGAAUACUUACCUGAAACAUGAAACUAUUUCUUAGAAAAUUAUUUUAGAUGAUUCAACCAUACAGAUGCUAUUAUAACGUGAUAAUAUUGAUUAUUUUUUUUAAAAAAAUUAGUCUUUAAUUUGGUGUAUGAAUUUUAUAGUAAAAUGAUGUCAAAUUACUUAGUCUUUAAUGGUAUAUUUAUUAGAAUUAUGAAACUAAUUUUAAAAAUUUAGUUUGGACGAUCCAAACUGUAUGAAUGUUAUUUUAACAUGUUAAUAUUGAUUAAAAUUGUUUAAAAAAAUUUAGUGUUCUUUUAUGUGUGAAUUUUUAGUCAAAUAUGAUAAAAUAUUUAUUUAGCCUUUAAUGAAAUAUUAAAAAUCCCUACUUUAAAAGAAACUUGUCUAAAACUACCUAUACGCGUUAGAGAUUCAUCGAUUUAGUUAUCAAAUUAGUUAUAAUUAGGGUUUUACUCCGCUUUUCUCUGGUAUGAUGUUGAUUUUUGGGGUUCGAUUGGUCGACUUUCAUGUUUUAUAAGUUAUGUGAGUUCGAUUUUGAUGUUUUUACAAUUAGGUUUAUGUAUGUUUUUAUACGGGUUUUCAUGUUCAUGUUUUGAUUUGUUGAUUUCCUAUUUUUCCUAUUUGUUGAUUAGUUAUUUGUGUGGGUUUUGGAUUUUGAUGUGUGUGUAUGUAAUCUCCUGUAUUUUUUUUCAUUUUUUCUGGUUCGAACUCUUCGAUUAGUAGAUGAAAAAAACUGAUGCGGCAGUAGCGGCUAGCAAGGAGAUGGAUAACAAGAAAAGGACGAUUUUGAGGUCCUCUCGUGCAAGUCUUCAGGUAUAAUUUUGUUCCUUUAUGUUUUUAAUUAACAUAAAUUUUCACAUUUGCUGAUUAUAUUAUGGGGGAUUCUGGGUAUACUUGUAUAUAAUCUAGCAAGUAAUUAUAGUUCUGAAUGGGAAGCUUAUUGUGAAAUUAAAUUGAGGAAUAAGUUGUGUUAUUGGUUCUGGUGGAUUAAAUUUAUGUUAACACUUGAUAUAUGCAUUGAUGUCGUAAAAUAAGUUGUACAUCGAACUAUUUGGCUUGUUUAAGUUGUAUGGAGUAUGGUUGCCAAGCAUUGGUUGGUUGUACACGUAUAAACAAAAUGAUAUUUUAAUAUUUGAACAAAACAAUACAGAGCCCGUUUGGCUGAACUUGUAACUCAUAAAUUAACGUGAUUUAUGAUUUAACGUGACUUAUCUAAUAAGCUGAGAGUUUUAAAAUGUCUGUUUGGAUAAUUUUGACUUAUCAACGAUUUAUGGGUCAUUAAAAAUAUAAAAAUAAAAAUUAAAGUGUUUUAUGAGUAGGUUAUGAUUUAUGGAUAAUUUUUAUAUAAAAAAAAGUUCAAAAAAAUUAAGUUACUGGAAAAAUACCUCAAACUAAUUUCAGGCUUUAAGUCAGCUUCUGAUUUAUUAGUUUUUAAGUUUAAGCCGGCUUCUGACUUAUUAAAGCCAUCAGAAUAAUUUUAAACCGCAGCUCUAAGCUACGACAAACGGGCUCACAGUCAUAAACAGAUCGUGUCGGGCUGGACUGAUUGUGAUUUUCCUUUUUGGAACUCGUACUCGGCAUGUUCCACGCGAAUGAUAUUUAGAAGUAUACUCCAUGUCAUAAUAAGAGUUCUUUAAAUUUUUUAUAUGUAAUUUGAAGUAUAAAAAAAAUAUUUUAACAUAAUAUUUUUAAUUUUUUAUACAUAAAAAUAUAACAUCUAUAUUUUUAUUUAGAAAAAAAAAUUUGAAAAAUAAUAUAUAGAUGCAUGUUUUUUUUAUACGUGAAAUUACAUGUAAAAAUCAAAAGACUUUUAUUUUGAGUAAGAGAGAAUAUGAUGUACCAUAAAGUCAUCGAUUUUUUGUUAUCAAAUGAAUGUGAUAGUUAACUAUUUAAGAGCAAGUCCAAAAGUGUUCUAGUUCAUGCUCUAAAUAUAAUAUAAAAUAUUAUGUCCUAGUGAUUUGGGACAUAUUUUACUAACUUGGACUUCAACAAUGAGUCUUAAGGCUCAUUUGUUUUGAGCUUAACAUUGCUGAACGGAUUCCAGCUUACUGAUUAAUGCGAGUUCAGAUUGUUUGGCGACCAUAUUUUAUAAGCUUACCGAUUAAUGCGAGUUUAGAUUGUUUGACGAUCAUAUUUUAUAUUCUGAAUUGUUCAUAUACAGCUGAGCGGAUCAGUCUAAAGUGGGUGAAAGAAUCAUUCAGCGCCAUCCUUAUUAGCUUAUAAUACUGUAUGUCAACUUCAAUCUUAUAAAAAUAUAUUUUAUUUGUUUACUAUAUUUUAUAUAUAUGUUGAUUUUAUCCCAAGUUUUGUUCGUAUCAACUGAAAAUAAUAACUCUUUCAAAAAAUUAAAAAUAAUAUAAUAAUAAUCGAUAUAAUUUUUAACUUUAUAAUUAUUUUGAAUAAUAAUAUGUGAAUUUUUUUUAUAUGUCUAAAUAAGUUUUCAUCUUAUUAAAAAUCAAGUGAUAUAUAUUUUAUUCAAGUGAUAUAUAUUGUUUUAGUGAUAAAAAAGUUCACUAAAACAAUUUAUCAUAUUUAUAAUAUAUUAUUCAGAUAUUUCAAAUAUUAUUCAUCAAACAAUAUUAUUCAUUCAGAAUUCAGAUGAUUCAUCCGUUAAGAUCAUUCAGGUAUAUUAAUCAUUCAAUUCAGAUUUGCCAAAUGACCCCUUAUUCUCACACGAUGUUUAAUAUUUUAUUAUUAGAGAGAGAAAAGGAGUGUUGAUAAGAAUUAAUAACAAAAUAUGGACAGGGUAAGGAAAGAUGUACCUCAAAAAUAGGACUUGAGAAGGUUGUCCCAGUGAUAUAAGGCAUCACUAGGACAUUGUUGGAUCAAUUUUUUACAUCAAAUGCCUUAAAUAACAACUUAGGACGACAUAUAUGGAAAUUGUUGGACUUGCUCUAAGUUGUUACUCCUUCCAAGUAUAAAAGAUGAGUAAAGUUAAAUGAAGACGUGGUAAAAUAAUGUGACCUAUUUAUAUUUAAUAAUACAUUUGAAAUAGUGGAGGAAAGUAACAUGUGUAAUAACGUUUAUAUUAUUAUUGCAUAUAGAUAAGAAGAAAGCAAUGGGUAUAAAAGUGUAUUAUAUUAUUAAAAUUAUUAUUUUUAAAAUGUUUAGAAAUAAUGGGGCAUCCAAAAAGAAAACUGUAUAGAAAUGAAAAAGGAAAUACAAUUCAAAAAGUCAUAUAUCUAAAUUCAAACUAGGUAAUAUAUUUAUGAAUUAUAUUAAAAAAAAUAUUUGACAUUCAAAUAUAAAAAUUUAUUUUAUCAUCUCAACAAUGAAUAUUCGAUUAUUAACUUUCGUAAAUAACAUUAAUUUUUCAUUAUAAUAUACUCUAAACUUUUAUUUUAUGUGCCUGUUUGUUUACGAGAAGCUGGAAUUUACUUCUCUUGACUCGUUUGUGUAAAAAAGUAAAAGGUGCUUUUAAAAAGUACUGAGAACGAAAUGGAAGUAGAAAAUGCUAGCUUUUCUUUAUAAUAUCUAUUUCUUUUCCAGACAUUUUAAUAAUUUAUAAUUAUUAAUUUAUUUGUCAUUUCUACUUAUUUUUUUUAGAGAACUUUUUUUAAACUAACCGGCUCCUAUAACUAGUAAUUACUUCUAAAUCACAAAUUACUGAUAAAUCAUCACUUUUAUUAUUAUUAUUAUUAUUAUAUUUUUAAUAACUCAUAAAUUAUUAAUAAGUCAAAAUUAGUCAAACAGAUAUUUUUAAGUUGAGCUUAUGAGAUAACUAACGUUAAGUCUUCUGAGCCCCCAUUGGCUCACAAUUGGCCCAAAAAAUAUUUGGUUAUGCAUUGCUAUUCACACACUUAGACAUCAAAAUUUAUCAUCCGACAGCUAACUGCACACUAUUUUUCCCACAAGCUCAAAAAUCAACGAUCAAUUAAUUUUUUCUUAUCAAUUACUAAUAAAGUUAUGAUUUCACGUACACGGCAGGCAAAAUGCUAAUAAAUAGACGAGUGCAGUAUAGUAUGGGUUCAUGAUCCCCUUGAGAUUUAAUUGAAAAAUAUUAUGGUGAUAUAGAUUAAAUUAAAUUAUAAUAUUUUGAAAAGUUAUAAAUAAUUUUAAUUACUAAUAAUAUUUAUUUGUACAUUUAAAUAUUUUUAUAAAAACACAAUAAUAGCAUUAUACUCAUUUAAGUUUCUCGUAUCCGCCUCCUCUUCUUGGAGAUUGUGGAUUUGCGAUAUUUGUAUUGAUUAUUAUAGGAAAAUGUUAUUUUCAGAGCAAACAUUUUUAUUUCUGGAGCAAAUUCAAUUCCCACUUCCUUGUCCUUGUAGCUACAUAAAUCAUACAACUUCAAUACAAACUUUUCCAAAUUGUUCUGGAAAUUAAAAAAUUGAUAUGGAUAUAACAAUUCCCUUAUUAUAUCCUAUGUAUAUUACAUUAAUGCAAUUAACAUGGUUGGUUGUUUUAGUAUAUAAUUAUAUUAGUGUGGCCUUUUAGUAUAUAAUUAUAUUAUUUUUGUUAUAUUUUAUGCAUCUAGAAACAAUUUUUUUAUGAUAUUUAUUAUAUUAAUUAUAGUAAAAGAUAUAAUUUUGUUUAAAAAAUUGAAUAAAACUAAGAGGGAUAGCCUACGUCUCUCCGAGUCUUCGAGGACUCAUUCCAAGUCCGCAGAGGACCACCGCCUCAACCUUUAAGAGAUGUGAAAGUAGCUUGAGAGAGACAUAAAUUAAUGUUUGAUAAUAAAAUUUAAUAAUCAAAUAAAUUAAAUUAAAUUAAACUAGUUUAUAGUAAUCGAUUAAAAAUAUAUAAAUCAAAAUUAUUCCUGAAUUAUGAUAACAAUUAAAAUCAUAUUAAAAGUUGCAAAAAUCAAACCCAAAUCGAACAAAUUCCCCUAACACUAAAAUGUAGUUGCUUUAUUGUAGAUAAAAACAGUAUAAUAAUCGUAUUGAUGAAAAAUCAAAUUCAUCAAAUAAGUUUAUAAAAAAUACAUGAUUUUAGUGUGUUGUAUUAGUAGUGUGUCCACGCAUUUAUAUAUUAAAAUCUAUCCUCUAAAAACUAUCGAUCUAUUUACACAACUAUUGAUCUGUCGUGCAACAAAUUCCACGGAGAAGUUCCAAAGAGAGCUUAAAUGGCUUGCAUUGCUCAAUCUAUCUCAUAAUAGUCUUAACGACAUAUGUUCUGAAUUAUUAUUAUGCUUUCAACAAUAUUUUCAAACAUUUCUUAAUAUGUAUUUUCAAAGAAUUAAGAGAAUGCACAAAAAUUAAGAGAGAUUGCUCUGGGUCUCCCCAAGCCUUUCAGGACUCAUUCCAAGUCUUCCUAGGACCACUGCCUCACCCUUUCAAAGAUGUGAUAAUAGCUCGAGAGUAAUAUAAAUUAAUUUACGGACACUAAAAAUAAAAAAUCAGAUCAAAUUAAUCAAUAAUAAAUUAAGGAUGAAAUCCAAAUUAAUCCUAAAUUUUGAUAAUAUAUAAAUAUUAUAAUUAUAAAUUAUAUAACCAAAUCAGAAUUGAAUUAACUUACUUGGCACUAAAAUUGAUAAAGACAGAAUAAUAAUUUAAUCGAUGAAAAGUCAAAGUCUUCUAAUAAAUCCAUAAAAGAUAUGAUAAUCCAAAUAACACACUUAUAUAUCAAAAUUUAUGGUCCAAAAACUAUAGCAAAAUAUCCUAAAUACACCACAUUAAAUAAUAGUUCAAAAAUAUUCAAUAAACAAUUGUUUUCAUUCAUAAUUUUGUUAUUUUAAAAACUAAUAAUUUGGUUGAUGUUAACCUAUAUUUUAAUAUAUAAUUAUAUUAUUUUCAUCUUAUUUUAUUUAACCAGAAACAAUAUUUUUAUAAUAUUUAUUACUUUAUUUAUAUUAAAAUAUAUAAUUUCAUUAAAAAAAUUGAAUAAAAUUAAGAGAAUAACUCUAUGCCUCUCUAAGUCUACAAGACUCAUUUCAAGUCUACCGAGGACUACUACCUCAACCAUCGAGAGAUGUGAAAGUAUAGUUUGAGAGUGACAUAAAUUAUUUUCCUGACAAUAAAAUUUAAUAUCUAAUAUAAAUUAAUUAAAUUAGAUAAUAAUAAAUCAAAACUAAUUAUGAAUUAUGAUAAUAAUUAAAUAAAUUAUAAUUAAAUUAUAUAAAUCAACUCCAAAUGUACAAAUAACACUAAACCUUGGUUACUUUGUUGGUAAAUAAAUAUAAUAUAAUAAUCAAAUUGAUGAGAAAUCAAAAUCAUCUAAUAAAUUCACAAAAAAUAUAUAAUCAGUAUAUUAUAUUAGUAUCCACACACUUAUAUUUCAAAAUCUAUCCUCCGAACUUAUCAUCUCUGUAAACUACCCACAUAAAAUAAAAAUUUAAAGAUAUUAGAUAUUUAGUUAUUUUCAUUAUAUAUAAUUUUUCCACACUAAAUAACAAAAUAUCUUUAUCAAAUUAUUAUUUAUAAGUUUUUUGAAUAUCAGAUUCAUAACCCAGUUGAUCAGGAGAAACAUGGCCUACUCUGCAAAGCCUUCUCACCUUCUUCUCUUUGUUUUCUUUCUCUCAUCACUUGAAUCCAUUCUUGCAACAACACAAGAGGGAGAAGCUCUUGUGAAGUGGAAGAAUAGCCUAGCCCCUUCUUCUUUUCUCGACUCUUGGUCACUCACCAAUCUCGAAAAUCUUUGUAACUGGACUGGCAUUACUUGUAACUCUGCAGGUUCAGUCUCGGAGAUUAACCUUUGUGAGAAACAACUUGAUGGAAUGCUGUCCGAGUUUGGUUUCACUUCAUUUCCAAAUCUCAACAAUCUCAUCCUCGCAGAUAACUUCUUCUCGGGUCCCAUACCACCGGCCAUUGAGAAUUUAACACAGCUUCGAUUUCUUGAUUUAAGCUUUAAUUCUCUCCAUGGUCCCAUUCCGUUCCAGGUUAGCCAUCUUCAGAGCUUGCUCAUCUUAAACCUGUCACAGAAUGCAUUGCAAGCUCCAAAUUGGUCCCAUUUCUCUCCCAUGCCUUUCUUGCGCAUCCUCAACCUCAGUUACAAUCCUCUUGCGUCGAAAUUCCCAUAUUUUAUAUCCAAUUCUCAUAGCCUGACUCACCUUAGCCUUAAUUAUAACGAGUUUACUGGUGAUUUAGUACGUGAAUCAGUAUUUGCCAAUCUGCAUAAUCUUGAAGUGCUCAGUCUUGUUGGCAAUUCUUUUGAGGGGCCAUUUCCGCCGGAUGUAGUCCAGCUUUCCAAAUUAAAACGUCUCUUCCUGUCAGGUAACAAAUUUUCAGGUUCAAUUCCCAAUGACAUAAGGUUGCUUUGUGAUCUUGAAUACCUAUAUUUAGGCAACAAUUCCUUUGAAGGACCGCUUCCACCAAAUAUAUUCAAGCUUUCAAAAUUAAAAAAUCUUGUUAUUUGGAGUAAUAAGUUUUCAGGUUCUAUUUCCAAUGAUAUAGGUUUGCUUUCUGAGCUUGACACCCUCAAUCUUCGCUCUAAUUUUUUUAAGGGUCCGCUUCCGUCAAAUAUAUUCAAGCUUUCCAAAUUAACAAGUCUUGACCUCGCAGACAAUAGAAAUUUAUUUGAAGGAAGUAUUCCUAUUGGACUGGGACUCUUGACUAACCUCAGGUUCUUAGAUCUACAUUCCAGUAAUCUCAGUGGCUAUAUUCCAUCUGACAUUGGAAACCUGAAGCUACUAGUACUUCUUAAUCUCGGUUCUAAUAAAUUGACUGGACCGCUUUUAAAGAUCGUUUCUAAUCUCACAAAUCUUAUAUAUUUUGAUGUAAGUGAUAAUAGUCUUCGUGGAAAUAUUCAGAGUGACUUGUGGAUAUAUAACGAUCAUCCAACUUUGGAAUACAUCAAUUUAAGUGGGAACCAUUUUACGGGUAUAGUUUUUCUCUAUAGAUCUUUUCCUUUUGUCAUAUGUAACUAAGCUAGUAAUCUGGUUAUUGCAGUUUUACCAAAGUUUCAACAAUCUUGACAGGUGAGCUUCCAACAACAAUUUGCAAUGUCACUUCCCUUUCAAUUCUUGAUUUGUCAAAUAAUGAAUUAAGUGGUGCACUUCCAAACUGUUUCGGGAAUCUUGCUGAUGGAUUGCUUUACAUUAAUCUUGCUAAUAAUCAGUUUCGAGGAACAAUACCAACUACUUUCUCCAGGAGUUGUCAGCUGACAUAUCUAAACAUGGAUGAUAAUGAGUUUGAAGGAUUGUUGCCCCCAUCUUUGGCGAACUGUAAGCACUUGAAAAUUUUUGAUAUUGGCAAUAAUAAAAUAGGUGGUACAUUUCCGUCAUGGCUUUAUGCACUUGGAGAGCUAGAAGUCCUUGUCUUGCGAUCAAAUAAACUCUGUGGUACAAUAAGUGGAAGGAGCAUAGAAGAUCCCUUCCCCAAGUUGCGGAUUGUGGAUCUGUCCAACAACCACUUCACAGGCCAUUUGCCAAUUCAAUACUUUAAGAAUAUGAAAUCAACUGAUAAUUUGUAUAGUUAUCAGCUUUUCACAGCAGUUUUUUCUUUCCAUUAUGAAGCAGCAGUCUCAUUAAUUGUGAAGGGAACAGAGUAUGAAGUGGCAAAUAACCUUCAUAUUUACACAGCCAUUGAUCUGUCGUGCAACAAAUUUCAGGGAGAAAUUCCAAAGGUUACUGGAGAGCUUAGAUGGCUUGCAUUGCUCAACUUAUCUCAUAAUAGUCUAACAGGACCUAUCCCAUCAUUGCUGGGAAAUAUGAAAGAACUCCAAUCUUUAGAUUUGUCUUCAAAUCAACUGACAGGGGCCAUUCCACCUCAGCUAACUGCAUUGACAUUUCUAGAGGUCUUAAACCUCUCGGGAAACCAUCUUAGUGGAGAGAUUCCUCAGAAAGGACAGUUCAGCACAUUUAACAAUGAUUCUUAUCUAGGAAACUCCGCGUUAUGUGGAUCACCUUUGACGAAGAAAUGUGCAAACACAGCAUCACCUCCACAAGAAGUCGGAAAUGGUGAUGAAGANGAUUUGUCUUCAAAUCAACUGACAGGGGCCAUUCCACCUCAGCUAACUGCAUUGACAUUUCUAGAGGUCUUAAACCUCUCGGGAAACCAUCUUAGUGGAGAGAUUCCUCAGAAAGGACAGUUCAGCACAUUUAACAAUGAUUCUUAUCUAGGAAACUCCGCGUUAUGUGGAUCACCUUUGACGAAGAAAUGUGCAAACACAGCAUCACCUCCACAAGAAGUCGGAAAUGGUGAUGAAGAAGAUGGUGGUGAUGAAUUGACAUGGGAAGCAAUCGUGAUGGGAUAUGGAUGUGGACUGAUAUGUGGAUUGUCAUCGGCAUACAUUGUUCUCAAACUAGGAAAGCCUUGGUGGUUUGUGAGAUAUAUCGAAGUACUGCAACAGAAGUUGAUGAAAAGAUGCUUGAAGAAAGGUACUGGUCGAUCAAGACGAACUUGAAAGUUGUUGUCCAUGUGGACAUUUCUGAACCAGUAGUGUACUAGCUGCAUAAGUAUUUGGUAUUAUGUAAUAUUCUGUUUGGUGGGGAAUCAUAAUAAUUUUUCUUCCUGUAGGGGUAUUAAUAUUAACCUUGUUAUCUUGAUCAAUGUUAAUGCAAAUUAAAAUGAAUGAAAAAACAAAAAAUAUGCAUCAAAUCCACUCCUGCUGUACCAAGAUCCAUUAAUUUGCUUUGGUCUUUUACAUAACAAUUUAACAGCGCACUUCCCCACUGUUUGAAAGAAUUUAAUAAUAAACUCGAGUUUUCCAGGACUGCACCAAGUUCACAUAUUCAAUAUCACACAUUCCAGUCUCAGCUUCAGCUCCCAGGGUAGAAGAGAAGUUUUAUGUACAAUAACAGUUAAUUACCAUAGCUACUUUAGUCUUGGUUCAGUUUUUGCAGAGAUAAUUACCAGAUUUUGAAAUCCUUCAUGUGAGGAAACAAAUAUCGAGAGACAUUUCUGUUUACAAAUAUAGGUUUUCUAGACAUAAUUACAGGAACUUUUACCAUUAUACACUUUUAUAGUACUGGUUAAGAGUUUGUUGUUCAGCCUAGUGAAAGAAAUAAUUCCUCUGCUAUUUCAUUAACAUUGCUGGUAUAUAUACAAUGUACAACACACCCUUCAAGGCUAUAAUCAGGGAACCUAAAAUAUAUCCAAAACUAAUCAUAGAAACAGACUAACUAAUUACAAUAAAUCAUAUCCAGAAAUAUCUCCACAGAUGUCGCAUAGAUAUCUUUAACACACCCCCUCAGUCGAAGCGGGAGGUAAACGAACACUGAGACUGUCUCUGAAGUCUUCAAAAAGAACACGCGGAAGACCUUUUGUAAAAAUAUCUGCUACUUGAUAUCUGGAUGGCACAUGAAGAACCCGUACUUCACCUCGUGCAACUUUUUCCCGAACAAAGUGAAUAUCCAUCUCAAUGUGUUUAGUACGUUGGUGUUGUACUGGAUUACCCGAUAAAUAAAUAGCACUGACAUUGUCGCAAUACACCACAGUUGCCUUUGUAACUGGACAAUGCAAUUCCAACAACAGAUUUCGGAGCCAACAUGAUUCAGAGACCACAUUAGCUACACCCCUAUACUCGGCCUCUGCACUGGAUUUGGAAAGAGUCGGUUGUCGCUUAGAAGACCAGGAAAUCAAGUUGUCACCCAAAAACACACAAUACCCAGAUGUAGACCGCCUCGUGUCGGGGCACCCACCCCAGUCAGCGUCAGUAUAUGAAACAAGAGAGGACUGUGAAGAGGAAUAGAGAUGUAAACCAUAGUCCUGUGUUCCUUGAAUGUACCUAAUGAUUCUUUUAAGAGCUUGCAUAUGAGUAACCCGUGGAUCAUGCAUGUGCAGACAUACUUGUUGAACCGCAUAAGAAAUAUAUGGACGUGUGAAAGUCAGAUAUUAAAGUGCCCCAGCAAGACUCCGAUACAAUGAAGGAUUCUCAAACACAGAACCAACAGACGCACUAACCUUGGCCUUCGUAUCAACUGGUGUAGGUGAUGAUUUACAAGAGGACAUGCCAGCCCUCUCAAUUAUCUGUUGUGCAUAAUUCUUCUGUGACAGAAACAUGCCAGCCUUAUGACGAGUGACUGAUAUACCAAGAAAAGAACUCAAGGGGCCAAGAUCCUUCAUAGCAAAUUCUGAACUAAGAAGCUUUAUAAUCGAGACACGGAGAUCAUCAGACGACGCAGUGAGAAUUAUGUCAUCGACGUAAACCAGAAUAUAGGCCAUGUGAGAACCGUUGCGAUAAACGAAUAAUGAGGUGUCACAUUUGCUUCUAAUGAAACCAAUAGACAGAACAAAAUCAGCAAACUUCUCAGACCAAGUCCGGGGGGACUGCCUCAGGCCAUAAAUUGAUUUACGUAACAAACACACAUAAUCCGGAUGAGCACGAUCACGAUACCCCAAAGGUUGAUGCAUAUAUAUUGUUUCCUUUAAGUCACCAUGAAGGAAGGCAUUCUUUACAUCUAGCUGAUGAAUUGACCAGCCAUUCGAAAGAGAGAGAGAAAGCACUGUGCGGAUUGUAGCUGGUUUCACUACCGAGCUAAAAGUUUCGCCACAAUCAAUACCCACCAGCUGAGUUUUUCCAUUUCCGACAAGGCGAGCUUUAUGCCUCUGAAACACACCAUCCGAAUUUUCUUUAUGAGCAAAAACCCACAUAGACCGAAUAACAUUAACAUCAGGUGGACGGGGCACCAAAUCCCAUGUCUUAUUUUGAAUAAGUGCAUUAUACUCCUCAUCCAUGGCUAUUUUCCAAUUCGGGUCCCGAAGAGCAUCAACAGGGCUAUGUGGUAAAGGUGACCGAGGAGCUGUUGUGUUAUAUGCAUGAUCAGAAUAUCGCAUAUUUGGUUUAAAAAUACCUCGUUGGCUCCUGGUAACCAUUGGGUGCUGGUUUAUAGGAGUAGGGGAAGAUGUUGAUGUUUGUGGACUCGAGGAGGAAGAUGAACUCAAUGAGGAGGGAGAUGGCGACGUUGAUGAAAGUAAGGGAGAGGAGGAUUGGUUUGAGAGUACUGGACUCGGUGAAAGAGAAUGAGGAGAACUCCCAGGGGAAGGUGAGAAACUACCAUGUCGUGUCUCAUGUGUGUGAGUACUGUCUGGGUGAGCAGACACAGACACAGAAGGACUUUGAUUUUGCAGAUGAUACACUGAAUAAGGUGAUAAGCCAUCUGCUAAAAAAUCAUAGGUAGAAGUGGAUGAAUCAUGUAACUUAGCAAACGGAAACACAUGCUCGUCAAAUAACACAUGGCGACAAAUUAUAAUCUGUGCUGUGAUGAUAAAUCAUAACAUUUGUAACCACGGUGAUUAGCCGGAAACCCCAAGAAAACACAAGGUGUUGAACGAGAUUGCAAUUUAUUAAUUGUGGUAGAGGGAAUGAGAGGAUAGCACAAGCAACCAAAGACCCGAAUGUGAGAAAAUGAGGGAACCCGUUGAUAUAGGAUUUCAAGAGGUGAUAAAUUGCCUAAGACCUUGUUCGGAAGAACAUUUAGAAGAUAGGUGGCCAUUUGUAAUGCAUGAUUCCAAAAAGAUGAAGGAAGAGAUGCAUGAGCUAAGAGUGUUCGAGUGACAUUAUUAAUAGUUCGAAUUUUUCUUUCUGCUUUCCCAUUUUGAGAAGAAGUAUGAGGACAAGACAACCGAAAAGUCAUGCCAUUGUUCUUAAAAAAAUCCCAGAAAUGAUGAUUAGUAAAUUCCCUCCCAUUAUCGCAUUGCACAUUUUUAAUGGUACACUCGAAUUGGGUGAGAAUAUGAUUGUGAAACGCCACAAAUUUAUCAAAGACAUCAGAUUUCUUAGCAAUUGGAAAAGUCCAAAGAAAAUUGGAGAAAUCAUCUAAUAACACAAGAUAGUACUUAUGACCCAUAGUACUCAAAACCGGAGAUGUCCAAAGAUCACAAUGAAUUAUAUCAAAUGGCUUUAAAGUACUUGAACUAGACGAAACAAAUGGCAUCUUGAUAUGUUUUCCAAACACACAAGAUCGACAAAUGCUAGAAUGUGAAAGCUUAGAACAAUGAAUGCUUUUAUUGAGUCGAAGAGCAUCCAAAACUUGUGCACCGGGAUGGCCUAAACGAUCAUGCCAAAGAGAGGAAUUGAUGGCUGCAAAAGUAGAAUGAAGAGCUCGAUUGUUGAUAGAUUGUGUAAGAGGAUAAAGAUCGCCUUGGCUCUCACAUCUCAUUAUUAGCACUCACGUCUGUAAAUCCUUCACAGAAAACCCAAAAGGAUCAAAUUCCACCGUAACAGAAUUAUCAGUGGUAAAUUUGCGAACAGAAAUAAGGUUUUUAACAAUUUUGGGAGCGUGGAGGACAUUUUUAAGGGACAAAGGAAGGCCAGGAGAUGGUAAUGCAGUAUGACCAUAUCCUUGAAUUGAAAUAAUAUUGCCAUCACCCACAACAAUGCCAUUAUGAUGAGAAUUAUGUUGAUUGCUCAAAUUAACAUAGGACGAGAAAUUACCAUUUGAGGAUGUCAUAUGAGAUGUAGCACCAGUAUCCAUGUACCACGACGGAUCAGGUUGAUUGAGAGUCAUGGUAUGCAUUGCAGAUUCAAUAUCCGUUGGAACAAAAGAAGCUGACUGCCCAACCGUUGUUCCUGUGAAAGCCUGCUGUGGUCGAGGACCAAGAACUCCAGGCUGUGGUUGUUGAACUCCCGUGGAACGGGGCUGAGUCCAGCCCUGAGUUGGGAAUGGACAAGGGGGAGCGGACCAUCCCUGCAUCCAAGGUGGAGCAGCCAAGAUUGGAAAUAACCCGGUGCCCACUGUUGUGAACCCCAUUGCAUCCUAUUCUGUUGUUGUCCACCACCACGGCCUUGACCCAUACGACCCCCACCAGAACCACGACCUCCACCUGAACCAGAUCGUUUAUUAUUUUUCCUGUGGUUAUUAUGCUUAUUGCCACGGGGAGGUGCGGAUCCCUGAUUCGAGCCUGUGUCGUCAAAAUCCGUCUGUGAGGCAACCAACAUUGCAGAGUCAGACCCUGUGGCAGCUUCUUUUGCUAAAGCAGCCUCCUCUAAUGUUAACAUAGACCGGGCUUGAUAGAAUUGUGGGAGAGGGUCACUCUGUCGAAUUAAGGUCCCAACACCACGGUAUGCCCUUGGAAGGCCGGAAACCAGUUGAAUAACAAGUCUACUAUCCGAGAUUGGUGCACCAACAUUUUUCAGUUGAUCAGCAAGAGAUUUGAGACGCUGACAGUAAGCCGAAACAUUCGGAAAAUUCUCCAUUUUUGUACUGGAGAAUUCAGCCUCCAAAGUUACCACACGGGAAUUCUUGUUGUCCUGGAAUAUGUCACGCAACCUGUUCCAUGCCUCCAUAGCAGUGGCAUCUGGUUCAAUGAUCGUAUGUAAAAGAUCAUUGGAGAUAGUCGCAUAAAUCCAAGACAGAACCGUAGCAUCAAGCGUCGACCACAAUUCCUUUUCAUCCUCAGUAGAAAGAACCUUCUCUUUGCCUGUGGCAGGAGGAAUAAUAUGAGAAAGCACCUUAUGAGAACGUGCGGUAAUUUUGAAAAGCUCCGCCCAUGUCGAGUAUUGACCAUUCUCCAUCUCAAGAAUAAUGGGGAUAUGAUUGCGGAUAUUUGACACCGCAAGAGCUGGAUGAAAGGAGCUCUUGUUACCAGACAUUGGCUGCUGAUUAGUUGUAUCAGUCAUGAUAAUGAGAAAAGAAAAGAAGAUGAGUGCUUAGCGGAAGAAAAGAAAGAAAGAAAGAUCGUGGUAUUGCCUUAAGGCUCUGAUACCAUGAAAGAAAUAAUUCCUCUGCUAUUUCAUUAACAUUGCUGGUAUAUAUACAAUGUACAACACACCCUUCAAGGCUAUAAUCAGGGAACCUAAAAUAUAUCCAAAACUAAUCAUAGAAACAGACUAACUAAUUACAAUAAAUCAUAUCCAGAAAUAUCUCCACAGAUGUCGCAUAGAUAUCUUUAACACCUAGUCCUAAACUAAAAUUAUCAGUUCGAUGUGAAAUACGAAAUCAUAUUGCAGACGUCAUUCGUUGUUCCACCUAGUCCAAAACUACUCUAAAACUAUAUUGCUGGUAGUCUUUCAGUUCAUCCUACUGUAUGCAAUAGUUUCAUAUAUAGGUAACUCGGCCUUGUGUGGACUUCCUUUAACAAAAAAAUGUCUGCACUCAGUGUCACCACCACUGGAAGUCGAAAAUAGUGAUGAUGAAGAUGAUGCUCAUGGUGAACUUAAUUGGGAAGUAAUCCUGACGGGAUGUGGAUGUGGAUUGAUUUGCGGAUUGUCUUCUGGGUACAUUGUUUUCAAAAUAGAAAGGCCUUGGUGAUUUCUGCAAAGUGCUGCAACUUAAGUUGAUGUUACGAAGCACGAAAAAUAUUGUUCGACCAAGAUCAACAACUUGAAAAUGUGUUCUGAAUCUGUAUUAAUAUUAAAAUAUUAUAAUAUUAUUCAUUUAACACUAUCGUCCAAUCAAUUUAAUUGAUUAUCAUUUAAUCAAUAUAUUAGAUAAAUAUUAAUUGUCUUCCUUACCUCUAACCAAUGAUGAAAUUAAUAACCUCCCUAUAAAUCUAUUAAGACAGCUUUGAGUUGUCAAAGUCCUCAAACAUAUUAAACACUUUGAAAAAUUUGUUUCUGCAAGUCAAAAUUGCAAACAACACUUUGAAAACUUAGGUGCCGAAUAGUCCUUAUAUUGGAUUAAUCAGAUUUAAAUAUUUAAUGGCGCUAACAAAAUCUGUUGAAGUUAGCAGUUAUAAGGCAUAUAAUUAGAAAAAUGGCACAGUAUAUAAAGCCUCAUCAUCUUUUUCACUCUGUUUUAUUUCUCUCAUUACUUCCAUCCAUUCUUACAACACUAGCUGAAACAAGACGAGAGGGAGAAGCUCUUGUGAAAUGGAAGAAUAGCCUAGCCCCGUCUUCUUUUCUCGAUACUUGGUCACUAACCAAUCUCGAUGAUCUUUGCAACUGGACUGGCAUUACUUGUAACUCUGCAGGUUCAGUCUCUGAGAUUAACCUUAAACAAAAACAACUCAGUGGAACGAUUUCUGAGUUUGGUUUCACUUCAUUUCCAAAUCUCAACAAUCUGAACAUAGCACGAAACAACUUUUACGGUCCAAUACCACCAGCCAUUAAGAAUUUGACACAGCUUCAAUACCUUGAUUUAAGCUUUAAUCAUCUCAACGGUUCCAUCCCGUACCAGGUUAGCCAUCUUCAGAAAUUACAAAUCUUACACCUGUCGCAUAAUGAAUUGCAAGCUCCAAAUUGGUCCAAUUUCUCUUCCAUGCCUUUUUUGCGCAUCCUCGGCCUCGGCAGCAAUAAUCUGGAGUCAGAAUUCCCAGAAUUUAUAUCCAACUCUCAUGGCCUCACUUUCCUUGACCUUUCUUUUAACAAGUUUACAGGUGAUCUUGUGCAUGAAUCAAUUUUUACCGAUCUACGUAAUCUCGAAAACCUCCAUCUUGCUAAAAAUUACUUUGAGGGGCCGAUUCUACCUAGUAUAUUUAAGCUUUCCAAUUUAAAAAUUCUUGAACUAUCAGGUAAUAAAUUUUCUGGUUCUAUUUCCAACUAUAUAGGUUUGCUUUCGGAGCUUGAGACCCUCUAUCUUGACUUCAAUUUUUUUGAAGGACCAAUUCCACCAAAUAUAUUCAACCUUUCUAAACUAAAAAUUCUUGAACUAACAGGUAAUAACUUUUCAGGUCCUGUUUCUAAUGAUAUAAGUUUGCUUUCCGAGCUUGAAAACCUCAAUCUUGCCUUAAAUUCUUUUGAUGGGCCUUUUCCAUCAAAUAUGUUCAACCUAACCAUAUUGAGACAUCUAAAUCUCUAUGGCAAUAAAAAUUUAUUUAAAGGAAGUAUCCCACUGGAUAUCAAAAUAAGUCACAAGGACUAAUUAAUUACAUCUAUGAAGCAUCUAUCUCCUUAAAUGUGAAAGGAACAGAGUAUGAAGUGAAAAACAUUCUUCAUAUUUACACAACCAUUGAUCUGUCAUGCAACAAAUUUCAUGGACAUGUUCCAAAGAGAGCUUAAUUAAAUGGCUUGCAUUGCUCAAUCUAUCUCAUAAUAGUCUUAACAGACAUAUGUUCUGCAUUAUUAUUAUACUUUCAUCAAUAUUUUUAAACANAACAAAAACAACUCAGUGGAACGAUUUCUGAGUUUGGUUUCACUUCAUUUCCAAAUCUCAACAAUCUGAACAUAGCACGAAACAACUUUUACGGUCCAAUACCACCAGCCAUUAAGAAUUUGACACAGCUUCAAUACCUUGAUUUAAGCUUUAAUCAUCUCAACGGUUCCAUCCCGUACCAGGUUAGCCAUCUUCAGAAAUUACAAAUCUUACACCUGUCGCAUAAUGAAUUGCAAGCUCCAAAUUGGUCCAAUUUCUCUUCCAUGCCUUUUUUGCGCAUCCUCGGCCUCGGCAGCAAUAAUCUGGAGUCAGAAUUCCCAGAAUUUAUAUCCAACUCUCAUGGCCUCACUUUCCUUGACCUUUCUUUUAACAAGUUUACAGGUGAUCUUGUGCAUGAAUCAAUUUUUACCGAUCUACGUAAUCUCGAAAACCUCCAUCUUGCUAAAAAUUACUUUGAGGGGCCGAUUCUACCUAGUAUAUUUAAGCUUUCCAAUUUAAAAAUUCUUGAACUAUCAGGUAAUAAAUUUUCUGGUUCUAUUUCCAACUAUAUAGGUUUGCUUUCGGAGCUUGAGACCCUCUAUCUUGACUUCAAUUUUUUUGAAGGACCAAUUCCACCAAAUAUAUUCAACCUUUCUAAACUAAAAAUUCUUGAACUAACAGGUAAUAACUUUUCAGGUCCUGUUUCUAAUGAUAUAAGUUUGCUUUCCGAGCUUGAAAACCUCAAUCUUGCCUUAAAUUCUUUUGAUGGGCCUUUUCCAUCAAAUAUGUUCAACCUAACCAUAUUGAGACAUCUAAAUCUCUAUGGCAAUAAAAAUUUAUUUAAAGGAAGUAUCCCACUGGAUAUCAAAAUAAGUCACAAGGACUAAUUAAUUACAUCUAUGAAGCAUCUAUCUCCUUAAAUGUGAAAGGAACAGAGUAUGAAGUGAAAAACAUUCUUCAUAUUUACACAACCAUUGAUCUGUCAUGCAACAAAUUUCAUGGACAUGUUCCAAAGAGAGCUUAAUUAAAUGGCUUGCAUUGCUCAAUCUAUCUCAUAAUAGUCUUAACAGACAUAUGUUCUGCAUUAUUAUUAUACUUUCAUCAAUAUUUUUAAACAUUUCUCAAUAUGUAUUUUCAAAGAAUUCUCAAGCACUUGAACAUUUGGACCGGUUCUUUCGAAGCCAAGAUGCCCAGGUUAUAUCAUGGCCAUACACAAAAAUGCCCAAAAAUAAAUAAAUUAAGAGAGAUUGCUCUGGGUCUCCCCAAGCCUUCCAGGACUCAUUCCAAGUCUUCUGAGGACCACUGCCUCGCCCUUUCAAAGACGUGAUAGUAGCUCAAGAGUGAUAUAAAUUACUUUCCGGACACUAAAAAUAAAUAAUCCGAUCAAAUUAAUUAAUAAUAAAUUAAGGAUGAAAUCCAAAUUAGUCCUAAAUUUUGAUAAUAUAUAAAAAUUAUAAUUAUAAAUUAUAUAACCAAAUGAGAAUUGAAUUAACUUACUUGGUACUAAAAUUGAUAAAUACAGUAUAGUAAUUUAAUUGAUGAAAAGUCAAAGUCUUCUAAUAAAUCCAUAAAGAAUAUGAAAAUCAAAAUAACGAAAAUUAUAAUUGAAAAAUCAAAAUCAAUAGUGUAUUGGAAUAUUGUUCACACACUUAUAUAUCAAAAUUUGUGGUCCAAAAAUUAUAGCACAAUAUCCUAAAUACACCACAUUAAAUAAUAGUUCAAAAAUAUUCAAUAAAUAAUUGUUUUCAUUCAUAAUUUUGUUAUUUUAAAAACUAAUAAUUUGGUUGAUGUUAACCUAUAUUUUAAUAUAUAAUUAUAUUAUUUUCAUGUUAUUUUAUUUAACCAAAAACAAUAUUUUUAUAAUAUUUAUUACAUUAAUUAUAUUAAAAGAUAUAAUUUCAUUAAAAAAAUUGAAUAAAAUUAAGAGGAUAACUCUAUGCCUCUCCAAGUCUACAAGACUCAUUUCAAGUCUACCGAGGACCACUACCAUUGAGAGAUGUGAAAGUAGUUUGAGAGUGACAUAAAUUAUUUUCCUGACAAUAAAAUGUAAUAUCUAAUAUAAAUUAAUUAAAUUAGAUAAUAAUAAAUCAAAACUAAUCAUGAAUUAUGAUAAUAAUUAAAUAAAUUAUAAUUAAAUUAUAUAAAUCAACUCCAAAUGAUACAAAUAACACUAAACCUUAGUUACUUUAUUGGUAAAAUAAAUAUAAUAUAAUAAUUAAAUUGAUGAAAAAUCAAAAUCAUCUAAUAAAUUCACAAAAAAUAUAUGAUCAUUAGUAUAUUAUAUCAGUAUCCACACACUUAUAUUUCAAAAUCUAUCCUACAAAAUUAUCAUCUCUGUAAACUAGCCACAAAAAAUAAAAAUUUAAAGAUAUUAGAUAUUUAGUUAUUUUCAUUAUAUAAUUUUUCCACACUAAAUAACAAAAUAUCUUUAUCAAAUUAUUAUUUAUGAAUUAAAUAUUCAAGUUAUAAUUCCAGCAUGCAGCGUAUAAAUAGAAGUGUGCAGUAUGAUAUCAGAUUCAUAACCCAGUUGAGGAGAAACAUGGCACACUCUGUGAAGCCUUCUCACCUUCUUCUCUUUGUUUUCUUUCUCUCAUCACUUGAAUCCAUUCUUGCAACAACACGAGAGGGAGAAGCUCUUGUGAAAUGGAAGAAUAGCCUAGCCCCUUCUUCUUUUCUCGACUCUUGGUCCCUCACCAAUCUCGAUAAUCUUUGUAACUGGACUGCCAUUACUUGUAACUCUGCAGGUUCAGUCUCUAAGAUUAACCUUUUUGAGAAACAACUUAAUGGAAUGCUGUCCGAGUUCGGUUUCACUUCAUUUCCAAAUCUCAACUAUCUCACACUCGCAGACAACUUCUUCUCGGGUCCGAUACCACCAGCCAUUGAGAAUUUAACACAGCUUCAAUAUCUUGAUUUAAGCAUGAAUAGUCUUAAUGGUCCCAUUCCGUUCCAGGUUAGCCAUCUUCAGAGCUUGCUCAUCUUGAACCUGUCACAGAAUGCAUUGCAAGCUCCAAAUUGGUCCCAUUUCUCUCCCAUGCCUUUCUUGCGCAUCCUCGACCUUAGUUUUAAUAAUCUUGUGUCGAAAUUCCCAGAAUUUAUAUCCAAUUCUCAUAGCCUGACUCACCUUAACCUUUCAAAUAACAAGUUUACUGGUCAUCUUGUGCAUAAAUUUACCAAUCUACAAAAUCUUGAAACCCUCUACCUUCAGAUCAAUUCUUUUGAGGGGCCGUUUCCACCAGAUAUAGUCCAGCUUUCCAAAUUAAAACGACUCUCCCUGUCAUGUAACAAAUUUUCAGGUUCAAUUCCCAAUGACGUAAGGUUGCUUUUUGGUCUUGAAUCCCUAAAUUUAGGCAACAAUUCCUUUGAAGGACCGCUUCCACCAGAUAUAUUCAAGCUUUCAAAGUUAAAACGACUUGUUCUUUGGAGUAAUAAGUUUUCAGGUUCUGUUUCCAAUGAUAUAGGUUUGCUUUCUAAUCUUGAACACCUCGAUCUUGACUCUAAUUUUUUUGAGGGGCCGUUUCCGUCAAAUAUAUUCAAGCUCAGAUUAAAAAUUCUAAACCUCUCAAACAAUAGAAAUUUAUUUCAAAGAAGUUUUCCUAUUGGACUGGAACUCUUGAGUAACCUCAGCUACUUAGGUCUACAUUCCAGUAAUCUCAGUGGCAAUAUUCCAUCUUACAUUGGAAACCUGAAGCUACUAGAAUUUCUUGAUCUCGGUUCUAAUCAAUUGACUGGACCGCUUUCCAAGAUCGUUUAUAAUCUCACAAAUCUUAUACUUCUUGAUGUAAGUUAUAAUAGUCUUCAUGGAAAUAUUCAGAGUGACUUGUGGCAAUAUAACGAUCAUCCAACUUUGGAAUACAUGAGUUUGAGUGGGAACUAUUUUACGGGUAUAGUUUUUCUCUAUAGAUCUUUUCUUUUGUCAUAUGUAACUAAGCUACUAAUCUGAUUAAUUGCAGUUUUACCAAAGUUUCAACAAUCUUGACAGGUGAGCUUCCAACAACAAUUUGCAAUGUCACUUCCCUUUCGGUUCUUGAUUUGUCAAAUAAUGAAUUAAGUGGUGCACUUCCAAACUGUUUCGGGAAUCUUGCUGAUAGAUUGCUUUUCAUUAAUCUUGCUAAUAAUCAGUUUCGAGGAACAAUACCAACUACUUUCUCCAGGAGUUGUCAGCUCAAAUAUCUAAACAUGGAUAAUAAUGAGUUUGAAGGAUUGUUGCCCCCGUCUUUGGAAAACUGUAAGCACUUGAGAAUUCUUGAUAUUGGCAAUAAUAAAAUAGGUGGUACAUUUCCGUCAUGGCUUUAUGUACUUGGAGAGCUAGAAGUCCUUCUCUUGCGAUCAAAUAAACUCUAUGGCACAAUAAGUGGAAGGAGCAUAGAAGAUCCCUUCCCCAAGUUGCGGAUUGUGGAUCUGUCCAACAAUCAAUUCACAGGCCAUUUGCCAAUUCAAUACUUUAAGAAUAUGAAAUCAACUGAUAAUUUGUAUCGUUUCCAGGAUGGCAAAGGAGUUUUUUGUUUCCGUUAUGAAGCAUCUGUCUCAUUAACUGUGAAGGGAACAGAGUAUGAAGUGAAAAAAAUCCUUCAUAUUUACACAACCAUUGAUCUGUCCUGCAACAAAUUUCAAGGAGAAAUUCCAGACGUUAUUGGAGAGCUUAGAUGGCUUGCAUUGCUCAACUUAUCUCAUAAUAGUCUAACAGGACCUAUCCCAUCAUUGCUGAGGAAUAUGAAAGAACUCCAAUCUUUAGAUUUGUCUUCAAAUCAACUGACAGGGGCUAUUCCACCUCAGUUAACUGCAUUGACAUAUCUAGAGGUCUUGAACCUCUCGGGAAACCAUCUUAGUGGAGAGAUUCCUCAGAAAGGACAGUUCAGCACAUUCAACAAUGAUUCUUAUCUUGGAAACUCCGCGUUAUGUGGAUCACCUUUGACGAAGAAAUGUGCAAACACAGCAUCACCUCCACAAGAAGUCGGAAAUGGUGAUGAAGAUGAUGCUGGUGAUGAAUUGACAUGGGAAGCAAUCGUGAUGGGAUAUGGAUGUGGACUGAUAUGUGGAUUGUCAUCUGCAUACAUUGUUCUCAAACUAGGAAAGCCUUGGUGGUUUGUGAGAUAUGUCGAAGUACUGCAACUGAAGUUGAUGAAAAGAUAUGCUUGAAGAAUGGUACUGGCCGAUCAAGACGAACUUGAAAGUUGUUGUCCUUGUGCAUUUCUGAACCAGUUGUGUACUAUUCUCUUUGUGGCUGCAUAAGUAUUUGGUAUUGUGUAAUAUUCUGUUUGGUCUUGAAUCAUAAUGAUUCUUCUUGCUCCAGGGUUAUUAAUAUAAACCUUGGUAUUGUGUGCUAGCUGUAAUAUUCUGUUUGAUCAAUGUUUAUACCAGUAAUUUUAUGCUCCGCAGUGCAUCAUGCAGCUCUCAUAUUAUCUCUAUGAUUAACCUGAAUUCAGUUUCAUUUUGUUUCCGAAUCUCAACUACUUCAACUUGAGCUACAAUAGCUUCACUGGUCUAAUACCCCCAGAUAUUGAAAAUUUAACAGAGCUGCAAUACCUUGAUUUUAGCUCUAAUAAACUCACUGGUGCAAUUCCGGACCAGGUAAGCCAUCUUCAAACAUUGCGAACCUUAAACCUGUUGGAUAAUCACUUGGAAGCUCCAAACUGGUCCGCUUUUUCCCCUCUGCCUUCUCUGACAAACCUCUGUCUCAAUAAUAAUAAUCUUUCGUCGAAAUUCCCAGACUUCAUAUCAAAUUACAUCUUUUAUACGAUAUAUUAUGAAAACACUAUAUUUUGUAAUGUUCAUCUUAUCCUACCAGCAAAAUUACAUCGCUAACAAAAUUAUAUCAAUUUUAUUUUAUAAACUCAAAUAAUUUAAUUUAUGAAACAACUCUAUGAGAUUCUUAUCAUGAGUUAGAAUUCAAAUAAAUAAAGAGUUCAUAUUGAUAAGUGGAAUUGAUGUGCAAGUAAGGGGUAUAAAAAAAUCUCAAAAUAACUCCAAAAAGCACAUGACAUGUUUGAUUUAAUAGAACUGGUACAUAAACAGGGGGACCAUUAUAUUUAUAAGCAAGUGACCAACAAUAGUUUACUACUGAUAUUUUGUGAUAUUUUUUGUGAUAUUUUUUGAGACCUUUAACAUUAUUCUGUGAAGUGGUAUACUACUGUUACUAGUUCUGAAACUUCAAACAAAGUAGGCGCAACAUUGUAAGAGUGAUUAAUAAAGUUGAGAAACAGUGUGUACAUUGAGCAGUAUGACAAUCAGGUUCAGCAUAUAAUACAAUCAGAUUCACAAUCAGGUUCACGAGAAACAUGCUGCAUUCCAAAAAGCCUUAUUAUCUUCUUCACUAAAUAACAAGGCAAAUACAGCAUAUAAAUACAAGUGUGCAGUGUGGUAUUAGAUUCAUAACCCAGUUGAGGAGAAACAUGGCACACUUUGUAAGGCCUUCUCACCUUCUUCUCUUUGUUUUCUUUCUCUCAUCACUUGAAUCCAUUCUUGCAACAAGACAAGAGGGGGAAGCUCUUGUGAAGUGGAAGAAUAGCCUAGCCCCUUCUUCUUUUCUCCACUCUUGGUCACUCACCAAUCUCGAAAAUCUUUGNNNNNNNNNNNNNNNNNNNNNNNNNNNNNNNNNNNNNNNNNNNNNNNNNNNNNNNNNNNNNNNNNNNNNNNNNNNNNNNNNNNNNNNNNNNNNNNNNNNNNNNNNNNNNNNNNNNNNNNNNNNNNNNNNNNNNNNNNNNNNNNNNNNNNNNNNNNNNNNNNNNNNNNNNNNNNNNNNNNNNNNNNNNNNNNNNNNNNNNNNNNNNNNNNNNNNNNNNNNNNNNNNNNNNNNNNNNNNNNNNNNNNNNNNNNNNNNNNNNNNNNNNNNNNNNNNNNNNNNNNNNNNNNNNNNNNNNNNNNNNNNNNNNNNNNNNNNNNNNNNNNNNNNNNNNNNNNNNNNNNNNNNNNNNNNNNNNNNNNNNNNNNNNNNNNNNNNNNNNNNNNNNNNNNNNNNNNNNNNNNNNNNNNNNNNNNNNNNNNNNNNNNNNNNNNNNNNNNNNNNNNNNNNNNNNNNNNNNNNNNNNNNNNNNNNNNNNNNNNNNNNNNNNNNNNNNNNNNNNNNNNNNNNNNNNNNNNNNNNNNNNNNNNNNNNNNNNNNNNNNNNNNNNNNNNNNNNNNNNNNNNNNNNNNNNNNNNNNNNNNNNNNNNNNNNNNNNNNNNNNNNNNNNNNNNNNNNNNNNNNNNNNNNNNNNNNNNNNNNNNNNNNNNNNNNNNNNNNNNNNNNNNNNNNNNNNNNNNNNNNNNNNNNNNNNNNNNNNNNNNNNNNNNNNNNNNNNNNNNNNNNNNNNNNNNNNNNNNNNNNNNNNNNNNNNNNNNNNNNNNNNNNNNNNNNNNNNNNNNNNNNNNNNNNNNNNNNNNNNNNNNNNNNNNNNNNNNNNNNNNNNNNNNNNNNNNNNNNNNNNNNNNNNNNNNNNNNNNNNNNNNNNNNNNNNNNNNNNNNNNNNNNNNNNNAUUAAAACGUCUUUUUCUUUGGAGUAAUAAGUUUUCAGGUUCUGUUUCCAAUGAUAUAGGUUUGCUUUCUGAGCUUGAAUUUCUCAAUCUUUACGAUAAUUUUUUUGAGGGGCCGCUUCCAUGCAUCAAAUAUAUUCAAGCUCUCCAAAUUAAGGGUUCUUUACCUUAACGGUAAUAAACUUCUAGGUUCUCUUUCCAAUGAUAUAGGUUUGCUUUCUGAGCUUGAAAGCCUCGAUCUUAACUCCAAUUUUUUUGAGGGGCCGCUUCCGCCAAAUGUAUUCAAGCUCUCCAAACUAAAGAUUCUUUCCCUUUAUGAGAAUAACUUUUCAGGUUUUAUUUCUAAGGAUAUAGGUUUGCUUUCUGGACUUGAAACCCUCUAUCUUGACUCUAAUUUUUUUGAGGGUCCGCUUCCCCCACAUAUAUUUAGGCUGUCCAAAUUAAGAGAUCUGGACCUCUCAUACAGUAGAAAUUUAUUUGAAGGAAGUAUUCCUAUUGGACUGGGACUCUUGACUAACCUCAGGUACUUAGAUCUAUAUUCCAAUAAUCUCAGUGGCUAUAUUCCAUCUGACAUUGGAAACCUGAAGCUACUAGAAGGUCUUAUUCUCGGUUCUAAUAAAUUGACUGGACCAGUUUCAAAGAUCAUUUCUAAUCUCACAAAUCUUAUAUAUCUUGAUGUAAGUGAUAAUAGUCUUAGUGGAAAUAUUCAGAGUGACUUGUGGAAAUAUAACGAUCAUCCAACUUUGGAAUACAUCAAUUUAAGUGGGAACCAUUUUACGGGUAUAGUUUUUCUCUAUAGAUCUUUUCCUUUUCUCAUAUGUAACUAAGCUGGUAAUCUGAUUAUUGCAGUUUUACCAAAGUUUCAACAAUCUUGACAGGUGAGCUUCCAACAACAAUUUGCAAUGUCACUUCCCUUUCGGUUCUUGAUUUGUCAAAUAAUGCGUUAAGUGGUGCACUUCCAAACUGUUUCGGGAAUCUUGCUGAUGGAUUGCUUUACAUUAAUCUUGCUCAUAAUCAGUUUCGAGGAACAAUACCAACUACUUUCUCCAGGAGUUGUCAGCUGACAUAUCUGAACAUGGAUGAUAAUGAGUUUGAAGGAUUGAUGCCCCCAUCUUUGGCGAACUGUAAGCACUUGAAAAUUUUUGAUAUUGGCAAUAAUAAAAUAGGUGGUACAUUUCCGUCAUGGCUUUAUGUACUUGGAGAGCUAGAAGUCCUUGUCUUGAAAUCAAAUAAACUCUAUGGUACAAUAAGUGGAAGGAGCAGUGAAGAUCCCUUCCCCAAGUUGCGGAUUGUGGAUCUGUCCAACAAUCAAUUCACAGGCCAUUUGCCAAUUCAAUACUUUAAGAAUAUGAAAUCAACUGAUAAUUUGUAUCGUUAUCAGAAUGACACAAGAGUUUUUUCUUUCCAUUAUGAAGCAGCAGUCUCAUUAACUGUGAAGGGAACAGAGUAUGAAGUGAAAAAAAUCCUUCAUAUUUACACAACCAUUGAUCUGUCCUGCAACAAAUUUCAAGGAGAAAUUCCAGACGUUAUUGGAGAGCUUAGAUGGCUUGCAUUGCUCAACUUAUCUCAUAAUAGUCUAACAGGACCUAUCCCAUCAUUGCUGAGGAAUAUGAAAGAACUCCAAUCUUUAGAUUUGUCUUCAAAUCAACUGACAGGGGCUAUUCCACCUCAGUUAACUGCAUUGACAUAUCUAGAGGUCUUGAACCUCUCGGGAAACCAUCUUAGUGGAGAGAUUCCUCAGAAAGGACAGUUCAGCACAUUCAACAAUGAUUCUUAUCUUGGAAACUCCGCGUUAUGUGGAUCACCUUUGACGAAGAAAUGUGCAAACACAGCAUCACCUCCACAAGAAGUCGGAAAUGGUGAUGAAGAUGAUGCUGGUGAUGAAUUGACAUGGGAAGCAAUCGUGAUGGGAUAUGGAUGUGGACUGAUAUGUGGAUUGUCAUCUGCAUACAUUGUUCUCAAACUAGGAAAGCCUUGGUGGUUUGUGAGAUAUGUCGAAGUACUGCAACUGAAGUUGAUGAAAAGAUAUGCUUGAAGAAUGGUACUGGCCGAUCAAGACGAACUUGAAAGUUGUUGUCCUUGUGCAUUUCUGAACCAGUUGUGUACUAUUCUCUUUGUGGCUGCAUAAGUAUUUGGUAUUGUGUAAUAUUCUGUUUGGUCUUGAAUCAUAAUGAUUCUUCUUGCUCCAGGGUUAUUAAUAUAAACCUUGGUAUUGUGUGCUAGCUGUAAUAUUCUGUUUGAUCAAUGUUUAUACCAGUAAUUUUAUGCUCCACAGUGCAUCAUGCAGCUCUCAUAUUAUCUCUAUGAUUAACCUGAAUUCAGUUUCAUUUUGUUUCCGAAUCUCAACUACUUCAACUUGAGCUACAAUAGCUUCACUGGUCUAAUACCCCCAGAUAUUGAAAAUUUAACAGAGCUGCAAUACCUUGAUUUUAGCUCUAAUAAACUCACUGGUGCAAUUCCGGACCAGGUAAGCCAUCUUCAAACAUUGCGAACCUUAAACCUGUUGGAUAAUCACUUGGAAGCUCCAAACUGGUCCGCUUUUUCCCCUAUGCCUUCUCUGACAAACCUCUGUCUCAAUAAUAAUAAUCUUUCGUCGAAAUUCCCAGACUUCAUAUCAAAUUGUCGAAACCUGACUUACCUUGAUCUUUCAUUAAACUUGUUAACAGGUGAUUUGGUUCUUGGUAAUACGGAAUCGCUCUAUCACAGAAGUAAUUCUUUUGAGGGGUCAUUUCCACCAAAUAUAUUAAAACUUUCAAAAUUAAGAGUUCUUUCCCUAUCNCUUUCCCUAUCAUAUAAUAGAUUUUCAGGUUCUAUUCCGCAUGAUAUAGGAAUGCUUCGUGUUUUGGAAUCCCUUUUUUUUAGUAGCAGUUCUUUUGAUGGCCUGCUUUCACCAAAUUUAUUUAAGCUUCCAAAAUUAAAAGUUCUUUCCAUGUCAUUUAAUAACUUUUCGGGUUAUAUUCCAAAUGAAAUAGGAUUGCUUCAUGAUUUAGAGUCCCUUUAUUUUAAUGGAAAUUCUUUUGAGGCCGUUUCCACCAAAUAUAUUCAACCUUUCCAAAUUAAAAGUUCUUUACCUCUCAAAUAAUAACUUUUCAGGUUCUAUUCCUAAUGAUAUAAGUGUGCUUCGUGAUCUUGAGAUACUUGAUUUGUCCUCUAAUUCUUUUGAAGGGAUUAUUCCAUUGGAGCUGGGGUUCUUGAAUAAGCUGAGCUAUUUAUAUCUUGAUUCCAAUCAAUUGACUGGACCGCUUUUGAAGAACAUGUAUAAUCUCAGUAAUCUUAUUGAGAUCAACUUUAGUGGAAACCGCUUAACAGGUUUGCUAUUCAUUCUUGUUUUCUUCUUUAUGUAACUUCUUUAUGUAACUUCUUCAAUGCUGAUGAAAUGAUCACGAACCACAAUUUCACCAAAGCUCCUUUAAUUUCAACAGGUGAGUUUUCGACAGCAAUUUACAGAGAGAGAAUUACGAUGUUAUUAGGGAAAUCUAAAGAGAAGGUGCAGAGACCUCGGCAUAAUGAUCCUCCAACCUCUCAUUAACAAUGUCCAGGUUUCUUUAAAAGUAUUAAAUGUUAUUAACAUAGUACUUAAUGGUGUUAUAAAGAGAGUCGUGAUGUAACACUAUAUUUUGUUUACGAGAUAUUUUAAGUGUAAGAAGGUCCAUGCUGAGUUGUGAACAAUUAUUCUCACGUAUAUUAUCAAUGGUGAACAUCUUUAUUAGUAAGAUUGUGCUUUUUAGUUGGAUUGUGGUCCUUCUGUUGCUCCUUGGUAAGAUUUUUCGUCCUAGGUGGGAUUGUUAGGCACAAUGCCAGUCUAAUCAAGUUUGCGAAGGAAGUGUUAAAUACUAGAAUUAUUAAACCUGUAUAUAAAUUUAGAUGUCUGCACAGCGUUGUUACAUUGUCGAGUAGACAACUAAUUUUAAUCUGGUGGCAGGAAAUAGGGAAUCAAGAAGAAGAUGCAGCCAACAAUGAGAAGCUAGAGAAGCAAUUGAACUACUCGAACAAGAGCAAAAGCGGAUAGAAGCAGAACCAGAUGUUAAACUAGAGGCAAAAAAGAGAGCCUCCAACAGGCUUAUUUUAAGGUAAAUUACAAGAAAAGAAAGUCUGCCAUCAAUGUUAGACAAAAAGAUAUGCCGAUGCUCACAGAUAAUAAUAGUAGCAGGCGUACUUACUCUCUCUACAUAUAAUACUGUAACAAAGGUUUUCAAUGAGCCAAUUUAUUCCAACUAAGCAGGCACUAAGCAGCCACGUCAGAUCCACCUUAGCAAUCACUUUGCAUUUGUGAUGAUGAUCACAAUUAAAUCUUUAUCCCAAUGAUUUUUCUAUUAAUCUUUUGUGGAAUUCUAUGUCUGCAGAGAGAGCAAUACGUGUUGGUCAUGGUUUCUAUAAGUGAAGGUGAGACAACAAUGGUGUUCUCUUUGCCUCAAUUACACCCCUAAUUGCUGGCUAUUUGAGCUGCUGAAAGUUUAAUAAUGGCAAUCGUUUGUAGCUCGAAGAGAAUGAUGUAAGAAUUUAAUCUCAAUAGGAAGCUGUAGAACACAACAAUAUUGCAUAUAGAAGCCAUCCAGCUGCACACCCUGAUCACGGAGUUUUUGAGUCUUUAGAAUGCAAAAAUACAAUGCACAUGGGUAUGCCUACAAGUGGAGAUAUUUAGAAAACUGCUUCUUGUGCACAGUUAGUUAAAUAUUUACUAAUAAUAUAUCUUCAAUAACAACAUUACAGCUACAGUUCAGCAAUGAAUGAUCAUCAAAUGGCUUCUGCAGCACCGACACAGAAUGCCAGUGGACUAGUGGAGUAAUUCCAGGGGAUGCUCUGAUCAUAAAUUCUCGCUGGUGAAUUGAAGAAUUGAGCUUGAGCUAAGAAGGUGAUCUGCAUAUAAUCUUUAACCAUUUUCUGAUGGUACAAAUGUUGCUAUUUAAAAAAAUAAAGAUCAAAUAAACAAAUAUUACUUUACUAAUAUUUUACAUAGCUGCUGCUGUCGAAAACUGGAAACUUGUUGUGUAUUAUAAAAAUAGCAAGGAACUGAACUAAAUAAGCGAGGCAGGUAACUAUUGGAACAAACUGGCAUAUACCUUCUCUUUUCUUAUACUUCUUGCUUGGGGGCAAUAAGUCGUCUCUACCAUAAUAAAGUAAAAAGUAGUCAAAUUACAACUCCCUUGGGUUUCCGUUUGAAUUAGGACAUGUGUGGUGCACCAUACUCUCUUGUCAAAUAUUUUGAAGUUUUGCAUAUUGCAGUUUCACUUUUCAAAGAAACCUCUCUGUCAUUGCUAUAUUAGUAUGCGACUGUUAUUUGGAUUAGUUAUGAUCUGUAUCUAAAAUUAAUGGCACAGAUCUUGAUUUCUAGAACACCAGGUAAUAUUCUCAGAAACAGUGAUAUUCUGUUACAAAGUGAUUGUUGUCGACCAUCUUUACACAUUUUUCUUAUUAUUAAAAAAUAAAUUUUAUAAAAUAGAUUUUUAAAAUAUAGAUACUAUUGAUAUGGUCUUUAUAAUAGAUAUUAGAUAUUAAAAUUUUUAUUUAUAAAAAUUUAUGGAUGAGUUAUUGUAAUAACUGAUUGUCGAGAUCCUAGGUUCCUGGCUAAAUAGGAGUCCAUAUAUUUUGUUAUAAUAUAAUCAAAUAUCAAAACAUUCCUAGGAGGUCUAUAAGUUUAUAACGGUCCGAUAAAGGAAACAUGAAUAAAAUUGAUCAAAAUAUUUUGACCAUUUCAGGUGAUAAUGAUCAUAUAAUUUUCAUAUGACAGAACAAUAAGCCGUAGAGUUUGCUUAGGGGAUUAUGUAGGUUGCAGCAAGAUUUUCAAAAUAAAGCUGAUUUAUCAUUCAUAUAUUUUUUUGGUCCUCUUGGUUUAUGAGUGCUCUUUGUAUCUCUUGCUCUUAGCAUGCAUCCCCUCCCUUUAGUAAAUCAGCUUUGUGCUCAAUUACCUAAUUAUAGAUGAUGUUUCCUAAAUGGAAUAUUUCAAUUAAAUAUAUUAAUUGCUAAGCAACAGCCAAUAUGUUGUGUUGGUUAUUAAAUUAUUGUAGGCAUUUAUUCUUACAGAUGGUUUGGAGAUAAUUUCGAGCAAUCUAUGAGUUUGAAUAAUAUGUCUUAACAGUAUAUAGGGCCAUGAGGAGCUUGGCGCUGCCAGCUUGCGCUUGCGGGAAGAUGAAGAUUUUACGAGAUUUAAAAAUAUUGCAACUAUAGAGCUAGGAAGAUAAGAGAUUGGAAGUUGGUAAUUCUCCCCUUUCCCAUCAGAAUUCAAUGACUCUUUGAAACUGUACUUUCGUGAAUUUUGUCUUAAUUUCAUCAGGCGACCAGAACAACUUCAGAGACAUAUGGUGAGUUGUUGUCGAGUAUUUUGAAGAGUAUCGUUCGCAGGGAAGGAUUGAUAUCAAUACCAAUUUCAAGUCUUUUAUCUCUUAUGAUUCAGAAGUGUGGAGAAGAAUUUGGUGGGAUUUUCUAUCAACUAAUUAAUGUAAUAAGUAAAUAAAUAUAAUAAAUAUGAGAGAAAACAACCCAAGAAUUAGAGUUCUUCAAUCGCUAUCAUGAAUGUCUAAUUUGUGUCUCUUGUUUGCUAAAAACAAUCCUUCUAAUAUUAAUAAACUCCUCUCCCAAGGUAGAUUAUAAUGCUUACAAUUAUCCAUUAAAAGCCACUCCCAUGGUCAAUCAAAGAACACUUGUAAACUAUUAAGAACCAAGGAUUUUAAGUCUCACAAUUCUCAUAUCAAUCUCCCGAUCUAAUACUCAAAUUGUGUCCAUCAUAUCAUGUACUAGAAUUAUAACUCCUCUCCCGAUUCGUUAUAACUCCUAGAGAUUCAAUCACAAGUUAGCUACUCCUGUAAUUGUAUAAAGAGCUCAAUGACAGAUUAACAAAUCAAGAGAAAACACAAUCCAACUAAACAAACAUAUUAAGCCAAAGAAUACUACCUAACUCUUGGAUCAAAGGAUUAGCUACUCAUGAUAAGAUGAAACAAAUAUAUAUUUAUACCACAAACCAUGAGCGUAAGAAUUUAAAUACGAAGAAUACAACUUGACGAAAGAGCUUGAAGUCCGGAUGAAUCCCUUCACUCCUUCUUCCAAUAUCUCUCACAAGUGCUUCUCUCCCUUUUCUCUCUAAAAAAGCUAUCUCUAUAUUAUUCUAUAUGAUACAAAGUUAGUUGUCUCUAAUCUCUAUCAAAACCCUAAUAUAUAUAAGAGUUUUCUUAAUUUACAAGAAAAUAAAAUAAUAUCCUAAAACUAGUUGGAUUCUGAUGCUGAAAUUCGUAGGCUUCUGUUCAGGCCUGAUUCUGGGCUGAUCCAGUUGGAUUUUGACAUCUGGACCACCUUAAACUUGUAGAAAAUUCCUAUAUCUUCGCGUGGGCUGUUGAAUCGCCCAAUUCUGACAUCCAGAACUCAAGUUACGGCCCAAACAAGAUUUGCUUCGCUGGCUAUAUAUAAAGUCCGAAUUUCCAUCUAAUUAAGCCCAAAUAAGCUUGAUUUAAUCCAACUUUAGGAAUAUUUAUUUUCCUGCCACUAAACACUUAAAAUCAAUUAGUAAUAACCCGAUUAUUUACAAAAUACUAAAAUUAUGGGAAUAAAAUCAUAUAAAAACAUAUAUAAAUAUAUGCUCUAUCAUGAGUUUUGUGUCCUGCUUCUCAUUUCACAUACAUUGCCUUUUAAGAAGGGUGUUCUUAUAUAAUUUUGGAAGUGCUAUUGCUAAUUUGUUUCAGGUAAUAGCUGCACCGCAUAUAUAAAAUAUACAAAAAAUGUUUUUCCCGGCCUUCUUAAAAGUUUGAAUAAUAUUCCCCCUGUCUUGUGAUUGCAAACAAUAAUUGUUUUUGUAUCCAAGUACUUAAGCUUUUCCAUUAACUUUUUGGAUUUUGAACCAUGAUUGCCAAUGAGCAUUGAUAAUAUAGCCUAGGCCUCGGUCAUUUGAAUUUUUUGGAUAUUGUCUAAAGGCUUUCAAUGUAGUGAUUCUGUGACAACGUUGGACAAUAAUGUGUACAAGCUGGAUUCAGCAGAUUUCUAACAUGUGUUGAUUAUUACUAAUUAUGGAUUUACUGGUAUAGCAAGAAAUUACAGGCCCGAGGUCUUAAAGUUUGGGUGUCAUCACUUUUCUGGUCUACUUGCAAUCUUUUCUUCUUACUACCUCUUCUAGCAGUGUGUAGUUCCACUUUGCUAUUAAAUGAGCAAGUUAAUGACUGUUUAGGGGAUUGAGAUCUGACAAGUCUUGCUACUUUUGAUGGGUUUGAUAGGUUUGAUGAGUGCUUAAGUGAUAUUAAUCACCAAACUUAUGUAUAUGCAUUUUGAUGUGUUGAUUAUUUAGCAUAGUUGCUGCAUAACAAAUAUUAGUUAAAGGAUGAGAUCUUCUAAAAGAAGUCAGAAAUGUAAAAGCCAAUGUCAAAGUGGAUUUGAUCAAAAAGAGAUUCGCAUGCUGAUUAUUACUUUUUUGUGCAGAAAAAAUGUGAUCUCAAACAUCCCCUGGCAAUGAGAUAUAUCGCAGGGCACAUUGUCAAUGUUUUAGAUAUGUUUACAUGUUUAGCUGAUCUGCAAAUUCCUUUACGUCUUGGUUUCUGUCUCAUGUGAUUAUAUUCUCAGCGUUUGGAACUUGGAAUUGCAUAGCUUACCGCCAACACAAUUAUACAACUUCUUUUACUCAGUGAAUGAUGCUACACUUGAGACUUUCAUUAUGAUAUUUAUCUUGAGACACAUGUUCCCCAGUUUUAUAACUGGUAUAUUUGGCCUUGCUUUGUAUUUUUAAAUAUUACUGUUCAAUGGACUUAUACUAAACCCUUGCUUAUAAACAAGUACUCUUCAUCUGUUUGUUUGUUUAACUAUAUGACAUUUUACAUGUUUUUAUAGGUAGAUGGGAAAAAGAAUAAGGUUUAUGGGCAGAAUCUUUGUUAUCUGGAAAAAUUGUUUCUUGAUUACAAAACACUAUAUUAUAACGUCGAUUCACAAUAACUUAAUUGAUCAGCGCUCGGAGUCUCCUUUCUAAUCAAGGCUGUGGAGUGUGGAGGCCUAGGGCCUGAGCAUAUAAGGAUAUUCACAAUAAUUUUUUUUUUUUAUGAAUUUAUUUUCAUAGAUAUUUGUGUGUAGUUCCUUAAAUUGGGAAUACGGCUCGAGAGGAUAAGGGAUUGUUUGGUUGUUUAGUGUGAUUGGUAUUUUACUAGAUCAGAGAGUUUAUUACCACAAGCAUCCUAUGCAUUAACACUUGUCAGCAGCUGAAUUCCUGACAUAACACAUGAAUUCAGAAGACAUGACACAUGAAUUCAGUAUUUGGAAUUUGAUUGAAAUUCUGAAUGAUUUAUUGUUUACCAGAGGUUAUAACCACUACUUGUAUAUGGUAUCGGGUGUGUCCAUCUCCGGAAGAUCUAAUUGGCGUUAUAUGUUAAAUUUUCAAUAAAUAUCUCCGGAAGAUCUAAUUGGCGUUAUAUGUUAAAUUUUCAAUAAAUAUCUCCGGAAGAUCUAAUUGGCGUUAUAUGUUAAAUUUUCAAUAAAUAUCUGGAUGUGUAUUUUUGAUUAUCGAAAGAGUUCCCAUAUUAUUAUGUCGUUUUAUUUUCCUUCACUUUUGGCAGCCCCAAGUGAAAGUGAUGACUAUUGGUACUUGAGUUUUUUUGGCUGAAAUCACUAAUAUAAUUGUUACACUACAACAAAACUGGCAUCAGACAACACUAGUCACACAACGGACGCUGGAAAAAGUGUUGGCCGAAACAAAGACACAACACUUUAUUUUCGUCCUCGAAAAACUAUUGUCUAACACCUACGACCUACAACGGUUAAAAAACUGUUGUCUAAUAAAUUUAAUCAGACAACGGUCUCUUAACUGUGGUAUUGUGUAAUGAUGCACGUUAGACAACUGUUUUUAGAGCCGAUGUGUGAAGAAACUUCAGACAAUAUUCCGAGAAACCGUUGUUGUAAUGAGACAAGUGUUUUAUUUGUUGUGUUGUUUACGAAAAGAUCAGACAAGGGUUCCAUAGAGUGUUGUGUGACUGGGAAGCUAACAUACAAGUGUUUUUGUUAGCAUCGUAUCAUGGCCUUAUAGACAAGCCUUUAGCUAGUAAAACGUUGUCUGACUGAAUGACUUAUAAGAAAAUAAAUGUACAUAAAAGAGUGCAAACAUUCAAAAGUCCUAACCAAAGUUACAAAUAUAUAUUCAUUUUCUUAGUAGUCAUAGGCUUUUCUAGCAUUAGAUCAAGUAUUGAUCAAGGAAAUGCGAAUUUUUAACUCAUAAAAAUGAAAGUUUAUUAUACAACGGUUUUCUUCCCAUAAAUCGUUGUGUCAUUUUCAAUGAUACAACUUAGAUGCUUAUAAAAACCGUUGUGUGUUAGACACUACGGGACAAAAAAUACCUUUUUAUAAUAAGACAAAAUUUACAAUUAACAAGUAAUGUUAAAAAAACAUACAAAAUGAAUAUAAAAAAUUUAGAUUUUUUUUAUACAUGACUAAUAUUGUUAGUUCUCGACAUCCGUACGGUUAGAUCAUCGAAAAAAAUAUUUAAAAAUUAAUAUUAUGCUCAUCUUAUACAUAACAAAGAUUNNNNNNNNNNNNNNNNNNNNNNNNNNNNNNNNNNNNNNNNNNNNNNNNNNNNNNNNNNNNNNNNNNNNNNNNNNNNNNNNNNNNNNNNNNNNNNNNNNNNNNNNNNNNNNNNNNNNNNNNNNNNNNNNNNNNNNNNNNNNNNNNNNNNNNNNNNNNNNNNNNNNNNNNNNNNNNNNNNNNNNNNNNNNNNNNNNNNNNNNNNNNNNNNNNNNNNNNNNNNNNNNNNNNNNNNNNNNNNNNNNNNNNNNNNNNNNNNNNNNNNNNNNNNNNNNNNNNNNNNNNNNNNNNNNNNNNNNNNNNNNNNNNNNNNNNNNNNNNNNNNNNNNNNNNNNNNNNNNNNNNNNNNNNNNNNNNNNNNNNNNNNNNNNNNNNNNNNNNNNNNNNNNNNNNNNNNNNNNNNNNNNNNNNNNNNNNNNNNNNNNNNNNNNNNNNNNNNNNNNNNNNNNNNNNNNNNNNNNNNNNNNNNNNNNNNNNNNNNNNNNNNNNNNNNNNNNNNNNNNNNNNNNNNNNNNNNNNNNNNNNNNNNNNNNNNNNNNNNNNNNNNNNNNNNNNNNNNNNNNNNNNNNNNNNNNNNNNNNNNNNNNNNNNNNNNNNNNNNNNNNNNNNNNNNNNNNNNNNNNNNNNNNNNNNNNNNNNNNNNNNNNNNNNNNNNNNNNNNNNNNNNNNNNNNNNNNNNNNNNNNNNNNNNNNNNNNNNNNNNNNNNNNNNNNNNNNNNNNNNNNNNNNNNNNNNNNNNNNNNNNNNNNNNNNNNNNNNNNNNNNNNNNNNNNNNNNNNNNNNNNNNNNNNNNNNNNNNNNNNNNNNNNNNNNNNNNNNNNNNNNNNNNNNNNNNNNNNNNNNNNNNNNNNNNNNNNNNNNNNNNNNNNNNNNNNNNNNNNNNNNNNNNNNUUUUUUUAUACGUGACUAAUAUUGUUAGUUCUUGACAUCCGUACGGUUAGAUCAUUGAAAUAAAUAUUUAUGAAUUAAUACACAACUAAUUGAAUACAUAACAAAGAUUAUAUCUACUACUUUUUAAAUUGUAAACAUAAAACACAUACUAAUACAUGCGUCCGAAGUACAAAAUUGUCUCGGUUUUACACAUGAACAAUACAUAUUUGCAUAUAUACAUAACAUAAAUAUAUUUUUUUAAUACAAAGAGUGCAAAAACAAGAAUUAAUCAAGGAAAUGCGAAUUUUUAACUCAUAAAAAUUACCUUUUUAUAAUAAGAAAAAUUUUANACGAUUGACUAGUGUUGUUAAAAACCGUUGUCUGAUGCUGUUUUUGUUGUAGUGUUAUAUUAAAUUCUUGUGCUAAAACUUGUAUGGUUUGCCCCGCCCGCGGCUUCAAACAGCCAACAAGGUAAGCUAUUAUACUCAGGGGACCGAAAAAGGUAACAAAUGCAUAAACGAUUAGCUUUUCUUCUUUGCUGCAUAGUUUUUUUUUUUUUGUCAGGUUCUUUGCUGCAUAGUUAAUAACAAAUAACAUGAUCUCAAAAAAAAAAAAGAGGCGCGUACUAUGAAUGUAAAAAUAACAAUUUCAAUACUCUUUUUCACUAUAGAAAAACAAAAUUAUUGUGCUAGAUCUUUGCCCGUGCCUUGCACGGGCUUUAAAGCUAGUUUUUUAUUAAUAUGUGAAACUCCAAUAUAUAUUAUUAUACGAUAUAUUAUGAAAACACUAUGUUUUGUAAUGUUCAUCUUAUCCUACCAGAAAAAUUACAUCGCUAACAAAAUUAUAUCAAUUUUAUUUUAUAAACUCAAAUAAUUUAAUUUAUGAAACAACUCUAUGAGAUUCUUAUCAUGAGUUAGAAUUCAAAUAAAUAAAGAGUUCAUAUUGAUAAGUGGAAUUGAUGUGCAAGUAAGGGGUAUAAAAAAAUCUCAAAAUAACUCCAAAAAGCACAUGACAUGUUUGAUUUGAUAGAACUGGUACAUAAACAGGGGGACCAUUAUAUUUAUAAGCAAGUGACCAACAAUAGUUUACUACUGAUAUUUUGUGAUAUUUUUUGUGAUAUUUUUUGAGACCUUUAACAUUAUUCUGUGAAGUGGUAUACUACUGUUACUAGUUCUGAAACUUCAAACAAAGUAGGCGCAACAUUGUAAGAGUGAUUAAUAAAGUUGAGAAACAGUGUGUACAUUGAGCAGUAUGACAAUCAGGUUCAGCAUAUAAUACAAUCAGAUUCACAAUCAGGUUCACGAGAAACAUGCUGCAUUCCAAAAAGCCUUAUUAUCUUCUUCACUAAAUAACAAGGCAAAUACAGCAUAUAAAUACAAGUUAUAAGUACAAGUGUGGUAUUAGAUUCAUAACCCAGUUGAGGAGAAACAUGGCACACUUUGUAAGGCCUUCUCACCUUCUUCUCUUUGUUUUCUUUCUCUCAUCACUCGAAUCCAUUCUUGCAACAAGACAAGAGGGGGAAGCUCUUGUGAAGUGGAAGAAUAGCCUAGCCCCUUCUUCUUUUCUCCACUCUUGGUCACUCACCAAUCUCGAAAAUCUUUGUAAAUGGACUGGCAUUACUUGUAACUCUGCAGGUUCAGUCUCUGAGAUUAACCUUUGUGAGAAACAACUUGAUGGAAUGCUGUCCGAGUUCGGUUUCACUUCAUUUCCAAAUCUCAAGAAUCUCACCCUGGCAGACAACUUCUUCUCAGGUCCAAUACCACCAGCCAUUGAGAAUUUAACACAGCUUCAAUAUCUUGAUUUAAGCAUGAAUAGUCUUAAUGGUCCCAUUCCGUUCCAGGUUAGCCAUCUUCAGAGCUUGCUCAUCUUGAACCUGUCACAGAAUGCAUUGCAAGCUCCAAAUUGGUCCCAUUUCUCUCCCAUGCCUUUCUUGCGCAUCCUCGACCUUAGUUUUAAUAAUCUUGUGUCGAAAUUCCCAGAAUUUAUAUCCAAUUCUCAUAGCCUGACUCACCUUAACCUUUCAAAUAACAAGUUUACUGGUCAUCUUGUGCAUAAAUUUACCAAUCUACAAAAUCUUGAAACCCUCUACCUUCAGAUCAAUUCUUUUGAGGGGCCGUUUCCACCAGAUAUAGUCCAGCUUUCCAAAUUAAAACGACUCUCCCUGUCAUGUAACAAAUUUUCAGGUUCAAUUCCCAAUGACGUAAGGUUGCUUUUUGGUCUUGAAUCCCUAAAUUUAGGCAACAAUUCCUUUGAAGGACCGCUUCCACCAGAUAUAUUCAAGCUUUCAAAGUUAAAACGACUUGUUCUUUGGAGUAAUAAGUUUUCAGGUUCUGUUUCCAAUGAUAUAGGUUUGCUUUCUGAGCUUGAAACCCUCCAUCUUUACUCUAAUUUUUUUGAGGGGCCACUUCCGCCAAAUUUAUUCAAGCUCUCCAAACUAAAAGAUCUCACCCUGUCAAGUAACAAAUUUUCAGGUUCAAUUCACAAUGAUAUAAGGUUACUUUGUGAUCUUGAAGACCUAUAUUUAGCUAACAAUUCCUUUGAAGGACCGCUUCCACCAGAUAUAUUCAAGCUUUCAAGAUUAAAACGUCUUUUUCUUUAGAGUAAUAAGUUUUCAGGUUCUGUUUCCAAUGAUAUAGGUUUGCUUUCUGAGCUUGAAAGCCUCGAUCUUAACUCCAAUUUUUUUGAGGGGCCGCUUCCGCCAAAUGUAUUCAAGCUCUCCAAACUAAAGAUUCUUUCCCUUUAUGAGAAUAACUUUUCAGGUUUUAUUUCUAAGGAUAUAGGUUUGCUUUCUGGACUUGAAACCCUCUAUCUUGACUCUAAUUUUUUUGAGGGUCCGCUUCCCCCACAUAUAUUUAGGCUGUCCAAAUUAAGAGAUCUGGACCUCUCAUACAGUAGAAAUUUAUUUGAAGGAAGUAUUCCUAUUGGACUGGGACUCUUGACUAACCUCAGGUACUUAGAUCUAUAUUCCAAUAAUCUCAGUGGCUAUAUUCCAUCUGACAUUGGAAACCUGAAGCUACUAGAAGGUCUUAUUCUCGGUUCUAAUAAAUUGACUGGACCAGUUUCAAAGAUCAUUUCUAAUCUCACAAAUCUUAUAUAUCUUGAUGUAAGUGAUAAUAGUCUUAGUGGAAAUAUUCAGAGUGACUUGUGGAAAUAUAACGAUCAUCCAACUUUGGAAUACAUCAAUUUAAGUGGGAACCAUUUUACGGGUAUAGUUUUUCUCUAUAGAUCUUUUCCUUUUCUCAUAUGUAACUAAGCUGGUAAUCUGAUUAUUGCAGUUUUACCAAAGUUUCAACAAUCUUGACAGGUGAGCUUCCAACAACAAUUUGCAAUGUCACUUCCCUUUCGGUUCUUGAUUUGUCAAAUAAUGCGUUAAGUGGUGCACUUCCAAACUGUUUCGGGAAUCUUGCUGAUGGAUUGCUUUACAUUAAUCUUGCUAAUAAUCAGUUUCGAGGAACAAUACCAACUACUUUCUCCAGGAGUUGUCAGCUGACAUAUCUAAACAUGGAUAAUAAUGAGUUUGAAGGAUUGGUGCCCCCAUCUUUGGCGAACUGCAAGCACUUGAAAAUUCUUGAUAUUGGCAAUAAUAAAAUAGGUGGUACAUUCCCGUCAUGGCUUUAUGUACUUGGAGAGCUAGAAGUCCUUGUCUUGCGAUCAAAUAAACUCUAUGGUACAAUAAGUGGAAGGAGCAUAGAAGAUCCCUUCCCCAAGUUGCGGAUUGUGGAUCUGUCCGAUAAUCAAUUCACAGGCCAUUUGCCAAUUCAAUACUUUAAGAAUAUGAAAUCAACUGAUAAUAUGUAUAAUUAUCUGAAUUCCACAGGAGGAAUAUAUUUCACUUAUGAAGCAGCAGUCUCAUUAACUGUGAAGGGAACAGAGUAUGAAGUGACAAAUAACCUUCAUAUUUACACAGCUAUUGAUCUGUCGUGCAACAAAUUUCAGGGUGAAAUUCCAAAAAUUAUUGGAGAGCUUAGAUGGCUUGCAUUGCUCAAUUUAUCGCAUAAUAGUCUGACAGGACAUAUCCCAUCAUUUCUGAGAAAUAUGAAAGAACUCCAAUCUUUAGAUUUGUCCUCAAAUCAACUGACAGGGGCCAUUCCACCUCAGUUAACUGCAUUGACAUUUCUAAAGGUCUUAAAUCUCUCGAAAAACCAUCUCAGUGGAGAGAUUCCUCAGGAAGGACAGUUCAGCACAUUCAACAAUGAUUCUUAUCUAGGAAACUCCGCGUUAUGUGGAUUACGUCUGACAAAGAAAUGUGCAAACACAGCAGGGAUUCCUCAGAAAGGACAGUUCAGCACAUUCAACAAUGAUUCUUAUAUAGGAAACUCCGCGUUAUGUGGAUCACCUUUGACGAAGAGAUGUGCAAACACAGCAUCACCUCCACAACAAGUCGGAAAUGGUGAUGAAGAUGAUGCGGGAGAUGAAUUGAGAUGGGAAGCAAUCGUGAUGGGAUAUGGAUGUGGACUGAUAUGUGGAUUGUCAUCUGCGUACAUUGUUCUCAAACUAGGAAGGCCUUGGUGGGUUGUGAGAUAUGUCGAAGUACUGCAACUGAAGUUGAUGAAAAGAUAUGCUUGAAGAAUGGAACUGGCCGAUCAAAACGAACUCGAAAGCAGUUGUCCUUGUGGACAUUUCUGAACCAGUAGUGUACUAGCUGCAUAAGUAUUUGGUAUUAUGUAAUAAUCCACAUAUUCAAUAUCACACUCUUCCUGUGAGGAAACAAAUAUGGAGAAACAUUUCUAUUUACAAAACUUUUACCAUUAUACACUCUUAUAGUACUGGUUAAUAGUUUGUUGUUCAGCCUAGUCCUAAACUGAAAUUAUCAGUUCUAUGUGAGUAUGCUUUCAAAUAAGAAUUAGGUGAUCUGCCUAGUCCAAAACUACUCUAAUACUAUAUCGCUGGUAGUCUUUCAGUUCAUCCUAUUGUAUACAAUAGUUUCUUCCUUUGACACAAAAAUGUCUGCAGUCAGUGUCACCACCACAGGAAGUCGAAAAUGGUGAUGAAGAUUGAUUUGCGGAUUGUCUUAUGGGUACAUUUUUUUCAAAAAAGGAAGGCCUUGGUGGUUUGUGAGAUACAUCGAAGUGCUGCAACUUAAGUUGAUGUUACCAAGAAUGAAAAAUAUUGUUCGACCAAGAUCAACAACUUGAAAAUGUGUUCUGAAUCUGUAAUAAUAUUAAAAUAUUAAAAUAUUAUUCAUUUAACAAUAUCGUCCAAUCAAUUUAAUUGAUUAUCAUUUAAUCAAUAUAUAUAGAUGGAUAUUAAUUGUCUUCCCUAGCUCCAACCAAUGAUGAAAUAACCUCCCUAUAAAUCUAUUGAGUCAAAAUUGCAAACAACACUUUCAAAACAUAGGUGCCGAAUAGUCCUUAUUUUAAAUUAAUCAGAAUUGAAUAUUUGAUGGCGCUAAAAAAAUCUGUUGAAAUUAGCAGUUUAUAAGGCAUAUAAAUAGAAGUGUGCGUUACUUUAAGGAUUCAUGAUCAAGUUGAGGAGAAAUAUGCACAGUAUAUAAAGCCUCAUCAUCUUUUUCUCUUUGUUUUCUUUCUCUCAUUACUCCCAUCCAUUCUUACAACACUAGCUGAAACAAGACGAGAGGGAGAAGCUCUUGUGAAAUGGAAGAAUAGCCUAGCCCCUUCUUCUUUUCUCGACUCUUGGUCCCUCACCAAUCUCGAUAAUCUUUGUAACUGGACUGGCAUUACUUGUAACUCUGCAGGUUCAGUCUCUAAGAUUAACCUUUUUGAGAAACAACUUGAUGGAAUGUUGUCCGAGUUUGGUUUCACCUCAUUUCCACAUCUCAACAAUCUCACCCUUGCAGACAACUACUUCUCGGGUCCGAUACCACCAGCCAUUGAGAAUUUAACACAGCUUCAAUUUCUUGAUUUGAGCAAUAAUUAUCUAGAUGGUCCCAUUCCUUUCCAGGUUAGCAAUCUUCAGAGGUUGCUCAUCUUAAACCUGUCACAGAAUGCAUUGCAAGCUCCAAAUUGGUCCCAUUUCUCUCCCAUGCCUUUUUUGCGCAUCCUCAACCUCAGUAGCAAUCCUCUAGCGUCGAAAUUCCCAAAUUUCAUAUCCAAUUCUCAUGGCCUGACUCACCUUAGCCUUAAUUAUAACGAGUUUACUGGUGAUUUAGUACGUGAAUCAAUAUUUGCCAAUCUGCAUAAUCUUGAAGUCCUCGGUCUUGUUGACAAUUCUUUUGAGGGGCCAUUUCCCCCGGAUAUAUUCAGGCUCUCCAAAUUAAAACGUCUCUCCCUGUCAGGUAACAAAUUUUCAGGUUCAGUUCCCAAUGACAUAAGGUUGCUUUGUGAUCUUCAAUCUCUAUAUUUAGCUAACAAUUCCUUUGAAGGACCGCUUCCACCAAAUAUAUUCAAGCUUGCAAAAUUAAAAGAUCUUGCUCUUUGGGGUAAUAAGUUUUCAGGUUCUGUUUCCAAUGAUAUAGGUUUGCUUUCUGUGCUUGAAAUUCUCAAUAUUCACUCUAAUUUUUUUGAGGGGCCCCUUCCGCCAAAUAUAUUCAAGCUCUCCAAAAUAAGGUUUCUUUACCUCGGGGGUAAUAACUUUUCUGGUUCCGUUUCCAAUGAGAUAGGUUUGCUUUCUGAGCUUGAAUCCCUAUAUCUUGGUUCUAAUGUUUUUGAGGGGCCGCUUCCACCAAAUAUAUUCAAGCUUUCCAAAUUAAAAUGGCUUGACCUCGCAGACAAUAGAAAUUUAUUUGAAGGAAGUAUUCCUAUUGGACUGGGACUCUUGACUAACCUCAGCUACUUAGAUCUAAGUUCCAGUAAUCUCAGUGGCUAUAUUCCAUCUGUCAUUGCAAACCUGAAGCUACUAGUAUUUCUUGAUCUCAGUUCUAAUCAAUUGACUGGACCACUUUCGAAGAUCGUUUCUAAUCUCACAAAUCUUAUACUUCUUGGUGUGGAUUAUAAUAGUCUUAGUGGAAAUAUUCAGAGUGAUUUGUGGAAGAACUCUAUAUCCUUACGUUACAUUGAUUUUGAAAAUAAUUAUUUUUCUGGAAACAUUCCUGAGGAAUAUAACGAUCAUCCAACUUUGGAAUACAUCAAUUUAAGUGGGAACUAUUUUACAGGUAUAUUUUCUUAAUAUAUCUUUUCCUUUUGUCAUAUAUAUGUAACUAAGCUAGUAAUCUGAUUAUUGCAGUUUUACCAAAGUUUCAACAAUCUUGACAGGUGAGCUUCCAACAACAAUUUGCAAUGUCACCUCCCUUUCGGUUCUUGUUUUGUCAAAUAAUAAAUUAAGUGGUGCACUUCCAAACUGUUUCGGGAAUCUUGCUGAUGGAUUGCUUUACAUUAAUCUUGCUAAUAAUCAGUUUCAAGGAACAAUACCAACUACUUUCUCCAGGAGUUGUCAGUUGACAUAUCUAAACAUGGUUAAUAAUGAGUUUGAAGGAUUGAUGCCCCCAUCUUUAGCGAACUGUAAGCACUUGAAAAUUCUUGAUAUAGGCAAUAAUAAAAUAGGUGGUACAUUUCCGUCAUGGCUUUAUGCACUUGGAGAGCUAGAAGUUCUUGUCUUGCGAUCAAAUAAACUCUAUGGUACAAUAAGUGGAAGGAGCAUAGAAGAUCCCUUCCCCAAGUUGCGGAUUGUGGAUCUGUCCAACAAUCAAUUCACAGGCCAUUUGCCAAUUCAAUACUUUAAGAAUAUGAAAUCAAAUGAUAAUUUGUAUCGUUAUCUGAAUUCCACAGGAGAAAUAUAUAUCUCUUAUGAAGCAGCAGUCUCAUUAACUGUGAAGGGAACAGAGUAUGAAGUAGCAAAGAACCUUCAUAUUUACACAGCCAUUGAUCUGUCGUGCAACAAAUUUCAGGGAGAAAUUCCAAAGGUUACCGGAGAGCUUAGAUGGCUUGCAUUGCUCAAUUUAUCUCAUAAUAGUCUAACAGGACCUAUCCCAUCAUUGCUGGGAAAUAUGAAAGAACUCCAAUCUUUAGAUUUGUCCUCAAAUCAACUGACAGGGGCUAUUCCACCUCAGCUAACUGCAUUGACAUUUCUAGAGGUCUUGAACCUCUCGGGAAACCAUCUUAGUGGAGAGAUUCCUCAGAAAGGACAGUUCAGCACAUUCAACAAUGAUUCUUAUCUAGGAAACUCCGCGUUAUGUGGAUCACCUUUGACGAAGAAAUGUGGAAACACUGUAUCACCUCCACAGGAAGUCGGAAAUGGUGAUGAAGAUGAUGCGGGUGAUGAAUGGACAUGGGAAGCAAUCGUGAUGGGAUAUGGAUGUGGACUGAUAUGUGGAUUGUCAUCUGCGUACAUUGUUCUCAAACUAGGAAAGCCUUGGUGGUUUGUGAGAUAUAUCGAAGUACUGCAACAGAAGUUGAUGAAAAGAUAUGCAUGAAGAAAGGUACUGGUAGAUCAAGAUGAAAAGAUAUGAAGAAGUAUUUGGUAUUAUGUAAUAAUCCGUUUGGUCGGGACUCAAAAUGAUUUCUCUUGCUUCAGGGGUAUUAAUAUUAACCUUGCUAUCUUGUUCAAUGUUAAUGCAAAUUAAAAAGAAUAUAAAAGCAAAAAAUUUGCAUCAAACACCUGUUGUACCAACAUGCAUCCAUUAAUUUGCUUUCAUCUAUUAAGUAACAAUUUAAGAGCGCUUCCACUCUGUUUAAGCAUGGAGAUUACACAAAGAAGGCAAGUCCAUGGAUUAACACGUAGUCCACAUCUAUGCUACGAACAAUUCACAUUGAUCUUAUAUCUGUUCAACAGUCUCCCGAAGAUAGGCCAUAAAUGUCAUCUGUGGCUCUUAUGUUUGUCAGUAAAGGAGAAUCUCUGAUGCCUAUAACCUGGUUUUCUUACAAGAUGCCCAGGUUAUCAUGGCCAUGCAGAAAAAUGCCCAAAAAUGAAUAGCUCAGGUCUCCCCAAGCCUUCCAGGACUCAUUCCAAGUCUUCGGAGGACCACUGCCUCCCCCUUUCAAAGAUGUGAUUGUAGCUCGAAAGUGAUAUAAAUUAUUUUCCCCACAUUAAAAAUAAAAAAUCAGAUUAAAUUAAUCAAUAAUAAAUUAAGGAUGAAAUCCAAAUUAAUCCUAAAUUUUGAUAAUAUAUAAAAAUUAUAAUUAUAAAUUAUAUAACCAAAUCAGAAUUGAAUUAACUUACUUGGCACUAGAAUUGCUAAAGACAGUAUAAUAAUUUAAUUGAUGAAAAGUCAAAGUCUUCUAAUAAAUCCAUAAAGAAUAUGAUAAUAUGAAAAUUAUAAUUGAAAAAUCAAAAUCAAUAGUGUAUUGGAAUAGUGUUCACACACUUAUAUAUCAAAAUUUGUGGUCCAAAAACUAUAGCACAAUAUCCUAAAUACAUCACAUUAAAUAAUAGCACAAAAAUAUUCAAUAAAUAAUUGAUUUCAUUCAUAAAUUUGUUAUUUUAAAAACUAAUAAUUUGGUUGAUGUUAACCUAUAUUUUAUAUAUAAUUUCGUCUUAUUUUAUUUUACUAGAAACAAUAUUUUUAUAAUAUUUAUUACAUUAAAUAUAUUAAAAGAUAUAAUUUUAUUAAAAAAAUUGAAUAAAAUUAAAAGGAUAAGUCUCGGCCUCUCCAAGUCUACAAGACUCAUUUCAAGUCCACCGAGGGCCUCAACCAUUGAGAGAUGUGAAAGUAGCUUGAGAGUGAUAUAAAUUAAUUAAAUUAGUUAAUAAUGAAUCAAGACUAAUCAUGAAUUAUGAUAAUAAUUAAAUAAAUUAUAAAAUUAAAUUAUACAAAUAACACUAAACCUUAGUUACUUUAUUGGUAAAAUAAAUAUAAUAUAAUAAUUAAAUUGAUGAAAAAUCAAAAUCAUCUAAUAAAUUCACAAAAAAUAUAUGAUCAUUAGUAUAUUAUAUUAGUAUCCACACACUUAUAUUUCAAAUCUAUCCUCCAAAAUUAUCAUCUCGAUAAACUAGCCGCAUAAAAUAAAAAUUUAACGAUAUUAGAUAUUUAGCUAUUUUCAUUAUAUAAUUUUUCCACACUAAAUAACAAAAUAUCUUUAUCAAAUUAUUAUUUAUGAAUUAAAUAUUCAAGUUAUAAUUCCAGCAUGCAGCGUAUAAAUAGAAGUGUGCAGUAUGAUAUCAGAUUCAUAACCCAGUUGAGGAGAAACAUGGCACACUCUGUAAAGCCUUCUCACCUUCUUCUCUUUGUUUUCUAUCUCUCUUAACUUGAAUACAUUCUUGCAACAACACAAGAGGGAGAAGCUCUUGUGAAAUGGAAGAAUAGCCUAGCCCCUUCUUCUUUUCUCGACUCUUGGUCACUCACCAAUCUCGAUGAUCUUUGUAACUGGACUGGCAUCACUUGUAACUCUGCAGGUUCAGUCUCUCAGAUCAACCUUUUCGAAAAACAACUUGAUGGAAUGCUGUCCGAGUUUGGUUUCACUUCAUUUCCGAAUCUCAACAAUCUCACCCUCGCAUACAACUUCUUCUCGGGUCCGAUACCACCGGCCAUUGAGAAUUUAACACAGCUUCGGUAUCUUGAUUUAAGCUUUAAUUCUCUCCAUGGUCCCAUUCCGUUCCAGGUUAGCCAUCUUCAGAGCUUGCUCAUCUUAAACCUGUCACAGAAUGCAUUGCAAGCUCCAAAUUGGUCCCAUUUCUCUCCCAUGCCUUUUUUGCGCAUCCUCAACCUCAUUAGCAAUCCUCUUGCGUCGAAAUUCCCAAAUUUUAUAUCCAACUCUCAUAGCCUGACUCACCUUAGCCUUAAUUUUAAUGAGUUUACUGGUGAUUUAGUACGUGAAUCAGUAUUUGCCAAUCUGCAUAAUCUUGAAUUGCUCAGUCUCGUUGAAAAUUCUUUUGAGGGGCCAUUUCCGCCGGAUAUAUUCAGGCUUUCCAAAUUAAAACAUCUUCACCUGUCAAGUAACAAAUUUUCAGGUUCAAUUUCCAAUGACAUAAGGUUGCUUUGUGAUCUUGAAUCCCUAUAUUUAGGCAACAAUUCCUUCGAAGGACCCCUUCCAUCAAAUAUAUUCAAGCUUUCAAAAUUAAAAAAUCUUGUUAUUGGGAGUAAUAAGUUUUCGGGUUCUGUUUCCAACGAUAUAGGUUUGCUUUCUGAGCUUGAAAGCCUCUAUCUUGACUCCAAUUUUUUUGAGGGGCCGCUUCCGUCAAAUAUAUUCAAGCUCUCCAAAUUAAGGAUUCUUUCCCUUUGGCAUAAUAACUUUUCAGGUUCUAUUUCUAAGGAUAUAGGUUUGCUUUCUGGACUUGAAACCCUCUUUCUUGACUCUAAUUUUUUUGAGGGUCCGCUUCCCCCGCAUAUAUUUAGGCUCUCCAAAUUAAGAGAUCUGGGUCUCUCAGACAAUAGAAAUUUAUUUGAAGGGAGUAUUCCUAUUGGACUGGGACUCUUGACUAACCUCAGGUACUUAGAUCUAUAUUCCAAUAAUCUCGGUGGUUAUAUUCCAUCUGACAUUGGAAACCUGAAGCUACUAGAAGUUCUUGAUCUCAGUUCUAAUCAAUUGACUGGACCGCUUUUAAAGAUUGUUUCUAAUCUCACAAAUCUUAUGUUUCUUGAUGUAAGACAAAAUAGUCUUAGUGGAAAUAUUCAGAGUGACUUGUGGAAAUAUAACGAUCAUCCAACUUUGGAAUUCAUCAAUUUAAGUGGGAACCAUUUUACGGGUAUAGUUUUUCUCUAUAAAUCUUUUCUUUUGUCAUAUGUAACUAAGCUAGUAAUCUGAUUAAUUGCAGUUUUACCAAAGUUUCAACAAUCUUGACAGGUGAGCUUCCAACAACAAUUUGCAAUGUCACUUCCCUUUCAAUUCUUGAUUUGUCAAAUAAUGGAUUAAGUGGUGCACUUCCAAACUGUUUCGGGAAUCUUGCAGAUAGAUUGCUUUUCAUUAAUCUUGCUAAUAAUCAGUUUCGAGGAACAAUACCAACUACUUUAUCCAAAAGUUGUCAGCUGACAUGUCUAAACAUGGAUAAUAAUGAGUUUGAAGGAUUGUUACCCCCAUCUUUGGCGAACUGUAAGCACUUGAGAAUUCUUGAUAUUGGCAACAAUAAAAUAGGUGGCACAUUUCCGUCAUUGCUUUAUGUACUUGGAGAGCUAGAAGUCCUUGUCUUGCGAUCAAAUAAACUCUGCGGUACAAUAAGUGCAAGGAGCAUAGAAGAUCCCUUCCCCAAGUUGCGGAUUGUGGAUCUGUCCAACAAUCAGUUCACAGGCCAUUUGCCAAUUCAAUACUUCAAGAAUAUGAAAUCAACUGAUAAUUUGUAUUGGUAUCGUAUUUCCACAGGAGAAUUAUUUUUCCAAUAUGAAGCAGCAGUCUCAUUAACUGUGAAGGGAAGAGAGUAUGAAGUAGCAAAUAACCUUCAUAUUUACACAGCCAUUGAUCUGUCGUGCAACAAAUUUCAGGGAGAAAUUCCAACGGUUACUGGAGAGCUUAGAUGGCUUGCAUUGCUCAAUUUAUCUCAUAAUAGUCUAACAGGACCUAUCCCAUCAUUGCUGAGAAAUAUGAAAGAACUCCAAUCUUUAGAUUUGUCCUCGAAUCAACUGACAGGGGCUAUUCCACCUCAGUUAUCUGCAUUGACAUUUCUAGAGGUCUUGAACCUCUCGAAAAACCAUCUUAGUGGAGAGAUUCCUCAGAAAGGACAGUUCAGCACAUUCAACAAUGAUUCUUAUCUAGGAAACUCCGCGUUAUGUGGAUCACCUUUGACGAAGAAAUGUGCAAACACAGCAUCACCUCCACAAGAAGUCGGAAAUGGUGAUGAAGAUGAUGCUGGAGAUGAAUUGACAUGGGAAGCAAUCGUGAUGGGAUAUGGAUGUGGACUGAUAUGUGGUUUGUGAGAUAUAUCGAAGUACUGCAACAGAAGUUGAUGAAAAGAUAUGCAUGAAGAAUGAUACUGGCCGAUCAAGACGAACUUGAAAGUUUGUUGUCCUUGUGGACAUUUCAGCUGAACCAGUAGUGUACUAUUCUCUUUGUGACUGCAUAAGUAUUUUGUAUUGUGUAAUGUUCUGUUUGGGCUUAAAUCAUAAUGAUUUUUCUUGCUUCAGGGGUAUUAAUAUAAAACCGUUUGGUCGGGACUCAUAAUGAUUUCUCUUGCUUCAGGGGUAUUAAUAUCAUCCUUGCUAUCUUGAACAAUGAUAAUGCAAAUUAAAAAGAAUGAAAAAACAAAAAUAUUGCAUCAAACACCUGUUGUACCAAGAUCCAUUAAUUUGCUUUCAUCUCUUACGCAACAAUUUAACAGCACUUCCACACUGUUUGAAAGAUUAUCAUAAAUUCGAGUUUUCCUCUCCAGCACCAAAUCCAAAUUAAUAUACAAUGCCACACAUUCCAGUCUCAGCUUCAGCUCCCAGGGUAGCAUUCAUUUAGCCAAGCACGACAGUGGCCGCUUACGUGCCUAACAAUAACAGUUGGGGAUUUGAGUGAACUUGCCUUGGUCCUGCCUUCAAAUGUCUGACAAUAACAGUUGGAUAUGUCGACAAAAAAAUUGUUCCUCACAGAGGAGCUAAUAGCAAUUGACUUCGAAUAAAUCCGACAGUUCUUUUCAUCCAGUUAUUAUUUCAGCAAUAUGUCUAGCAAAUAUGUAGUGCACUGGACACCAUACUACCAACACAAGUAGUAAAAGGAGAGACCAUUGUUUCGAAUGCUCGGAAAUUUGAACAGGGUUUUUUCCACCUGCCCCCUGACUUUUUACACAAACAGGUCAAGAAAAACAGAAGCCGGCUUCUGGAAAAAUGAAGCACUACUUUAUGAGUGACCAUUGUUUUGAAUGCUCGGAGAUGUGAAGUGGAUUUUUUCAGCCUGCCCCCAGACUUCUUUUUGUAAAACUAGAUUUCUUUAGCUCCGGUGUCUUAGUAUUGGAGAUUAUGAGUGACUGUAGAAAAGACUUUAAUAUGAGUGUGAGAUAUACCCCGGUGGAAACAGGACCUUGAUCCAAAGGGUCACGGGUUCAAACCUCACCUGAUCGGGUUCCACUCCACGCUCGGUCCACAUCUAUGCUGGAUUCAUAUUAAAAUGAUAAUGGAACACGGGCGUCCAUGGUUGGGGAUAUCAUAUUAAAAAGAUUAGCUGGGCACAGAUGAAUAUUUAUAUGGAUUUUAAAAACAAACUAUGACUUAAUAUAAGAAAAAUCAUUAUUUUUUAUUUUUCCGACUAAACAUUUGUUAGCCUUCUCUGGUGCCCAUCCAAAUCAUUCAGCGGGUUCUACUUUCAGCUCAUCACAAGAACAUCAUUCUGCAGGUACUUUCUUAUAUUGUUUGCCAGCGGUGACCGAGCCAGAAACUUUUUCGAGGAGGGGCCGGAAUAGAAAUAUUAUUUAAAUUUGAAAAUAUUAUAUAUCAUAUUGAAAAUAGUAUUAGUAACAAAAAUCCAUUUAUUUUAGGUUUCUAUGAGAAAACUCAGUCGUUUCAUUAAGAAAAUUUAAUUACUUAAUUACCAAACGGUUGAGGAUGAAGAUUUGAAAGAACGAGUUGCAACGGGGAGACUCAUAGACGCGACAGAAAAAAAUAGAAAAAGAUAUUGUUCAACAACCGAGUCUAUAUUAUUAAAAUUUAUGAUAAAUGAGAUAAUUUUAUUUUAUAAACUAACUAAAUACAUAUAAUAUAGUAUUAUAUGUAAUGCUACGUAAAAUUGGAUACAAGAUUUUGCACAAAAUGAUAUGAUAACUAAAGUGAAAUAUUUUAAUUGGUGCUAUUAAUGUAUAUAUACAUUUAUUACAAUUAAAACUUAACACAUAUUAUUAAUUUUGUGAAUAAAAUAUUUUUCUUAAUAAUAUAUAAGUAAAAAAAAUAAAAAUCUAGGAGGGGCUCAGGCCCCCUCUGGACCCCUCUAGCUCCGUCUGUAUACACCUAUCAUAUUAUUGACAGGUGGCUCUCUCAUAUUGCUCACAGGCGAACUCCUGCAUAUACUUUGUGAACCAAUCAUGACAAAAAUAUCAUCAUCCAAUCAAUUCGAUUAAUUAUUCUUUAAAUCAGUACAAAUAUUGUUAAAUAUAUGGAUGAUUAUCGUGUUUCCGCGAACCAAUCAUGAAAUGAAAUUACCUCUGUAUAAAUCCAUCGGAAAUAAGACAAUUAAUGGGGCCGUUUGGGCAAGCUUAAAAGAAGUGACUUCUUGCUUAAACUAGAGAAGUGGAGCAGAAGUGAGAAGUAAAUAAGUUAUUAAAGUGUUUGGAAAAGAAGCAGAAGCUGUGAGACAAAAGCUAGCAUUCUCAGCUUUUUAAAAGUGACUUCUUUACACAAACGGGUAAAAAAAGCAGAAGCCAGAAGCAGCUUCUGCUUCCGUUAAACAAACAGGCCCAAUAUCUCAAUCGAAUACACCCCGUGAGUUGUCAAACUCCUCGAAACGUAUUAAUCACUUUAGAAAUUUGUUCCACUGGCGCCAUUCAGUUCCAGAGUUGGUGGUAGGGGCCGUGCUUCUUGUGUUUCUUCUUUUCAUUAUUGACAUUGUCAUCUAGGUCCUUGCUUCUGGGCUUUGGAGAAGUAAACAAUGGAUCUAUUAGUCUUCCAUAUCGCUGAUACGCGCUAACGCGCAUUAUAGUGGAUUGAUCUUUAUUAGUGAUUUCUGUGGAGAUGCAUAAUCAUUAUAAGCUCCAAUAUAAAAUAAACCUAAUUUAAAGUUAGUAUGGGCAUUUGUGUUGAUAAUUUACGCAAUGUUAACAGGGAUUGCUCCCAAGUCUUGGACGGAUUCUUUCCAAGUCUUCUGAGGACCUAUUUGCACACUAAUUUGUCGCCAACUAAAAAUUCAACGAUAUUGCUAGCUCCCUCUACUAAUUUUUUGCGGGACGUUUUUUACUUUUAACACAUAUCUUUAGAUAGAAUUAGUAUUGUAAAAAGCGGGAAUCAGACUUAAUCGGUGAAGUCACAGAACAACGAUUAAUCGAUGAUUAAUUGGAUUGAUUGGGUAUCAAUCGGAUGAUUAAUGAAAUAAUCGGAUAUUUAAUCCGUUCGACGAGUUACGGAACAGGGAUUAAUCGUGAUUAAUCACCGACUUUUAGAACAGAGGAUAGGAUAAUAAAAUUAUUAUUUUUGAUUAUUUUUUUUGUGAAUAAAAAUUUUGAUUAUAUAUUUUUAUUAAAAAAGAAUUUAAAAUAAUAUUUUUAACUAACCGGUCCAAACAGCUAAAAGUGUGUGCCCAAGCGUCAUAUAAAAACGGAGGGAGCGAGCAUGUGCUGACUAACGGUUCAACUAACAGUUUACAAGUACUCCAUCUGUCCCAUUUAGUCCUAUUUAAUUAUAUACGUUUUUUUUUAACUGUUUGACACGCACUUCAAUGCUCUUCUAAAAUAUGGUUCUAUAACUUAUUUUUAAAAUUUUCUUUUUCUGAAUAAAAAUAUAACAUUCAAACUUUUAUUCAGAAAAAAAUAUCGUAAAAAUAAGUUAUAGAAUUAUAUUUUAUAAGAGCAUUAAAGUCCAUGUCGCGUCCCCGUCUUCUGAUGUAUAAAUUUGCGCAAUGUUAACGGGGAUUGCUCAUUUGCUCUCAAGUCUUGGACGGACCAAGUCUUCUAGGACCCAUCUGCACACUAAUUUGUCUGCCAACUAAAAAAUCAACGAUAUUGCUGCCUCUGCUAUUUUUUACCAGGACGUUUUUUACUUUUAACACAUGUUUAGAUAGGAUAAUAAAUAUUAUUAUUAUUGAUUAAUUUUUUUGUGAAUAAAAAUUUUGAAUAUAUAUUUUUAUCAAAAAAAGAAAAUUUUAAAAAUAAUAUUUUUAAGGGAAAUUAUUAAUGGUACUAUUGUGCUACUGGCUUUUCUAAAUGGUACUAUUUUGGUGUUUUCGACUUACAUGCAUUAUCACUUCCAUUAACGAUACUACCAUUCCGUCCCUCAAAACGUUAAAACCAUUAGUUGACCGUAUUUAUUUUGUAUUUUCCUUGUAAAAAAAACAAAAGAAUACAACUAAUAUUUGUAUUUUUUGUUUGUGUUCAAAUCGUCGAGAUAUGGAAGAGGUUAUCAGAAUUUUAGAAUUGAUUCGAUGUCCUUCAGAAAGUCAGGGGGAAACGGAAUGAGAUACGAGUUUUGAACAAGAAUCCAGUUUAGUUGUUGUUUAUCUUGAAAAACAGAUUUGGAAGUCAUAUAUUUUCAGCCUUUGGCUUCAUGUAUUUCUGUCUCAUCAUUCCCAGAUACUUGCUGAGGUUUAUAGUCACUGUUUAUUAAAUGUUGUCGUACAUUUUCCUGUAUUAUGCACCCAUGUGGCGCCUGUGUUUUGCAUGUCAUGCACAAUUUGCUCAACUACAUACAGGUCACAGGAUGAGUGCAUGUGCCAAAGGGAUUAGUGCAUUGAUCUGUGUAGUGUGAGGACACUGUGAUACAAGGCACAAUUUCUCAGAUUUCUUCUGUCAACACCACUCCCAUCCAUAGCUCCCACCUUUUCUCUCUCAAUCUCAUGUUUCUCUCUUUCUCUCGCAGCUCCGCCGCCACCACUACAUCAGUCUUCAAGAACUCAAGAAAAAAUAUGGAUAUCAGUUAUAUUUUUUGUGUUUUUUAAAGAAGUAUAUGAAAUAAAUAUAGUCAACUAAUGUUUUUAACGUUUUGAUGGACCGAAUGGUAGUAUCAUUAACGGAUCAUAAACUGAGUGGUACCACUUGUAAGUAAAAACCAGUGUUGUAAAAAGCGGGAAUCGGAUUUAAUCGGUGAAGUCACGGAACAAAGAUUAAUCGGAGAUUAAUCGGACUAAUCGGUGAUUAAUCGGAUAUUUAAUCAGUUCGGCGAGCUACGGAACAGGGAUUAAUCGGUCGUGAUUAAUCACCGACUUUUAGAACAGAGGUAAAAACACGAAAUGGUAUUAUUCAUAAAAGCCAAUACCACGAUGGUACCAUUAAUAAUUUCCCUAUUUUUAAUUACCGAGUCCAAAUAUUUAAACGUGUGUGCCCAAAAUUAAAGCCGCAUAUAAAAAAACGGAGGGAGCAUGUACUAACCGUUUCCAUAACAGUUUACAAGUAUAAGUUAUACUCCCUCUCAAUUUUUUUAUUUUUUUAUAUGACGUUUUGAUCUUGGGCACACAUUAUUAAGUGUUUUGACCGGAUAGUUAAAAAUAUUAUUAUUUAAAUUUUCUUUUCUGAAUAAAAAUAUAUAACCAAAAAUUUUAUUCACAAAAAUUUUUAGUGAUUUUUUCGUGAAUACCUAAGGCCAAUUUUUCAAAUAUUUUGUAAAAAUACCAAUUUUUUGAAAAUAUUUGCAAAGAUAAUGUAUUCAACCACAUGCAACCAUACUUAUAACCAGAUGUAACCAUAAUUGCAACCUCUGCGGGACCAAUUAACUGAAUUUGUAUUUGGUUGCACUAGUUAGUAUUUUCUUAAAGUUAGUAUUUUUGUAAAUAUUUUUAAAAAAAAGUAAAAUCGCAAAAAAAAAAAUCGAAAAAAUGGUUUGAUAAAUUUCUAAAUAUUUAAUCACAGAACAAUAACUUUUACAAUCCGAUCAACUCAUUUAAAAAUGUGUGUCAAAAGUAAAAAUGUCAUAUAUAUAUAUAUCAUAUAAAUGUCAUAUAAAUUUAAAACAAAGGGAUNCAUAUAAAUGUCAUAUAAAUUUAAAACAAAGGGAUAUAUAUUUUUUAAUAAAAUAUACUCCCUCUAUCCCAAAUAAGUGUCAGUGACAUUUUGCAAAAAUAGCUUGGGACAAUAGAUUUUUUUGCCACUCAACUUAAUGUGUUUUUAGAAAUUCGCCACCCAACUAAUUUUUUUUUCCUUUUACUCACUAAUGUUAGGUUUGGAUUUUUUUUAGCCACCAACUUAGGUUCGGAUUUGAUUACUAGUAUUAUGAUAAUUUUAUUUAUCACUAAACUUACUGCGUCUUUAGGAAUUAACCACUGAACUAUAAUUUUUUUAUUUUACUCACUAAUGUUAGGUUCAUUUUUUUUGUCACUGAAGUUAGGUUCGGAUUUGAUUAUUAGCAUUAUAUUAAUUAUGUGUAACAUUAUUAAAAUAUAGUGGUCUAUAAUAUUUUGAUGAUUUGGUAUAUGUCUGUAUCUUUAUAUAUAGUACUUUUUAUGUCUCCAAUGUCGUUUAACUUGAGUGGUAAGAAUUUUACACGCAUUUUAUGGCUUUUAAAAGAUGUAGUUUCAUAAAUAAUUUUAUUUUUUUCUUCCGAAUAAAAAUUCAGCGUUUUACACACAAAAAAAUAACAAAAAAAAGUUAUGAAGCUAUGUUUUAUAAGAGUCUUAAAAUACGUGCUAAGCAGUAGAAAAAACUGUAAACUAAUGAGAGGGACAUGUAGUAAUAAUAAUAAAAUGAUGCAUUAUAGAGGACAAUCAUCGAAAAUUAAGUUAACCUCUCUAUUUAUUUAUCUUGAAAAUUGUAGUAAAAUAAAGUUAUUAAAAUUUAUGAAGAUAAAUUUGAGAGAGAUCUUGGACUGAGCUAGUCAAUUGAAACUUUAAUAGCGAAAGAUGAUGCAUCAUAUCAAUCAAUUACACUUUAUCUUCUUAUCAUCAGGGAGGGUGAAUUGUUUGAAGUCAUUGAUUUCAUAUUCAUGAUUUAUUGAAUUUUAGAAUUCUAAUUACGAUUUUUCCUGGUUUUAAUUUUUCAUCGGCUCAUUUUAUAUUAUUUUUGUUAUAUAUAAGGAUAUAAACAUACGACACAUCAUCAAAAUAUUACAUACUAUCACUAUGUAUAAAUGAUGCGACAAAAAUUAUCAUAAUGCUAGUAAUUAAAUCCGAACCUGAGUAGUGGCUAAAAAAAAAUCCAAACCUAAUAUUAAUGGUAAAAGGAAAAAAAAAAUAGUUAGGUGGCAAGUUUCUAAAAACACUAUAAAUUGAGUGGCAAAAAAAAUCUAUUUUCCAAACAUAGCUUGGGGUAAUAACAAAACCUUAAUCAACGCAAGCACAGCAGACCGCAGGCAUAAGGCUUAUAAAUAGAAGUGCAGUAUUGUGUUGAUGGUCAAGUUGAGUGGAAAUAUGGUACACUUUGUAAAGCCUUGUUAUCCUCUUCUCUUUGUUUUCUUUCUCUCAUUACUUCAAUCCAUUCUAACAACACUACCUGAAUCCAGACGAGAGGGAGAAGCUCUUGUGAAAUGGAAGAAUAGCCUAGCCCCGUCUUCUUUUCUCGACUCUUGGUCACUCACUGAUCUCGAUAAUCUUUGUAACUGGACUGGCAUUACUUGUAACUCUGCAGGUUCAGUCUCGGAGAUUAACCUUUGUGAGAAACAACUUGAUGGAAUGCUGUCCGAGUUUGGUUUCACUUCAUUUCCAGAUCUCAACUAUCUCACCCUCGCAGACAACUUCUUCUCGGGUCCGAUACCAUCAGCCAUUGAGAAUCUAACACAGCUUCAAUAUCUUGAUUUAAGCAUGAAUAGUCUCAAUGGUCCCAUUCCUUUCCAGGUUAGCCAUAUUCAGAGCUUGCUCAUCUUAAACCUGUCACACAAUGCAUUGCAAUCUCCAAAUUGGUCCCAUUGCUCUCCCAUGCCUGUCUUGCGCAUCCUCGACCUUAGUUUUAAUAAUCUUGUGUCGAAAUUCCCAGAAUUUAUAUCCAAUUCUCAUAGCCUGACUCACCUUAACCUUUCAGAUAACAAGUUUACUGGUGAUCUUGUGCGUGAAUUUACCAAUCUACAAAAUCUUGAAACCCUCUACCUUCAAGAUAAUUCUUUUGAGGGGCCGUUUCCGCCUGAUAUAGUCCAGCUUUCCAAAUUAAAACGUCUCGCCCUGUUAGGUAACAAAUUUUCAGGUUCAAUUCCCAAUGACAUAAGGUUGCUUUGUGUUCUUGAAUACCUAUAUUUAGGCAACAAUUCCUUUGAAGGACCACUUCCACCAAAUAUAUUCACGCUUUCAAAAUUAAAAUUACUUGUUCUUUGGGGUAAUAAGUUUUCAGGUUCUAUUUCCAAUGAUAUAGGUUUGCUUUCUGAGCUUGAAACCCUCGUUCUUGACUCUAAUUAUUUUGAGGGGCCACUUCCGCCAAAUAUAUUCAAGCUCUCUAAAUUAAAGGUUUUUUCCCUUGUGUACAAUAACUUUUCAGGUUCUGUUUCCAAUGAUAUAGGUUUGCUUUCUGAGCUUGAAUAUCUCCGUAUUGGCUGCAAUUCUUUCGAGGGACCGUUGCCAACAAAUAUAUUCAAGCUUUCCAAAUUAAGUAAACUUGACCUAUCAAAUAAUAGUAAUUUUUUUGAAGGAAGUAUUCUUAUUGGAUUGGGACUCUUGACUAACCUCAGCUACUUAGAUCUAGAUUCCAAUAAUCUCAGUGGCUAUAUUCCAUCUGAGAUUGGAAACCUGAAGCUACUAGUAUUUCUCGAUCUUAGUUCUAAUCAAUUGACUGGAUCGCUUUCAAAGAUCUUUUCUAAUCUCACAAAUCUUAUAUAUCUUCAUGUAUAUGAUAAUAGUCUUAGUGGAAAUAUUCAGAGUGACUUGUGGAAAAACUCUGUAUCCUUGCGUUUCGUUGAUCUUGCAAAUAAUUAUUUGUCUGGAAACAUCCCUAAGGAAUAUAACGAUCAUCCAACUUUGGAAUACAUUAAUUUAAGUUGGAACCAUUUUACAGGUAUAUUUUCUCUAUAUAUCUUUUCCUUUUCUNCUCAUAUGUAACUAAGCUUGAUUAUUGCAAUUUUACCUAAGUUUCAACAAUCUUGACAGGUGAGCUUCCAACAACAAUUUGCAAUGUCACUUCCCUCUCGGUUCUUGUUUUGUCAAAGAAUGGAUUAAGUGGUCCACUUCCAAAUUGUUUCGGAAAUCUUGCUGAUAGAUUGCUUUCCAUUAAUCUUGCUAAUAAUCAGUUCCGAGGAACAAUACCAACUACUUUCUCCAGCAGUUGUCAGCUGACAUAUCUAAACAUGGAUGAUAAUGAGUUUGAAGGAAUGUUGCCUCAAUCUUUGGCGAAAUGUAAGCACUUGAAAAUUCUUGAUAUUGGCAAUAACAAAAUAGGUGGUAUAUUUCCGUCAUGGCUUUAUGUACUUGGAGAGCUAGAAGUCCUUGUCUUGCGAUCAAAUAAACUCUAUGGUACAAUAAGUGGAAGGAGCAUAGAAGAUCCGUUCCCCAAGUUGCGGAUUGUGGAUCUGUCCAACAAUCAAUUCACCGGCCAGUUGCCAAUUCAAUACUUUAAGAAUAUGAAAUCAACUGAUAAUUUGUAUCGUUAUCGGAAUUCCACAGGACCAUUAUCUUUCUCUUAUGAAGCAGCAGUCUCAUUAACUGUGAAGGGAACAGAGUACGAGGUAGCAAAGAACCUUCAUAUUUACACAGCCAUUGACCUGUCAUGCAACAAAUUUCAGGGAGAAAUUCCAAAGGUUACUGGAGAGCUUAGAUGGCUUGCAUUGCUGAAUUUAUCUCAUAAUAGUCUGACAGGACCUAUCCCAUCCUUGCUGAAAAAUAUGAAAGAACUCCAAUCUUUAGAUUUGUCCUCAAAUCAACUGACAGGGGCUAUUCCACCUCAGUUAACUGCAUUGACAUUUCUGGAGGUCUUCAACCUCUCGGGAAACCAUCUUAGUGGAGAGAUUCCUCAGAAAGGACAGUUCAGCACAUUUAACAAUGAUUCUUAUCUAGGAAACUCCGCGUUAUGUGGAUCACCUUUGACAAAGAAAUGUGCAAACACAGCAUCACCUCCACAAGAAGUCGGAAAUGGUGAUGAAGAUGAUGCUGGUGAUGAAUGGACAUGGGAAGCAAUCGUGAUGGGAUAUGGAUGUGGACUGAUAUGUGGAUUGUCAUCUGCGUACAUUGUUCUCAAACUAGGAAAGCCUUGGUGGUUUGUGAGAUAUAUCGAAGUGCUGCAACUGAAGUUGAUGAAAAGAUAUGCUUGAAAAAUGGUACUGGCCGAUCAAGACGAACUUGAAAGUUGUUGUCCUUGUGGACAUUUCUGAACCAGUAGUGUACUAGCUGCAUAAGUAUUUGGUAUUAUGUAAUAAUCCGUUUGGUCAGGACUCAUAAUGAUUUCUCUUGCUUCAGGGGUAUUAAUAUUAACCUUGCUAGUUAAUUCAAAUUAAAACAAAUAUAAAAUCAAAAAAUUUGCAUCAAACACCUGUUAUACCAACAUCCAUUAAUUUGCUUUCAUCUCUUACGUAACAAUUUAACAGCGAUUCCACACUGUUUUAGGCAUGGAGAUUACACAAAGAAGGCAAGUCCAUGGACUAAUAUACGAACAAUUCAUAUUGGUCUUCCAUCUGUUCAACCGUCUCCCGAAGAUAGGCCAAAAAUGUCAUCUGUGGUUCUUAUCUUUGUCAGUAAAGGAGAAUCUCUGAUGCCUAUACAACCUGGUUUUCUUACCGAAAGGAAUGUAGGUGAAACCAGGGGCAUAAAAUGAAUCGGGACUAAAAUCUGCUAAAAUGAUAAUUAUUUACUCAUCAUUCGAGAUUAGUCGGGCUCGAAUGAAGAUUUAUAUGGAUUUUAAGAACAAACUAUGACUAAAUAUGAAAAAAUCAUUAAUUUUUCCGACUCAAUAUUUUUAGCCUCCCCCGGCCCUGGGUGAAACCAUAAGCUUCUCUGGUGCACAUCCAAAUCAUUCAGCUGGUUCUACAUUCAGCUCACCCACAGGAACAUCAUUCUGCAGGUACUCUCUUAUCUGUACUUUCUUAUAUUGUAUGCCAGAAAAUUUAAUAUCGACAAACUGCACAAUACACCUCGAUCUCAUAUUAUUGACAGGUGAGCUCCUCUCAUAAUGCUCACAGGCGAACUCCUGCAUAUAUACUUUGUGAUGUCAUUGAUGAUCGAUAGGCUUGAAAAAAAAUUAUGACAAAGAUUCAUAAAAUAUCUACUUCCAUCCUAAUUCAGUAUUCAAUAUUAUUCAUUCCGUAUCAUCAUCCAAUCAAUUCUAAUAGUUCUUCUUUAAAUCAGUAUAAAUAUUGUUAAAUAUAUUGAUGAUGGUUGUCUUUCCGCGAACCAAUCAUAAAAUUACCUCUGUAUAAAUCCAUCGGAAAUAAGACAGUUAAUAUCCCAAUCGAAUACACCCCUGUCAGUUGUCAAACUCCUCGAAACGUAUUAAUCACUUUAGAAAAUUUGUUCCACUGGCGCUAGUCAGUCCCAGAGUUGGUGGUGGGUGCUUCUGGGCUUUCGAAAAGCACCCAUUUACUCCAUUGUUUAGAGAAGUAAAACCCCACCUUCCGCUCAUUUGAUUGAUCAGCUGAAUUAGGCAGAGUUUACAUGGUCAUGAUCAUAGUCUCCCAUUUCCCAGAUACGCGCAUUAUAGUGGAUUUAUCUUUAUCAGUAAUUUCUGUGGAGAUGCAUAAUCAUUAUAAACUCCAAUAUAAAAAUUUAAAGUUGGUAUGGGCAUUUGUGUUGAUAAUUUGCGCAAUGUUAACAGGAAUUGCUCCCAAGUCUUGGACGGACUCUUUCAAAGUCUUCUGAGGACCCAUCUGCACACUAAUUUGUCUCCCAACUAAAAAAUCAACAAUAUGUUACUCCCUCCGUUUUUCUUAAACGAGGUUAAAAUUUUUGACACAAGAUGGGUUGACAGUAUAAUAAAAAUUUUUGUGAAUAAAAUUUUUUUUAUUUAGAAAGAUAAUCUUGAAAAUAAUAUUAUUAACUAAGUUAAAUCACUUAAAAGUGUAUGUCCAAAAAUUAAAGCGGCAUAUAAAAAAAAGGGAGGGAGCAUGUACUAACUGUUUCCAUAACAGUUUACAAGUAUAAGUUAUACUCCCUCUCUAUUUUUUUAUAUGACGGUUUGAUUUUGGGCACACAUUUUUAAGUGUUUUGACCAGAUAAUUAAAAGGGGUUUUCUCAUAAAUACCUAAGUCUAAAAUUAUUUUUACGAAAAUAUUAUAUCUUUUUUUAAAUAUUUUGCAAAAAUACCAAACUUUGUAAAUAUUUACAAAAAUACGGUAUGCAACCCGUUGCAACCACAUGCAACCUUACUUGCAACCAUAUUUGCAACCCCUGCGGGGUCAAUUAACUGAAAUUGCAUCUGGUUGCGUUUAGUUGCAGACCGUAUUUUUGCAAAUAUUUUCUAAAAAGUUAGUAUAUUUGCAAUUUUUUUAAAAAUAUAAGAAAAUCGCAAAAAUUAUAACAAAGCUUCAAGAUUUUUAACAGGUGAGCUUCCACUAAAAAUUUGCAAAGUCACUUCCCUUUCGCGUCUCAUUAUGUCAGAUAUUGGUCAAGUGGUGCACUUCCACAGUGUUUGGGGAACCUUUCUUUGCUUGGUUUCAAUAAUCUUGCUAAUAAUCAAUUUCAAGGACCAAUACCAACGACUGUCCAAGACUUGUCUGUGCAUAUCUAAACAUCCAUAACAAUCACUUUGAAGGUUUGUUGCUCCAAUCUUUGGCAAACUGUAAACACUUACAAAUUCUUGAUAUUGGAAACAACAAAAUAGGUGGUACAUUUCCGUCAUGGCUAUUUACUGUUGGAGAGCUAGAUGUCCUAGUUAGGACGGUAUUUCGACUAGAGCAAGCCGAGUUUUGAGCGGAGCCCAAUUCGAGCCAAGUUUAAUCGAGUCGAGCCGAGUCAGUUCGUUUGGCUAAUCGAGCCUAAAACUCUGUCCGAACUCGACUCGUUUAAUUUCACGAGUUGAGUCAAGCCAGCUCAUUUAGCUAAACGAGUUGGUUUUAACGAGUUAAACGAGUGAGCUCGUAUAAUUUUAACUUAAUCGAGCCUGGAUCUCUAUCCGAACUAUUGGCUCGUGUAAUUUCGCGAGUCGAAUCGAGCCGGCUCGUUUUAUUAAACAAACCGAAAUUUUUGCCCAAAUUUUGCUCGUUUAACAAGCCGAUCUGAACCUAGUUAAAUGAGUUCGAGCUAGUCGAGCUCGCAGCUUGCGAGCUCGCCGGACAGCUCUAGUACUAGUCUUGCGAUCAAAUAGGUUUCACGGUAUAGAAAGUGGAAGGAACACAAGGCAUCUGUACUUUCUUGUACUGUAUGCCACUUUGACAGUAAAAUUUAUACUCCCUCCGUCCGAAUGAAUUGUAUACAGUUUACUUUUUGGGACGUCCCAUCAAUUGUAUACAUUCCUAAAGUAGUAAACUUUUAUAAUAUAAAACAUCAUUAAACCAACUACUUUCUUCCCCUAUCUCCAUUCUAUAAUAAUAUAAACACUAUUACACCCACUACUUUCCUCCACUAUCUCAAAUUUAUUAUUAAAUAUAAAUGGGUCCCACCACUAUACUCACUUUUCAUCCAACUUUACUCAUUUCUAAUAAAAUUUCUUGGUCUCCGUGUCCCAGCCAUUUGUAUACAAAUGACUGGGACGGAGGGAGUAUCAACAAACUGCACGAUUAAAUCCUCGUACAAUUGACAGGUGAACUCCUGCAUAUGUUCUGAACUAUUACGUACUAUAUUAUGCAAGCUGUUUGCAACUUUCAUCAAAAUUUUCAAACAUUUCUUAAUAUGUUUUUUCAAAAAAUUCUCGGGCCCUCUUAAGGCCUAUUAUUAUUGCAACUCUCACGUUAUGGACCACUAUGUAUUUUACAAGCACGACGAAUCAUGUGGUCAUUAUGGACUCCCCAAGCCUUCGAGGACUCACUCCAGGUCUUAGGAGGACCACUGCCUAGCUCACCCUUUCGGAGUGAUGUAAAUUAUUUUCUAGACACUAAAAAUAAGUAUUCAGAUUAAUCAUUACAAAAUUAAGGAUAUAAAAUCAGAAUAAAUCCUAAACUUUGAUGAUACAAAAAAAUUAUAAUUGUAAAUUAUACAAUCAAAUUAAAAUCGAAUUAACUUCCCUCACACUUAAAAUUUAUAGCGAUCAAAUCAAAAUCGAAUUAACUUUCCUAUUACUAAAAUAUAAUUACAAUAUUAUUAGAUAAAGAGAAUAUAUAAUAAUCAAGAGAAAAUAGAUUUUUUUUUGCCACUCAACUUAUCGUGUUUUAAGAAACUUACCACCCAACUAAAUUUUUUUUCCUUUUGCUCACUAAUGUUAGGUUUGGAUUUGUUUUUAGCCACCAACUAAGGUUCGGAUUUGAUUACCAGCAUUAUGAUAAUUUUUUUUGUCACUAAACUUAUUGCGUCUUUAGAAACUAACCACUCAACUAAAUUUUUUUUUAUUUUACUCACUAAUGUUAGGUUCAGUUUUUUUUUGUCACUGAAGUUAGGUUCGGAUUUGAUUAUUAGCAUUACAUUAAUUCUGUGUAGCAUUUUUAAAAUAUGGUAGUACUCUGUGAUAUUUAGAUGAUUUGAUAUAUGUCUGUAUUUUUAUAUAUAGUAUAUUUUAUGUCUCCAAGAUCAUUUACCUUGGGUCAUAAGAAUUUUACACGCAUUAUAUGACUUUUAAAAGAUGUAGUGUCAUAAAUAAUUUUAUUUUUUUUUCCGAAUUAAAAUUCAGCAUUUGAAUUUUACACACACAAAAAUCGCAAGAAUAAGUUAUGAAAUUAUGCUUUAUAAGAGUCUUAAAAUACGUGCUAAACGGUAGAAAAAACGGUGAAAUAAUGAGAGGUACAUAGGAGUAAUAAUAACAUAAAAUGAUGCACAAGUUAGUAUAUUGGACUAAUAUUCACGCAUUUAUAUACGAGAAUAUAUGGUCCACAAGUUAGUGCACAAUGUCCAAGAAUCUUUAUCAAAGUAACACGGCAAGCAUGCAGCAUAUAAAUAAGAGUGGGCAGUAUGGUAUUGCAUUCAUAACCCACUUGAGGAGAAAUAUGGCACACUUCCUAAAGCCUUCUCACCUUCUUCUCUUUGUUUUCUCUCUCUCGUUACUUCAAUCCAUUCUACCAACAAGACCAGAGGGAGAAGCUCUUGUGAAAUGGAAGAAUAGCCUAGCCCCUUCUUCUUUUCUCGAUUCUUGGUCACUCACCAAUCUCGAUGAUCUUUGUAACUGGACUGGCAUUACUUGUAACUCUGCAGGUUCAGUCUCUGAGAUUAACCUUUAUGAGAAACAACUUGAUGGAAUGCUGUCCGAGUUUGGCUUCACUUCAUUUCCGAAUCUCAACAAUCUCACCCUCGCAUACAACUUCUUCUCGGGUCCAAUUCCACCAGCCAUUGAGAAUUUAACACAGCUUCAAUAUCUUGAUUUAAGCAUCAAUAGUCUCGAUGGUCCCAUUCCGUUCCAGGUUAGCCAUCUUCAGAGGUUGCUCGUCUUAAACCUGUCACAGAAUGCAUUGCAAGCUCCAAAUUGGUCCAAAUUCUCCCCCAUGCCCUUUUUGUGCAUCCUCAACCUCAGUAGCAAUCCUCUUGCGUCGACAUUCCCAAAUUUCAUAUCCAAUUCUCAUGGCCUGACUCACCUCAGCCUUGAUCAAAACGAGUUUACAGGUGAUUUAGCGCGUGAAUCAAUAUUUGCCAAUCUGCAUAAUCUUGAAGUCCUCAGUCUUGUUGGCAAUUCUUUUGAGGGGGCCAUUUCCGCCAAAUAUAUUCAAGCUUUCCAAAUUAAAACAUCUUAGCCUGUCAGAUAACAAACUUUCAGGUUCAAUUCCCAAUGACAUAAGGUUGCUUUGUGAUCUUGAAUACCUAUAUUUAGGCAACAAUUCCUUUGAAGGACCGCUUCCACCAAAUAUAUUCAAGCUUUCAAAAUUAAAACAUCUUAUUCUUUGGGGUAAUAAGUUUUCAGGUUCUGUUUCCAACGAUAUAGGUUUGCUUUCUGAGCUUGAAAGCCUCUAUCUUGACUCCAAUUUUUUUGAGGGGCCGCUUCCGCCAAAUUUAUUCAAGCUCUCCAAACUAAAGAUUCUUUUCCUUUAUGAGAAUAACUUUUCAGGUUUUAUUUCUAAGGAUAUAGGUUUGCUUUUUGAACUUGAAACCCUCUAUCUUGACUCUAAUUUUUUUGAGGGGCCGCUUCCCCCACAUGUAUUUAGGCUCUCCAAAUUAAGAGAUCUGGGUCUCUCAGACAAUAGAAAUUUAUUUGAAGGAAGUAUUCCUAUUGGACUGGGACUCUUGACUAACCUCAGAUACUUGCGUCUAUCUUCCAAUAAUCUCGGUGGCUAUAUUCCAUCUGACAUUGGAAACCUGAAGCAACUAGAACUUCUUGAUCUCGGUUCUAAUCAAUUGACUGGACCGCUUUCAAAGAUCGUUUCUAAUCUCACAAAUCUUAUAUAUCUUGAUGUGAGUUAUAAUAGUCUUAGUGGAAAUAUUCAGAGUGACUGGUGGAAAAACUCUGUAUCCUUACGUUACAUUGAUUUUGAAAAUAAUUAUUUGUCUGGGAACAUUCCUAAGGAAUAUAACGAUCAUCCAACUUUGGAAUACAUCAAUUUAGGUGGGAACCAUUUUACAGGUAUAUUUUCUCUAUAUAUCUUUUCCUUUUGUCAUAUGUAAAUAAGCUAGUAAUCUGGUUAUUGUAGUUUUACCAAAGUUUCAACAAUCUUGACAGGUGAGCUUCCAACAACAAUUUGCAAUGCCACUUCCCUUUCGGUUCUUGUUUUGUCAAAUAAUGGAUUAAGUGGUGCACUUCCAAAAUGUUUCGGGAAUCUUGCUGAUGGAUUGCUUUACAUUAAUCUUGCUAAUAAUCAGUUUCGAGGAACAAUACCAACUACUUUCUCCAGGAGUUGUCGGUUGACAUAUCUAAACAUGGAUAAUAAUGAGUUUGAAGGAUUGUUGCCCCCAUCUUUGGCGAACUGUAAGCACUUGAAAAUUCUUGAUAUAGGCAAUAAUAAAAUAGGUGGUACAUUUCCGUCAUGGCUUUAUGCACUUGGAGAGCUAGAAGUUCUUGUCUUGCGAUCAAAUAAACUCUAUGGUACGAUAAGUGGAAGGAGCAUAGAAGAUCCCUUCCCAAAGUUGCGGAUUGUGGAUCUGUCCCACAAUCAAUUGACAGGCUAUUUGCCAAUUCAAUACUUUAAGAAUAUGAAAUCAACUGAUGAUUUGUAUAGUUUCCGGAAUUCCACAGGAACCGCAUCUAUCUCUUAUGAAGCAUCGGUCUCAUUAACCGUGAAGGGAACAGAGUAUGAAGUAGCAAAUAACCUUCAUAUUUACACAGCCAUUGAUCUAUCGUGCAACAAAUUUCAGGGACAAAUUCCAAAGGUUACUGGAGAGCUUAAAUGGCUGGCAUUGCUCAACUUAUCUCAUAAUAGUCUAACAGGACCUAUCCCGUCAUUGCUGAGAAAUAUGAAAGAACUCCAGUCUUUAGAUUUGUCUUCAAAUCAACUAACAGGGGCUAUUCCACCUCAGUUAACUGCACUGACAUUUCUAGAGGUCUUGAACUUCUCGGGAAACCAUCUUAGUGGAGAGAUUCCUCAGAAAGGACAGUUCAGCACAUUCAACAAUGAUUCCUAUCUAGGAAACUCUGCGUUAUGUGGAUCACCUUUGACGAAGAAAUGUGUAAACACUGUAUCACCUCCUCAGGAAGUCGAAAAUGGUGAUGAAGAUGAUGCUGGUGAUGAAUUGACAUGGGAAGCAAUCGUGAUGGGAUAUGGAUGUGGACUGAUAUGUGGAUUGUCAUCUGCGUACAUUGUUCUCAAACUAGGAAAGCCUUGGUGGUUUGUGAGAUAUAUCGAAGUACUGCAACUGAAGUUGAUGAAAAGAUAUGCAUGAAGAAAGGUACUGGUAGAUCAAGAUGAACUUGAAAGUUGUUGUCCUGGUAGACAUUUCUGAACCAGUAGUAUACUAGCUGUGUAAGUAUUUGGUAUUAUGUAAUAAUCCGUUUGGUCGGGACUCAAAAUGAUUUCUCUUGCUUCAGGGGUAUUAAUAUUAACCUUGCUAUCUUGAUCAAUGUUAAUGCAAAUUAAAAAGAAUAUAAAAGCAAAAAAUUUGCAUCAAACACCUGUUGUACCACAGGCUUCCGACUCAAUAUUUGUUAGCCUCCCGUGCCCUGUGUGAAACCAUAAGCUUCUCUGGUGAAUAUCCAAAUCAUUCAGCUGGUUCUACUUUCAGCUCACCGCAGGAACAUCAUUCUGCAGGUACUCUCUUAUCUGUACUUUCUUAUAUUGUAUGCCAGAAAAUUUAAUAUCGACAAACUGCACAAUACACCUCGAUCUCAUAUUAUUGACAGGUGAGCUCCUCUCAUAAUGCUCACAGGCGAACUCCUGCAUAUACUUUGUGAUGUCAUUGAUGAUCGAUAGACUUGAAAAAAAAUUAUGACAAAGAUUCAUAAAAUAUCUACUUCCAUCCUAAUUCAGUAUUCAAUAUUAUGCAUUCCGUAUCAUCAUCCAAUCAAUUCUAAUAGUUCUUCUUUAAAUCAGGACAAAUAUUGUUAAAUACAUGGAUGAUGGUUGUCUUUCCGCGAACCAAUCAUGAAAUUACCUCUGUUUAAAUCCGUCGAAAAUAAGAAAAUUAAUAUCCCAAUCGAAUACACCCCGUGAGUUGUCAAACUCCUCGAAACAUAUUAAUCACUUUAGAAAAUUUCAACAAUCUUGACAGGUGAGCUUCCAACAACAAUUUGCAAUGUCACCUCCCUUUCGGUUCUUGUUUUGUCAAAUAAUAAAUUAAGUGGUGCACUUCCAAACUGUUUCGGGAAUCUUGCUGAUGGAUUGCUUUACAUUAAUCUUGCUAAUAAUCAGUUUCAAGGAACAAUACCAACUACUUUCUCCAGGAGUUGUCCGUUGACAUAUCUAAACAUGGAUAAUAAUGAGUUUGAAGGAUUGAUGCCCCCAUCUUUGGCGAACUGUAAGCACUUGAAAAUUCUUGAUAUAGGCAAUAAUAAAAUAGGUGGUACAUUUCCGUCAUGGAUUUAUGCACUUGGAGAGCUAGAAGUUCUUGUCUUGCGAUCAAAUAAACUCUAUGGUACAAUAAGUGGAAGGAGCAUAGAAGAUCCCUUCCCCAAGUUGCGGAUUGUGGAUCUGUCCAACAAUCAAUUCACAGGCCAUUUGCCAAUUCAAUACUUUAAGAAUAUGAAAUCAAAUGAUAAUUUGUAUCGUUAUCUGAAUUCCACAGGAGAAAUAUAUAUCUCUUAUGAAGCAGCAGUCUCAUUAACUGCGAAGGGAACAGAGUAUGAAGUAGCAAAUAACCUUCAUAUUUACACAGCCAUUGAUCUGUCGUGCAACAAAUUUCAGGGAGAAAUUCCAAAGGUUACCGGAGAGCUUAGAUAGCUUGCAUUGCUCAAUUUAUCGCAUAAUAGUCUAACGGGACCUAUCCCAUCAUUGCUGAGAAAUAUGAAAGAACUCCAAUCUUUAGAUUUGUCCUCAAAUCAACUGACAGGGGCCAUUCCACCUCAGUUAACUGCAUUGACAUUUCUAAAGGUCUUAAAUCUCUCGAAAAACCAUCUCAGUGGAGAGAUUCCUCAGGAAGGACAGUUCAGCACAUUCAACAAUGAUUCUUAUCUAGGAAACUCCGCGUUAUGUGGAUUACGUCUGACAAAGAAAUGUGCAAACACAGCAUCACCACCACAAGAAGUCGGAAAUGGUGAUGAAGAUGAUGCUGGUGAUGAAUUGACAUGGGAAGCAAUUGUGAUGGGAUAUGGAUGUGGACUGAUAUGUGGAUUAUCAUCUGCGUACCUUGUUUUCAAACUAGGAAAGCCUUGGUGGUUUGUGAGAUAUAUCGAAGUACUGCAACUGAAGUUGAUGAAAAGAUAUGCAUGAAGAAUGGUACUGGCCGAUCAAGACGAACUUGAAAGUUGGUCCUUGUGGACAUUUCAGCUGAACCAGUAGGUACUAUUCUCUUUGUGACUGCAUAAGUAUUUUGUAUUGUGUAAUGUUCUGUUUGGUCUUAAAUCAUAAUGAUUUUUCUUGCUUCAGGGGUAUUAAUAUAAAACUUGGUAUUGUGUACUAGCUGUAAUAUUCCGUUUAAUCAAUGUUAAUACCUGUAAUUUUAUGCUCCUGACUGCAUCAUGCAGCUCUCAUAUUAUCUUCAUAUGUGUAUUUAUUUGGAUAUUGAAGUUGCAUGGACAUAUGGAUAUGUGUUAACGGGGAUUGCUCCCAAGUCUUGGACGGACUCUUUCCAAGUCUUCCGAGAUCCUAUUGGUUCAAAUUAGUCCAAUUUGAACUGCCAUCAAAUGCAACUCUGUAGAUUCUGUCUCUGAGAUUAACCUUUCAGGACAUCAGCUCAAUGGUACACUUGCUGAAUUCAGUUUCGUUUAAUUUCCGAAUCUACAAAUUAAGCUACAAUAACUUCACUUGUCCAAUACCCCCAGACAUUGGAAAUUUAACAGAGCUGCAACACCUUGAUUUUAGCUCUAAUAAACUCACUGCUGCAAUUCCGGACCAGGUAAGCCAUCUUCAAACAUUGCGGACCUUAAACCUGUAGGAUAAUCAACUUGGAAGCUCCAAACUGGUCCGCUUUUUCCCCUAUGCCUUCUCUGACAAACCUCUGUCUCAAUAAUAAUAAUCUUUCGUCGAAAUUCCAAGACUUCAUAUUAAAUUGUGGUAACCUGACUUACUUUGAUCUUUCAUUAAAUAUGUUAACAGGUAAUUUGGUUCCUUCAUCAAUUUUUAGAAAUUUGUAUAAUCUUGAAUUCCUUUAUCUUUCUAGCAAUUAUUUUGAGGGGCCUUUCCCGCCANNNNNNNNNNNNNNNNNNNNNNNNNNNNNNNNNNNNNNNNNNNNNNNNNNNNNNNNNNNNNNNNNNNNNNNNNNNNNNNNNNNNNNNNNNNNNNNNNNNNNNNNNNNNNNNNNNNNNNNNNNNNNNNNNNNNNNNNNNNNNNNNNNNNNNNNNNNNNNNNNNNNNNNNNUUUCCCUAUCAUAUAAUAGAUUUUCAGGUUCUAUUUCCAUAUGAUAUAGGAAUGCUUCGUGUUUUGGAAUCCCUUUUUUUAGUAGUAGUUCUUUUAAUGGCCCACCUCCACCAAAUUUAUUUAAAUUUUCUAAAUUAAAAGUUUUUUCCCUAUCAUUAAUAACUUUUCGGGUUCUAUUCGAAAUGAAACAGGGAUGCUUCAUGAUUUAGAGUCCCUCUAUCUUAAUGAACAUUCUUUUAAGGGGCCGUUUCCACCAAAUAUAUUCAACCUUUCCAAAUUAAAAGUUCUUAAUUACCUCUCAAAUAAUUCCUUUUCAGGUUCAGUUCCUAGUGAUAUAAGUGUGCUUCGUGAUCUUGAGAUACUUAAUUUGUCCUCUAAUUCUUUUGAAGGAAUUAUCCCAUUGGAGCUUGGGUUCUUGAAUAACGUGAGCUAUUAUUAUAUCUUGAUUCCACUCAAUUGACUGGACCGCUUUUGAAGAACAUUUAUAAUCUCAGUAAUUUUUUGUGUUGGCUUGAAUGGAUCAUUCCAUUCCCUCCAAAACUCAUUCCGUUCAUGUCAACCAAACAGAGCAUCAAUUACUAGUUACUGGGAAAUGCAUUAGCCUAAAUGUUCCUGGUUCAUUGUUACCGGUAUUUCUUAACUGCUGUGAUUGCAAAUUCAGUUGCAGAUUGUUCAUAUAUAUCUAGAGAGACCUGACAUAACUUUAGCCUCUGAUAUACAGCUUCCUUUCACAGUUGUGCCUAUUCACCUAGACGCGUUUUUAACUGCAUAAUGUUGGGUCAACUUCCGACCAUUUAUUUUCUCAUUUGAAAUUAGUGUAUUAAAGUUCGACUUUAAGAAAAUAUAUAGUUUUGUUAAACAAAAAUUCCAAAAGGUUUGGUACGUUUUGAGCUGGGACUUUGAAAUUGUUUGUCGUUAAAGAUGAAGAUUCACUUUUUAAGUUAUAUUAAUCUGUAGUGGUAGACUGGUAGUUUUUCUUUAUUGCUACUUUCCUUGUGCGUUCUUUAUAUUGAUUUAUUAUUUAAUUCGUAAAGUGUUGCGAACUACAUUCCUGCAAAAGUAAAAUCAGUGGAAUUUGUUUGAUAGCAUGAUGAAUAUUUAAAGGGGUUAAUUAUCAAAUUGGUCACUGAAGUGACUUUAAUGUAUCAAGUUGGUCACUGAACUCAAAACGGUAUUAAGAUAGUCACUGAAGUGGACAUAAAUAUCAAACAGGUACCUUGAAAUAUAAGUUCAAGCAGUAAAGAUAUUAUUUAUAAAAUUUUACACAUUAUUUUUAAAUGUUACCACAACCAACUAAAAGGUUAUGACUUCUAGUAUUUAAAUUAAUAUAUUUAUUUUAUCAAGUUUAUUUAUUAUUUAUAUUUUAUUAUAUAGUUAUUUUCUUUGUUUUAAUUAAAAAUAAAUAAUAAAUAAACUUGAUAAUAUCUAAAUAUAUUAUCAUAAAUAUUAGAAUUCAUAACCUUUUACUUGGUCUAGGUAACAUUCAAAAAUAAUGUGUAAAACUUUAUAAAUAAUAUUAUCUUUAUAUUCUUUCCUUUUCUAUGUACCUAUGCUAAUUAUCUGAUUAUUAAAAUUAUAACAAAGCUUCAAGAUUUUUAACAGGUGAGCUUCCACUAAAAAUUUGCAAAGUCACUUCCCUUUCGCGUCUCAUUAUGUCAGAUAUUGGAAACAACAAAUAGGUGGUACAUUUCCGUCAUGGCUAUUUACUGUUGGAGAGCUAGAUGUCCUAGUUAGGGCGGUAAUUCGACUAAAGCAAACCGAGUUUUGAGCGGAGUCAAAUUCGAGCCAAGUUUAAUCGAGUCGAGCCGAGUCGGCUCAUUUAGCUAAUCGAGCCUAAAACUCUGGUCGAACUCGACUCGUUUAAUUUCGCGAGUCAAGUCGACCCAGCUCGUUUAGUUAAAUGAGCUGGUUUUAACGAGUCAAGCGAGUGAGCUCGUAUAAUUUUAACUUAAUCGAGUCUAAAUCUCUACCCGAACUAUUGGCUCGUGUAAUUUCACGAGUAGAAUCGAGCUGGCUCGUUUUAUUAAAGAAGCCGAAAUUUUUGCCCGAAUUUGGCUUGUUUAACAAGCCGAUCUUUCAUCAAAAUUUUCAAACAUUUCUGAAUAUGUAUUUUCAGAGAAUUUCUCCGGCACUCUUAAGGCCUAUAAUUAUUGCAACUCUCACGUUAUGGACCACUAUGUAUUUUACGAGCACGACGAAUCAUGUGGUCAUUAUGGACUCCCCAAGCCUUCGAGGACUCAUUCCAGGUCUUAGGAGGACCACUGCCUAGCUCACCCUCUCGGAGUGAUGUAAAUUAUUUUCCAGACACUAAAAAUAAGUAUUCAGAUUAAUCAUUACAAAAUUAAGGAUAUAAAAUCAGAAUAAAUCCUAAACUUUGAUGAUACAAAAAAAUUAUAAUUGUAAAUUAUACAAUCAAAUUAAAAUCGAAUUAACUUCUCUCACACUUAAAAUUUAUAGCGAUCAAAUCAAAAUCGAAUUAACUUUCCUAUUACUAAAAUUUAAUUACAAUAUUAUUAGAUAAAGAGAAUAUAUAAUAAUCAAGGGAAAAUAGAUUUUUUUUUGCCACUCAACUUAUUGUGUUUUAAGAAAUUUACCACCCAACUAAAUUUUUUUUCCUUUUGCUCACUAAUAUUAGGUUUGGAUUUGUUUUUAGCCACCAACUAAGGUUCGGAUUUGAUUACUAGCAUUAUGAUAAUUUUUUGUCACUAAACUUAUUGCGUCUUUAGAAACUAACCACUCAACUAAUUUUUUUUUUAUUUUACUCACUAAUGUUAGGUUCAGUUUUUUUUUUGUCACUGAAGUUAGGUUCGGAUUUGAUUAUUAGCAUUACAUUAAUUCUGUGUAGCAUUUUUAAAAUAUGGUAGUAGUCUGUGAUAUUUAGAUGAUUUGAUAUAUGUCUGUAUUUAUAUAUAUAGUAUUUUUUAUGUCCCCAAGGUCGUUUACCUUGGGUCAUAAGAAUUUUACACACAUUUUAUGACUUUUAAAAGAUGUAGUUUCAUAAAUAAUUUUAUUUUUUUCUUCCGAAUUAAAAUUCAGCGUUUGAAUUUUACACACAAAAAAAUCGCAAAAAUAAGUUAUGAAACUAUGUUUUAUAAGAGUCUUAAAAUACGUGUUAAACGGUAGAAAAAACUGUAAACUAAUGAAAGGUACAUAGGGAGUAAUAAUAACAUAAAAUGAUGCACAAUCAUCGAAUUAAGUUUUCCUCUCUCUCUAUAUAUUUAUUUUGAAAAUUAUAAUAAGAUAAAGUUAUUAAAAUUUAUGAUAUAAAUUUAAAAGAGAUCUUAGACUGAGUGGCAAAAAUUUAGUUGGAUGGUAAGUUUCUAAAAAUACAAUAAAUUGAGCGGGAACAAAAUCUAUUUUCCCAAUAAUCAAAGUGAUGAAAAAUUAAAGUCAUCUAAUAAGUCCAGAAAAAAUAUGACCAUUAGUAUUUUGGAAUAAUAUUCACGCAUUUAUAUACGAGAAUAUAUGGUCCACAAGUUAGUGCACAAUGUCCAAGAAUCUUUAUCAAAGUAACACGGCAAGCAUGCAGCAUAUAAAUAAGAGUGGGCAGUAUGGUAUUGCAUUCAUAACCCACUUGAGGAGAAAUAUGGCACACUUCCUAAAGCCUUCUCACCUUCUUCUCUUUGUUUUCUCUCUCUCGUUACUUCAAUCCAUUCUACCAACAAGACCAGAGGGAGAAGCUCUUGUGAAAUGGAAGAAUAGCCUAGCCCCUUCUUCUUUUCUCGAUUCUUGGUCACUCACCAAUCUCGAUGAUCUUUGUAACUGGACUGGCAUUACUUGUAACUCUGCAGGUUCAGUCUCUGAGAUUAACCUUUAUGAGAAACAACUUGAUGGAAUGCUGUCCGAGUUUGGCUUCACUUCAUUUCCGAAUCUCAACAAUCUCACCCUCGCAUACAACUUCUUCUCGGGUCCAAUUCCACCAGCCAUUGAGAAUUUAACACAGCUUCAAUAUCUUGAUUUAAGCAUCAAUAGUCUCGAUGGUCCCAUUCCGUUCCAGGUUAGCCAUCUUCAGAGGUUGCUCGUCUUAAACCUGUCACAGAAUGCAUUGCAAGCUCCAAAUUGGUCCAAAUUCUCCCCCAUGCCCUUUUUGUGCAUCCUCAACCUCAGUAGCAAUCCUCUUGCGUCGACAUUCCCAAAUUUCAUAUCCAAUUCUCAUGGCCUGACUCACCUCAGCCUUGAUCAAAACGAGUUUACAGGUGAUUUAGCGCGUGAAUCAAUAUUUGCCAAUCUGCAUAAUCUUGAAGUCCUCAGUCUUGUUGGCAAUUCUUUUGAGGGGGCCAUUUCCGCCAAAUAUAUUCAAGCUUUCCAAAUUAAAACGUCUUACCCUGUCAAGUAACAAAUUUUUAGGAUCAAUUCCCAAUGACAUAAGGUUGCUUUGUGAUCUUGAAUUCCUAUAUUUAGGAAACAAUUCUUUUGAAGGACCGCCUCCACCAAAUAUAUUCAAGCUUUCAAAAUUAAAACAUCUUGUUCUCUGGAGUAAUAAGUUUUCAGGUUCUGUUUCCAAUGAUAUAGGUUUGCUUUCUGCGCUUGAACUUCUGAAUCUUCACUCUAAUUUUUUUGAGGGGCCGCUUCCGCCAAAUGUAUUCAAGCUCUCUAAACUAAGGUUUCUUAACCUCUGGGGUAACAACUUUUCAGGUUCUGUUUCCAAUGAUAUAGGUUUGCUUCCUGAGCUAGAAAUCCUCAAUCUUCACUCUAAUUUUUUUGAGGGGCCGCUUCCGCCAAAUAUAUUCAAGCUCUCUAAACUAAGGUUUCUUAACCUCUGGGGUAACAACUUUUCAGGUUCUGUUUCCAAUGAUAUAGGUUUGCUUCCUGAGCUAGAAAUCCUCAAUCUUCACUCUAAUUUUUUUGAGGGGCCGCUUCCGCCAAAUGUAUUCAAGCUCUCUAAACUAAGGUUUCUUAACCUUUGGGGUAAUAACUUUUCAGGUUCUGUUUCCAAUGAUAUAGGUUUGCUUCCUGAGCUAGAAUUCCUCAAUCUUCACUCUAAUUUUUUUGAGGGGCCGCUUCCGCCAAAUGUAUUCAAGCUCUCUAAACUAAAGUUUCUUCAUCUUCGAGGUAAUAAGUUUUCAGGUUCUGUUUCCAAUGAUAUAGGUUUGCUUCCUGAGCUUGAAAUCCUCAAUCUUCGCUCUAAUUUUUUUGAGGGGCCGCUUCCGCCAAAUGUAUUCAAGCUCUCCAAACUAAGGUUUCUUUCCCUUAAGGAAAAUAAAUUUUCAGGUUCUGUUUCCAAUGAUAUAGGUUUCCUUUCUGAGCUUGAAUACCUAUAUCUUGACUAUAAUUUAUUUGAAGGAAGUAUUCCUAUUGGACUGGGACUCUUGACUAACCUCAGCUACUUAGAUCUAAGUUCCAAUAAUCUCAGUGGCUAUAUUCCAUCUGACAUUGGAAACCUGAAGCUACUAGUAUUUCUUGAUCUCAGUUCUAACCAAUUGACUGGACCGCUUUUAAAGAUCGUUUCUAAUCUCACAAAUCUUAUGAAUCUUGAUGUAAGUGAUAAUAGUCUUAGUGGAAAUAUUCAGAGUGACUUGUGGAAGAACUCUAUAUCCUUACGUUACAUUAAUUUUGCAAAUAAUUAUUUGUCUGGGAACAUUCCUAAGGAAUACAACGAUCAUCCAACUUUGGAAUACAUCAAUUUAAGUGGGAACCAUUUUACAGGUAUAUUUUUCUCUAUAUAUCUUUUCCUUUUCUCAUAUGUAACUAAGCUGGUAAUCUGAUUAUUGCAGUUUUACCAAAGUUUCAACAAUCUUGACAGGUGAGCUUCCAACAACAAUUUGCAAUGUCACUUCCCUUGCGGUUCUUGUUUUGUCAAAUAAUGGAUUAAGUGGAGCACUUCCAAAUUGUUUCGGGAAACUUGCUGAUAGAUUGCUUUCCAUUAAUCUUGCUAAUAAUCAGUUUCGAGGAACAAUACCAACUACUUUCUCCAGGAGUUGUCAGGUGAAAUAUCUAAACAUGGAUAAUAAUGAGUUUGAAAGAUUCUUGCCCCCGUCUUUGGCGAACUGUAAGCACUUGAAAAUUCUUGAUAUUGGCAAUAAUAAAAUAGGUGGUACAUUUCCGUCAUGGCUUUAUGUACUUGGAGAGAUAGAAGUCCUUGUCUUGCGAUCAAAUAAACUCUAUGGUACAAUAAGUGGAAGGAGCGUAAAAGAUCCCUUCCCCAAGUUGCGGAUUGUGGAUCUGUCCAACAAUCAAUUCACUGGUCAUUUGCCAAUUCAAUACUUUAAGAAUAUGAAAUCAACUGAUAAUUUGUAUCGUUAUCAGAAUUCCAAAGGAUAUCUAUCUUUCCAUCAUGAUGCAGCAGUCUCCUUAACUGUGAAGGGAACGGAGUAUGAGGUAGCAAAGAACCUUCAUAUUUACACAGCCAUUGAUCUGUCGUGCAACAAAUUUCAGGGACAAAUUCCAAACGUCACUGGAGAGCUUAGAUGGCUUGCAUUGCUCAAUUUAUCGCAUAAUAGUCUAACAGGACCUAUCCCAUCAUUGCUGAGAAAUAUGAAAGAACUCCAAUCUUUAGAUUUGUCUUCAAAUCAACUGACAGGGGCUAUUCCACCUCAGCUAACUGCAUUGACAUUUCUAGAGGUCUUGAACCUCUCGAAAAACCAUCUUAGUGGAGAGAUUCCUCAGAAAGGACAGUUCAGCACAUUUAACAAUGAUUCUUAUCUAGGAAACUCCGCGUUAUGUGGAUCACCUUUGACGAAGAAAUGUGCAAACACAGCAUCACCUCCACAAGAAGUUGUAAAUGGUGAUGAAGAUGAUGCUGGUGAUGAAAUGACAUGGGAAGCAAUCGUGAUGGGAUAUGGAUGUGGACUGAUAUGUGGAUUGUCAUCUGCGUACAUUGUUCUCAAACUAGGAAAGCCUUGGUGGUUUGUGAGAUAUAUCGAAGUACUGCAACUGAAGUUGAUGAAAAGAUAUGCAUGAAGAAUGGUACUGGCCGAUCAAGACGAACUUGAAAGUUGUUGUCCUUGUGGACAUUUCUGAACCAGUAGUGUACUAGCUACAUAAGUAUUUAGUAUUAUGUAAUAAUCCGUUUGGUCGGGACUCAUAAUGAUUUCUCUUGCUUCAGGGGUAUUAAUAUUAAACUUGCUAUCUUGAUGAAUGUUAAUGUAAAUUAAAAAGAAUAUAAAAUCAAAAAAUUUAAAUCAAACACCUGUUGUACCAAGAUCCAUUAAUUUGCUUUAGUCUCUUACAUAACAAUUUAAUAGCACACUUCCACACUGUUCACACGUGUAAUGUAUAAAAAUUCCAGUCUUCUUCGGAGGCCUACAGCUUCAACAACCUCUCAAAGAUGUAGCAGUUGCUUGACAGUGAUAGAUAUAUAUUAGAUAAACACUAUGCAAUAACCAAAGUGACAGAAAAAUCAAAGUCCGCUAAUAAAUUCAUAAAAAAUAUAAUAAUCAACAACAAGAAUCAUAGUCUUACAAGUUCAUAUAAAAUAUAGGAUCAUUAGUAUUCCACAUGUAUAUUUUCUUCUCUUUCUUUUCGAGUUUUCCUCUCCAGCACCAAAUCCAAAUUAAUAUACAAUGCCACACAUUCCAGUCUCAGCUUCAGCUCCCAGGCUAGCAUUGAUUUAGCCAAGCACGACAGUGGCCGCUCUUGGUCCUGCCUUCAAAUGUCUAACAAUAACAGUUGGAUACGUCGACAAAAAUAUUGUUCCUCAUCAUACUGAGGAGUUAUUGAAUUCGACAGUUUUACACAAAGAAGACAAUUCCAUGGACUAAUCUAUUAGUAACACGUAAGCUAUAAACACGUAGUCCACAUCUAUGCUACGAACAAUUCAUAUUGGUCUUCUAUCUGUGCAACAGUCUCCCGAAGAUAGGCCAAAAAUGUCAUCUGUGGUUCUUAUCUUUGUUAGCAAAGGAGAAUCUCCGAUGCCUAUACAACCUGAUUUUCUUACAGAAAGAAAUGCAAGUGAAACUAGGGUCGGAUACCAUGUUAAAUGAUCAAUUCUCCUAAAACUAGGUUCAGGAUGAUCAUGAUAUAUUCUAACAUCAAGAUUAGCAGGACUAAAAUGAAGAUUUAAAUGGAUUUUAAAAACAAGCUCCUACUGAAUAAAAAGAAUCAUUAAUUUUUCUGACUCAACAUAUGUUAGCCUCCCCUGGCCCUGGGUGAAACCAUAAGCUUCUCUGGUGCACAUCCAAAUCAUUCAGCUGGUUCUACUUUCAGCUCAGCACAGGAACAUCAUUCUGCAGGUACUCUUGUAUCUGUAGUUUCUUAUUAAUUUAUUAACAAAAUUUAGCUAUUAAAUAUUUUGAUAAAAUAUCUAUUUAUUAAAAUAUUUUUUUAUUUAAUUGGUCUGAUAAAAAUAUUAUUGAUAUAUAAAUUUUACCUUUUUUCUGAAACAAAUUAUAAUUUUUGCUUCAAGCUUUUGUAUGAUAAGUUGAGAAAUAUUAGUUUUCUUUAUCACCGUGAGAGUAGAUCCUCGUUCCACAAAAAUUUGUAACUGAAAAAUAAAAUAGAGCCCUAAAACUUUUCGAUAAAUAUGGACUAAACAAUUUUGAUGCUCAAGUCUCAAUAGGAUUUAUAAACGGUCAUGAUGAGUUUGAUUAUCAAUGACACCAAAAAAAUAUUAGAAUUAUAUUUAAGUUAUAAAUUUGUCAAUAAAUUGUGUGAUAAUCAUACUUUCCAAGUCUUCUUCAGAGGCCUCCUGCCUCAACAACCUUUCAAAGAUGUAGUAGUUGUUGCUCGAGAGGGACAAAUAUAUUAGGUAAAGACUAUGCAAUAAUCAACGUGACAGAAAAACCAAAGUCCUCUAAUAAAUUAAUAAAAAAUAUUAUAAUCAAUAUCAAGAAUCAUAUUAUCAUAGUCUUCUAAGUUCAUAUAAAAUAUAGAAUCAUUAGUAUAUAAAUAGAAGAGUGCAGAGUAAAGCCUUUCAUAAUCCAGUUGAGGAGAAAUAUGGCAUACUUUGUAAAGCCUUAUCACCUUCUUCUCUUUGUUUUCUUUCUCUCAUCACUUGAAUCCAUUCUUGCAACAACACGAGAAGGAGAAGCUCUUGUGAAAUGGAAGAAUAGCCUAGCCCCUUCUUCUUUUCUUGAUUCUUGGUCACUCACUCAUCUCGAUAAUCUUUGUAACUGGACUGGCAUUACUUGUAACUCUGCAGGUUCAGUCUCUGACAUUAACCUUUUCAACAAACAACUCACUGGAAAGCUUUUUGAGUUUGGUUUCACUUCAUUUCCAAAUCUCAACAAUCUCACCCUUGCAGAUAACUUCUUCUCUGGUCCAAUACCAUCAGCCAUUGGGAAUUUAACACAACUUCGGUAUCUUGAUUUGAGCAAUAAUUAUCUCAAUGGUUCCAUUCCGUACCAGGUUAGCCAUCUUUCAAGAUUACACAUCUUAAACCUGUCAGAGAAUGAACUGCAAGCUCCAAAUUGGUCCGAUUUCUCCCCCAUGCCUUGUUUGACCAUCCUCGACCUUUAUCAAAAUAAUCUUAUGUCGGAAUUUCCAGAAUUUAUAUCUAACUCGCGUAACCUGACAUACCUUGACCUUUCAUAUAACAAGUUCACAGGCGAUCUUGUGCGCGAAUCAGUAUUAACCAAUCUAGGUGAUCUUGAAACCCUCUAUCUUAAUGAAAAUUCUUUUAGGGGGCCAUUUCCACCAGACAUAUUCAAACUUUCCAAGUUGAGAGUUCUUGCCCUGUUCAAUAAUUUUUUUGAGGGGCCGCUUCCGUCAAAUAUAUUCAAGCUCUCUAAACUAAGAUUCCUUUUACUUUGGAGUAAUAAUUUUUCAGGUACUCUUUCGAAUGAAAUAGGUUUGCUUUCUGAGCUUGAAGACCUAGAUCUUCACUCCAAUUUUUUUGUGGGGCCGCUUCCGCCAAAUAUAUUCAAGCUGUCUAAACUAAGAACCCUUUUCCUCUGGGGUAAUAACUUCUCAGGUUCUAUUUCCAACGACAUAGGUUUGCUUUCUGAGCUUGAACACCUAUAUCUCGACUCCAAUUCUUUUGAGGGACCUUUUCCAACAAAUAUUUUCAAGCUUUCCAAAUUAAUACAACUUGGUCUCGCAAACAAUACAAAUUUAUUUGAAGGAAGUAUUCCUCCAGGACUGGGGCUCUUGACUAACCUAGAGGACUUGUCUCUUGCUUACAAUAAUCUUGGUGGCUAUAUUCCGUCUUCCUUUGGAAACCUAACACUACUAGUAUAUCUUAAUCUCGCUCGUAAUCAAUUGGUUGGAACACUAUCAAAGACCAUUUCUAAUCUCACAAAUCUGUGGUUUCUUGAUGUACAUCAUAAUAGUCUCUCUGGGAAUAUUCAGAGUGACUUCUGGAAAAACUCUACAUCACUGCUUUACAUUAAUUUGGCAGACAAUAAUUUUUCUGGGAACAUUCCUAAGGAAUAUAAUGUUCUUCCAAUCCUGGAUCACAUCAAUUUUAGGGGGAACAACUUUACAGGUAUUUUUAAUUCCAUAUUUUUUCCUUCUGUUGUAUUUAAUUAUGCUAACAACUACUGCCUCUGUUUUCAAAUACAUAUCGUUUGACUUUUUGGCACAAAACUCUAUAAUAAUUCUAACUAUAAGGUCAAUGAACUUAGAAAUAUAUGUCAAAAAGUCAAACGUCAUAUAUUUGAAAUUAGAGGGAGUAUGGCUUAAUGACCUUUUAGCCCUUAAAGUUUGGGUAGAAGUUCCGAUGCGGCGUCGAAGUUUAAAAACGUACCUUUCGACCCUCAAAGUAUCUUUGUCGUACCUUUUAACCCUUAUGGCGUAUACCGGUAUAUAACGGGUGGGCAAAGUUGACAUUUCACACGUGAGGGUUAAAUGGGGCAUUAAACAUUAAGGGUUAAAAGGAACAUUUAAUAUAUUUUAAUGUAUUAUUUAGGGAUUAAAAGGAACGAGAUGUAUACUUUAAGGGUUAAAAGGUACGCCCAAACUUCACCCCGAAUAUGAAUUGUCAAGUUUAUCCCCCGAUUUGUAUCGGUAUUUUUAAAAAGGGCUAAAAAGUACGACAAAGAUACUUUGAGGGUCGAAAUGUACGUUUUUAAACUUUGAGGCCGCAUCGGAACUUCCACCCAUUCUUCGAGGGCUAAAAGGUCAUUAAGCCGAGUAUAUAUUACAGUUUUACCAAAGUUUCAACAAUCAUGACAGGUGAGCUUCCACCAACAAUUUGCGAUGCAACUUCCCUUUCGAUUCUUGAUCUGUCAAAUAAUGGAUUAAGUGGUGCACUUCCACAUUGUUUGGGGAAUCUUGCUGAUAAAUUGAUUUCGAUUAAUCUUGCUAAUAAUCAGUUUCGAGGACCAAUACCAACAAAUUUCUCCAAGAGUUGUCGUCUGACGUAUCUUAACAUCUAUAACAAUCACUUUAAAGGAUUGGUUCCCCAGUCUUUGGCAAACUGUAAGCACUUGCAAAUUCUUGAUUUUGGAAAAAAUGAAAUAGGUGGAACAUUUCCGUCAUGGCUUUUUACUCUUGGAGAGCUAGAAGUCCUGGUCCUGCGAUCAAACAGAUUUUUCGGGAGAAUAACUAGAAGGAGCAUACCACACCCCUUUCCCAAGUUGCGGAUUUUGGAUCUAUCCAACAAUCAGUUCACCGGCUAUCUGCCAAUUUCAUACUUCAAGAAUAUGAAACCAAAUGAUAAUAAUUAUGAUUAUUUCAACAACACAAACGAAGCCUAUUACGUUUAUCAAGUUUCUAUCACAUUAAAUGUGAAAGGAAGCGAGCAUGAAGUGACAAAUAUUCUUUAUAUUUACACGGCCAUUGAUCUGUCGUGCAACAAAUUUGAAGGAAAAGUUCCAGACAUUACCGGAGAGCUUAGAUGGCUUGCAUUGCUAAAUUUAUCUCAUAAUAGUCUUUCGGGGCCUAUUCCAUCACAACUGGGAAAUAUGAAAGAGCUCCAGUCUCUAGAUUUGUCGUCAAAUCAAUUGACAGGUGUUAUUCCGGAUCAACUUACUAGUAUGACAUUUCUUGCUAGUUUGAACCUGUCAGAAAACCAUCUUUCUGGGAAAAUCCCUCGGAAAGGACAGUUCAGCACUUUUGGCGAAGAAUCUUACUUAGGUAACUCGGCCUUGUGUGGAGUUCCUUUGACAAAGAAAUGUAUAGACGAAGUGCCCCCUUCACAAGUUGGAAAUGGCGAUGAUGAAAAUGUUGAUGAAGAUGAUACCGUUGAUGAAUUCAAUUGGAAAGUGAUCCUGAUGGGAUAUGCAUGUGGAUCAAUAGGCGGAUUGUCUGCAGGAUACAUUGUCUUCACAGUUGGAAAGCCUUGGUGGUUUUUGAGGUACAUUGAGACACUGCAGCAGAAGUUGAUGUGAUGCGCAACUAGAAACAACCUUAUCUUAGAAUGAAUCUGAUCAAUGUUAGCAUAUACUGAACUUUUUUUUUUGUAAAUAUGAUUUCAAGUUCUCAUACUAAUACAAGAACCACUUGUUAAAUCUUGACCAUGCUAAGAGGAUGCUGAAUGCUGAUUUAACACUUUGCGAUGCAAAGCAGGGGCGCAUUAGUAUUUUAUAUGUGUUGAUAAUUUGCGCAAUGUUAACAGGGAUAGGUCUUCUUCUCUGCCAGAUCUUCGACAGACUCUUUCAAGGUCUUCUGAGGACCCAUCGGCUCGAAUUAGUCCAUCGUGAAUUAUGAUCUGAGAGCUAUCUGCACACUAUUUCCAGGUCUUCUGUCUCGUUAACUAUGAAAGGAAGAAAUCAUGAAGUGAAUAAAAUUCUUCAUAUUUACACAAUUGAUCUAUCAUGCAACAAAUUUUGAGGAGAAAUUUCAGAGGUUUCCGAAGAGCUUAAAUGGCUUGCAUUGCUCAAUCUAUCUCAUAAUGAUCUUACUAGACAUCUCCCCGUUGCUCGCCAUUAGAAAACAGGGAUUAUUCACUCGUCCGCCGCACCGCGAACUCAUUCUUAGGUGCUCGGAGGUUUUUGAGGAUUCUUGUUGAUUAUUAAUUUUGUGAUUUUGUUGAAUACUCUAUCACUUAAUAAUGUAAUAAUUGUGUUAUUAAAUAAUUAUAUUUUAAAUUGUUAAGGAUAUUGAACUAUUUGUUUGAUUAUUUGGUUUAAAUAUAAAUGUAACUCUUGAAAUACAUUUAUUAUAUAUAUAUUUAACAUGUUAAUAUUUACUGAAUCCCUCGCAUCCGAAUCCCGAUAUUUUUAAAUUUACGGAUUCUCGUAUUCAUGUACCGUGCACUACCAUACCUUCAACCACACUCAUACUUUCUAGCUGCUCGGAAAUAUGAAUCAAUCUUUAGAUUUGUCUUCAAAUCGAUUGACGGAGGCUAUUCCACACCAGUUAGGCAGUUAACUAGAUUGACAUUUCUAGAGGUCUUGAACUUCUCAGAGAAUAAUCUUACCGGGAAAAUACCGCAAAAAGGAAAAAUCAGCACUUUCGAGAAUAUAUGAGUCAGUGUGGUUCACCUGUCUAGACCAAAAAUGUCAUCUGAGAUUCUUAUGUUUUUUAGCUAUAUAUGAGUGGAAGAAAAUUGUCGAGUCGAGGUUAAUCGAAUAAGGCGAGCCGGCUCAUUUUAAUUUAAUUGAGACAAAACUUCUACGGAGUUCGACUCCUUUAAUUAAACGGCUAUGAAAUCUCAUUAAAGUCAGCCUUGUAUAUAAACUCAAGCCAGGUCGAGUUUUAUUGAACAAAUUUCAGCUCAAACCAGUCGCGAGCAGCCCAGCUCAAGUUCGAGGCCUGCUCAUCUGUCUUCGAGUCUUGGACGAGAUUUGAAUCAUCAACUCCUUCCAAAAAGAGUAUUACACUGACAAAAAUGCAGUAACAUGUUUAAUUUAAAAGUAUAUCAUCUGUUCCCGCAGUUUAAUUUUACCCAUAUUUUUGAGAUUCAUAUAAAUUAUAAUUCCAUAAUAUUUUUUCAAUCAUAUUGGUUUUGAAUAAAAAUAUAAAUAUCAAACUUUUAUUUUUAAAAAAAUUAUAAAAUUAUAUUUUAUAAGAGUCUCAAAUACGUGGGAAAGUGGGAGUAUUAAUUUCGCCCACUAAGUCACUGACAGGUUUGUUAAUUUGUUUCCAUUUGAAGGUGUACACUGCAUAUUUUCACCAGGGAUGGCAACAAGUCGAAUCAGUUCAGAUAUAUCAGAUAUCUCAAUCCAAAUCCAAAUUAUUUUUAAAAUCCAAAUCCAAUCGAGUUUCACAUAUCAAAUUCAAAUCCAAAUUCACGGGUUUCAGAUCGGGUUCAGGUUUGUUUGGGUUUAUCCAAAACCCGAAUCCAGAAAUGUAAGUAGUAUUGUAAAAAUAUUAUUUUUUAUUUUUUCACCCUUGAAUUUCAUUAUAUUUAAAACUAAACUACACACAUUCACACUUUAUCUAUCCAUAUUAUAAACACAAUUUAGUAUAUUUAAAAUUGAAAAAAAGUAUAUUAGUAUACUACAUACAUAUAUUUGGAUAUUUGGAAAUUUUUUCGGGUUUUGUGUUUGGAUCGAAUUUAGAUUUCGGGUCCGGUUUUGAUACGGAAUACUUAAUAUCUAAAUCCAAAUUCAAACUGGUUCGGGUCUAAAAAUUAAAUUCAAAUCCAAAUCCAAAAUAUCAUGUUCGUUAAAAUUCAUUCGGGUCGAGGUUGAGUAUCCAUUCGGAUCAGAUUUUUCUCUAACCAAUAAAUUUUGUAAAUGGUCUGCACAAACGCAGUUACCGGCCCAUUUCCGUAUGAAGCCCAUGAACAAUUAUUUGUUCUGUAUAUUUUUCAAUCAAACCAAACCCAAACGCUAACAGCAGAAUUAAUUAAAUUCCUUUCACAUGUGAUUUUGUAAUGGGCCUACAUUACAAAAAUACUGUAGGACUAUCCCACUAUCCCUGACCCUACAUGUUUUCUCAAUAAUUUUGAUAAAUAUAUUAAACAGAUAUUGAACUGUUACAAAAAUAUAACGUCUGUUUUUCAAAUAAGUAACGUACGGUUUCCGAGAGAUAAAGUUUGACUUAUAUUGACAAGAUAACGCUUGAAUUUAAUAUCUUUUUAAAAAAAACUAAUAUAAAAUCUAAAUUAAAUCUUCUUCUUAAAUGAGAAUCCAGAAAAAUCUCAAAAAUUCACAACUACAUCAAUAAAAUAUAAUAUCCAACAUUAAAUAAAAAUCUUUCAAUAUCCAUUUUUUGUGUAAUUUUCAACCAAUCUGCUCUAAUUAUUUCGUCACCUUUUAAAAUUUAAAAUUUUUAAAUACUCAAAACAAUUACCCUAACCGCCAACCACCUUAGAAUUAUAAAAUCUUAAAAUUAAAUGCUAAUAAGAUUAUCAGUGUUACUCACCUAAACCAAAACGGUUACAAAAUCUAACGGCAAUAUUAUAAACUUUUAAAAAUUAAAUUUUUAAUUAAUUUGGCAAGUGGUAUUCAUAUAGAACAAAACAGUUACAAAAUCAAACUGCAAAUUAUAAAAUCUUGAAAUUAUAUUUAAUACUGUAAGAUUUAGCAUGUGGGUCCCACACAAUCAGAAAAUAAUAUGAACACGAAAUCUUGCUCUAUUAAAUACACACACCUGUACAUACAUAUAUAAACACCCACCGCCUCUUCAACUUUCCAACAUCAAAACCCUCGUAAUUCAAUUGGGUUUCUGCUGUUAUUCUCCCCUCUCUCCUCUCUCUCGCCGAGAUUUUUAUAUGCAUACAUGCGUGGGUAUAUGUAUAUGUACACCCCCUUGGCAAAAACACAGACUAAACACUAAAAGAACCCACAGAAUCAUACCCAUGUUAUGGAUAUUAUCUGGGGUUUGUUGAAAUUGUUGUAGAAGGCCUAAAGAUUUGAUUUUGGAGUAGCCCAUUUGGUUCUUGAUUGAAUUUGGUUGUGUUUUGAGUGUGAAAAGGCAAGAUUUUAUGAUUCUUGAUGGAUGAAAGUGCUAUGUUUGGCUUGAAUGGAGAUAAUGANACAAAAUCUUGAAACGCUGUUUCUUGAUGGUAAUUCUUUUGAGGGGACGUUUCCACCGAAUAUAUUCAGGCUUUCUAAAUUAAAACACCUUUCCCUAUCUGCUAAUAAGUUUUCAGGUUCUGUGCCGGAUGACAAGUUGGUGUCGAAAGUGAGAAUGUUGCGGUAGGGGGUGAUUCGGAUGAGCUUGUUGUUGUUGGGGAGACAGGGCAGGUAUAAUGCUGCAUUUGUUGUUUUUGUCGAUAUUAUGUGUUGCUUUUGUGUUUUUUGUUAUGUUUUCAUAUGUUUAGUCCGUUAUUUUUUGGAGAAUUAAGUAGUCUGAUGAAUGUUGAUUAAUCCAAUAUAUAAGCUGGGCGUUUUUGUUUAAUGUGCUUAUUAUGAUUAUAUUAUUUUGUUUGAUAAUUGAAUUGUGUUUAGAUUGUUAAUCCAAAGCCAAGGUCAAAAGACGUAAGGUAACAUUGAUGUUAAUUGAUAAAACUAACCUCAGAAAGUAGAUUGUUUGAGGCAAUAGAGAGUGUGAGCCUCUAUCAUGACAAUUUAAGAAGUUUAUAGUUGAGUCGUUGACUGCAUUACUAUCAAAUGCAUAGGGGUAUGGAAAUGAAAACGGUUAAUAACAUAUGGGCAUUUAACCUAAUAAUUUGACAACUCGACACUCGGACUUGUAUAUGUAAGUUGUAGUAGAUGCAUACGGUGUUUUAGUAGUUUAUUUGUGUACAAAUUAUUUCAUUGGGUAUUAUUUGAAGUGAAUAGUAUAUUGGAUUCAUGCAUGUUCAGACUUUAAUAUCAACAUCUUUCAGAUUUUUCUGGAUAAUGGUUAAUAAAUUCUUUGUUUAAUAAUGACCGCUUCACUUAAUGUCAUUUCUCUUCUUUCUUUUUUUAAUUAUCGGAGUGGAUAUUUAUUUAAUUUUUUCUGAUUUAUGUUGCAACUUCCAAUAUAAUUUGUUUGGGUGCUAUACUUUGAUGGAUUAUAGGUCGCAUGUCGAGACUAUCCUCACCCACGAGAUCUUUGUGCUAAACUUCCCUUUACAUCUACUCCUCAUGAANUGCUAAACCAGGUAAUAAUAUUUUUUCUCAGAAUUAAUUAUUACACCUCUUUUCAGUGCCGAACGUUCUGCGUAUCUUAUUUGACCAUUGUCUGUUGCAGUGUCACUGUUAUGUUUGUGAUGCACCGGCUCCAUGUCUCAAAUGGGGAACUGGCAUAUCUGUCAGUGACCAUUGUCAUGCCACUGGGAAGGUGGAAUUCUGGAAUCAACAAAGCCUAAAUUUUUUGAAAAGGCUUUAAAAAAUUUGGAAUUUUUUAAAAAAAUGAAAAAUGUAAAAAUUAAAAAAAUCUAAAAAUAUCUGGAAAUUCAAAAAAUAUACCUAAAUUUUUGAAAUUAAAAAAUUUUAGAAUUUUUCCAAAUUUUCAGAUUUUUUCAAAGUUUUAAAUUUAUUUUCAAAAUUUUUAGAUUUUUUCGAUGUUUUUUCAUAUUUUUUAAAGUAUUUUAAAAAAAUUCAACUUUAUUAAAAAAUCGAUAUUUAUAUUUUUCUCAAAGUUUUUUUUAUUUUUUUUAAAGGAUUCUGUUAAAGGCAGCUGAUAUUUAACGUCGCAGUGACCUAUUUGCAAACUUUUAUUAGUUCAGUGAGUUGACUGCAACUUAAAUCGAGUUCUGUGAUCCGUUUGCAAACUUUUUAAGUUCAGUGACUUAACUGCAAGUUGGCCAUGAGUUCAAUGAUCUUUUCGCCUAUUAACCCGGACUAAAUCUACUAAAAUGAUAAUUAUGGACUCACAAUGUAUAUUUUUAAUUUAUAUGUUUAGUUAAAAAUUGGUUAAUUUGACUUUCGAAAAUCAAAAUGAACAUGUAAAAGGAGAUCGUGGUAAUAAGCCCCUCAACGUGUGUAAAUGUUAAGUAAAAGGGAUAUGUUUAUUUUUAUUUUAAAAAAGAAUUAAAAAUAUUAUUUUACAAAUUAAAUUAUAAAAUACUCUCUAUAUUCCAAAUUAGUGAGUUCGUUAAUUUUAGGCACACUAAUUUAGAUGAUUUAACUGCAUAGCUAUAUAAUUUAUUUUUAAUAUUUUUAAAAAACAAUUAAAAAUAAUUUCACGAAUAACAGAUGAUCAUUAUCUUUUAAAUCACAUGCUGAAAAUCGGAUGUUGCCCUUAUCAUUAUCACAUUUUUAAGUAGUAAUGUCUCGAAAAUUAAAUAUUAGAUCCAAUAUGAUUUCAAAUAUCACUUUAUAAUAUUCUUUUUUGUCAUAAUAUCACUUAAUAAUGUUAAAUGAGUGACGUUUAUAUUUUUUUUAAAGUGUUACACAAUGAGAAACUCUAAAAAAUAUAACGGUAGAUAAUGUAGUAUCAUAUCAAAACAUUACUUUAUCUAACCAGAACAUAAUAUUCCAAGGACAAUUUAACUUUUUUUAUAAUAUUCAGAACCUUCUUUUUUUUUUUUGAAUAAAAGACAAAUUUCAUUAAUACGAAAUGUCAUACAGAAAAAUCUCCAACAAUACAUCUCGAGGAGACAUAAACACUUUUUGACAAUUUAAAGAACAGGAUAAUUUAGCUACUAGAUGAGCUACUCCAUUCGCUUGUCGUUUAACAAAUGAAACUGAAUAACAUGGCUUCGAAUUUAAAAUAAGCUUGCAGGCAUUCAAGAUGUGACCAACUUCUAAAAGAUUUUCCUGAGAGUCAUGCAAGGCUUUAAUGGCCAGGAGAGAGUCUGAUUCAAUUUCCACCACCUCAUGAUUUAAUGAGCACAACCACGGGAGACCUUCAAAAGAGAAAAGGCCCCCAGUAACCUUUUUUUAGUGUCAAAUGCCCUAGUUGUCAUUAUAAUAAAAAAUGGCCCUCAUUAUCACUCUAUAACACUACUUAAACUCACGUUCUGUUUUUCCAUCAUAAACGGCACACGCAACAGUGUUUCCAGGUUUAAUACUUUUUAAAAAAAGUCUAACGUAACAUGAAGUUACGUUCACUGAUCUGAGUUUUUUUUUCAUAUUACUCACAUCUUGCUUAUUUCCAUAUAGAAAGAAAUUCACUCACUAGUCAACGUUAUAACAAAUUAUAAUAAUAUUUAACCAGUGCACCCCAAAGGGUAGCGGCUGCGGUUUCCUACGUUAAAAAGAAUAUUUAAGCGUUCAUACAUGGGGUUUAGAAAAAUUUGUUUAUAAUUGUAAAUUAAUUUUCUGAACGUUAGGGUUUAGGAUUGAGGGUGUAGGGCCGGUAGGCCCUACUCCCUCGAGCCUAAAACCUAAUUAAUGCGAGGCUGAAGGGCCGAAGGCCCUGAAGCCGAGAAAUCGGCAGAAUAAAUAAAUUUACAAUCGUUAACAUUUAGGGUUUAGAUUUGGGUUGCAGAAUGAUUAAUUCAUACUGUAAAUUAAUUGGCCGAACGUUAGGGUUUAGGAUUGAGGGUGUAGGGCCGGUAGGCCCUACUCCCUCGAGCCUAAACCCUAAUUAAUGCGAGGCUGAAGGGCCGAAGGCGAGAAACCGGCGGAAUAAAAAAAUUUACAAUCGUUAACAUUUAGGGUUUAGGUUUGGGUUGCCAUAAUGAUUAAUUCGUACUGUAAAUUAAUUGGCUAAACGCUAGGUUUUAGGAUUGAGGGUGUAGGGCCGGUAGACCCUCCUCCCUCGAGCCUAAACCCUAAUUAAUGCGAGGCUGAAGGGCCGAAGGCGAGAAACCGGCGGAAUAAAUAAAUUUACAAUCGUUAACAUUUAGGUUUAGGUUUGGGUUGCCAUAAUGAUUAAUUCGUACUGUAAAUUAAUUGGCCAAACGCUAGGUUUUAGGAUUGAGGGUGUAGGGCCGGUAGACCCUACUCCCUCGAGCCUAAACCAUAAUUAAUGCGAGGCUGAAGGACCUUCAAGCCCUAAACGCUCGAGCCUAAACCCUAAUUAACUCGAGGCUCUAGGGCCGUGAGACCCUAAAGCCGAGGAACCGGAAUUAAAAUAUAAAACAAAAUUUUAAAUGGCGUUUAAAGUGGCGACAGAAUUGUAAGUUGGGUGUUAAGCUAGCAAACGACAUUAAGUUACGUUUUAGAUUUUUAGGUUAUUAAAAAAUAAAAAAAAAAAUCAAGAACGUCACAUGAAGGCACGUUUUACUUCUGAUAUCAAGAACGUCACAUGAAGGCACGUUUUACUUCUGAUAAACACACCAGCACGUGACUAAAGUCUCGUUUUCAUAUAUAACAGCAAUUGAAGUGACGUUUUGCUUUUUUUAGUUUAAAAUAAUAACCCCAUAACGUGACCAGGAGUCACGUUUUAGUAUAAAUCCUAAACGCUGCUUCAGAACAUGUUUUGGAGUGACACCCGGGGCCAUUUUACGGGAUUGUGACUUUAAGGUCCAUAUUGUUACUGAUGGUGACUCACAGGGCCAACACCCCCUUCAAAAAUAGCGCUUGCUUCGGCUUCAAGGACAGUAGCCACCAUGGCUUUACAUAUUGUUUUACCCAUCACAAAAACUCCCUCGCUGUCACGCAGAACCAAACCCAACGAGACCGAGGCCUCACCGAAACGCACACCUGCAUCAACAUUUAGUUUGAGAACUCCAUCCGUCAGCUUUUUCCACUUCACUCGAGAAGAAGAUGCGGAACUAGAAGUACUACCAACCUGAACAACACGCUUAGCUUUAGCCUCCUUCCAGUCAGAAAUAAUCUUAGCGCUCCAAUCCAUAGCUAUAGCAGCUGUAACAACCUUGUGAUCCCAAACCUUCUUGUUUCGAAAAAACCAAAUUCCCCAAAGAACUCGAGCAAUAUUAAAAGUUUCAUGAUCAGGACCUGAUUCAAACCUAGCAAGUAACCAAGAGGGGGCAAACUCCACCAGAGACAAAUCAAAGACCAUACCUGAGUAUUGCCAACAUAACAUUGCAAACUGGCAGGUGAAAAAUAUGUGAAUAAGGUCUUCGUCACCAGAGUUACACAUGGGACAGUCAAGAGAAAGAUUUACUCCCUUAGAUUGUAAUCGACUUUUCACAGGCACAUUAUUCCUGCAAAAACGCCAUAAAAACACUUUGAUCUUAAGAGGAACCUCCAACUGCCAGAGUUUCUUCCACCCACUAGAUUGUGUAACAGUGCCAGUGCCAAUAUUUUGGGCAUGUCAAAACUGGUAACCUGUUUUCACAGAAUUUUGGCUGUUAGUAGUCUUUGACCAAGCUAGACGAUCCACGGUCGACCUACAGGGAACAUAAGUUUUUAAAAAUUAUGUAAUUCAUUCAAUUCCGUAUCAGACAAUACAUCUUAUCAUCGGUGAUAAUGAAAAUAGUGUAGAUGUUUGACCUAGUCCCUGUUUGACAACCAAUAUAAUAAGAAAUAAAUUCUUAUUUUUCUAAAAAAUAUAUUUUUGUAUAUAAAUGUUAAAGAGAUAUUUCUUAUUUGUUGUUUGAAAAAAGUAAAGACUUAUUUCAGAAUAAAAAAAAAUUAUUGUACAUUCUCUUUAUUUCUGAAAAUAAGUUUGGUCAAAUCAUCCAUAAUUCACGUAAUUCAAAAGCCCAUUAAUUUUUUUUUUCUUGCUAAUUGAUCAGCACACGCACACGUUUCCAACUUCCCGCAAAGGGUACAGGAGUACCACCGGAGUACCAUCACACCGACGCUUUGUUGGGCCCAAUAAUUGGCUGAAGUUGAACGGGGCUUUCUGCCUCCGCUGGACCCCAGUUGGGAGGACUCUUUCCAAGUCUUUCGGAGCCUCUUUCCCAUUGACUCCAACUUUCCAGGGUGUAUACAAAUUUUUUGAAAGAGGGUGUAUACAAAUUAUUCACGGCCAUCAAAUCAACCAGCGUAGCUGGUGAACAAAUAUUAUUGUUUAUUAUAAUUUUAUUUAAUUUAAAUGUGAUUAUAAGAACAUAAGAGGACGUUUGAAAGUGUGGGUCUUAUUUCAAACAGUAGAUUUAAAAAAAUAUGAUUUCAAUUGUUAUUUAAAAUUCUUAAAUUUAUAUUAUAUUAAAAUGUUCUUAUUCUAAUUAAUGAGUCACUAUUCGUAUUCUCAAGCAUGUUAGUUUGUUAAAAUUUAAAAUUUCAAAUGAAAUUAGGCUAAAAGACCAUAAUAUCAAAGCAAAAUCUCAUUAUCCAAUAUAUUGGUGGGCAAAAAUAUUAAACCUGGCUAUUCAUUAAUAUUGGUUCUUUAUUCAAAUUAUGUCAAAUUUAUAUAAAAUUUCGAAAAUUAUUUAUGAAUAAGAGUCGGCAUUCAUAUAUUUAUUAAGGAUACAAGUGAGAAAAUGUUAUUAAAUUAAUAUUUUUUUAAUAUACGUAAGUUUUUUAAAAUAAAUUUGUAGCGUGGGACGGGAGUAUUAGACUGAUUCUGGCUUGGAGUGAAUCAGCCCAUAAAGUUUACAGGGUAGAUGACCAUUCUUAAAUCUUAAAGAAUCUUACGGUGACAGCUAACUGAACGACUCGGUUUCAGAAGUGCUGAAAAGUUUCGACGUAAACUACAAUUUGCCUAGCAUGUAAUUUCCAUGCAUUUUCUCGUUACUAGUGACAGAUAACUUUUUUGAUAUUUAUAUAUUUUUAAUUAUAAUAAAGAUACUAGUGAUUAUGGUUAGCUUUUGGAGUACUUUCGGAGUACUUGGAAAUUUUCUUUUCGAGAAAGACGAGAGUACCUAUUUCAAUUUUUUACCAAAAAUUAUAAUUGAAAACAACGGACUUUUAUACUUAUCAUAACAAUUUUUAACAUCUUGUUUAGAAAUAACCUGUUGUUGUAUUAUGCAAAAGUAAUAUCACUAGUUUCUAUAUUCGUAUUCUAAUGAUAAUAAAAACAUCUCUAAUUCAUUAAAACUCUUACAUAGAAAAUGAUAAAAAAAAAAAAGAAGAUAUAAAAUAAUUUAUUAAAAAUAUAUCAAAGNGAAGAUAUAAAAUAAUUUAUUAAAAAUAUAUCAAAGUUUUUGCACUCGGUUAUAAUUAUUGUGUAAUUUCUUUUUUCAAUUCCAAGAUAUUGUUAUAAGAAAAUUUUACAUCAUAUAUAUAUUACAAAAAAAAUUAAUGUAUUCUAUAUAUAUAUAUAUAUAUAUAUAUAUAUAUAUAUAUAUAUAUAUAUAUAUAUAUAUAUACAAUAAANNNNNNNNNNNNNNNNNNNNNNNNNNNNNNNNNNNNNNNNNNNNNNNNNNNNNNNNNNNNNNNNNNNNNNNNNNNNNNNNNNNNNNNNNNNNNNNNNNNNNNNNNNNNNNNNNNNNNNNNNNNNNNNNNNNNNNNNNNNNNNNNNNNNNNNNNNNNNNNNNNNNNNNNNNNNNNNNNNNNNNNNNNNNNNNNNNNNNNNNNNNNNNNNNNNNNNNNNNNNNNNNNNNNNNNNNNNNNNNNNNNNNNNNNNNNNNNNNNNNNNNNNNNNNNNNNNNNNNNNNNNNNNNNNNNNNNNNNNNNNNNNNNNNNNNNNNNNNNNNNNNNNNNNNNNNNNNNNNNNNNNNNNNNNNNNNNNNNNNNNNNNNNNNNNNNNNNNNNNNNNNNNNNNNNNNNNNNNNNNNNNNNNNNNNNNNNNNNNNNNNNNNNNNNNNNNNNNNNNNNNNNNNNNNNNNNNNNNNNNNNNNNNNNNNNNNNNNNNNNNNNNNNNNNNNNNNNNNNNNNNNNNNNNNNNNNNNNNNNNNNNNNNNNNNNNNNNNNNNNNNNNNNNNNNNNNNNNNNNNNNNNNNNNNNNNNNNNNNNNNNNNNNNNNNNNNNNNNNNNNNNNNNNNNNNNNNNNNNNNNNNNNNNNNNNNNNNNNNNNNNNNNNNNNNNNNNNNNNNNNNNNNNNNNNNNNNNNNNNNNNNNNNNNNNNNNNNNNNNNNNNNNNNNNNNNNNNNNNNNNNNNNNNNNNNNNNNNNNNNNNNNNNNNNNNNNNNNNNNNNNNNNNNNNNNNNNNNNNNNNNNNNNNNNNNNNNNNNNNNNNNNNNNNNNNNNNNNNNNNNNNNNNNNNNNNNNNNNNNNNNNNNNNNNNNNNNNNNNNNNNNNNNNNNNNNNNNNNNNNNNNNNNNNNNNNNNNNNNNNNNNNNNNNNNNNNNNNNNNNNNNNNNNNNNNNNNNNNNNNNNNNNNNNNNNNNNNNNNNNNNNNNNNNNNNNNNNNNNNNNNNNNNNNNNNNNNNNNNNNNNNNNNNNNNNNNNNNNNNNNNNNNNNNNNNNNNNNNNNNNNNNNNNNNNNNNNNNNNNNNNNNNNNNNNNNNNNNNNNNNNNNNNNNNNNNNNNNNNNNNNNNNNNNNNNNNNNNNNNNNNNNNNNNNNNNNNNNNNNNNNNNNNNNNNNNNNNNNNNNNNNNNNNNNNNNNNNNNNNNNNNNNNNNNNNNNNNNNNNNNNNNNNNNNNNNNNNNNNNNNNNNNNNNNNNNNNNNNNNNNNNNNNNNNNNNNNNNNNNNNNNNNNNNNNNNNNNNNNNNNNNNNNNNNNNNNNNNNNNNNNNNNNNNNNNNNNNNNNNNNNNNNNNNNNNNNNNNNNNNNNNNNNNNNNNNNNNNNNNNNNNNNNNNNNNNNNNNNNNNNNNNNNNNNNNNNNNNNNNNNNNNNNNNNNNNNNNNNNNNNNNNNNNNNNNNNNNNNNNNNNNNNNNNNNNNNNNNNNNNNNNNNNNNNNNNNNNNNNNNNNNNNNNNNNNNNNNNNNNNNNNNNNNNNNNNNNNNNNNNNNNNNNNNNNNNNNNNNNNNNNNNNNNNNNNNNNNNNNNNNNNNNNNNNNNNNNNNNNNNNNNNNNNNNNNNNNNNNNNNNNNNNNNNNNNNNNNNNNNNNNNNNNNNNNNNNNNNNNNNNNNNNNNNNNNNNNNNNNNNNNNNNNNNNNNNNNNNNNNNNNNNNNNNNNNNNNNNNNNNNNNNNNNNNNNNNNNNNNNNNNNNNNNNNNNNNNNNNNNNNNNNNNNNNNNNNNNNNNNNNNNNNNNNNNNNNNNNNNNNNNNNNNNNNNNNNNNNNNNNNNNNNNNNNNNNNNNNNNNNNNNNNNNNNNNNNNNNNNNNNNNNNNNNNNNNNNNNNNNNNNNNNNNNNNNNNNNNNNNNNNNNNNNNNNNNNNNNNNNNNNNNNNNNNNNNNNNNNNNNNNNNNNNNNNNNNNNNNNNNNNNNNNNNNNNNNNNNNNNNNNNNNNNNNNNNNNNNNNNNNNNNNNNNNNNNNNNNNNNNNNNNNNNNNNNNNNNNNNNNNNNNNNNNNNNNNNNNNNNNNNNNNNNNNNNNNNNNNNNNNNNNNNNNNNNNNNNNNNNNNNNNNNNNNNNNNNNNNNNNNNNNNNNNNNNNNNNNNNNNNNNNNNNNNNNNNNNNNNNNNNNNNNNNNNNNNNNNNNNNNNNNNNNNNNNNNNNNNNNNNNNNNNNNNNNNNNNNNNNNNNNNNNNNNNNNNNNNNNNNNNNNNNNNNNNNNNNNNNNNNNNNNNNNNNNNNNNNNNNNNNNNNNNNNNNNNNNNNNNNNNNNNNNNNNNNNNNNNNNNNNNNNNNNNNNNNNNNNNNNNNNNNNNNNNNNNNNNNNNNNNNNNNNNNNNNNNNNNNNNNNNNNNNNNNNNNNNNNNNNNNNNNNNNNNNNNNNNNNNNNNNNNNNNNNNNNNNNNNNNNNNNNNNNNNNNNNNNNNNNNNNNNNNNNNNNNNNNNNNNNNNNNNNNNNNNNNNNNNNNNNNNNNNNNNNNNNNNNNNNNNNNNNNNNNNNNNNNNNNNNNNNNNNNNNNNNNNNNNNNNNNNNNNNNNNNNNNNNNNNNNNNNNNNNNNNNNNNNNNNNNNNNNNNNNNNNNNNNNNNNNNNNNNNNNNNNNNNNNNNNNNNNNNNNNNNNNNNNNNNNNNNNNNNNNNNNNNNNNNNNNNNNNNNNNNNNNNNNNNNNNNNNNNNNNNNNNNNNNNNNNNNNNNNNNNNNNNNNNNNNNNNNNNNNNNNNNNNNNNNNNNNNNNNNNNNNNNNNNNNNNNNNNNNNNAAUCAUCUGACAGGGCCUAUCCCCCAAAAAGGACAGUUCAGCACAUUCAACAAGGAUUCUUACCUAGGUAACUUUGCCUUGUGUGGAUUACCUUUAACUAAUAACUGUACACACACUGUGUCACCACCACAAGAAGGCGGAACUGGUGACAAUGAUGCCUAUGAUGAACCCGAUUGGGAAGUGAUCCUCAUGGGAUAUGGAUGUGGACUAAUAUGCGGAUUGUCCACUGGGUACGUUGUCUUCACAUUCAGAAAGCCUCAGUGGUUUAUGAGAUACACUGAAAGCGUGCAACAGAAGUUGAUGAGAUGAUGCAUGUUGAGUACCGUUCAAUCAUGAAGCACAACUGGAAACAAUGUUAUCUUAGGAAAACAUGUGUUCUGAACCAGUAGUGUUUGCACAAAAUUUGUGGUGCUAUGUAAUACUUAUAUAAUUGUACGUAUGAUUAUUGAUUAGUCGUUGAGAAAAUGCAUUUUAUUUCAGUGUCAAUGAUAAUCUACAUGUUUUGGAUACUUCCAGCUUCUCAUACUAAUAUAGGAACCACUUGAAAAAUUUUGCGAUGCAAAGCAGGGACUCAUGAGUAUUUUCAUAUGUGUAUUAGUUUUGAAGAUAAAAGUUGUAUGGACAAUUGUGUUGAUAAUUUGCGCAAUGAUAACUGGGAUAGGUCAUCUUCUCUCCCAAGUCUUGGAUGGACUCUUUCCAAGUCUUCUGAGAACCCAUCAGCUCAGAUUAGUCCAUACAAUGUCAAGGGUCCUAUGAUAUGGUCUACUAACAGCCCAGUGUCGGUAAUAAAUCCAAUUGCAUAUAACCUAUUCAAAAUCAAUCCCCUAUAAACAAUCAUCUCUAAAAACUAUUCACAUAAAAUAAAAUUUUAAAAAUAUAAAAUAUCUAGUUGUUUUCAAUAUAUAAUUUUCCACAGUAGAUAACAAAAUAUCUUUAUCAAAUUAUAUUAUUUAUGGGUUCAAUAUUUAAGCUAUAAUUCCAAUAACACGGCAAGCAUGCAUGCAGCAUAUAAAUAGAAGUGUGCAGUAUGUAUGGUAUUCAUAACCCAGUUGAGGAGAAACAUGGCACACUUUGUAAAGCCUUCUCACCUUCUUCUCUUUGUUUUCUUUCUCUCAUCACUUGAGUCCAUUCUUGCAACAAGACGAGAGGGAGAGGGAGAAGCUCUUGUGAAAUGGAAGAAUAGCCUAGCCCCUUCUUCUUUUCUCGACUCUUGGUCACUCACCAAUCUCGAUAAUCUUUGUAACUGGACUGGCAUUACUUGUAACUCUGCAGGUUCAGUCACUGAGAUUAACCUUUUCGGAAAAAAACUUGAUGGAAGGCUGUCCGAGUUUGGUUUCACUUCAUUUCCAAAUCUCAACAAUCUCACCCUUGCAGAUAACUUCUUCUUGGGUCCAAUACCACCAGCCAUUGAGAAUUUAACACAGCUUCAGUAUCUUGAUUUAAGCUUUAAUUAUCUCGAUGGUCCCAUUCCGUUCCAGGUUAGCCAUCUUCAAAGGUUGCUUGUCUUAAACGUGUCACAGAAUGCAUUGCAUUCUCCAAAUUGGUCCAAUUUCUCAAACAGAUGAAAUUAUGCAACUGAAAUUGAUGUAGUCUUAAAGAAUUCUCAGGCACUUAAACAUGUUUCAAAGAAUUCUCAGGCACUUAAACAUUUGGACGGGUUCUUUGGAAGCCAAGAUGCCCAGGUUAUCAUGGCCAUGCACAAAAUGCAGUAUAAAAAAAAAAUGAAUACCUUAAGAGAGAUUGCUCUGGGUCUCCCCAAGCCUUCUAGACUCAUUCCAAGUCUUCUGAGGACCACUGCCUCGCGCUUUCAAAGAUGUGAUGGUAGCUCGGGAGUGAUAUAAAUUAUUUUCGGGACACUAAUAAUAAAUAAUCAGAUCAAAUUAAUCAUCAAUAAUAAAUUGAGGAUACGAAAUCAAAAUUAAUCCUAAAUUUUGAUAAUAUAUAAAAAUUACUUUACGUACACUGUUUGCACGCAUUUUGAGCUCGUAUAAAGUAUAGUUUCAUAACUUUUUUUAAAAAAUUUCUUUUUUGAUAAAAGUUUAAACGUCAAACUUUUAUUCAGAGAAAAAAAAUUAAAAAAUAUAUCACGGAACUAUACUUUAAAUUAGUAUGGAAAAACGUGCCAAAAUUAACGUAAAGAAAUGAGGGGAACAAAGAUAGUAUAAUUAUAUUAUAAAUUAAAAUUGAAAUAACUUACGUGGCACUGAAAUUGAUAAAGGCAAUAUGGUUAAAUUGAUGAAAAGUCAAAGUCCUCUAAUAAAUCCAUAAAGAAUAUAAUAAUCAAAACGACGAAAAUUAUAAAUGAAAAAUCAAAAUCAUCCUAAUAAGUACACAAAAAGAAUAUGAUCGUUAGUGUAUUGGAAUAGUGUGCACACACUUAUAUAUCAAAAUUUGUGGUCCAAAAGCUAUGGCACAAUAUUCUAAAUACACCACAUUAAGUAAUAGUUCAAAAAUAUUCAAUAUAUAAUUGUUUUCAUUCAUAAUUUUGUUAUUAUUUUAAAAAAUAAUUUGGUUGCUGUUAACCUAUAUUUCAAUUAUAUAAUUAUAUUAUUUUUUAUUUUAUGUAUCUAGAAACAAUAUUUUUGUAAUAUUUAUUACAUUAAUUAUAUUAAAAGAUAUAAUUUGUUAAAAACUUGAAUAAAAUUAAGAGGAUAACUUUAUGUCUCUCCAAGUUCACAGCACGGGUGAGCAUUGGGUUCGGAUAUCCAUAUACCGAAUGGAUAUAUCAAAUCAAAACUAAUCAUGAAUUAUGAUAAUAAUUAAAUAAAUUAUAAUUAAGCUAUAUGAAUCAACUCCAAAUGACAACAACAGCACCAAACCUUAGUUACUUUAAUAUUGGUAAAUAAAUAUAAUAUAAUAAUCAAAUUGAUGAAAAAUCACAUCAUCUAAUAAAUUCACAAAAAAUAUAUGAUCAUUAGUAUAUUAUAUUAGUAUCCACACACUUAUAUUUCAAAAUCUAUCCUCCAAAAUUAUCAUCUCUGUAAGCUAGCCACAUAAAAUAAAAAAUUUAAAGAUAUUAGAUAUUUAGUUAUUUUCAUUAUAUAAUUUUUCCACACGAAAUAACAAAAUAUCUUUAUCAAAUUAUUAUUUAUGAGUUAAAUAUUCAAGUUAUAAAUCCAGUAUUCAGCGUAUAAAUAGAAGUGUGCAGUAUGAUAUCAGAUUCACAUAACCCAGUUGAUGAGGAGAAACAUGGCAUACUCUGCAAAGCCUUCUCACCUUCUUCUCUUUGUUUUCUUUCUCUCAUCACUUGAAUCCAUUCUUGCAACAACACGAGAGGGAGAAGCUCUUGUGAAAUGGAAGAAUAGCCUAGCCCCUUCUUCUUUUCUCGAUUCUUGGUCCCUCACCAAUCUCGAAAAUCUUUGUAACUGGACUGGCAUUACUUGUAACUCUGCAGGUUCAGUCUCUGAGAUUAACCUCUGUGAGAAACAACUUGAUGGAAUGCUGUCCGACUUCGGUUUCACUUCAUUUCCAAAUCUCAAGAAUCUCACCCUCGCAUACAACUUCUUCUCGGGUCCAAUACCACCAGCCAUUCAGAACUUAACAAGGCUUCAAUGCCUUGAUUUAAGCUUUAAUUAUCUCAAUGGUCCUAUUCCGUUCCAGGUGAGCCAUCUUCAGAGCUUGCUCAUCUUGAACCUGUCACAGAAUGCAUUGCAAACUCCAAAUUGGUCCCAUUUCUCUCCCAUGCCUUUCUUGCGCAUCCUCAACCUCAGUUACAAUCCUCUUGCGUCGAAAUUCCCAGAUUUUAUAUCCAGUUCUCAUAGCCUGACUCACCUUAGCCUUAAUUAUAACGAGUUUACUGGUGAUUUAGUACGUGAAUCAGUAUUUGCCGAUCUGCAUAAUCUUGAAAAGCUCAGUCUUGUUGGCAAUUCUUUCGAGGGGCCAUUUCCGCCGGAUAUAUUCAGGCUUUCCAAAUUAAAACAUCUUAGCAUGUCAGAUAACAAACUUUCAGGUUCAAUUCCCAAUGACAUAAGGUUGCUUUGUGAUCUUGAAUACCUAUAUUUAGCCAACAAUUCCUUUGAAGGACCGCUUCCACCAAAUAUAUUCAAGUUUUCAAAAUUAAAACAUCUUGUUCUUUGGGGUAAUAAGUUUUCUGGUUCUGUUUCCAAUGAUAUAGGUUUGCUUUCUGAGCUUGAAACUCUCGAUCUUAGCUCUAAUUUUUUUGAGGGGCCGCUUCCGCCAAAUGUAUUCAAGCUCUCCAAACUAAAAGUUCUCACCCUGUCAAUUAACAAAUUUUUAGGUUCAAUUCCCAAUGACAUAAGGUUACUUUGUGAUCUUGAAUACCUAUAUUUAGGCAACAAUUCCUUUGAAGGACCGCUUCCACCAGGUAUAUUCAAGCUUUCAAAAUUAAAACAUCUUUUUCUUUGGGGUAAUAAGUUUUCAGGUUCUGUUUUCAAUGAUAUAUGUUUGCUUUCUGAGCUUGAAACCCUCGAUCUUAACUCUAAUUUUUUUGAGGGGCCGCUUCCGCCAAAUGUAUUCAAGCUCUCCAAACUAAAGAUUCUUUCCCUUUAUGUGAACAACUUUUCAGGUUUUAUUUCUAAGGAUAUAGGUUGGCUUUUUGAACUUGAAACCCUCUAUCUUGGCUCUAAUUUUUUUGAGGGGCCGCUUCCCCCACAUGUAUUUAGGCUCUCCAAAUUAAGAGAUUUGGACCUCUCAGACAAUAGAAAUUUAUUUGAAGGAAGUAUUCCUAUUGGACUGGGACUCUUGACUAACCUCAGGUACUUAGAUCUACAUUUCAGUAAUCUCAGUGGCUAUAUUCCAUCUGACAUUGGAAACCUGAAGCUACUAGUACUUCUUGAUCUCAGUUCUAAUAAAUUGACUGGACCGCUUUCAAAGAUCAUUUCUAAUCUCACAAAUCUUAUAUUUCUUGAUGUAAGUGAUAAUAGUCUUAGUGGAAAUAUUCAGAGUGACUUGUGGAAAUAUAACGAUCAUCCAACUUUGGAAUACAUCGAUUUAAGUGGGAACCAUUUUACGGGUAUAGUUUUUCUCUAUAGAUCUUUUCUUUUUCUCAUAUGUAACUAAGCUAGUAAUCUGAUUAUUGCAGUUUCACCAAAGUUUCAACAAUCUUGACAGGUGAGCUUCCAACAACAAUUUGCAAUGUCACUUCCCUUUUGGUUCUUGAUUUGUCAAAUAAUGAAUUAAGUGGUGCACUUCCAAACUGUUUCGGGAAUCUUGCUGAUAGAUUGCUUUUCAUUAAUCUUGCUAAUAAUCAGUUUCGAGGAACAAUACCAACUACUUUCUCCAGGAGUUGUCAGCUGACAUAUCUAAACAUGGAUAAUAAUGAGUUUGAAGGAUUGUUGCGCCCAUCUUUGGCGAACUGUAAGCACUUGAAAAUUCUUGAUAUUGGCAAUAAUAAAAUAGGUGGUACAUUUCCGUCAUGGCUUUAUGCACUUGGAGAGCUAGAAGUCCUUGUCUUGCGAUCAAAUAAACUCUAUGGUACAAUAAGUGGGAGGAGCAUAGAAAAUCCCUUCCCCAAGUUGCGGAUUGUGGAUCUGUCCAACAAUCAAUUCACUGGCCAUUUGCCAAUUCAAUACUUUAAGAAUAUGAAAUCAACUGAUAAUUUGUAUAGUUAUCAGAAUGACACAGGAGUUUUUUCUUUCCAUUAUGAAGCAUCUGUAUCAUUAACUGUGAAGGGAACAGAGUAUGAAGUGAAAAAUAUCCUUCAUAUUUACACAACCAUUGAUCUGUCCUGCAACAAGUUUCAAGGAGAAAUUCCUGACGUUAUUGGAGAGCUUAGAUGGCUUGCAUUGCUGAACUUAUCUCAUAAUAGUCUAACAGGACAUAUCCCAUCAUUGCUGAGAAAUAUGAAAGGACUCCAAUCUUUAGAUUUGUCUUCAAAUCAACUGACAGGGGCUAUUCCACCUCAGUUAACUGCAUUGACAUUUCUAGAGGUCUUGAACCUCUCGGGAAACCAUCUUAGUGGAGAGAUUCCUCAGAAAGGACAGUUCAGCACAUUCAACAAUGAUUCUUAUCUAGGAAACUCCGCGUUAUGUGGAUCACCUUUGACAAAGAAAUGUGUAAACACAGCAUCACCUCCACAGGAAGUCGGAAAUGGUGAUGAAGAUGAUGCUGGCGAUGAAUGGACAUGGGAAGCAAUCGUGAUGGGAUAUGGAUGUGGACUGAUAUGUGGAUUGUCGUCUGCGUACAUUGUUCUCAGACUAGGAAGGCCUUGGUGGUUUGUGAGAUAUAUCGAAGUACUGCAACUGAAGUUGAUGAAAAGAUAUGCAUGAAGAAAGGUACUGGUAGAUCAAGAUGAACUUGAAAGUUAUUUUCGUGGAUGACAUUUGUGAACCAGUACUGUACUAGCUGCUUAAGUAUUUGGUAUUAUGUAAUAAUCCGUUUGGUCGGGACUCAUAAUGAUAUUUCUUGCUUCAGGGGUAUUAAUAUAAACCUUGGUAUUGUGUACUAGCUGUCUGUUUGGUCGUGACUCAUAAUCUUUCAUGUAUUAACAUAAGGUUUUAAUACAUCCCGUACCAGGUUAGCCAUCUUCAGAUAUUACACAUCUUACUGCUGUCGCAUAAUGAAUUGCAAUCUCCAAAUUGGUCCAACUUCUCUUCCAUGCCCUUUUUGCGCAUCCUCGGCCUUGGCAGCAAUAAUCUGGUGUCAAAAUUCCCAGAAUUUAUAUCUGACUCUCAUAGCCUCACUUUCCUUGACCUUUCUUUUAACAAGUUUACAGGUGAUCUUGUGCUUGAAUCAAUUUUUACCGAUCUACAUAAUCUUGAAAACCUCCAUCUUGCUGGAAAUUCCUUUGAGGGGCCGAUUCCACCUAGAGUAUUUAAGCUUUCCAAUUUAAAAGUUCUUGAACUCACGGGUAAUAACUUUUCUCGUUCUAUUUCCAACGAUAUAGGUUUGCUUUCUGAACUUGAGACCCUCUAUCUUGACUUCAAUUUUUUUGAUGGACCAAUUCCCCCAAAUAUAUUCAACCUUUCCCAAUUAAAAAUUCUUGAACUAACAGAAAAUAACUUUUCUGGUCCUGUUUCCAAUGAUAUAAGUUUGCUUUCUGAGCUUGAAAACCUCAAUCUUGCCUUAAAUUCUUCUGAUGGGCCUUUUCCAUCAAAGAUAUUCAACCUAACCAAAUUGAGACAUCUAAAUCUCUAUGGCAAUAAGAAUUUAUUUAAAGGAAGUAUCCCACUGGAUAUCAGAAACCUGAAGCUCCUGGAAUCUAUUAAUCUCGGUUCUAAUCAAUUGGUUGGACCACUUUCAAUGCUCAUUUCUAAUCUCACUAAUCUUAAGAUGGUUGGGCUAAGCGAUAAUAGGUUUUUUGGCAAAAUUCCUAGUGACUUCUUGAAAAACUUGCCAUCCUUACACGUCAUUGAUCUUUCAAAUAAUAAUUUGUCCGGAAAUAUUCCCAGGGAGUAUAACGUGCAUCCAAUUUUAGAAUACAUCAAUUUAAGUGGAAACCAUCUUACAGGUUUACUUCUCCCUCAAUAUAUUUUAUUUUCCUUUUGUAUGUUACAUUGAUUACACUUUUACCGAAGCUCAAACAAUUUUAACAGGUGAGAUCCCAGCAACAAUUUGCAAUGCUACAAACCUUUAUAUUCUGGUUCUGUCAGAUAAUGGAUUAAGUGGUGCCCUUCCGCAUUGUUUGGGAAAUCUUGCAGAUAAAAUGCAUUGCAUUGAUCUCGCUAAUAAUCAGUUCCGAGGACCAAUACCAACAACCUUCUCAGAGAGUUGCCAGUUAAGAUAUCUAAACAUGUAUGACAAUCAGUUAGAAGGACUUUUGCCCCGAUCUUUGUCAAACUGUAAGCACUUGAAAAUUCUUGACAUCGGGAACAACAAAAUGGGCGGUACAUUUCCUUCAUGGCUAUUCACUCUCAGAGAGCUAGAAGUCCUAGUCUUGCAAUCAAAUAAACUGUAUGGUCCAGUAAGUGGAAGGAGCACACAUCACAUCCAUUCCCCAAGUUGCGGAUUCUAGAUCUCUCCAACAACCAAUUCACGGGCUAUUUGCCAAUUCAAUACUCUUUAAGAAUAUGAAACCAGCUGCUGAUAACAUUUGUCUUAGGAUGACACAUGUUCUAAACUAUGACAAUAGUAUGCAAUCUCGUUUAAUACUUUCAUAUUAUGAACUAGUUCUGUUGAAUAAAUAAAUAUUAUUAAUUAAUCAAUCAUGUGCGCUCGAGUUUCCCUGGCCAGAUGCCCAGAUUAUUAGAGCAUCUCCAGCAGAGUCUUAACCGGUUCUCUAAAUAUAUAAUAAAAUAUGUAUCUUUUAAGGGAUUACUACAUUUUAGUGAAUGAGAACUCCAACAACAUUCCCUAUUUACAUUCUCUAUUAUUAUUAUAAUAUUAUAUUCAACUUGUAAUAAGAGAGAGAAAGUUUGGAAAGAGUAAAAGUGAGAAAAAAUAAGUGAAUAUUUUAUUCUUCAGAAUAAUAUAAGGAAAGAAAAUGCCAAAACAAUUAACUAUAAUCUACGCAAUAAUUUUUUAUAUUGAUUAGACGUUAUCUUUAUCAAUAUUUAGUCAGAUAUUCGGAUAUAUAUCAUUCCCUUUGUUUUUAUACCAUCUUUUUUUUGACUUUCGGGCCAAAUCACUACGUGGGUUGACUGGAUAGUAGAAAUUAAUAUUUUUGUCUGUUUUUUAAAAUAAAAAUCUGUAUUUUUAUUUUGAUUUCGAAGAAUAUAAUCCAUAAGGUAAAUAAUUUUUAANNNNNNNNNNNNNNNNNNNNNNNNNNNNNNNNNNNNNNNNNNNNNNNNNNNNNNNNNNNNNNNNNNNNNNNNNNNNNNNNNNNNNNNNNNNNNNNNNNNNNNNNNNNNNNNNNNNNNNNNNNNNNNNNNNNNNNNNNNNNNNNNNNNNNNNNNNNNNNNNNNNNNNNNNNNNNNNNNNNNNNNNNNNNNNNNNNNNNNNNNNNNNNNNNNNNNNNNNNNNNNNNNNNNNNNNNNNNNNNNNNNNNNNNNNNNNNNNNNNNNNNNNNNNNNNNNNNNNNNNNNNNNNNNNNNNNNNNNNNNNNNNNNNNNNNNNNNNNNNNNNNNNNNNNNNNNNNNNNNNNNNNNNNNNNNNNNNNNNNNNNNNNNNNNNNNNNNNNNNNNNNNNNNNNNNNNNNNNNNNNNNNNNNNNNNNNNNNNNNNNNNNNNNNNNNNNNNNNNNNNNNNNNNNNNNNNNNNNNNNNNNNNNNNNNNNNNNNNNNNNNNNNNNNNNNNNNNNNNNNNNNNNNNNNNNNNNNNNNNNNNNNNNNNNNNNNNNNNNNNNNNNNNNNNNNNNNNNNNNNNNNNNNNNNNNNNNNNNNNNNNNNNNNNNNNNNNNNNNNNNNNNNNNNNNNNNNNNNNNNNNNNNNNNNNNNNNNNNNNNNNNNNNNNNNNNNNNNNNNNNNNNNNNNNNNNNNNNNNNNNNNNNNNNNNNNNNNNNNNNNNNNNNNNNNNNNNNNNNNNNNNNNNNNNNNNNNNNNNNNNNNNNNNNNNNNNNNNNNNNNNNNNNNNNNNNNNNNNNNNNNNNNNNNNNNNNNNNNNNNNNNNNNNNNNNNNNNNNNNNNNNNNNNNNNNNNNNNNNNNNNNNNNNNNNNNNNNNNNNNNNNNNNNNNNNNNNNNNNNNNNNNNNNNNNNNNNNNNNNNNNNNNNNNNNNNNNNNNNNNNNNNNNNNNNNNNNNNNNNNNNNNNNNNNNNNNNNNNNNNNNNNNNNNNNNNNNNNNNNNNNNNNNNNNNNNNNNNNNNNNNNNNNNNNNNNNNNNNNNNNNNNNNNNNNNNNNNNNNNNNNNNNNNNNNNNNNNNNNNNNNNNNNNNNNNNNNNNNNNNNNNNNNNNNNNNNNNNNNNNNNNNNNNNNNNNNNNNNNNNNNNNNNNNNNNNNNNNNNNNNNNNNNNNNNNNNNNNNNNNNNNNNNNNNNNNNNNNNNNNNNNNNNNNNNNNNNNNNNNNNNNNNNNNNNNNNNNNNNNNNNNNNNNNNNNNNNNNNNNNNNNNNNNNNNNNNNNNNNNNNNNNNNNNNNNNNNNNNNNNNNNNNNNNNNNNNNNNNNNNNNNNNNNNNNNNNNNNNNNNNNNNNNNNNNNNNNNNNNNNNNNNNNNNNNNNNNNNNNNNNNNNNNNNNNNNNNNNNNNNNNNNNNNNNNNNNNNNNNNNNNNNNNNNNNNNNNNNNNNNNNNNNNNNNNNNNNNNNNNNNNNNNNNNNNNNNNNNNNNNNNNNNNNNNNNNNNNNNNNNNNNNNNNNNNNNNNNNNNNNNNNNNNNNNNNNNNNNNNNNNNNNNNNNNNNNNNNNNNNNNNNNNNNNNNNNNNNNNNNNNNNNNNNNNNNNNNNNNNNNNNNNNNNNNNNNNNNNNNNNNNNNNNNNNNNNNNNNNNNNNNNNNNNNNNNNNNNNNNNNNNNNNNNNNNNNNNNNNNNNNNNNNNNNNNNNNNNNNNNNNNNNNNNNNNNNNNNNNNNNNNNNNNNNNNNNNNNNNNNNNNNNNNNNNNNNNNNNNNNNNNNNNNNNNNNNNNNNNNNNNNNNNNNNNNNNNNNNNNNNNNNNNNNNNNNNNNNNNNNNNNNNNNNNNNNNNNNNNNNNNNNNNNNNNNNNNNNNNNNNNNNNNNNNNNNNNNNNNNNNNNNNNNNNNNNNNNNNNNNNNNNNNNNNNNNNNNNNNNNNNNNNNNNNNNNNNNNNNNNNNNNNNNNNNNNNNNNNNNNNNNNNNNNNNNNNNNNNNNNNNNNNNNNNNNNNNNNNNNNNNNNNNNNNNNNNNNNNNNNNNNNNNNNNNNNNNNNNNNNNNNNNNNNNNNNNNNNNNNNNNNNNNNNNNNNNNNNNNNNNNNNNNNNNNNNNNNNNNNNNNNNNNNNNNNNNNNNNNNNNNNNNNNNNNNNNNNNNNNNNNNNNNNNNNNNNNNNNNNNNNNNNNNNNNNNNNNNNNNNNNNNNNNNNNNNNNNNNNAUAUACACUUCCAUUUCCACUUUCCAGUAUUAAGUUUAGAAUUAAGAUCUUAACAACAUAGCAAUCAUUUAAACCUCGAAGAAAAUUGUGCACAUUAACAAGACCAAAGAGAAAACAGAUAGCAUAAAAUUGUGUAACACGUAUAAUUUAAAUCCACUUCUCAGUAUACUCCACAUUCAAGGUGAUCUAACUGCUACAAUAUUCUAAUUUUCACAGCUACGACACUGAACAAUAUAAGAACCAGUUUACUGUAAGUUUACUGAACAUAUAUAUACGACAUUGAACAAUAUAAAAUAGCUAUCCUUUGUAAGACCAAAAACAAAGGACACUAGCUAGCUAAUUCAAUAUACAAAACCACUCCAAUCAGUUUAUGAUAAGCAACUACAAACAUACAAAUACAUAUAAACAUACAAAUACAUAUAAACAUACUAUCUCAUUUUCCAAAAACCACAACUACAAACUAUCUCAUUUUCCAAAAACACACACUGAAAUACAUAUAUACAUACACAUACAACCACAAGGAUACCCAAACUCAAGUAAUAAAUAAGAAAUUACCUCCUCCAACUCGAAGAGAGCUUGAAUAGACUUGAACAGAGCUUGAACAGACUCCGAGCUCGAACUCCCUACAAACUCGAACUGAAGUACGAGCACCCACUAAACCCACAAACUCCACACUCGAACUGAACUCUGAGAUCUGUUGAAAAAACGAAUUAAAGAAGCAAAUGAGUAUUGUAAUCGAACAAACAUCAGUUUAUUAGGUACAAAUCAACCUUUAUCGCACAAAUUUAAGGAUGAAAUCGGCCGAAUUGGAACCUAGGGUUCGCUCGCUGAGAAAGGGGGAAGAACGGGGAGAGAGAAUGUAUUUUGUACAAAUGAUUUAAUUUAGGUAGUUUUAUUAGUUUUAUGUCUUUUUCCUUUUAAUUUUAUGUUUAAAGACAGGUGUUGAUGUCUUGUUCAGACAACACAUCAACUAAGCAGCGGGGUUUUAAAGGCGGGGUUUUUUUGUUUGUGAAAAAUUUGGCUAAGUGGGGAAUAGAAGCGGGGAAGCGCGGCCAAUUUUUUAAAAACAUGUUUUAGACAUCGGUUCUACACUAAGAUGAUGUCUAGUUUUUUAAUAGACAUCGGUUUUUAAAAUUUCGAUGUAAAAAAGGGUUUUAACAUCGGUGGUUUUUUUAACCGAUGUCUAAUCUGUGAUGUCUGAUCCUGUUUUUCUAGUAGUGAUCACUGCAACAAAAUAUUAGUUACGACGGAACAAUGUCGCUGGACUUUAUUUGUUUACAUUUUUUUAAUAGUAGUUAAUUUUUAAACUUGCGACGGAAAACAUACGACAGUCUACUUCGCGAGAGAAAAUCAUUUUAUUUUAUUUUUUAGCGCCAGAAUUUUAAUACUAAACUACUAUAGGGCCGUUUGGGCUAGCUUAAAAAAAGUGAUUUUUUACUUACAGUAAAGAAGUGGAUUAAAAGUGAGAAGCAAAUAAGUCAAUAAAAUGUUUGGAAAAGAAGUAGAAGCUGUGAGAGAGAAGUUAGCAUUCUCAGCUUCUUAAAAGUGCUUCUGCUUAUUUACAUAAACGGGUAAAAAAAAAAAAGCAAAAGCCAGAAGCAGCUUCUACUUCUCGAAACAAACAGGGCCAAUAUAUAUGAAGGAAACUGAUCUCUAUUGUUUUCAGCUUGCUCAUCCAUGGUAAGUAAUCCGUCGAAAAAGUUAGUUUGUUGUCGUGGUGUCUUAUCAUGAGAGAAAAUGGUAAUAUCGCAAAAUAUUUGCAACUGAAAGAUAAAUUAUAGUUCUAGAAACCAUUUAGGUAACGAUGCGCGGAGUUAUUUUCACUCACUUAGAAUUAAUGAUAAAUAUUUGCAACUGAAAGAUACAUUAUAGUUCUAGAAAAGGAUCCACGGAAUUAUUUUCACUCACUUAGAAUUAAUCCUAAGUUAUUGUGAGUUUUUGAAUAUGGAUUAUCUCAAAUUUUAUUAAAACACAUAUCGAUUCAUAUAGACAAAUUUGCCUACCUAAUAUUAUAAUAUUUAUGGCGAAGUUGUAUGAACAAUUGUGUAGAUAAUUAUACUUUACAAAGCAUACUUCUGCUAGCUGAAUUUUGAUUAAAAAAUCGAAAGGGAUAGGUCUGGGUCUCUCCAAGUCUUUGAGGACUCAUUCCAAGUCUUCUGAUGAGGACAAAAUAUAUCGCUGGUAGUCUUUCAGUCCUUCCUAGAGUAUUUUAUGCUCUGCACUGCAUUUGUGUUGAUAAUUUGCGCAAUGUUGAUGAGGAUUGCUCCAAGUCUUGGCGGACUCUUUCCAAAUCUUCCGAGGACCUAUCGGUUCAAUUUAGCCCAUUAAAAAUUUUAUUAUCUCAAAGCUAUCUGCAAAAUAAUAUAUAAGGUAAAAAUGAAUAUAUACCAUUGUUUUGUGAUUAAGUUGUAUAGGCAAUAUGCAUUGCAAAAUCAGCAACAGGAUAUAUGAAUACUAAUUAAUUACCUGAUAUCAGUAUGAACAAAUACUUUCUAUGUAGUUGUAAUAUUAGUCUUCUUUAAAAGUUAUCAUGAGGGAAGGUAUAUAUUGUGAUGCGGGAGAAAUAUUGUCACUGAAAAUAAUUAUAAUUCUAAAAUUUCCAUUAUACACUUUUUUUAGUGUUUGUACGUGGUAAGUACUUCAGACGACAUUUCUCGCGUAUGCCUCCGAUUAAGAAUUUGAUGUUCAGCCUAGUCCUAAACUAAAAUUAUUAUAAAUGUGUACUUCAAAAUUAUAUAUAUUGCUGGUAGUCUUUCAGUUCUUCCUGGUGUAUGCAAUUGUUUCAUUCAAUACCAAUUAUUUUAUACUAUGCACUCUGAUAUCAUGUUGAGAACAAUCCAUCAAAAACUUUAAACCUUAAUUAAGGUGUUAGAGGAAAAUACCAAUUAGAUCUUAUGCUAUAUUUCAAUACUUCCAACACUCUGCGAUGCAAAGCAGGGACUCUUGAGUAUUUUCAUAUGUGUAUUAGUUUUGAAGAUAAAAGUUGUAUAGAGAAUUGUGUUGAUAAUUUGCGCAAUUGCGCAAUGAUAACUGGGAUAGGUCAUCUUCUCUCCCAAGUCUUGGAUGGAAUCUUUCCAAGUCUUCUGAGAACCCAUCAGCUCAGAUUAGUCCAUACAAUGUCAAGGGUCCUAUGAUAUGGUCUACUAACAGCCCAGUGUCGGUAAUAAAUCCAAUUGCAUAUAACCUAUUCAAAAUCAAUCCCCUAUAAACAAUCAUCUCUAAAAACUAUUCACAUAAAAUAAAAUUUUAAAAAUAUAAAAUAUCUAGUUGUUUUCAAUAUAUAAUUUUCCACAGUAGAUAACANNNNNNNNNNNNNNNNNNNNNNNNNNNNNNNNNNNNNNNNNNNNNNNNNNNNNNNNNNNNNNNNNNNNNNNNNNNNNNNNNNNNNNNNNNNNNNNNNNNNNNNNNNNNNNNNNNNNNNNNNNNNNNNNNNNNNNNNNNNNNNNNNNNNNNNNNNNNNNNNNNNNNNNNNNNNNNNNNNNNNNNNNNNNNNNNNNNNNNNNNNNNNNNNNNNNNNNNNNNNNNNNNNNNNNNNNNNNNNNNNNNNNNNNNNNNNNNNNNNNNNNNNNNNNNNNNNNNNNNNNNNNNNNNNNNNNNNNNNNNNNNNNNNNNNNNNNNNNNNNNNNNNNNNNNNNNNNNNNNNNNNNNNNNNNNNNNNNNNNNNNNNNNNNNNNNNNNNNNNNNNNNNNNNNNNNNNNNNNNNNNNNNNNNNNNNNNNNNNNNNNNNNNNNNNNNNNNNNNNNNNNNNNNNNNNNNNNNNNNNNNNNNNNNNNNNNNNNNNNNNNNNNNNNNNNNNNNNNNNNNNNNNNNNNNNNNNNNNNNNNNNNNNNNNNNNNNNNNNNNNNNNNNNNNNNNNNNNNNNNNNNNNNNNNNNNNNNNNNNNNNNNNNNNNNNNNNNNNNNNNNNNNNNNNNNNNNNNNNNNNNNNNNNNNNNNNNNNNNNNNNNNNNNNNNNNNNNNNNNNNNNNNNNNNNNNNNNNNNNNNNNNNNNNNNNNNNNNNNNNNNNNNNNNNNNNNNNNNNNNNNNNNNNNNNNNNNNNNNNNNNNNNNNNNNNNNNNNNNNNNNNNNNNNNNNNNNNNNNNNNNNNNNNNNNNNNNNNNNNNNNNNNNNNNNNNNNNNNNNNNNNNNNNNNNNNNNNNNNNNNNNNNNNNNNNNNNNNNNNNNNNNNNNNNNNNNNNNNNNNNNNNNNNNNNNNNNNNNNNNNNNNNNNNNNNNNNNNNNNNNNNNNNNNNNNNNNNNNNNNNNNNNNNNNNNNNNNNNNNNNNNNNUGUAUUAGUUUUGUAAGAUAAAAGUUGUAUGGACAAUUGUGUUGUAUAAUUUGCGCAAUGAUAACUGGGAUAGGUCAUCUUCUCUCCCAAGUCUUGGAUGGAAUCUUUCCAAGUCUUCUGAGAACCCAUCAGCUCAGAUUAGUCCAUACAAUGUCAAGGGUCCUAUGAUAUGGUCUACUAACAGCCCAGUGUCGGUAAUAAAUCCAAUUGCAUAUAACCUAUUCAAAAUCAAUCCCCUAUAAACAAUCAUCUCUAAAAACUAUUCACAUAAAAUAAAAUUUUAAAAAUAUAAAAUAUCUAGUUGUUUUCAAUAUAUAAUUUUCCACAGUAGAUAACAAAAUAUCUUUAUCAAAUUGUUAUUUAUGGGUUCAAUAUUUAAGCUAUAAUUCCAAUAACACGGCAAGCAUGCAGCGUAUAAAUAGAAGUGUGCAGUAUGUUAUCAGAUUCAUAACCCAGUUGAUCAGGAGAAACAUGGCAUACUCUGCAAAGCCUUCUCACCUUCUUCUCUUUGUUUUCUUUCUCUCAUCACUUGAAUCCAUUCUUGCAACAACACGAGAAGGAGAAGCUCUUGUGAAAUGGAAGAAUAGCCUAGCCCCUUCUUCUUUUCUCGAUUCUUGGUCCCUCACCAAUCUCGAAAAUCUUUGUAACUGGACUGGCAUUACUUGUAACUCUGCAGGUUCAGUCUCUGAGAUUAAUCUCUGUGAGAAACAACUUAAUGGAAUGCUGUCCGAGUUUGGUUUCACUUCAUUUCCAAAUCUCAACUAUCUCACACUCGCAGACAACUUCUUCUCCGGUCCAAUACCACCAGCCAUUGAGAAUUUAACACAGCUUCAAUAUCUUGAUUUGAGAAAUAAUUAUCUAGAUGGUCCCAUUCCGUUCCAGGUUAGCCAUCUUCAGAGCUUGCUCAUAUUAAACCUGUCACAGAAUGCAUUGCAAGCUACAAAUUGGUCCAAUUUCUCUCCCAUGCCUUUUUUGCGCAUCCUCAACCUCAGUAGCAAUCAUCUUGUAUCGAAAUUCCCAGAAUUUAUAUCCAAUUCUCAUAGCUUGGCUAUCCUUGACCUUUCACAUAACAACUUUACAGGUGAUCUUGUGCGUGAAUUUACCAAUCUACAAAAUCUUGAAACCCUCUGGCUUUAUUGUAAUUCUUUUGAGGGGCCAUUUCCGCCGGAUAUAUUCAGGCUCUCCAAAUUAAAACGUCUCUCCCUGUCAAGUAACAAAUUUUCAGGUUCAGUUCCCAAUGACAUAAGGUUGCUUUGUGAUCUUGAAUCCUUAAACUUAAGCAACAAUUCUUUUGAAGGACCGCUUCCACCAAAUUUAUUCAAGCUUUCGAAAUUAAAGAGUCUUUUUCUUUGGAGUAAUAAGUUUUCAGGUUCUAUUUCCAAUGAUAUAGGUUUGCUUUCUGAGCUUGAAUUUCUCAAUCUUUACGAUAAUUUUUUUGAGGGGCCGCUUCCAUGCAUCAAAUAUAUUCAAGCUCUCCAAAUUAAGGGUUCUUUACCUUAACGGUAAUAAACUUCUAGGUUCUCUUUCCAAUGAUAUAGGUUUGCUUUCUGAGCUUGAAACCCUCAAUCUUCGCUCUAAUUUUUUUGAGGCUCCGUUUCCGUCAAAUAUAUUCAAGCUUUCCAAAUUAACAAUUCUUGACCUCGCAUACAAUAGAAAUUUAUUUGAAGGAAGUUUUCCUAUUGGACUGGGACUCUUGACUAACCUCAGCUACUUAGAUCUAACUUCCACUAAUCUCAGUGGCUCAUCUGCCAUUGGAAACCUCAAGCUACUACUAUAUCUUGGUCUCAGUUAUAAUCAAUUGACUGGACCGCUUUCAAACAUUGUUUCUAAUCUAACAAAUCUUAUAUUUCUUGGUGUGGAUCAUAAUAGUCUUAGUGGAAAUAUUCCGAGUGACUGGUGGAAAGCCUCUGUAUCCUUACUUUACAUUGAUCUUGGAUAUAAUUAUUUGUCUGGGAACAUUCCUAAGGAAUAUAAAGAUCAUCCAACUUUGGAAUACAUCGAUUUAAGUGGGAACCAUUUUACAGGUAUUUUUUUCUCUAUAUAUCUUUUCCUUUUGUCACAUGUAACUAAGCUAGUAAUCUGAUUAUUGCAGUUUUACCUAAGUUUUAACAAUCUUGACAGGUGAGCUUCCAACAACAAUUUGCAAUGCUACCUCCCUUUCGGUUCUUGCUUUGUCAAAUAAUGGAUUAAGUGGUGCACUUCCAAACUGUAUUGCGAAUCUUGCUGAUGGAUUGCUUUACAUUAAUCUUGCUAAUAAUCAGUUUCGAGGAGCAAUACCAACUACUUCAUCCAAAAGUUGUCAGCUGACCUAUCUCAACAUGGAUAAUAAUGAGUUUGAAGGAUUGCUGCCCCCAUCUUUGGCGAACUGUAAGCACUUGAAGAUUCUUGAUAUUGGCAAUAAUAAAAUAGGUGGUACAUUUCCUUCAUGGCUUUAUGCACUUGGAGAGCUAGAAGUCCUUGUCUUGCGAUCAAAUAAACUCUAUGGUCCAAUAAGUGGGAGGAGCAUAGAAAAUCCCUUCCCCAAGUUGCGGAUUUUGGAUCUGUCCAACAAUCAAUUCUCAGGCCAUUUGCCAAUUCAAUACUUCAAGAAUAUGAAAUCAACUGAUAAAUUGUAUCGCUAUCAGAAUGCCACAACAUUAACGGGUUUCCAAUAUGAUGCAUCAGUCCCAUUAACUGUGAAGGGAACAGAGUAUGAAGUGAAAAAUAUCCUUCAUAUUUACACAGCCAUUGAUCUGUCCUGCAACAAGUUUCAAGGAGAAAUUCCUGACGUUAUUGGAGAGCUUAGAUGGCUUGCAUUGCUGAACUUAUCUCAUAAUAGUCUAACAGGACCUAUCCCAUCAUUGCUGAGAAAUAUGAAAGAACUCCAAUCUUUAGAUUUGUCGUCAAAUCAACUGACAGGGGCUAUUCCACCUCAGUUAACUGCACUGACAUUUCUAGAGGUCUUCAACCUCUCGGGAAACCAUCUUAGUGGAGAGAUUCCUCAGAAAGGACAGUUCAGCACAUUUAACAAUGAUUCUUAUCUAGGAAACUCCGCGUUAUGUGGAUCACCAUUGACGAAGAAAUGUGCAAACACAGCAUCACCUCCACAAGAAGUCGGAAAUGUUGAUGAAGAUGAUGCGGGUGAUGAAUUGACAUGGGAAGCAAUCUUGAUGGGAUAUGGAUGUGGACUGAUAUGUGGAUUGUCAUCUGCUUACAUUGUUCUCAAACUAGGAAAGCCUUGGUGGUUUGUGAGAUAUAUCGAAGUGCUGCAACUGAAGUUGAUGAAAAGAUAUGCAUGAAGAAUGGUACUGGCCGAUCAAGACGAACUUGAAAGUUGUUGGACAUUUCUGAACCAGUAGUGUACUAUUCUCUUUGUGGCUGCAUAAGUUUUUGGUAUUGUGUAAUAUUCUGUUUGGUCUUGAAUUUCAGGGGUAUUAAUAUAAACCUUGGUAUUGUGUAAUAUUCUGUUUGAUCAAUGUUUAUAUCAAUAAUUUUAUGCUCCUCACUGCAUCAUGCAGCUCUCAUAUUAUCUUCAUAUGUGUAUUAUUUGGAUAUCAAAGUUGCAGGGACAUAUGGAUAUGUGUUAACAGGGACUGCUCGGUCUUGGACGGACUCUUUCCAAGUCCUCUGGGGUCCUAUCGGUUCAAAUUAGUCUAUUAUCUGCAUACUAAUUUGUCCAACUCGGGCUUGAAUAGUAAAGAUAAAGAGUGCGAGUUGAGUUUCUCAAAGUAUGAGUACAAUAUCGUUUUUGAAUGAUAGUUAGGGGUGCGAUAUGCAAUUACCUCAAAAAUAUAUGAUCAUUAGUAUAUUAUAUUAGUAUCCACACACUUAUAUCUCAAAAUCUAUCCUCCAAAAUUAUCAUCUCUAUAGGCUAGCCACAUAAAAUAAAAAUUUAAAGAUAUUAGAUUUUUAGUUAUUUUCAUUAUAUAAUUUUUCCACGCAAAAUAACAAAAUAUCUUUAUCAACUUAUUAUUUAUGAGUUAAAUAUUCAAGUUAUAUAAUUCGGACAUGCUGGGUAUAAAUUGAAGUGUAACGCCUAAUUUCCGGGGUCUGGGAGUAGUUGGCGGGGUAUGAGAGAGCAGGCUAUUUAGAAGUCUUGGUCAUGAAAACUUCCAAGCUAAACUUCGACAACGGAAUCUUCUGAGGCUACUAUUCUAAAGCACGCAUAAUCAUUGUAUCCAUUUUCCGACAAAAAGUCUAUUUAAGCAAAUGAAAUACAAACAACUGAGUGGAAUGCUGACCGAAAGUCUUUUUGACUAAGCUUAUGAUUUAUUAGUACAUGAUUAAUAUGAUAAGCUAAGCUGAGAGCAUAAGAUAUCGUGUGUAUAAUUUUGUGUUUAUUAAUGACUUAUAAAUUAUUAAAAAUAUAAUAAGAAAAAUAAAAAUGAUUUAUAACUAAUUUAUGUUUUAUGAGUAAUUUUUAUUAGAAAAAAGUUUUAAAAAAUUAUUUCACUGGAAAAAAAACCUCCAACUAACUUUUGGCUCUAAGUCAGUUUUUGAUUUAUUUAUGACUUUAUGUCGGAUUCUGAUUUUUACACAAAAAUCUGGUUUUAAACCUCUGAGUUUGGUUUCACUUCAUAUACAAACCUCAACAAUUUCACCAUCAAACACAAUGACUUCUCCAAUCUCCGGUCCAGUACCACCAGCCAUUGAGAAUUUGGCACAACUUCAAUUCCAUACCAGGUUAGUCGUCUUCGGAGAUUACACGUCUUAGACCUGUCAAAUACAAAUUUCAAUCUCCAAACUGGUCCGAUUUAUCUUCUAUGCUUUUUGUUGAGUCCGGCUCAUCUAAAGCCUUAAGAUGUUAGAGGAAGCACCCAAUGAAUCUUAUAUAUGCUAUAUUUUAACAAUUCUGAGCACACUCAACCUUGGUAUUAAUAAUAUUGUGUCGAAAAUUCCAGAAUUUAUAUCUAAUUCUCAUAGCCUAACUUUCCUUGACCUUUCCAUAUAACAAAUUUACAGUUAAUCCUGUGCUUGAAUCAGUAUUUGCAACCAAAAUUAUGCAAUUAUAGUGCAGGUAGUCUUCCAGUUUACGCUCUACACUCCAGGAUAAGCUCGCAUAUAAUUGACAGCUAUAAUCCUUCCAACACUUUGUGAUGCAAAGCAGAGGGAUAGGUUGGCUUAAAAAUAUAUAAGGUCACUUAUGCAUCGCUCUUCACACACUUAGACCCUGUUUGUGUGGGCUUUAAGUCCCGGCUCAAGCUAUUUCGACUUAAUCACUUCCGAGACCAAUACCAACAAGUUAAGAUAUCUAAAUAUGUAUGACAAUCAGUUAGAAGGACUAUUGCCGGGCAACAACCUUCUCAAAGAGUUGCCAGUUAAGAUAUCUAAACAUGUAUGACAAUCAGUUAGAACUUUAGAAGGACUAUUGCCCCCAUCUUUGUCAAACUGUAAGCACUUAAAAAUUCUUGACAUCGGGAACAAUAAAAUGGGUGGUACAUUCCCUUCAUGGCUAUUUAAUCUCGGAGAGCUAGAAGUCCUAGUCUUGCGAUCAAAUAGACUGUACGGUCCUGUAAGUGGAAGGAGCACAUCACAUCCAUUCCCCAAGUUGCGGAUUCUAGAUCUCUCCAACAAACAAUUCGCGGGCUAUUUGCCAAUUCUAAACUUUAAGAAUAUGAAACCAGCUGCUGAUGAUAACGCGUAUAGUUAUAAAAAUAAGUCACAAGGACUAAUUAAUUACAUCUAUGAAGCAUCUAUCUCCUUAAAUGUGAAAGGAACAGAGUAUGAAGUGAAGAACAUUCUUCAUAUUUACACAGCCAUUGAUCUAUCGUGCAACAAAUUUCACGGAGAAGUUCCAAAGAGAGCUUAAAUGGCUUGCAUUGCUCAAUCUAUCUCAUAAUAGUCUUGCCGGACAUAUGUUCUGAAUUAUUAUUAUGCUUUCAUCAAUAUUUUCAAACAUUUCUCAAUAUGUAUUUUCAAAGAAUUCUCAAGCCCUGGAACAUUUGGACCGGUUCUUUGGAAGCCAAGAUACCCAGGUUAUCAUGGCCAUGCACAAAAAUGAAUAAAUUAUUCCAAGUCUUCCAUGACUCAUUCCAAGUCUUCGGAGGAGACCCUGAGCACAAAGAUGCUCAGGGUCUCCCCAAGCCUUCCAGGACUCAUUCCAAGUCUUCGGAGCACGGUCUCGCCUCGCCCUUUCAAAGAUGUGAUAGUAGCUCGAGAGUGAUAUAAAUUAUUUUCCCGACACUAAAAAUAAAUAAUCAGAUCAAAUUAAUCAAUAAUGUAUUAAGGAUGAAAUCCAAAUUAAUCCUAAAUUUUGAUAAUAUAUAAAAAUUAUAAUUAUAAAUUAUAUACCAAAUCAGAAUUGAAUUAAUUCCUUGGCACUAAAAUUGAUAAAGAAAGUAUAAUAAUUUAAAUUUAAUUGAUGAAAAGUCAAAGUCUUCUAAUAAAUCCAUAAAGAAUAUGAUAAUCAAAAUAAUGAAAAUUAUAAUUGAAAAAUCAAAAUCAUUAGUGUAUUGGAAUAGUGUUCACACACUUGUAUAUCAAAAUUUGUGGUCCAAAAACUAUAGCACAAUAUCCUAAAUACACCACAUUAAAUAUUAGUUCAAAAAUAUUUAGUAAAUAAUUGUUUUCAUUCAUCAUUUUGUUAUUUAAAAAACUAAUAAUUUGGGUUGAUGUUAACCUAUAUUUUAAUAUAUAAUUAUAUUAUUUUCGUCUUAUUUAUUUAACUAGAAACAAUAUUUUUAUCAUACAUCAAUUAUAUUAAAAGAUAUAAUUUUAUUAAAAAAAUUGAAUUAUUAUUUAUGAAUUCCAGCAUGAAGCGUAUAAAUAGAAGUGUGCAGUUGAUCAGAUUUAUAACCCAGUUGAUCAGGAGAAACAUGGCAUACUCUGCAAAGACUUCUCACCUUCUUCUCUUUGUUUUCUUUCUCUCAUCACUUGAAUCCAUUCUUUCAACAAGACGAGAGGGAGAAGCUCUUGUGAAGUGGAAGAAUAGCCUAGCCCCUUCUUCUUUUCUCGACUCUUGGUCACUCACCAAUCUCGAAAAUCUUUGUAACUGGACUGGCAUUACUUGUAACUCUGCAGGUUCAGUCUCUGAGAUUAACCUUUGUGAGAAACAACUUGAUGGAAUGCUGUCCGAGUUUGGUUUCACUUCAUUUCCAAAUCUAAACAGUCUCACCCUCGCAGACAACUUCUUCUCGGGUCCAAUACCACCAGCCAUUCAGAACUUAACAAGGCUUCAAUACCUUGAUUUAAGCUUGAAUUAUCUCAAUGGUACCAUGCCUUUCUUGCGCAUCCUCAACCUCAGUAGCAAUCCUCUUGCGUCGAAAUUCCCAGAUUUUAUAUCCAGUUCUCAAAGCCUGACUCACCUUGACCUUUCAUAUAACAUGUUUACCGGUGAUCUAGCAUGUGAACCAUUAUUUGCCAACCUGCAUAAUCUUGAAGUCCUCAGUCUCGUUGAAAAUUCUUUUGAGGGGCCAUUUCCACCGGAUAUAUUCAGGCUUUCCAAAUUAAAACAUCUUAGCCUGUCAGUUAACAAACUUUCAGGUUCAAUUCCCAAUGACAUAAGGUUGCUUUGUGAUCUUGAAUACCUAUAUUUAGCCAACAAUUCCUUUGAAGGACCACUUCCACCAAAUAUAUUCAAGCUUUCAAAAUUAAAACAUCUUGUUCUUUGGGGUAAUAAGUUUUCAGGUUCUGUUUCCAAUGAUAUAGGUUUGCUUUCGGCGCUUGAAGCCCUCGAUCUUUAUUCUAAUUUUUUUGAGGGGCCGCUUCCACCAAAUAUAUUCAAGCUCUCAAAACUAAGGAUUCUUUCCCUUGGGAACAAUAACUUUUCAGGUUCUGUCUCUAAUAAUAUAGGUUUGCUUCCUGAGCUUGAAACCCUAUGUCUUGACUCUAAUUUGUUUGAGGGGCCGCUUCCCCCACAUAUAUUCACGCUCUCUAAAUUAAGAUAUCUAGACCUCUCAAACAAUAGAAAUUUAUUUGAAAGAAGUAUUCCUAUUGGAUUGGGACUCUUGACUAACCUCAGGUACUUAGAUCUAUAUUCCAGUAAUCUCAGCGGCUAUAUUCCAUCUGACAUUGGAAACCUGAAGCUACUAGUAGGUCUUAAUCUCGGUUCUAAUAAAUUGACUGGACCAGUUUCAAAGAUCGUUUCUAAUCUCACAAAUCUUAUAUUUCUUAGUGUAAGAAAUAAUAGUCUUAGUGGAAAUAUUCAGAGUGACUUGUGGAACUUCCCUAAGGAAUAUAACAAUCAUCCAACUUUGGAAUACAUCGAUUUAAGUGGGAACCAUUUUACAGGUAUCUUUUCUCUAUAUAUCUUUUCCUUUUCUCAUAUGUAACUAAGCUAGUAAUCUGAUUAUUGCAGUUUUACCAAAGUUUCAACAAUCUUGACAGGUGAGCUUCCAACAACAAUUUGCAAUGUCACUUCCCUUUCGGUUCUUGAUUUGUCAAAUAAUGGAUUAAGUGGUGCACUUCCAAACUGUUUCGGGAAUCUUGCUGAUGGAUUGCUUUACCUUAAUCUUGCUAAUAAUCAGUUUCGAGGAACAAUACCAACUACUUUCUCCAGGAGUUGUCGGCUGAAAUAUCUAAACAUGGAUAAUAAUGAGUUUGAAGGAUUGAUGCCCCCAUCUUUGGCGAACUGUAAGAACUUGAGAAUUCUUGAUAUUGGCAACAAUAAAAUAGGUGGUACAUUUCCGUCAUGGCUUUAUGCACUUGGAGAGCUAGAAGUCCUUGUCUUGCGAUCAAAUAAACUCUAUGGUACAAUAAGUGGAAGGAGCAUAGAAGAUCCCUUCCCCAAGUUGCGGAUUGUGGAUCUGUCCAACAAUCAAUUCACAGGCCAUUUGCCAAUUCAAUACUUUAAGAAUAUGAAAUCAACUGAUAAUUUGUAUCGUUAUCAGAAUGACACAGGAGAUUUUAUUUUCCAUUAUGAAGCAUCUGUCUCAUUAACUGUGAAGGGAACAGAGUAUGAAGUGAAAAAUAUCCUUCAUAUUUACACAGCCAUUGAUCUGUCGUGCAACAAAUUUCAGGGAGAAAUUCCAAAGGUUACUGGAGAGCUUAGAUGGCUUGCAUUGCUCAACUUAUCUCAUAAUAGUCUUACUGGACCUCUCCCAUCACUGCUUGGAAAUAUGGAAGCACUCCAAUCUUUAGAUUUGUCUUCAAAUCAACUGACAGGGGCUAUUCCACCUCAGUUAACCGCAUUGACAUUUCUAGAAGUCUUAAACCUCUCGAGAAACCAUCUUAGUGGAGAGAUUCCUGAGAAAGGACAGUUCAGCACAUUCAACAAUGACUCUUAUCUAGAAAACUCUGCGUUAUGUGGAUCACCCUUGACGAAGAAAUGUGUAAACACUGCAUCACCCCCACAGGAAGUCGGAAAUGGUGAUGAAGAUGAUGCUGGUGAUGAGUUGACAUGGGAAGCAAUCGUGAUGGGAUAUGGAUGUGGACUGAUAUGUGGAUUGUCAUCUGCAUACAUUGUUCUCAAACUAGGAAGGCCUUGGUGGUUUGUGAGAUAUGUCGAAGUACUGCAACUGAAGUUGAUGAAAAGAUAUGCAUGAAGAAAGGUACUGGUCGAUCAAGACAAACUUGAAAGUUGUUGUCCUGGUAGACAUUUCUGAACCAGUAGUGUACUAGCUGCAUAAGUAUUUGGUAUUAUGUAAUAAUCCAUUUGGUCGGGACUCAUAAUGAUUUCUCUUGCUUCAGGGGUAUUAAUAUUAACCUUGCUAUCUUGAUCUGUGUUAAUGCAAAUGAAAAAGAAUGGAAAAACAAAAAAAUUGCAUCAAACCUGUUGUACCAAGAUCCAUUAAUCUGCUUUCAUCUCUUACGCAACAAUUUAACAGCACUUUCACACUGUUUGAAUGAUUAUCAUAAAUUCGAGUUUUCCUCGCCAGCACCAAAUCCAAAUAUACAAUCCCACACAUUCCAGUCUCAGCUUCAGCUCCCAGGCUAGCAUUGAUUUAGCCAAGCACGACAGUGGCCGCUUGUGUGCCUAACAAUGACAGUUGGGGAUUUGAUGGAACGUGCCUUGGUCCUGCCUUCAAAUGUCUAACAAUAACAGUUGGAUAUGUCGACAAAAAAAUUGUUCCUCACACUGAGGAAUAACUCUGACAGUUCUUUUCAUUGUGCCUUGGUCCAGUAAGUGGAAGGAGCACAUCACAUCCAUUCCCCAAGUUGCGGAUUCUAGAUCUCUCCAACAACCAAUUCACGGGCUAUUUGCCAAUUCAAUACUUUAAGAAUAUAUGAAACCAGCUGCUGAUAAAGCGUAUAGUUAUCAAAAUAAGUCACAAGGACUAAUUAAUUACAUAUAUGAAGCCUCUAUCUCCUUAAAUGUGAAAGGAACAGAGUAUGAAGUGAAAAACAUCUCUUUAUAUUAUAGCUCCUGAUGCGUGAUUUGUACAGUUACCACACUGCUUAAUUCUUCACCUCAAAGUUCCACCUUAUUACAAAAAUGCCACCGCUCUAUUAAGCGGCACCCACGUAAGCUCAUUGCCACCACGUGCUAUCUUCCUGCUGUCUUUUGUUUAUUUUAUUCACUAAACCGUACUUACCCGAAGCUUAUGUAACAAGCUUACAUUCUUUACAUUUUACUCAUUUCAAAAUUUAAAACCCAGCCUCCACGGCUCCCUUACAAAAGUAACCGGUUUGAACGUAAAGUUUUCAAAACUAACCAGCCUACGUUCAACUUUUCAAAACUAACCAGCCUAAAUCAAAAAAAGUCGGGCGACCCUUACCUGUUUUUUUCCCGAGCACCGGUCGCCCUCCUCAGGGGCGUCCCCCAUUGGAGUUCAUCAAGCACAGGUCGCCCUCCUCAGGGGCGUCCCCCCUUGAAGUUCUGUGACGUGGUCCGCCCAAUCACGGGCGACCACGUGUGACACUACCCCCUUAAAACCCCCUCCCAGCCACACAAACACACAAUUACACACACAUUUGCACACACUCAGUUUGAAAACAACACUGCAGCAGCCACAGCAAGGAGCCGAAAGGGGAGAUUUUGGUAAAGGAAGGAAGAAAAGUGGGAGAGGAUCGCCCGAGCUAGCAUCAAGGUCGCCCACCCUAGCAAAAAAUUUGAAGGUACUACCUUAUUCCUCCCCUAAAUAUUAGUAUAUAAAGCCUUGAUUUGUAAUUUAUUACUUGAUUAGUUUGUCUUGCAUGUUACAAAUAUCGAUUAUGUUCAUGAUUAUGGCUAAUUUAUAGACUAGUGUUAUAAUUACCGGCUUGAGAUUAGUGUUAUAAUUACCGGAUUGAGAUUUGGUACAUUAUGAUUUUUAAAUUUGUUAAAAAAUUUAAAGAUUUAUAAUAGAAAUUAAGGAUAAUUUAUAGAUUUGAUAUGUUGGAAUUUAAGAUUUUAUGCUUUUUAGAUUUUGUAGGUAGUAAUUAAAUUUAGUUGGAGAGAAAAAAUAUAAUAUAAUAUUCGAAUUAAAAAGAUAUUGAGAAUAUAAUAUUCGAAUUAAAAAAUAUUCGAAUUAAAAUAUAUUAAAAUAUAAUAUUCGAAUUAAAAAUAUAAUAUAAUAUUCGAAUUAAAAUAUAAUAUAAUAUAUAUUCGAAUUAAAAAAUAUUCGAAUUAAAAUAUAUUAAAAUAUAAUAUUCAAAUUAAAAAUAUAAUAUAAUAUUCGAAUUAAAAUAUAAUAUAAUAUAUAUUCGAAUUAAAAAAUAUUCGAAUUAAAAUAUAUUAAAAUAUAAUAUUCGAAUUAAAAAAUAAUAUAAAAUAUAUUGAGAAUUAAAAAAAUUAGAAAGCAAAUAAAAUAUUCGGAUAAAAAAGAUAUUAAUAGCUAAUAUUAAAAAAAAUCGAUUUAUAAUAAUAAAAAUUCGAAAAAAAGCAAAAUAAUCGAAUUAAAAUAAAAUUUUCGAACAUAUAUUAAUAAAAAUCUUAAUUAUAUUAAUAUAUAAUUCGAAUAUAUGAAAUUUCGAGAAUUAGAAUAUUUAUGAAAUUAAGAGAAUUAAAAUAAAUAGGAAAUUCGAACAAAAAUUAAUUUAAGGUACGCUCUCGAUUCUCUCUAAAUUAAUGUGUAUAUAUAUAUAAUGACUUGAUUUGGAUUAUUGUUGUUUUAUUAGCUUGAGUUGCAUGUUAUAAGAUCGGUUAGUUUAUUGAUUGUGGCUUGAGAUUUGUUAUAAUUGAAAUUAAGGCUAAUUUAUAGAUUUGAUAUGUUGGAAUUAAGGCUAAUUGAAAUUAAGGCUAAUUUAUAGAUUUGAUAUGUUGGAAUUAAGGCUAAUUGAAAUUAAGGCUAAUUUAUAGAUUUGAUAUGUUGGAAUUUAAGAUUUUGUGCAUGUUAGAUUUUGUAGGUAGUAAUUUAAUUUAGUUAGAAACAAAAGCUUUGAAUUCGAAUUACAAAUAUUAUGUUGGAAUGAGAUUUUGUAUAUAUACAAAAGCUUUGAAUUCGAAUUAUAAAUAUAUUUGAAAAUUGUUGGCGCAGAUGGAUCCUGCAGCUUAUCAUCCCGGGCCGGUUAACGGCACUUUGUUGACAUUGCAGGACACGCAUAGGUCCACUUUUGUGUGGAACAGUAGUACGGUAAUGACUUGAUGGACUGUUGUUUAUUAAAGUUAAUGUUUGCUUCACUAUAAACUGCUGACAAGUUCCUGUAUUUUAAAUUGCAGGACAUUCCUGAUCUUAGAGUCAGGACGAACUUCGGUGAGUACUGGAAUGUAGUUGACCAAACCAGGCCGCCUCAGACGAUAAUAGAUGCUAUUAAUGAUGCGGGCUUUGAGUGGGUGUUCAGGUUGGGUCAGGUCAAGCAUGACAGGGGCUUGAUCACUGCUUUUAUCGAGAGGUGGCGUCCAGAGACGCACACUUUUCAUCUACCUUUCGGGGAGGCCACCAUUACACUGGAGGAUGUCCAUCACAUUCUCGGGUUACGAACCACUGGCCGGCCAUUUAUUCUACAUGGCUUCACCACCACAGCUCGCGAGAGAUUGGCCAUGAUACGCGAUGUUCUUGGAGUGACUCCUAAGCCGGCUGAUGUGAGGAAGAACGGCUUGAGGAUCGGUUGGUUGAUUGAAAAAUUUGGCGACUGUGCCCGGUUGGACGAGGCAGCGGAGGAUUUUGAUGCACAGACUAUCUUUCACAUCAGGGCACACCUACUGUGUGUUAUUGGAUCGUUGUUUCCUGAUAGCAGCGGGAACUAUGUGAAUCUCAACCUCCUUUGGAUGCUACGUGACUUGCAGAGCGUGGAUGGUUAUAGCUGGGGGAGUGCUGUUCUUGCAUACCUUUAUAGGAAGAUGUGCGAUUCCACCCAUAAAGUCACAACCGGCUUCAUUGGCUACGCCACCACUACGCCAUAUAUGAUCUAUCGCAAUGGUAUGAACGCGAGUGUUGCAAAAUUAUGUUGCAAUAGAGACACUGAUCCAUAUCUACCGCAACGAUAACCAUUCAUGUCAAUUAUAUGUUGCAAUAGCAAACAUUAUGUGUUGCAGCUUGUAAUAUACUUGUAAAAGUGUUAGCUUAAAGUAUUAUAAUAUUAUUUUAACAUUAAAUAAUAAUUUAAAUUAUUUUAACAAUAUUUUAAAGUGAUAUGCAAAUUAAAUAAAUAAGAUACGCGAUGAUAUGCAAAUUUUAUUCAUAAUAAUUAAAAAAAUUAAAAUAGGAAUUUUAAAAGUAAUUAAUUUUUUUAAAAGCAAUGAAAAGUAAAAAUAAUUAAAUUCCCCUUGUUUUGAUAUCAGAACUGAUAUAUAAGUUUCAAAAAUAAAAAUAUAGAUAUACGAAUUAUAAGUAGUAAUAAAUACAUAUAAUGAAUUUUGUUCCUAAAAUAAUUACAUGAAUUUUAUUUGUUAAAAUAAUAAAGUAUAGGUGCAGACGUGCAGUACAUUAUUUGACUUUAUUGAACUGGGCAAAUAUCGAGCUCAAAGCGGGUAAAAAUUAGGCUUACAGCCGCCCAAAUUUUCAGCCAAGUUUGAAAUUUUCACACAUACACUAUACACGCUCGAGUCUCCUUGAAUACCCUCAACACUCACUACACUCUCUCCCUCGCUCAACUCUCUCUCCCUUCUCUACUCUCUCUCUCUUGUUAAUCUCUCUGAAGCUAAUCUCUCUCUGGCCACCAUUUUCACUCAAUCUCGCCAUCACUUUUAAUUAACUUGGAUUUGCAUUUAUAGUUGGAGCACAGUUGAUUUGUGGGUCGAGGUUCCAAUUCUUCAAUUAGGGUUUUGGCUUUUCAAUCAGGGUUUUGGUUCUUCAUUAAACUUCAAUUAGGGUUCAAUUACUUACAUAUAAUCUCUUAAACUUCAUCUGAUAUCUCUUUCUCUUUGAUUUCAGGUGUUCUUAGUUUGGGUUUGCACUCCAAGACUUUAUUAUAAGGUAUUUUUGAAUUUAGGGCUUCAUGUUAUGAGUUUAUUUGCAUUUAGUGUUCUUUGUUUUUAUGUUUAUUUGGUUUAUUAUCUUUAUCUAGUUUAUUUCCUUUGAUUUUUUGUUUUUUUUUUCAUUUGUUUUGUGAAAUUGCAAUACUCUGUUUUUGUGUUAAUUUUUUUGUUGCUUAAAAGUGUUCAACAACAAUAUUCUUCUUAAUUAUAAAAGAUCUAUCACGAGGAAGAGGUCCCUGUUUUGUAUAAUAUCUUGUAUGUCUUUUCUUUUCUGUAUAUUAUUAAGCUACCUUGGGGCAUCCUUUUUCUAGACCAGAUUUCGUGCGCAAUCUUUAGUAAAGAGCAAAUAUUCCGAUUCUUUUGCAUUUGUCUCAAUGUCAGUGCUUUGCAUAUAUGGAUAUAUUUUACAUGAAAAUGGUGCUUUUGUUGUUGGCCUGCUUAAUGUUCAAGACAUGUAGUCAACUCAGUUUAGUGUGACAAUAAGACUUUCUCAUUUCAUUAUGAUUCUCACAUAUUUUAUGCUCGUCACAGUACAACACAGUUUUGUAUUUGGUGUGAGUGAGCAGUAAAGAAUUCUAUGGAAGAUGCUAGUGACUACCGGUGGUAUAUAACCAGGUAAAAAUAAUGCUCAGUUGAUAAUCCUUAUAAGGGAGGCUCUUACUAUUUCUUCCUCUUUAACAUUGAGUUGUUUUAAUGUACAUACUAGCUGGUUGCUCAAGUGUUCUAUCAUUAUAAUGUAUACAUUGGAUACAAUAUUUGUUCAAUGAGGUAUCUAACUAGCUUGCUGAUGGCCGGGGACUAUAGAUUUAUUCAUUGCUAAUUGGUUAUAUUCGUUGUACCUGUUAUGCCUCAAUCAUAAUGGCAUAGUGACAAUAAAAGGAAAACGAAUUAUAAAUAUUUCACAUAGCAUGCUCUAGUUAUCUACAACUAUUGUUUUGGACUUCUGGUUUGGCAUUUAUAAUAAGUUGGCAUAUGUCUUUGAAUUCAUAUAGUUUGUAGCAUGACCUAAUUGGCACAAGUCAUCCUCUGCCAUGUCUUAUAUCUUUAGUUAGUAAGAAUUAAUAUUUCCCAUGUUUCAGCCACUAUACAAAUAUUGAUCAUGGACGAAGUUCUUACCCUGUUUAGUAUUAAUUUCAUUAUCUGCUGCAACUUUAUUGUGUUAUCUGUGCACUGCCCAACUAAGUACACAUAAUUUGAGUUUAAAAUAAAGCAUGCUUCUUUACUGGAGCUCAGCUUAGUAGUUGCAUUGUAUUGUUGCAGGAGAAGCUUAAGCCGUUAAUGGAUCAACUUAACAAAGUCAAAGACUUGACUGUUCCAGAAUUUGGAAAUUUCCGAACUUGAGAAGUGCGAGCAAAUGCAAGAAUAUGUUUAUAUAUAAUAGUGUAGUGUAGUGGGAUGUUUGGUUGGAUUCGUUUAAUACUUUGAUUUGGUUGGAUUUGUUAGGUAGUUUUGUUUGGUUGGAUUUGUUAUAAACUUUGAUUUGUAUGAAAGAAUAGUUUAAUGUUUCAGUGGAUAUAGUGAAAUAUUGCAAAGUUGUUAAUUUAGUCUUGCAUUAGCACAUAUAUGUUGUAGUAGCUAAUAUAUAUAUGUUUCAAUUUAUAACAAAAAAUGUUGCAAACAUGCAACUGAAAAACAGGUGUCCAAACAUAGGACCCACAUGUGUGACCCACGUGUGGGUCCCACUUUUUUUGAAAUCAGGAGGUCUAACGUAACAUAAUAUAUUUGUUGCUAUAGGGUAGUCAGAUGUUGCAAUAUCACGUCUAUUGUAACAUAAAAAGCCGUGUUGCAGUAGGUUACCCAAAUGUUGCAAUAGAAGCCUAGGGCAACAUGAAAAAAUGCAACUUAAAUUUUAUGUUGCAAUAGCCCUUUUUCGGGCUAUGGCAACAUAUUUUGGGGUUAUGGCAUCAUUUUUUUGAUGUUGUCNNNNNNNNNNNNNNNNNNNNNNNNNNNNNNNNNNNNNNNNNNNNNNNNNNNNNNNNNNNNNNNNNNNNNNNNNNNNNNNNNNNNNNNNNNNNNNNNNNNNNNNNNNNNNNNNNNNNNNNNNNNNNNNNNNNNNNNNNNNNNNNNNNNNNNNNNNNNNNNNNNNNNNNNNNNNNNNNNNNNNNNNNNNNNNNNNNNNNNNNNNNNNNNNNNNNNNNNNNNNNNNNNNNNNNNNNNNNNNNNNNNNNNNNNNNNNNNNNNNNNNNNNNNNNNNNNNNNNNNNNNNNNNNNNNNNNNNNNNNNNNNNNNNNNNNNNNNNNNNNNNNNNNNNNNNNNNNNNNNNNNNNNNNNNNNNNNNNNNNNNNNNNNNNNNNNNNNNNNNNNNNNNNNNNNNNNNNNNNNNNNNNNNNNNNNNNNNNNNNNNNNNNNNNNNNNNNNNNNNNNNNNNNNNNNNNNNNNNNNNNNNNNNNNNNNNNNNNNNNNNNNNNNNNNNNNNNNNNNNNNNNNNNNNNNNNNNNNNNNNNNNNNNNNNNNNNNNNNNNNNNNNNNNNNNNNNNNNNNNNNNNNNNNNNNNNNNNNNNNNNNNNNNNNNNNNNNNNNNNNNNNNNNNNNNNNNNNNNNNNNNNNNNNNNNNNNNNNNNNNNNNNNNNNNNNNNNNNNNNNNNNNNNNNNNNNNNNNNNNNNNNNNNNNNNNNNNNNNNNNNNNNNNNNNNNNNNNNNNNNNNNNNNGCUUAUCCUCGUAUGUAGUUUGUUUAUGGUUAUGUACCUGACCAUGUACUCGUACAUUUUUAUUUCUUGAUCUGAUUAUGUACUCUUAGUCUAGUAGAUCGGUUGUUACGUUAUUAUGCAGUUCUUGUGCAUUCUUAUGUCAUAAUGUUUUAUAAUGAUUCAAGCAUUGAAAUUCAUAUGGACAAUAAAGGAAACCUAACAUAACAUAAUAAACGACAGAACACUAAAACACAUACACAUGUUGAUCUUUCUCGAAACCAGUAAAACUGACUUUAUUUUGACUAAACUUUACAUAUAUCAAAUAACUGAAAAAAAUAAUAUAAAAUUUGAAUUACUUGAACAACAAAAGUUGAGACAUUACAUAUAAGAUACAAUACAUAUAGUAAUGGGGGUGAUCUUUUGGAGAAAAUACCUAACUCAAAGGGAUUUCUUCAAAUAAUUUGAGAUGGGUCAGAGCUUCAAGAAUCUGUGUACUCUGCUUUUACAAGUACAAAGUGGGAAAAAGUGAGACAUAAAUAAAAUGUAGUGAAGUAUUUGAGAUGGGAGAAAGUAAAACUAACUUAAUUUCAUAUUAAUAUUGUGAAGAUAUUAGCAUAGAAUGAUAAAUAUACAUUUCUACUACCCAUUUAUAAAAGAAAUAUUAUAAAAUAUAAAACUCUACGCUUUAAAUUUAAAUUGUUUUAAGUUGUUUUCUAUUAAAUUAUUUUCCCCACAGGGGAAAAUAAUAUUAAAUUGUUUUAAUAUUAUUGUUUUAUUAUUAUUUGAUUAUUAAAUUAACGAGUACAUAAUUUGUAAAGUUUAGUGCUAAGAUAUAUAUAUUAUUUAAUUUUAUUAAUUAUAUUAAUUUCACAAAACAAUUAAAAUUUGAUUUUAAAUAAAAUAUUAAAUAUAUAAUACAAUAAUAUUAAAUGGCGUAUAAUCAGUGUUACAGAAAUCGGGAAUCGGACCUAAUCGGUUGAGCUACCGAUUCAGGGAUUAAUCGGAAAUCGGAGAUUAAUCGGACUGAAAAUCGGAUUUAUUUUAAUAUUAAAAUAUUAUUUAUUAUUUAGUUAUUAUUAUAUUAGGUAUCUAGUAACUAAUAUAUUUACUAUAUUCAUAAACUCUAUAAUUAUUCAUAUUUAAAGUAAUAUAGUAUUUUAAUUCUAAUAAUUUAUCACAUAUACUUCUAUUAGAAAAUAUGUUAUAAGGAUUAAUCGGAUUUUAAAAAUCGAAUCGGUGGCCGACCUUGCAGGAGAUUAAUCGAGGAUUAAUCAGUUAAAUCGGGGAUUUUUAGAACAUUCGGCGUAUUAUAAUACAAUUAUAUCAAAAUUUAAAAAAAAAUCAGUACCUCAGUUUGGGUAUCGGUCAGCCACCUAGGACAAGUGAAUGAGUGAAACCGCUACAAAAAAUGUAGUAGUAUGGGUCGCCCCUGUCAAGGGCGAUCCUAACUGUAUUUUGUAACAGUAUGGGUCGCCCCUGACGAGGGCGACCUGAACGGGGAAAAACUUCAGCUUGGGUCGCCCGACUUUUUUUGAUUUAGGCUGGUUAGUUUUGAAAAGUUGAACGUAGGCUGGUUAGUUUUGAAAACUUUACGUUCGAACUGGUUACUUUUGUAAGGGAGCCCAGCCUCCACCAUUGCAGCUCUGAGCAGCCAUGAACCAGGUUAUACUCCAGUCUCCUUUUCUCCCCCGCGUGUGUAAGUCUGUACUGCAGCCCACAUUUUCAACACGCUUCUGUCCUAAGCUUCGCAAGAAAUAUCUUUUUUUUGAAAUUCAAAAAAUUUGCGCACCAUAUCAUCGUCCAGCCAAACCACCAUCGGCGAAUCAGCAAAUAUACAUAUCAGAUCUAAUAUACACCAAUCUGAGCUUUGAUGACUGAGGUUUGAUUUGUGUUUUAUUUAAUAAAAUGAUAAAAUGAUGUCUUCUUUCAUGAUCAUGCGAUUAAUCGAUUGUAACUUUAAGGGAGAUGGAACAAGCAAUUCACGACGUCUAUUUACCUCCGAAGACAUGAUUAGUGGUAUGGUUACAUAAAUUUAACUUCUCUAUUUUUCUACCAUGUGUGGCCUAAUUGUUUCAUCUCUUGCUUUGUAGGUUAUCAGUCCAAAAAGCGGAGGAAAAGGGGCUACACAAUUAAGAGAUGAAACAGUAUUGAGCAUGUGAGCUUUAAAACUUGAUGAUUAAAUUUUUCAUAUUAUAUUUGUUCUGUAUUUAGAAAUUUGUGGAGGAUGUGUUUGAUAAUAUGUCUGAGAGAAGAAGUUAAUAAAUUUAUCGUGUUGAGGAUGUGUUUGAUGAUAUGUCCGAGUGAAAAAAUUAAUAAAUUUAUUUUCAAAAUGUUGCGAACAAAUUGUAAUUUAUAUCUAGCAGCUUCAAAUAAUUUUUUUUAGAGCAAAAAGAAUCGCAAUUGCAUGUGAAGAGAUGCACCUCCCUGAUAUUAGACUUUUAGUGUAAUUGCAUGUGUAACUAAACCGCUUGACUAUAAUGUUGGUGUAGAGUACGGAGCUUUAAUUUAUGAUGUUCUCCUCAAUCUGUCCAAAUUAUAGCUGAUCGUGGGAAUCAACUUUAGGGUAAGCUCUGCUCUGAAACUCAUUUUCUUAUAUUGGAACUUGGUUAUUUCUUAAAUGAAACGACUUUGACGUUUUCACCGAGUAGUCAUAGAUGCGUGAGUUGUACAAUAGUAAAAGAAAAAUAAAUUACAUAAAGACUGUCUGAGGUAAAAUAGUAUACAAGCUGCAAUUUUAUAUUUGGUACAUUGACGUAAAAAGUUAUUGUUAUGUUCAGGGGGAGGUGCUGAGAAAUGACAUGAUUAUAUCAUACGAGCGGCGACAAACUACUGAAGUUGCAAAAGAAAUGAUCUUAAAGAAAGCAGAGAAAGUGGGGGAGUUUUUUCAAGAAAAGAAUUUAAAGAGGAGAUGAGAUGCCAGAGUAUUACGCGCUAUUGCCGAAACAGGAUUAAAAACUAUAUUGGGUAUCUCUUCUUGAUCUCUUGAUUAAUUCCACUAGGAAGCUUCAAUAUUAUAUAGGAAGUUUUCUUUUUAAGCUUAAUUUUGAAUUUGAAUCCUCAAACUAUAACUACUGUAUAUCUCUUUAUAUUAUAGCUCCUGACGCCGGGAACUUCCCCUUCUACAACCAGCCCAACUGUACAUAACAGUUGCUUGCUUAUGAAUUUCAAAUUUAUAUUAUAAUGUUUAUAUGUAAUAUUGAAUCAAAGUUGCUUGCUUGCUUAUGUAAUAUUGAAUAUCUACUGUUGGAUGAUUGUUAACUGCUGUGUUACCAAGUGUUUGAUUAAAUUCCUACAAGUUUUGUUUGAAUUUUGUUCUUUAUUUAUCAUUAGUAUGUUUCAUUUUUAUGUUUGACUCUAUGCUAAUCGCUGAUAAGAUUUCUAUGAUUAUAGGAGAUGAGUGUUCUUAUGGCAUGAAUGAUAUUGGAAAAGUGAAAUGUGUUGAUGCUUUGUGUAAAUAAAUCAUGAUCUGCCGUUAUAGUUUUCUGUUUGUUUUCAAUUUGUGUGUACCUAGGUGGUUGUUACUGAGCAUUGAUCAACUGUGUUAAUUAAUUUAUUAAAAUGGAGUUGAGUCUGAGAACUAAAGGGCAAUUAUAUACUUCUUUAGGCUUUCCUUAACAUGUUUUUAUUCAUUAAAAAAAAUCGAUGAGUUUUUAUAAAUAUAUAUACUCUGUUAUUUUCUCUGUACCUAAUUAAAAGGAUUUUAAUUCGAAUUAUAGGUGUUUGUCAUGUGAAUAUUAUCUAAAAGAUAAUGGGGCCGUUUGGGUUAGCUUAAAAGAAGUGACUUUUUGCUUAUAGUAAAGAAGUGGAGUAGAAGUGAGAAGUAAAUAAGUUAAUAAAGUGUUUGGAAAAGAAGCAGAAGCUGUGAGAGAGAAGCUAGCAUUCUCAGCUUCUUAAAAGUGCUUCAACUUCUUUACACAAACAGGUCAAGAGAAGCAGAAGCCAGAAGCAGCUUCUGCUUCUCUUGGCCAAACAGGCCCAAUAUCUUUAAGGUCUCUUGCAUUGGUCAUUUAAUGUGUUAAUUAAAAGUUUACAUUUAAAUUUUUUGAUCUAAUAAUUUUGGAUAGAUGGUUUGUGAGGUUAAUGAAUGAACUAAUAUGGAAUGAUAAAAUGUAGGAGGUCUGGAAAGAUGGGUUUCAAUGCAGGUUUAUUGCUACUUUCCUUCAGGUCUGCAUUGCUUUGGUCUGUCUUCAGGACUGAGACUGUGAUUGGUUUCGGAACAGACACAAGUAUAUAUAUGGACCAAUGCAAAGCACCUGAUUAUCAUACUUUAGGCUUUUGCUCUGCUUUCUAUGGUAAAAAAAAGUGACAUUACUUCGAAUCUGAUACAGUUUAUCCAAGAGCUUGCUUCAAUAUUAAGAAUGCAAUACGUGUUGCAGAUAAAAUUUUGACCAGCAACAUUGGGGCACCCAACCCAAAUCUAGCAACAUUGGCCGUGGAGCUUUAAAUAUCUCCGUAAGAUUCUUUUCCCUCGCAGGCAGGCAUCUUUUUCUGCGAAAAAUAUACAAGAAAAAAGGACUAAUUUGUUUAAUUGAAAAUAAAUUUCGGAUGAGUUGGAUUAAGAAUCAAAUGGAGAGUCCUGUUUUGGUUUCAUUUUGAUGGAGAGGUUGCUUAGGUCCUGUUUUGAUCGAAAGGUUGAAAAAAUAUUUGGUAUUUUUUGGUCUCAUUUUGGUUUGUUUCGUUCCUUCACAGGUGUGCAACAAGUGAUGAUAGUAUUUAAACAUGAUUAGCAAACUGCCCAGCAAUCCAUGCAUGGCAAGGGGAAUGCACAGCUUAAUGAUUUCAGUCUCCGUACCAUCCAAGUGCAACAAAAAUCAAUUAUCUUGUGAUGUCUAGGAUUCUACAAAAGUAAGAAGCCUUCAUUCAUCUUCAUUCAUCCCCUGUUACUAGAAAAGCAUUGGUAGCCUAUAAGCAGGUACACUAAGUAGCUCACCUAAUUUUUGCAUUUCAGUAUCAACGGAAAGUGGUGCAGGACUCCACUUUAUAAUUAAAUUAUGUGUCUAAAUUAUGCGUGUUGUAAUGUUUAGUGACCAUGUUCCAGACCCGACAUGUCCUUACUUGGCAGAUCAAGUUAUCCAAGAUUUGGGAAGGAGUUUCGCCUUUGAGAUCUCCAACAAGUAAGAAGAAAUAAUGUCAAGGAAUGAACUAAUGUAAAAUGAUAAGAAGAUGAAGGUAUAAAACAAUGAUUAUAAUGUAGGCUUCUUCGUAAUGUAAUGAACAAAAUAAUGGAGUAACUAUAACUAUUCUUGCUGCAAGCCUGUGUUUGUUUAAUGCUAUCUGGCAGUAGUUUAGCAUUGGUAUAUUCCUUAAGGUGGAUUUGGAUAGAGUGAGAGGAGACAUUACUUAUCUUUACCUAGCUACUGCUUUUCAUGAGAUUUGGGCAGAGCGUAACAUUAGAAUUCAUCAUCCUAAGAGUUUUAAAGUUGCAAACCGGCUUAUCAAGGACAUAAUAGCCUCUGUUACUAUUUUUACAUGCUCCUCUAUUGUUGUGUGAACUUGCUGAACUCCUUUUUUCUGUUGUUCUACUUACUAAAAUCUUUUUAAUUUUCUUUUGUUAGGUACACUAAGUGGUUCACUCAAUUUUGGCAUUUUAGUAUCAUUGGCAAGUGGUGUAGGACUCCAUGAUUCUGUGUUGUCCACAAGCAACGAAAAAAANNNNNNNNNNNNNNNNNNNNNNNNNNNNNNNNNNNNNNNNNNNNNNNNNNNNNNNNNNNNNNNNNNNNNNNNNNNNNNNNNNNNNNNNNNNNNNNNNNNNNNNNNNNNNNNNNNNNNNNNNNNNNNNNNNNNNNNNNNNNNNNNNNNNNNNNNNNNNNNNNNNNNNNNNNNNNNNNNNNNNNNNNNNNNNNNNNNNNNNNNNNNNNNNNNNNNNNNNNNNNNNNNNNNNNNNNNNNNNNNNNNNNNNNNNNNNNNNNNNNNNNNNNNNNNNNNNNNNNNNNNNNNNNNNNNNNNNNNNNNNNNNNNNNNNNNNNNNNNNNNNNNNNNNNNNNNNNNNNNNNNNNNNNNNNNNNNNNNNNNNNNNNNNNNNNNNNNNNNNNNNNNNNNNNNNNNNNNNNNNNNNNNNNNNNNNNNNNNNNNNNNNNNNNNNNNNNNNNNNNNNNNNNNNNNNNNNNNNNNNNNNNNNNNNNNNNNNNNNNNNNNNNNNNNNNNNNNNNNNNNNNNNNNNNNNNNNNNNNNNNNNNNNNNNNNNNNNNNNNNNNNNNNNNNNNNNNNNNNNNNNNNNNNNNNNNNNNNNNNNNNNNNNNNNNNNNNNNNNNNNNNNNNNNNNNNNNNNNNNNNNNNNNNNNNNNNNNNNNNNNNNNNNNNNNNNNNNNNNNNNNNNNNNNNNNNNNNNNNNNNNNNNNNNNNNNNNNNNNNNNNNNNNNNNNNNNNNNNNNNNNNNNNNNNNNNNNNNNNNNNNNNNNNNNNNNNNNNNNNNNNNNNNNNNNNNNNNNNNNNNNNNNNNNNNNNNNNNNNNNNNNNNNNNNNNNNNNNNNNNNNNNNNNNNNNNNNNNNNNNNNNNNNNNNNNNNNNNNNNNNNNNNNNNNUUUUACAUGCUCCUCUAUUGUUGUGUGAACUUGCUGAACUCCUUUUUUCUGUUGUUCUACUUACUAAAAUCUUUUUAAUUUUCUUUUGUUAGGUACACUAAGUGGUUCACUCAAUUUUGGCAUUUUAGUAUCAUUGGCAAGUGGUGUAGGACUCCAUGAUUCUGUGUUGUCCACAAGCAACGGAAAAAAAGCCUGCAGAAAUGUUUCGAAUACUUUGAACGAAAUAAAGGUACAUUAUUAGGCAAGUGAUUGUGGCGGCAGAGAUAGCAGUUUGAUUGCUACACAAUUAUGUGUUUCACAAGAUUUUGCUAUUUUAAAUUAUAGUAAAUUUGAUUAAAUCCCACUCGGAAAGUUUGAAAUUUCUUGAUGUUGCUUAGUUAAAAUUUGGAUAUGGACAAUUAUGAUAUUUGUGAAUUUGGGUUCUUUUUAUAGGUGAUUUUUGAACAUUGCUAGAAUGAUAUAUGAUCUCAGGCCUCACACUCUUAACAUCUUUACGAGGCUUACGAGGUUCGAGAUGAGUUGGUUACUUAACAUGAUUCGUUUAAUUUAAUUAUGUGUUUGUGUAGUUGGGUUGAUUUGUUGUUUGUUUCGUUUAAUUGUACAAUUAAGGAGAUGGUGUUUACAAUAAUAAUAUUGAAGAUAGUUUGUAACUAGAGUAUGUUGUUAAUAAUUUGGUUAUGAGAAAUUGAGGCCGACACAAGUUUAAUCUGGCUUUCUCGAGAUGAUCUGACCUCGAGAAGAAAGAUUAUCUCAAAGUAGUUUUGUAAGUUGCUUCUCUCUGUUUUUGGACAAUGUAAAUUCUUACAUUACAUCUGCCUCUUGCAGGUAACAUCUUUGCUUUUAGGCUCUUUAUAUCGCCGAUGUAAGUUUUGCUCCAUAAAUUUCAGUGUUUGGCUAGAUCUCCUACAACUGUACUUUUAAAGAAAAAUAGAAGAAAUCAAGAACUGAGUUUACUGUACUUUUGCAGUGAUAAUCAGAUAUGUACCGGUUUUGCUUCGCAUAGUCACACCUUUUCUUUGUACAAUUGCAGACCCACUUUUAGGGGUAUUAUGAUGAGGAACGAGUGUACAGAAGACUUCUCAGGUCUUCCAUAUCUAUAUGCCCUCCUGCACUGCUUGAUUUGUGCCUGGUAUGGCAUGUCGUUUAUGUCAGAUGAUAAUGUGCUUGAUAACUGUAACCUUAUACAGCUACAUUUACUUUAAAUGUCUUGAACACAGUGGUUGCAAAUAAUGGUUAAAUGAUUAAUAUUUACACUGAUCUACUGCUUUUACACUGAUCACUGCUUAUGAUGUUGAAAAACCAAAAUUUGGUGGAGAAAUUGGGAUCAAUGGAGGGAGCUUGCACUGACACACGAAAUCUGUCAAAGCCUAGAUUACAAAGUAAUACUUUACUUGACUGAUCGACGGUUCAACUCAGCAGGAUAUGGAGUAUGCUCGCAGUGUACAUAACAUCCAAUCUCCCAAGGUCUCAUCAUCUACUUUGGAGACAACCUCAAAAUGGGUGUAGUUGCACUUGCACCCAAAAAUGAAGCCAGUGCAAAAAUCAAAGAGAUGACCCAUUUGUUAAAAAUGUUGAGGCUGAAGAGUACAAGGGAACCAAGGUCAGAGAUGUCUCCUCCGCUAAGAGAUGAGGAAAUAUGGCAGUCGUUGGUAUUUGGGAAAUGCAUGUUAGCAAAUACAUGGAUUAUAAAUUGUAUGAGUGACAGGAUGAUAAUAUAGCGUCUCAUAGUCUAAUAUUGCCAAUGACAGGGCUAAUAGCAAUAGCACUUUCAAAAGUAGGUUUGCAGCUGUGAAAUUCACUCAAAGUUGUGAAAUUUGUGAAAUUUGCUUUUGCUCUAACAUGUAAUACCCCGGGUUCCAUUCUUUUGUUUACUUGAAUUUGAAUUGUAUUGUUAUCUUUGUUUUUUUAUUAUAAUUAUCCAAAAAUAGAUGUCCAUCUUGACUUUUGGUUGGUUAUUAGACAGAGGAAUUGAGCCCGGAAAUAAAAGUGUUACUAAUUAUCAUCCAUUAUUAAAGCAAUUAUUAUAUUAGACCAAUUUUAUUUUUGCACUAUUUGAAAUAUUCACUUUAUCUGAAUGAUGAAUGGUUCUUCUUUCAGUUAAUACAGUGUCAUUCACUGGUUAACAAAUGACCUCUUAAAUUAUUCAUGAAAUCAUUUAAAAAUAUAUAAAGUUUAAUUGACAAAUUUAUCUUUUUUAAUAAAAUUAUACUCAAAUUUUUGGUUGAAAUGUAUGUAGCUUUAAGAUUAUAAUCACUUUUAGCCGAAAGUACUUUAAUAUUAGUGUUCAUAAAAAUAAUUUUUGAAUAACUUAUUAAUGAUUAAUUAUUUUAUGUAACGGUUUAAUAAAAUUAUACAAAUAUAAUGAUUUCUAAUUUGAGAAUAGUUUUUUAUAGUUCAAAACAAAAUUUAUAAUAAAAAAAUUUAACGAGUUAUCAGUAAUUAAUAAUAUACAUUUACAAUUAAAUUAUCCAAAUUAAUUAUAAAAUAUUAAAAUUUAAAAUAUUUGACUAAAGUGCGAGGCGUCACCGCUCGGCGACGUCGAGGGGCACUUGAUAGAAUAUGACUUUUCAUAUAUUACAAAGUUUAGCUAUAUAAUUAUUUUGAUUAUAAGAUAUUAAAAUAUAAAAUAUUCGACUAAAGUGUGAGGCGUCGCCGCUCGACGACACCGAGGAGGACUUGAUAAAAUAUGACUUUUCAUAUAUUACAAAUGUUUAGCUAUAUAAUUAUUUUGAUUAUAAAAUAUUAAAAUAUAAAAUAUUCUACUAAAGUGUGAGGCGUCACCGGUCGGCGACGACGAGGAGCACUUGAUAGAAUAUGAUCUUUCAUAUAUUACAAAGUUUAGCUAUAUAAUUAUUUUGAUUAUAAGAUAUUAAAAUAUAAAAUAUUCGACUAAAGUGCGAGGCGUUGCCGCUCGGCGAGCCGAGGAGUACUUGAUAAAAUAUGACUUUUCAUAUAUUACAAAUGUUUGGCUAUAUAAUUAUUUUGAUUAUAAAAUAUUAGAAUAUAAAAUAUUCGACUAAAGUGCGAGACAUCGCCGGGGAGCACUUGAUAAAAUAUGACUUUUCAUAUAUUACAAAUGUAUUAUAUAAUUAUUUUGAUUAUAAAAUAUUAAAAUAUAAAAUAUUCGACUAAAGUGCGAGGUGUCGCCGAGGAGUACUUGAUAAAAUAUGACUUUUCAUAUAUUGAAAAUGUUUAGCUAUAUAAUUAUUUAAAUUAUAAAAUAUAAAAUAUUCGACUAAAGUGCGAGGCGUCGCCGAGCGGCGACGCCGAGAAGUACUUGAUAAAAUAUGACUUUCAUAUCUUUAAAAAUAUUAUGUAAUUUUCGAACGUAAAUGAAUUUUAAUUACGAAUUAACUUUUAUAAAUACUCAAGUUAUACAACGGUUUUUGUUGAAUUUGAUUUUUAUUUUACACUGAACUUUUAUUUUUAUAACUACAAAAUCACAAGUUAUAUUUAAUAUUUUUUUUAUAACUCAAUUGUUGUUUUCUUGCAUAUAAAAGUUUGUAAGUAUAAGUAAUGGAUAUAAUAACGUCAUAUUAAUUUUCAAAAUAUAAUCAAUAUUUUAAAUCUUAUUGACAAAAAAAGGACUAAAUUCUAUCUAUUAUUUUAAAAUAUUAUUUUAAAAUAUUAUUGUAUAUACAAAUACUCACAAAUACUCCAUGACGCUGACGAACAUCCAAUAAUCAUUAUCAGGUAGUGAAAGAUCUGAGGAACACAUUAAAAUUUGUACUUCAAUAAAACACAAUUGAAAGAUGAAUUUUAGCCAAAAUAAAUAUGCAUGAAUACAGGUUGGCAAAUUGGCGUAACAACCACUGAGCUACUCAAGUACAAGGACUCGAUGAAAGGCCUCUACUACUCCCAGAACCUGAAAAUGCUAUUUCUAUAAUUCCAUCACGUUAUUUAUCUUAUUUAAUGUACUGUUCUGUGAUAACGUAUGGGAACUCGCUAAUAUGGAAUGCUAGCUUUGCAUUUGGUCUCCUCGCCAUAUUCACAAAUCAUUAGGAUUCAUAUAGAAUUGGUGCGUGUUCAAAACAGAAUUUUUUCAAGCACAAGAUCAGCAAAAAUAAAUUUAUUAAUCUUCUGCAAUUUAAAAUGCCCAGCAAGGCGGGCAUAAAUACUAGUUCUUCAUAUUUACACAACCAUUGAUCUGUCUUGCAACAAAUUUCAAGGAGAAGUUCCAAAGGUUACAUGAGAGCUUAAAUGGCUUGCAUUGCUCAAUCUAUCUCAUAAUAGUCUCACCGGACAUAUCCCAUCACUCCUCGGAAAUAUGGAAGCACUCCUAUCUCUAGAUUUGUCUUCAAAUCAAUUGACAGGGGCUAUUCCACACCAAUUAACUAAAUUGACAUUUCUAAAGGUGUUGAACCUCUCGGGAAAUAAUCUUACUGGGGAAAUCCCGCAAAAAGGGCAAUUCAGCACUUUUGGAAAUGAGUCAUACUUGGGGAACCCGGCCUUGUGUGGACUUCCUUUGACGGAAAAAUGCAUGCAUGCAGUGUCACCAACUCAAGAAGUCGGAAAUGGUGAUACUGAUGAAGAUGACGAUGCUGAUGAUGAACUUAAUUGGGAAGCCAUCCUGAUGGGAUAUGGAUGUGGAUUGAUAUGCGGAUUGUCUUUGGGGUACAUUGUUUUCAAGAUAGGAAAGCCUUGGUGGUUUGUGAAAUACAUUAAAAUACUACAACUGAAAUUGAUGAAAACAUGCACAAAGCAUAGCAGACGAAAGACUUGAGGAGAUGUUGUCUUAGGAUGCAAUCUCGUUUAAUACUUUCAUCAUUAUUCUCCAAGAUGUCUGAACAUGUAUUUUCAAAGAAUUCUCAGUUCACCUUUAGCCUUAUAAAGUAAAAGACAUUUUAAAGGCACUCUCAACUUACACCUAUAUAUACACGUACGGUUCACUUCAGUACAAAGAUUAUUAGCCAUGCAAAACAUGCAGAACCACUAGUAAUGCAGAAAAACAAAAUAUCAGUUUUCUCCAAAUAUCACUACAACAAAACUGCCAUUUUACGACGGAAAUCUAAUAUUCUAAAGGUUUACGACCAAACUAUGUUGGUGGACUUUAUUUUAAUUUACAGUUUUAACAGUAGUUAAUUUUGGAUAUCUAAACUUGCGACAGAAAACAUACGACAGUCUACCUCGCGAGAGAAAAUCAUUUUAUUUUAUUUUUUAGCGCCAGAAUUUUAAUACUAAAAUAUUAUAUAUAUGAAGGAAACUGAUCUCUAAUGUUUUCAGCUUGCUCAUCCAUAUGUAAGUAAUCCGUCGAAAAAGUUAGUUUGUUGUGGUGGUGUCUUAUCAUGAGAGAAAAUGAUAAUAUCGCAAAAUAUUUGCAACUGAAAGAUAAAUUAUAAUUCUAGAAACCAUUUAGGUAACGAUGCACGAAGUUAUUUUCACUCACUUAGAAUUAAUGAUCAUAAAUAUUUGCAACGGAAAGAUACAUUAUAGUUCUAGAAAAGGAUCCACGAAGUUAUUUUCACUCACUUAGAAUUAAUUGUAAGUUAUUGUGAGUUUUUGAAUAUGGAUUAUCUCAAAUUUUAUGAAAACACAUAUUGAUUCAUAUAUACAAAUUUGCCUACCUAAUAUUAUAAUAUUUAUGGAGAAGUUGUAUGAACAAUUGUGUAGAUAAUUAUACUUUACAAAGCAUACUUCUGCUAGAUGAAUUUUGAUUAAACAAAAUCGAAAGGGAUAGGUCUGGGUCUCUCCAAGUCUUUGAGGACUCAUUCCAAGUCUUCUGACGAGGACAAAAUAUAUUGCUGGUAGUCUUUCAGUCCUUCCUAGAGUAUUUUAUGCUCUGGACUGCAUUAUGCAGCUCUCAUAUAACUUUGCGAUGCAAAACAGUGGCAAGUAAGUAUUUCCGUAUGUGUAUUUAUUUGUAUAUUAAAGUUGCGUAACAUUUGUGUUGAUAAUUUGCGUAAUGUUGAUGAGGAUUGCUCCCAAGUCUUGGACGGACUCUUUCCAAAUCUUCUGAGGACAUAUCGGUUCAAAUUAGUCCAUUAAAAAUUUUAUGAUAUGAAGCUAUCUGCAAAAUAAUAUAUAAGGUAAAAUGAACCAUUGUUUUGUGGUUAAGUUGUACAGGCAAUAUGCAGUGCAAAAUCAGGAACAGAAUAUAUGAAUACUAGUAAUAUGAUAUCGGUAUGAACGAAUAUUUUCUAUGUAGUUGUUAUUGUGAUGCGGAAAAAAUAUUGUAACCAAAAAUAAUUAUAAUUCUAAAAAUUUCCAUUAUACACUUUUUUAGUGUUCGUGGUACUUCAAAUGACAUUUCUCGCGUAUGCCUCCAAUUAAGAACUUGAUGUUCAGCAUAGUCCGAAACUAAAAUUAUUAUAAGUGUGUAAUUCAAAAUUAUAUUGCUGGUAGUCUUUCAGUUCUUCCUAGUGUAUGCAGUAGUUUCAUUCGAUACCGAUUAUUUUAUGCAUUGCCCGAGAACCAGUCUAUCUAAAACCCUAAGAUGUUAUAUUUUUAUACGUGUAUUAGUUUUGAAGAUUAAAGUUGUAUGGACAAUUGUGUUAAUAAUUUGCGCAAUUGCGCAAUGAUAACUGGGAUAGGUCAUCUUCUCUCCCAAGUCUUGGAUGGAAUCUUUCCAAGUCUUCUGAGAACCCAUCAGCUCAGAUUAGUCCAUACAAUGUCAAGGGUCCUAUGAUAUGGUCUACUAACAGCCCAGUGUCGGUAAUAAAUCCAAUUGCAUAUAACCUAUUCAAAAUCAAUCCCCUAUAAACAAUCAUCUCUAAAAACUAUUCACAUAAAAUAAAAUUUUAAAAAUAUAAAAUAUCUAGUUGUUUUCAAUAUAUAAUUUUCCACAGUAGAUAACACAAUAUCUUUAUCAAAUUAUUAUUUAUGGGUUCAAUAUUUAAGCUAUAAUUCCAACAACACGGCAAGCAUGCAGCAUAUAAAUAGAAGUGUGCAGUAUGGUAUUGCAUUCAUAACCCAGUUGAGGAAAAAUAUGGCACCCUUCCUAAAGCCUUCUCACCUUCUUCUCUUUGUUUUCUUUCUCUCAUCACCUGAGUCCAUUCUUGCGACAACACGAGAAGGAGAAGCUCUUGUGAAGUGGAAGAAUAGCCUAGCCCCUUCUUCUUUUCUUGAUUCUUGGUCACUCACUCAUCUCGAUAAUCUUUGUAACUGGACUGGCAUUACUUGUAACUCUGCAGGUUCAGUCUCUAAGAUUAACCUUUUUGAGAAACAACUUAAUGGAAUGCUGUCCGAGUUUGGUUUCACUUCAUUUCCAAAUCUCAGCAAUCUCACCCUCACAUACAACUUCUUCUCGGGUCCCAUACCACCAGCCAUUGAGAAUUUAACCCAGCUUCGGUAUCUUGAUUUGAGCUAUAAUUAUCUGGAUGGUCCCAUUCCGUUCCAGGUUAGCCAUCUUCAGAGCUUGCUCAUCUUGAACCUGUCACAGAAUGCAUUGCAAGCUCCAAAUUGGUCCCAUUUCUCUCCCAUGCCUUUCUUGCGCAUCCUCAACCUCAGUUACAAUCCUCUUGCGUCGAAAUUCCCAAAUUUUAUAUCCAAUUCUCAUAGCCUGACUCACCUUAGCCUUAAUUUUAAUGAGUUUACUGGUGAUCUAGUACGUGAAUCAAUAUUUGCCAAUCUGCAUAAUCUUGAAGUCCUCAGUCUUCUUGGCAAUUUUUUUGAGGGGCCAUUUCCGCCAGAUAUAUUCAAGCUUUCCAAAUUAAAACAUCUUCACCUGUCAGGUAACAAAUUCUCAGGUUCAAUUCCAAAUGACAUAAGGUUGCUUUGUGGUCUUGAAAACCUAUUUUUAAGCAACAAUUCCUUUGAAGGACCGCUUCCACCAAAUAUAUUUAAGCUUUCAAAAUUAAAACAACUUGUUCUUUGGAGUAAUAAUUUUUCAGGUUCUAUUUCCAAUGAUAUAGGUUUGCUUUCUGAACUUGAAACCCUCAAUCUUCAAUUUAAUUUUUUUGAGGGGCCGCUUCCCCCACAUAUAUUUAGGCUCUCUAAGUUAACAGGUCUAGAACUCGGAGACAAUAGAAAUUUAUUUGAAGGAAGUAAUAUUCCUAUCGGACUGGGACUCUUGACUAACCUCAGGUACUUAGAUUUACAUUCCAGUAAUCUCAGUGGCUAUAUUCCAUCUGACAUUGGAAACCUGAAGCUACUAGUACUUCUUAGUCUCGGUUCUAAUCAAUUGACUGGACCGCUUUCAAAGAUCGUUUAUAAUCUCACAAAUCUUAUAUUUCUUGAUGUAAGUAAUAAUAGUCUUAGUGGAAAUAUUCAGAGUGACUUGUGGAAAUAUAACCAUCAUCCUACUUUGGAAUACAUCGAUUUUAGUGGGAACCAUUUUACAGGUAUAUUUUUUCUCUAUAGAUCUUUUCCUUUUGUCAUAUGUAACUAAGCUAGUAAUCUGAUUAUUGCAGUUUUACUGAAGUUUCAACAAUCUUGACAGGUGAGCUUCCAACAACAAUUUGCAAUGUCAUGUCCCUUUCGGUUCUUGAUUUGUCAAAUAAUGAAUUAAGUGGUGCACUUCCAAACUGUUUCGGGAAUCUUGCUGAUGGAUUGCUUUACAUUAAUCUUGCUAAUAAUCAGUUUCGAGGAACAAUACCAACUACUUUCUCCAGGAGUUGUCAGCUGACAUAUCUAAACAUGGAUAAUAAUGAGUUUGAAGGAUUGUUGCCCCCAUCUUUGGCGAACUGUAAGCACUUGAGAAUUCUUGAUAUUGGCAAUAAUAAAAUAGGUGGUACAUUUCCGUCAUGGCUUUAUGUACUUGGAGAGCUAGAAGUCCUUGUCUUGCGAUCAAAUAAACUCUAUGGUACAAUAAGUGGAAGGAGCAUAGAAGAUCCCUUCCCCAAGUUGCGGAUUGUGGAUCUGUCCAACAAUCAAUUCACAGGCCAUUUGCCAAUUCAAUACUUUAAGAAUAUGAAAUCAACUGAUAAUUUGUAUCGUUAUCAGAAUUCCACAGGAGUUUUUUCUUUCCAUUAUGAAGCAUCUGUCUCAUUAACUGUGAAGGGAACAGAGUAUGAAGUGAAAAAUAUCCUUCAUAUUUACACAGCCAUUGAUCUGUCCUGCAACAAGUUUCAAGGAGAAAUUCCUGACGUUAUUGGAGAGCUUAGAUGGCUUGCAUUGCUCAACUUAUCUCAUAAUAGUCUGACAGGACCUAUCCCAUCAUUACUGCGAAAUAUGAAAGGACUCCAAUCUUUAGAUUUGUCCUCAAAUCAACUGACAGGGGCUAUUCCACCUCAGAUAACUGCACUGACAUUUCUAGAAGUCUUAAACCUCUCGGGAAACCAUCUUAGUGGAGAGAUUCCUCAGAAAGGACAAUUCAGCACAUUCAACAAUGAUUCUUAUAUAGGAAACUCCGCAUUAUGUGGAUCACCAUUGACGAAGACAUGUGCAAACACAGCAUCACCUCCACAAGAAGUCGGAAAUGUUGAUGAAGAUGAUGCGGGUGAUGAAUUGACAUGGGAAGCAAUCUUGAUGGGAUAUGGAUGUGGACUGAUAUGUGGAUUGUCAUCUGCAUACAUUGUUCUCAAACUAGGAAAGCCUUGGUGGUUUGUGAGAUAUCUCGAAGUACUGCAACAGAAGUUGAUGAAAAGAUAUGCAUGAAGAAUGGUACUGGCCGAUCAAGACCAACUUGAAAGUUUGUUGUCCUUGUGCACAUUUCUGAACCAGUAGUGUACUUGCUGCAUAAGUAUUUGGUAUUAUGUAAUAAUCCGUUUGGUCGGGACUCAUAAUGAUUUCUCUUGCUUCAGGGGUAUUAAUAUUAACCUUGCUAUCUUGAUCAAUGUUAAAGCAAAUUAAAUGAAUGAAAAAACAAAAAGUAUGCAUCAAAUCCGCUCCUGCUGUACCAAAAUCCAUUAAAUUGCUUUGGUCUCUUACCUAACAAUUUAACAGCACACUUCCACACUGUUCAUACCUAAUUUGCGUGUAAUAUGAAAACUAAGAGGCAUGGCUUUUGUCUCUAUAAGUCUUUGAGAACUUAUUCUUCCAAGUCUUCUUCGGAGGCCUGCUGCCUCAACAACCUUUCAAAGAUGUAGCAGUUGCUCGAGAGUAACAUAUAUAUUAGAUAAAGACUAUGCAAUAAUCCACGUGACAGAAAAACCAAAGUCCAAUUAGUUUUCCAAGUUCAUAAAAAAUACUAUAGGAUCAUUAGCAUUACAUUAGUAUUCCACUAGCAUACAGCAUAUUAUAAGACAAAAGUAAGCGGAAAUAAACAUAAUUUCAAUAGAUUUAACUUACUCUUCAGAAUCGAUAAGUUUGGAACACGUUGAUUGAGCACAAGACGAAGGCCACACAUGCGCAUCAUCUGAUGCAGCUAUAUAUGGUGCCUUUACAGUUGCUCAUACAUAUAGUGAAACAAUAAGGAUCAACUCCUCCAUUGUACGUACACAUUUUCAUACAAGCUAUAAAGCAUGGUGAUAGAGUCUUUGCAAUCUCGUCAUGACCGGCACAUCCGAUUAUGAUAAACUCUAGCAGGAUCAUCCAAGUAAUAAUUUUCAUAAUGAUAUUAAUUAUCAUUGUGAAUAGUUGCAUUGAGUUAUAUAUGUGUGUGUAUAUAUAUGCAAUGGAUUUUGUGGUUGAGAAUAUCUAUUAGAUUUUGUAUAUCCAUAACAAUUAUUAAAAUUUAAACAAGAAUAUCUAUUAUUGGUUGUGGUUGACUAUUGUAGUAGUCCAAGAAAUCAAUGCAAGUGAAAUCUAUAUUAUAUUUUAAAAGAUUAUACAUGAAAUACAAAAGGUUUUUUUAGGACUGCUGUUAAAAAUUGUUAUGUUGUACGAAAAAAUGCUGAUAAAAAGAGUGUUAUACGAAAAAAUGCUGAUAAAAAAAAUGUCGUAUAAAUCAGAUAUGACAGCUUCCCACAAAAACUAAAAAAAACAGUUUUCCGUAAUAAUAUGGGAGAGGAAAAACUGUUUGUAGAUUUAUAGAACAAUUUUUCGGUAAAAAACUGUUGUUGUUUUCGAGAGUAAUGACAAACAGUGCCGAAAUCAUUUUGCAGGUAGUUAAUCUCACUUCCAUAUAAUAUACUCCUAUAUAUUACCGAAAAAACAUGAAAUGAUGCAAACCUCAUACUAUUGACAACAGCUAAACUCCUUGCAAUACUUUCAGCUGCAAAAUCCAUCAAAUUUUUUGAUUUAUCAUGUAACUGUUUGACAGAGUACUUCCAAGCCUAAGUAUCAAAAAUCACUACCUUACGAAAUAUAUCUCACCCUACCUUCUCUGCUUAACUGUUUCGAGUGCUUUUACCAAGCAUAUUUUCCAUUAAGCGUGAAAGGCACAGAAUAAUUAGGAUCACCGAAUAUCCCAUCAGUGCUGGGGAAUAUGGAACCAUCUUAUCAAUUAACUAGUUUAACAUUUCUUGCGGUCUUGAACCUCUCAGAAAACCAUCUUAUCCUAAUGUGCCGACUUCCUUUGACGGAGAAAUGGUGAUGCUGAUGCUAAUGAUAAUGAACUCAACUGGGGAGUGAUCCUUAUGGGAUACGGAUGUGGAUUGAUAUGCGGAUUUUCUUUGGGGUUUAUAUUUUGUGGUUUGUGAGAUACAUUGAAGUACUGCAGCUGGAGUUGAUCAUUAUAAAGAACAUAGGCAAGUUAAUCGCUUAUUGAAAUUAGUAAUUGUCAAAAGUAAAAUGUUGAAAUUACUUUUUUCGAUUGAAAUCAUUGAAAAAAAGUCUCUGUCGAAAUUGAUCUGCCAAAAUUAUGUUUAAUAUCUACGGCCAAGAUUAUCUGUCGAAUAUAUUUCCCGACAAUUUUAAAAGACAAAUUUUUCGCCUCUCAGCUGUGAGCGGGAACAGAUAUUUUCGACAGAAUUCCAUUGAAAUUAGCUAAUUUCAACAUAAAUUUUCUAUCGAAAUUACUUGAGUUCUUUGUAGCUUGUUUUCACAAAUACGCUGAUAGCCUUUGGGGACGGGUAUAUUGUUUUCACAAAGCCCUGGUGGUAUGUGAGAUGCUUCGAAGGACUGCAACUGAAGUCGAUAAGAACAUGCAGAAAGAAAACCGAUCCAUCUUGAUAAACUUGAAAAAUGUUGUCAUAUGGUGAUAUAUACUCCCUGGCCCCAGUCUCUUGGAAAGAACUUGGUUGAUUUUUUUUUUUCAGUAUUGUUGGAGCUGUCAUACUAGUGCUAGUGUGCCGACUAGCACUAGUAUGACAGCUCCAACAAGUAUCCAUCCCUAAUAAUUGCAGCAAAUUAAAAAAUAUAGCUAUAUCUUUUUAGCAAUGGUGCAAUUUGGAAAGCUUUCUCAUCAUCUUCUUCUUUUCUUUAUCUCAUUACUCUCAUCUAGUUCCACUGUCCUAUCUGCAACAAUUCGCGAAGGAGAAGCUCUUGUGGAAUGGAAGAACAGCCUAUCCCCGAAUUCAUUUCUUGGUUCUUGGUCACUAAUUAAUCUCACUUAUCUUUGUAAUUAAGUGGACUGGCAUUGUAUGCAACUCUGCAGGUUCAGUCAGUCAGAUUAAUCUUCAAGAACUCACACUUGCUAACCUCCGUUUCUUUUCGUUUCCAAAUCUCACCAAUCUCAACAUUACACAUAACAACUUCACUGGUCCAAUACCACCCGAGACUUUAGCUAUAGUAAUCUCAAUGGUACCCUUCCAUACCAGGUCAGCCAUCUUCAGAGGUCGGUCGUCUUAGGCCUCUAAUUUAAUCACUUGAAAGCUCUAAGCUUGUCCAAUUUUUCCCCCAUGCCUAUACUGGUUGGUCGCGGUCUUGGUGGUAAUAAGCUGGCGUCAAUUUUUCCAGAAUUCAUAUCUAAUUGCUAUAACAUGAUUAACCUUGAUCUUUCAUUUAACAUGUUAACUGGUGAUCCCUUCAACAACUUGCGAAUCUUGGAUCUCUUCGACAAUGAAUUCACUGGUUACUUGCCAAUCCAAUAUUUUAAUAAUAUGAAACCAGUUAAUACCGUGAUUGAUUAUUACAACAUAACAGUGAAUCAUGAUUAUCAAGCAUGUCUUGUUAACAUUUUGCACUCGUAUUAAUUGUCUUAUAUAUGACUAACUCAUCUUGCACUCGUAUUAAUUGUCUUAUAUAAUACUAAUAACAAAAAUAUGAGGCGGUGCUUAGUCAGAUGAUUUUAGUUGUUAAAAUAUUUUUGUGUUAUUUAUAGAUAGUGAAACAUGUCUAAUAUUUUAUCAAUUUUGUUUCGUUUCUUGAGAUUUCCAAAUAUUUAUUGGGACAUUGUACCAUGGUGUAUUUCACAUAUUCGCAAUUUUAAUUAUUUUGUAUUUUUAUUUUAAAGAUAUGAUAAAGUUUAUUUAUUUAUUUGUUUUUAUCUUAAAAGCGAUUUUCGAGUGUUGCUUAAACCUCGAAGAUUCCAAUCGAGUUUUAUUCUCGGAUCUGUUUCGGAAUUGAGCUUGGCCUUGAUUGUUUUCUGAAUAAAUCAGAUCUUUUGAAAUCAAAGGUUCGAUUGUGUUUUCCCGUCUCGCCUUUUGGCGUGUGUUGAUUUAGUACCCAAUUUUUGGGUGAUUCUGCGUUGUUAUAUUUGUGGUUGUUAUGUCUUUCUGUGUUAUCAAUGAGAAUGAUUGGGAUGGAGUUUUGGGAGAUUUGGCUUAUCGCAUCAUUACAUCUUUCGGCAUGUCUAUAGCUGGCUCCCGGCAUGUAGAUAGCUGGGGUAUGCUUGGAACGGUGGCGAUCGCAUGUGCUCACCUGUCACAAAUUAUAGUUGUUCAUUAUUCGAGGGCUCUUGUUCCUCGUUGCUUAGUUUUUACAACUGAGUCGUCUGAACACCGCAACAGCCAUGGAACUAUUGUGAAGGUCAAUUGUGAAGCUAUCAUUUUCGAGAUUGAUGUAGGCUGGAUUACUCGAGAAGCUUUUGUAUUCAUUUUCAGUUUCAAGAAUUCUUGAAUUCAGUGUGUUAAGCAGUCUGGAAACAAUGCGGCUAUUUGAUUAGCUCGUUUUAUUGUUUAUCAACCUGAUUGCAUUGUCAGUUGGGGAUUUGUCCCGAUUAAACUUGUUUUAAUAUAAUGGAAUGAAUUUGCAUUUUGUCAAAAAAAAAAAAAAAAAGCGAUUUUGAGUUGUUUGAGUUAGAUAUAUACUCCUACUGUGGUUCAACUAGUUUUGCCAUAAGUGAAUAACUUCCGGUCAAUAUUUUGAAAUUUGUCGUUAUCUUCUAAUUAAAAUAAAGGGUUAAAUAGCUACUUCAUCAUUAAUAUCGUUGAAAAUUUGCAGCUGAGUCAUGUUGUUGAAAAGACUUUCAAACUGCAUCAUUAAGUAAUUAAAAAAUUUCAAAAACACCACUCUCCGUCAGUUAUGUUAAACAAUUAACGGAAAGUUCGAAAAAAAAUAAAGAAAAGACAAAAAAACAUUAAAAAAAUUUGAAAAAAAAACCCGAAAAAAUGUGAAUAAACUAUGAUAUUUUUUUUCUUUUUUUGAAAAAUGUGAAUAAAAUCAAAAAAUCAAAAAAAAUGGGAAACCAAAAGUGGCAAGCUUUUUUUUUUUUUGUUCCUUUCAAAUUUUCUAAAAUCUGGGGAAAAAAGAACUUGCCAACUAAUUUUUUCCAAAUUUUUUCAAAUUCUUUUCAGAUUUUUGAAUUUUUUUCCAAUUUUUUCCUCACUUUUUUUCUGUUUUUUUUUGAAUUUAUUAAGAUUUUUUUUGUUUUUUCUGCUUAUUCUGAAUUUUUUAAGAUUUAUUCGCAUUUUUAAAAAAUAUUUUUGAAUUAUCCGUUAAGUAAUUAAUGGAACUGACGGAGAGUGAUGCUUUUGAAAGUUUUUAAUUACUUGAUAAUGCGUUUGAAAAUUUUUUCAACAACAUGACUCAGUUGCAAGUUUCCGGCGAGGUUAGUAAUGAAUUAGUUAUUUAACUCUUAAUAAAAAUCUAUCUAAACAAUAUUAUAAAUAUAAUGUUAUGGGUUCGAUGAGUCGUGUAAAACAUGGAAGAAGUUUAGGUGGGGUAAAAAGAGCCUAGCUGUGUGAUUUCCAUUCUGUUAUACGUGAUAUACUGUAGUUGAUCAUCUCCUUUGUCCGCUUCAUCCUGUGCAACCUUAACCUUUAAGGAAAAACUUAUGAGAUUCUCUAGUGCAUCUAAAUUCUUGUGUGAAGAAUGUGAAGAAAAAUGUUAGUCUCAGAUUAUUUUUCCUAAAAUGCUUGCAUGUUACAUUUUAUAUGUAUGUCCUGACUUUAAGUAUAAUUUAGCAUUUUUAUUUAGUAUUGUGUAAAAAUAAUAUAUUUUAUUCAGUCUUAUUAAAAAUAUAAUCAUGUUAUACUGUAAAAGUAUUUGUGAAUUUCUUUGUUACAUAUGUGUUUAAAUUAUUUUAUUUAUAUAUGUUUUACAAUUUUUUACAAAUAUAUAGGUUGAGUAUUGCAUAGGAAUAUAAUUACACGUUAGCAAAUAUGAUUAUGUGUAAACUGUUCUGCGUGCAUGUAUAUUGCUGCUAAGUUUUAAACUUCUUACUAACCGGAAUAAUUUUGACAGAUGUGUGGAACUUGAUUAAUUUAGUUGCACUAUAAGAGAAAGCGUUUUUGUCAAUAAAAAUUGUUAAGGAAAUUAGUCCGUUGGUAGUUCUCAACGGAUUUGUAACAAUUUGACUGGUCAAUGUUCUGUCAACCAAUUCGUAAUGAAAUACCCACACUUAUUUACAACGAGAUGUUCUAUUAGGAAAUAUAGCCACACAAUGGAAUAAUAACAAAAGACCAAGGAAUGAGCAACAGACUAGCAACGAAAGUAUCUGUUAUUACAUUCGUUGAUAUUCCCUUGAUAAAUACUAGACUUUUUAGCACUUUGGUGGCUUGUACUAUUUCAAAUUUGCACGUUAGUGGCCGACCUUUAAAAGUCAUCAAUUGUGUUGCUGAACUUAUUUUUUUUUAACACAUUAGGGGCUCCGCAUCAUAUCCGUUAAAUCGAAGUAACGGCGUCAAAUGAUCAAUACAUAUCUCCUCCUCCUCUUAUUUCCCUCCAAAUUAAAAAACGAAACGGCUACCCUCUUUUCCGAAGCAAGAACGACGACGAAUUCCUGCUUACAGAGAUGAGUUGGUUCCGGCGUCUUAAAGAGGAUGCUGAUGUGUAUUAGCCUCGACAGUGCCCCGAUUACUGUAGUAAGCUCUUCAACUUUUCUUCUUUGUAGCAUAUGAAAUGAGUUUAAUUGACCAUUAUUUCAGUGUUUGUUGUUGUUAGUGGCUAGUUGUUUAGUAUUAUGGACCUGCAAUUGCUUUAUACUAUUAAAAUGAAAGAUUCUGCUUGUGGGUUUUUAAAAAUUAAGGCUUUUACAUAGUCCAAGAUUCGGUCAUUAUAAAAUCAAUUUAUGCCUGUUUUAGUAUAGUGCUUGUUGUUAGUGGCUAUUUGUUAAGUAUAGUGUUGUUUAUUGUAAAUAAAACUGUUGCUUUGCACUCUACAUUUGCAGAACCUGGUGAUUUUACCCUAAAAAUAUAUCAUGGGGCCGAUUGGGUAGAUAACCCUAGGGCAUAUGUGGGAGGUACAGUAGAUUUCUUUGACUUCUGUAAUGCUGAUCAGAUCAGCAUAAUUGAGAUAUAUAGUAUGUUGAAAGAGGUUGAUGAGUUUGGGUUUCACCAACUGUGGUAUAAGCUACCUGGCACUACAUUCGAUAGAGCUUUUGUACUAAAUAAUGAUGAGGAGCUAAUGACCAUGUGUGAGCUUAUAUCUGAUGUGGAUAAGUAUAUGGAGAUUUAUGUCACCACUAUGGCACAUCUAAGUAUAGUGCCCUAUAGAGAUUUAGAGGUUGAAUUUGUUGAACCAACUCCUAAAGAAGCACCUGAAAAGAACAAUCCAUCACCUGAAAAGAUCAAUCCAGCACCUGAAAAGAUCAAUCCAGCACCUGCAAAGAUGUAUCCAGCACCUGCAAAGAGCAUUCCAACUGUGGGAAAUGAUGAUGAUCAGGAAGAGUUUGAGUUUGAUUUUGACAAUACACGGUUUUGGGAUACCACCCAAAAUGAAAUUGAAAUUGUGCAACAAGUUAGGGAAAUGGAGGGGUUGGAAGAGGAAUUUUCAGACACAGAUUCUGAUGAUGAGGAUUUUGUGCCAGAAGAAAAGGAAAGUAGUGAUGAGACCUUCCACUGUGAUAGUUCCAAUCAAGAUAAUUCUGAUGAUGAUUUGUUGUUUGAUGAUGAUUACUACCAUCCUUACCAGCAGAUGGAAACCAACAAAGAAAAAUAUACAACAACAACAACACAGCAAGAAUUUUCCAGUUCCUUGCUUGCUUCUGCGCCUCGGAUAGUUCUUCACUGUAGAAAUCCUUGUACUCAUCUUUGGCCUUAAUCAUUUCAGCAAAACAUUCAUCGUCCUUGUUCUUCAAACGCCUUAUCAGUCCAUUGAUUACACUCUUGCUGCGCGCAUCAAACUCGGGUUCAACCCACUUGAAGAAAUUGCACCUUCCAUUCACGCAAGUCAAGAAUCUUCUACCCGGAUUGUACUCCGUCCACGAUGUCUUCUCCACUGCCCAGCUUCCACACAUACAUUGUUGAUUCAUCUUUGCAGAGCUUUUUGGUUUGGAUGAGAGAUUUAGGUUUGAAUAUGCUCAAUUACACACAGCAGAAACGUAUAUAUAUACACAGCAUAUAGCCGUUGCAAAAAUAUUUUCCUGAAAUACCCCUGACGACCGUUACUUCGAUUUAAUGGAUAUGAUGCGGAGCCCCUAAUGUGUUAAAAAAAAAAUAAGUUCAGCAACACAAUUGAUGACUUUUAAAGGUCGGUCACUAACGUGCAAAUUUGAAAUAAUACAAGCCAUCAAAGUGCCAAAAAGUCUAAAUACUAACAGUUUCGUUAGUAAUUGAUUAUUAGUUUUACAUGGACAAUUGAUAUACACCACAUGAGCACAUACACGGAUACAAUGCCAGGCUCUUAGUUGAAAUGUGUGUACUGCUAAAGCUCAAGGAGAUUUAGUUGACUAAAUUGAUUUGAGUUGUAGAAAAAGGUUUAAUAAUAUAAUGGACUUUGAUAUAUGUAUUGUAGAUAUUAAGUAAUUCUCUUGAAUUUAUAUAUGUAACAUAAUUGUUAAUUGGCUCAUCCUUAACUAGAUAUUUUAUAUUACAUUCUUAACUACAGAUUUUGUAUUUAAAAUUUUUUUAAAAAAUUAACCUUUAUUUGGUAUGUGGAUUUUGUAGUCAAAUGUGGUCAAUUUACUUAGCCUUCGAUCGAAUACCUACCCAAAACAUAAAAAUAUUUUUUAAUCAUUUAUUUUCGACGAUCCAACUAUACGGAUAUUAUUGUAAUGUGAUAAUAUUGUUUACAAAUUUUUUUUAAAAAAAUUAGCCUUUUAUUUGGUAUGCGCAUUUUGUAGUCAAAUGCAAUUAAAUUACUUAGUCUUUAGUGGAAUCUUUACCCGAAACAUAAAACUUUUUUUUAAAAAAAAAUUUGGACAAUCCAACCGUACAGAUGUUAUUGUAACGUGUUAAUAUUGGUUAAAAUAAAUUUUGAGAAAAUAUGUCUUUUAUUUGGUGUGUGGAUUUUGUGGUCAAAUGCGGUCAAAUUACUUAGCAUUUAAUCGAAUACUUACCCAAAACAUGAAACUAUUUUUUUUAAAAAAUAAUUUCGGACGAUCCAACCGUACGGGGGUAUUGUAACACAAUAAUAUUGAUUAAUUUUUUUAUAGGAAAAUUAUAGCCUUUUAUUUGUUGUGUGGAUUUUGUUGUCAAAUGCAGUCAAAUUACUUAGCCUUUAAUGAAAUACUUACAUUAAACAUGAAUUUAUUUUUUUUUAAAAAUCAUUUGGAUGAUCCAAUCGUACGGAUGUUAUUAUGACAUGUUAAUUGAUUAAAAAAAUAUUUAAAAAAAAUGCCUUUUAUUUAGUAUGUGGAUUUUGUAGUAAAUGCUACUUAGCCUUUAAUCGAAUACUUACCCGAAACAUGAAACUAUUUUUCUAAAAAUCAUUUUGGACAAUCCAACCGUACGGAUGUUAUUGUAACAUGAUAAUAUUGAUUGUUUUUUUAUAUAAUAACCUUUUAUUUGGUGUGUGGAUUUUGUAGUAAAAUGCGGUCAAAUUACUUAGCUUUUAAUCGAAUACUUACCUGAAACAUGAAACUAUUUUUAAUAAAAUUAUUUUAGAUGAUCCAACCAUACAGAUGCUAUUGUAACGUGAUAAUUGAUUAUUUUUUAAAAAAAUUAGCCUUUAAUAUGGUGUAUGGAUUUUAUAGUAAAAUGAGGUCAAAUUACUUAGUCUUUAAUGGAAUAUUUAUUAGAAAUAUAUUUUAAAAAAUUAUUUUGGACGAUCCAAACUGUAUGAAUGUUAUUUUAACAUGUUAAUAUUGAUUAAAAUUGUUUUUAAAAAAAAAUUAGUUGUAUUUUAUGUGUGAAUUUUUAGUCAAAUACGAUAAAAUAUUUAUUUAGCUUGUAAUGAAAUAUUAAAACCCUACUUCAAAAGAAACUUGUCUAAAACUACCUAUAAGUGUUAGAGAAUCAUCGAUUUAGUUAUCAAAUUAGUUAUCAUAAGGGUUUUACUCCGCUUUUCUCUGGUAUGAUGUUGAUUUUUGGGGUUUGAUUGGUCGAUUUUCAUGUUUUAUAAGUUAUGUGAGUUCGAUUUUGAUGUUUUUACAAUUAGGUUUAUGUAUGUUCUUAUACAGGUUUCAUGUUCAUGUUUUGAUUUGUUGAUUUCCUAUUUUUCAUAUUUUGUUGAUUAGUUAUUUGUGUGGGUUUUGAACUUUGAUGAGUGUGUAUGUAAUCUCCUGUUUUUUUUUUUCAUUUUUCUGGUUCGAACACUUCGAUUAGUAGCUGGAAAAACAGCUGAUGCGGCAGUAGCGGCUAGUGAGAUGGAUAACAAGAAAAGGAUGAUUUCGAGGUCAUCUCGUGCAAGUCUUCAGAUAUAGUUUUGUUCCUUUAUGUUUUUAAUUGACAUAAAUUUUCACAUUUGAUGAUUAUAUUAUGGGGGAUUCUGGGUAUACUUGUAUAUAAUCUAGCAAGUUAUUAUAAUUCUGGACGGGGGGCUUAUUGUGAAAUUAAAUUGAGGGAUAAGUUGUGUUAUUGGUUCUAGUGGAUUAAAUUUAUGUUGACACUUGAUAUAUGCAUUGAUGUCGUAAAAUAAGUUGCACAUCAAACUAUUUGGCUUGUUUAAGUUGUAUGGAGUAAGGCUGUACGCGGAUCGGAUCGGUUCGGUUGGAGGGUAAUAACCAAACCAAACCGCAACUUACGGUUUUCUAAAAUCUCAAACCGCGACCAUACUGUUGGUUAAAAAAACCCAACCAAAUCCAUCCACGUAAUUGCGGUUGGUUGCGGUUCAACUGCUAAAAUAGUUAUAACAAAGAAAAUAUAUAAGUUAUUGCUUAAAAUCUUGCAUAAAGUACAGACUUUAACUCAAAAAUAUAUAAUUUAUCACUUAAAAUCUUGAAUAAAGUUAAUACAAUAAAUCUGAUUACAUAUUACAAAAGCAAACUACUCCGGAAAUAUAUAACUUGAAGCAGAGCUUCAAGUUAAUGGUUAUUAAAAAUUUCAUCCGCGACUGCCCACAUUUUACGGUUAUCCAUAAUACACGGAUCGGUUGCAGGUGGUUGUUGCGGUUAAUGCGGUGGAGCGGAUUGAACGUACAGCCCUAUGAAGUAUGGUUGCCAAGCAUUGGUUGGUUGUACACGUGUAAACAAAAUGAUAUUUUAAUAUUUAAACAAAACAAUACAGUCAUAAACAGAUCGUGUCGGGCUGGACUGAUUGUGAUUUUCCUUUUUGGAACUCGUACUCGGCAUCUUCCAAGCGAAUGAUAUUUAGAAGUUUGUUGCUAGUAUACUCCAUGUCAUAAUAAGAGUUCUUUAGAUUUUUUAUAUGUAAUUCGAAGUAUAAAAAACAUAUUUUAACAUAUUAUUUUUAAAUUUUUUAUACAUAAAAAUAUAACAUCUAUAUUUUUAUUUAGAAAAAAAUUUGAAAUAUAAUAUAUAGAUGCAUGUCUUUUUUAUACGUGAAAUUACAUGUAAAAAAUUAAAAGACUCUUAUUUUGAGUAAGAGAGAAUAUGAUGUACCAUAAAGUCAUCGAUCUUUUGUUAUCAAAUAAAUGUGAUAUUUAAUUAUUUAAGAGCAAGUCCAAAAGUAUCUUAGUUAAAGUCCUAAAUAUAAUAUAAAAUAUUACGUUCUGGUGAUUUAGGAUAUAUUUUACUAACUUGGACUCCAACAAUGUGUCUUAUUCUCAUAAGAAGUUUAAUAUUUUAUUAUUAAAGACUCUCUUUCAUCAUUAAAGCAUAAUAUAAAAGUAGAGAGAGAAAAAGAGUGUUGAUAAGAAUUAAUAAUAAAAUAUGGGAUAGGGUUAGGAGAGAUGUGCCUCAAAAAUAGGGUUUGAGGAGUUUCAUUAGGUGUGGACACGGAGACCAAGAAGUAAAAGAUGAGUACAGUUAAAUGAAGAUGUGGUAAAAUAAUGUGACCCAUUUAUAUUUAAUAAUACAUUUGAAAUAGUGGAGGAAAGUAACGAGUGUAAUAACGUUUAUAUUAUUAUAGCAUAUAGAUAGCAGAAGAAAGCAAUGGGUAUAAAAGUGUAUUAUAUUAUUAAAGUUUUGAAAUGUUUAGAAAUAAUGGGGCAAUCAAAAAGAAAACUGUAUAAAAAUGGACGAGAGAAUACAAUUCAAGAAGUAAUAUAUCUCAAUUCAAACUAGGUAAUAUAUUUAUGAAUUAUAUUAAAAAAAAUUUGACAUUCAAAUAUAAAAAUUUAUUUUAUCAUCUUAACAAUGGAAUAUUCGAUUAUUAACUUUCGUAAAUAACAUUAAUUUUUCAUUAUAAUAUACUCUAAACUUUUAUUUUAUGUGCCUGUUUGUUUACAAGAAGCUGGAGUCCUACUUCUCUUGACUCGUUUGUGUAAAAACGUAAAAAGUGCUUUUAAAAAGUACUGAGAAGGAAAUGGAAGUAGAAAAUGCUAGUUUUUCUUUAUAAUAUCUAUUUCUUUUCUAGACACUUUAAUAAUUUAUAUAUAUUAAUUUAUUUCUCACUUAUACUCCAUUUUUUUAUAGAGAACUUCUUUUAAACUAAUCGGCUCCUAUAAUCAGUAGUUUCUCAAUUUUAAUAGGAAUAAGAGCAUGUUUAUCUGAGCUUAAAGCCCGGGGUUUAUAUCAUCUCUGGCUUUAAGCUGAAAAAUGUAUGUUUGUGUAUUAAGUCGGAAGUCGGCUUAAAGUCGGAAAUAAGUCAAAAAUUGACCUAAAACCAGAAGUUAGUUUGAGAUACUUUUCUCGGUGACUAAUUUUUUUUUUAGCCAUUUUUUGAUAAAAAUUAUUCCUAAAUCACAAAUUACUCAUAAAUUACUUUUAUUAUUAUUAUUAUUAUAUUUUUAAUAACUUAUAAAUUAUUAAUAAAUCAAAAUUAAUCAAACAAAUAUUUUAAGUUCUCAUAUUAUGAGAUAACUAACGUUAAGUCAUGAAUCAACUGAACGGGAUGUAAGUCUUCUUCUCCCCGAGUCAUCAGCAGACUUUUUCCAUGUCUUCUGAGCCCCCAUUGGCUCACAAUUGGCCCAAAAAAUAUUUGGUUAUGCAUUGCUAUUCACACACUUAGACAUCAAAAUUUAUCAUCCGACAGGCGACAGCUAACUGCACACUAUUUUUCCCACAAGCUGAAAAAUCAACGAUCAAUUAAUUUUUCUUAUCAAUUAAUAAAGUUAUGAUUUCACGUACACGGCAGGCAAAAUGCUAAUAAAUAGACGAGUGCAGUAUAGUAUGGGUUCAUGAUCACCUUGAGAUUUAAUUGAAAAAUAUUAUGGUGAUAUAGAUUAAAUUAAAUUAUAAUAUCUUGAAAAGUUAUAAAUAAUUUUAAUUACUAAUAAUAUUUAUUUGUACAUUUAAAUAUUUUUAUAAAAACACAAAAAUAGCAUUAUACUCAUUUAAGUUUCUCGUAUCCGCCUCUCUUCUUGGAGAUUGUGGAUUUGCGAUAUUUAUAUUGAUUAUUAUAGGAAAAUGUUAUUUCCAGAGCAAACAUUUUUAUUUCCGGAGCAAAUUCAAACAAAUUUUUCCAAAUUGUUCUGGAAAUUAAAAUAUUGAUAUGGAUAUAACAAUUCCCUUAUUAUAUCCUAUGUAUAUUACAUUAAUGCAAUUAACAUGGUUGAUUGUUUUAGUAUAUAAUCAUAUUACUGUGACCUUUUAGUAUAUAAUUAUAUUAUUUUUGUUAUAUUUUAUGCAUCUAGAAACAAUUUUUUUAUGAUAUUUAUUAUAUUAAUUAUAGUAAAAGAUAUAAUUUUGUUUAAAAAAUUGAAUAAAACUAAGAGGGAUAGCCUACGUCUCUCCGAGUCUUCGAGGACUCAUUCCAAGUCCGAGAGGACCACAGCCUCAACCUUUAAGAGAUGUGAAAGUAGCUUGAGAGUGAUAUAAAUUUAUUUUUGACAAUAAAAUUUAAUAAUCAAAUAAAUUAAAUUAAAUUAAACUAGUUUAUAAUCGAUUAAAAAUAUAUAAAUCAAAAUUAUUCCCGAAUUAUGAUAACAAUUAAAAUCAUUUUAAAAGUUGCAUAAAUCAAAUCCAAAUCGAACAAAUUCCCCUAACACUAAAAUGUAGUUGCUUUAUUGUAGAUAAAAACAGUAUAAUAAUAGUAUUGAUGAAAAAUCAAAUUCAUCAAAUAAGUUUAUAAAAAAUACAUGAUUUUAAUUUUAAAAAAAAAACAUGAUUUUAGUGUGUUGUAUUAGUAGUGUGUCCACGCAUUUAUAUAUUAAAAUCUAUCCUCUAAAAACUAUCGAUCUAUUUACACAACUAUUGAUCUGUCGUGCAACAAAUUCCAGGGCGAAGUUCCAAAGAGAGCUUAAAUGGCUUGCAUUGCUCAAUCUAUCUCAUAAUAGUCUUAACGACAUAUGUUCUGAAUUAUUAUUAUGAUUUCAACAAUAUUUUCAAACAUUUCUUAAUAUGUAUUUUCAAAGAAUUCUCAAGCACUUGAACAUUUGGACCGGUUCUUUCGAAGCCAGGCAAUGCACAAAAAUGUCCAAAAAUGAAUAAAUUAAGAGAGAGUAGCUCACCCUUUCAAAGCCUUCCAGGACUCAUUCCAAGUCUUCGGAGGACCACUGCCUCCCCCUUUCAAAGAUGUGAUAGUAGCUCGAGAGUGAUAUAAAUUAUUUUCCCGACAUUAAAAAUAAAAAAUCAGAUUAAAUUAAUCAAUAAUAACUUAAGGAUGAAAUCCAAAUUAAUCCUAAAUUUUGAUAAUAUAUAAAAAUUAUAAUUAUAAAUUAUAUAACCAAAUCAGAAUUGAAUUAACUUACUUGGCACUAGAAUUGCUAAAGACAGUAUAAUAAUUUAAUUGAUGAAAAGUCAAAGUCUUCUAAUAAAUCCAUAAAGAAUAUGAUAAUAUGAAAAUUAUAAUUGAAAAAUCAAAAUCAAUAGUGUAUUGGAAUAGUGUUCACACACUUAUAUAUCAAAAUUUGUGGUCCAAAAACUAUAGCACAAUAUCCUAAAUACAUCACAUUAAAUAAUAGCACAAAAAUAUUCAAUAAAUAAUUGAUUUCAUUCAUAAAUUUGUUAUUUUAAAAACUAAUAAUUUGGUUGAUGUUAACCUAUAUUUUAUAUAUAAUUUCGUCUUAUUUUAUUUUACUAGAAACAAUAUUUUUAUAAUAUUUAUUACAUUAAAUAUAUUAAAAGAUAUAAUUUUAUUAAAAAAAUUGAAUAAAAUUAAAAGGAUAAGUCUCGGCCUCUCCAAGUCUACAAGACUCAUUUCAAGUCCACCGAGGGCCUCAACCAUUGAGAGAUGUGAAAGUAGCUUGAGAGUGAUAUAAAUUAAUUAAAUUAGUUAAUAAUGAAUCAAGACUAAUCAUGAAUUAUGAUAAUAAUUAAAUAAAUUAUAAAAUUAAAUUAUACAAAUAACACUAAACCUUAGUUACUUUAUUGGUAAAUAAAUAUAAUAUAAUAAUCAAAUUGAUGAAAAAUCAAAAUCAUUUAAUAAAUUCACAAAAAAUAUAUGAUCAUUAGUAUGUUAUAUUAGUAUCCACACACUUAUAUUUCAAAAUCUAUCCUCCAAACUUAUCAUCUCUGUAAACUAGCCACAUAAAAUAAAAAUUUAAAGAUAUUAGAUAUUUAGUUAUUUUCAUUAUAUAAUUUUUCCACACGAAAUAACAAAAUAUCUUUAUCAAAUUAUUAUUUAUGAGUUAAAUAUUCAAUUUAUAAAUCCAGUAUGCAGCGUAUAAAUAGAAGUGUGCAGUAUGAUAUCAGAUUCACAUAACCCAGUUGAUGAGGAGAAACAUGGCAUACUCUGCAAAGCCUUCUCACCUUCUUCUCUUUGUUUUCUUUCUCUCAUCACUUGAAUCCAUUCUUGCAACAACACGAGAGGGAGAAGCUCUUGUGAAGUGGAAGAAUAGCCUAGCCCCUUCUUCUUUUCUCGACUCUUGGUCACUCACCAAUCUCGAUAAUCUUUGUAACUGGACUGGCAUUACUUGUAACUCUGCAGGUUCAGUCUCUGAGAUUAACCUUAGUGAGAAACAACUUGAUGGAAUGCUGUCCGAGUUUGGUUUCACUUCAUUUCCAAAUCUCAACAAUCUCACCCUCGCAUACAACUUCUUCUCGGGUCCAAUACCGCCAGCCAUUGAGAAUUUAACACAGCUUCAAUACCUUGAUUUAAGCUUUAAUUAUCUCGAUGGUCCCAUUCCGUUCCAGGUUAGCCAUCUUCAGAGGUUGCUCAUCUUAAACCUGUCACAGAAUGCAUUGCAAGCUCCAAAUUGGUCCCAUUUCUCUCCCAUGCCUUUCUUGCGCAUCCUCGACCUUAAUAGCAAUCAUCUUGCGUCGAACUUCCCAGAAUUUAUAUCCAAUUCUCAUAGCUUGGCUAUCCUUGACCUUGGAUAUAACAACUUUACAGGUGACCUUGUGCGUGAAUUUACUAAUCUACAAAAUCUUGAAACCCUCUACCUAGAUGAAAAUUCUUUUGAGGGGCCAUUUCCGCCGGAUGUAUUCAGGCUUUCCAAAUUAAAACAUCUUCGCCUGUCAGGUAACAAAUUCUCAGGUUCAAUUCCCAAUGACAUAAGGUUGCUUUGUGAUCUUGAAUCCCUAUAUUUAAGCAACAAUUCCUUUAAAGGACCCCUUCCAUCAAAUAUAUUCAAGCUUUCAAAAAUAAAACAUCUUGUUCUUUGGAGUAAUAAGUUUUCUGGUUCUGUUUCCAAUGAUAUAGGUUUACUUUCUGAGCUUGAAACCCUCGAUCUUAACUCUAAUUUUUUUGAGGGGCCGCUUCCGUCAAAUAUAUUCAAGCUCUCCAAACUAAGGUAUCUUUCCCUUUGGGGUAAUAACGUUUCAGGUUCUAUUUCCAAUGAUAUAGGUUUGCUUUCUGAGCUUGAAACCCUCGAUCUUAACUCUAAUAUUUUUGUGGGGCCGCUUCCGCCAAAUUUAUUCAAGCUCUCCAAACUAAAGAUUCUUUCCCUUUAUAAAAAUAACUUUUCAGGUUUUAUUUCUAAGGAUAUAGGUUUGCUUUUUGAACUUGAAACCCUCUAUCUUGGCUCUAAUUUUUUUGAGGGGCCGCUUCCCCCACAUGUAUUUAGGCUCUCCAAAUUAAGAGAUUUGGGUCUCAGAGACAAUAGAAAUUUAUUUCAAGGAAGUAUUCCUAUUGGACUGGGACUCUUGACUAAUCUCAGGUACUUGAGUCUAUUUUCCAAUGAUCUCAGUGGCUAUAUUCCAUCUGAGAUUGGAAACCUGAAGCUACUAAAAGUUCUUGAACUCGGUUCUAAUCAAUUGACAGGACCGCUUUUAAAGAUAGUUUCUAAUCUCAAAAAUCUUAUAUAUCUUGGUGUAAGUGGUAAUAGUCUUAGUGGAAAUAUUCAGAGUGACUUGUGGAAAUAUAACGAUCAUCCAACUUUGGAAUACAUCAAUUUAAGUGGGAACCAUUUUACGGGUAUAGUUUCUCUCUAUAGAUCUUUGUCAUAUGUAACUAAGCUAGUAAUCUGAUUAUUGCCUUUUCACCAAAGUUUCAACAAUCUUGACAGGUGAGCUUCCAACAACAAUUUGCAAUGUCACAUCCCUUUUGCUUCUUGAUUUGUCAAAUAAUGAAUUAAGUGGUGCACUUCCAAACUGUUUCGGAAAUCUUGCUGAUAGAUUGCUUUACGUUAAUCUUGCUAAUAAUCAGUUUCGAGGAACAAUACCAACUACUUUCUCCAGGAGUUGUCAGCUGAAAUAUCUAAACAUGGAUAAUAAUGAGUUUGAAGGAUUGUUGCCCCCGUCUUUGGAAAACUGUAAGCACUUGAGAAUUCUUGAUAUUGGCAAUAAUAAAAUAGGUGGUACAUUUCCGUCAUGGCUUUAUGUACUUGGAGAGCUAGAAGUCCUUGUCUUGCAAUCAAAUAAACUCUAUGGUACAAUAAGUGGAAGGAGCAUAGAAGAUCCCUUCCGCAAGUUGCGGAUUGUGGAUCUGUCCAACAACCACUUCACAGGCCAUUUGCCAAUUCAAUACUUUAAGAAUAUGAAAUCAACUGAUAAUUUGUAUAGUUAUCAGCUUUCCACAGCAGUUUUUUCUUUCCAUUAUGAAGCAGCAGUCUCAUUAAUUGUGAAGGGAACAGAGUAUGAAGUAGCAAAUAACCUUCAUAUUUACACAGCCAUUGAUCUGUCGUGCAACAAAUUUCAGGGAGAAAUUCCAAAGGUUACUGGAGAGCUUAAAUGGCUGGCAUUGCUCAACUUAUCUCAUAAUAGUCUAACAGGACCUAUCCCGUCAUUGCUGAGAAAUAUGAAAGAACUCCAAUCUUUAGAUUUGUCCUCAAAUCAACUGACGGGGGCUAUUCCACCUCAGUUAACUGCGCUGACAUUUCUAGAGGUCUUAAACCUCUCGGGAAACCAUCUUAGUGGAGAGAUUCCUCAGAAAGGACAAUUCAGCACAUUCAACAAUGAUUCGUAUCUAGGAAACUCCGCUUUAUGUGGAUCACCAUUGACGAAGAAAUGUGCAAACACAGCAUCACCUCCACAAGAAGUCGGAAAUGUUGAUGAAGAUUAUGCGGGUGAUGAAUUGACAUGGGAAGCAAUCAUGAUCGGAUAUGGAUGUCGACUGAUAUGUGGAUUGUCAUCUGCAUACAUUGUUCUCAAACUAGGAAAGCCUUGGUAGUUUGUGAGAUAUGUCGAAGUACUGCAACAGAAGUUGAUGAAAAGAUGCUUGAAGAAAGGUACUGGUCGACCAAUAAGAACUUGAAAGUUGUUGUCCUGGUAGACAUUUCUGAACCAGUAGUAUUUGGUAUUAUGUGAUAUUCUGUUUGGUCCGGACUCAUAACGAUUUCGCUUGCUUCAGGAGUAUUAAUAUUAACCUUCCUAUCUUGAUCAAUGUUAAUGCAAAUUAAAAUGAAAAGGCAAAAAAUAUGCAUCAAAUCCCCUCCUGUUGUACCAAGAUUCAUUAAUUAAGAGGCAUGGCUUUUGUCUCUCCAAGUCUUCGAGAAAUUAUUCCAAGUCUUCUUUGGAGGCCUACUGCCUCAACAACCUUUCAAAGAUGUAGCAGUUGCUCGACAGUGAUAUAUAUAUUAGAUAAAGACUAUGCAACAACCAACGUGACAGAAAAAUCAAAAUAGGACAAAAUCCGUACGAAUCAAAAUAGUUUAUUUCUAAGGGGAAUAGCUGAAUUAAAUUGUAAGAGAAGUAAAACAGAUUCUUUUAUAUUUUGGAAUAUAACUGAAAAAGAUUUUGAGAUAAUUUUCAGAAAUCAAACCAGUCAAAUAAAUAUUCGCUGAAGGAACAGAGUAAAGAUACAACGAAUAUAACAAGUUGUAAGAUGAAUAUCGCUGAAUCAAACAGGGUAGAACCCGUACAAAAACGCCAAACAGAAAGGAUCAAAACAGAGUAAUCAAAUUUACCUAACACUAAUAGAAGUAGUGCUGAAUAAAAGAGAACGAAAUCUGUACCUUAAAAAUAGCAAACGCAAACACUAACCAACCUCACAAGGGACCAUCUAAACUCCCUAACCCCGACUUUAUCUUAAACUCCAAAUAUCUCCCUGACUCCAAUAUGCCCAGAACAAUAAACGAAUGUUUUGACCUUCUAAACGAUGUUUUCUGGAAUAACGCAAAACACGAAAAUCGUAGAGAACGAAAAGACCUUUCCGAAAAGGUAAGGCUCGUCAAGAACGGAGUCAUAACGAAUCGGGAAUUAAAUAAAACGUCCGCUGAUUCAGAACUCAAAGCGAGAACAGGAUCUGAUUAAGUUUUGUAAUUUUGAGAACAGUUUGAAACAUAAUCUGAGAAAACAUUAUAAACGAAAGUAUAUGAGAUUGAAAGAGCUUUCCGAAACAUCAAGAAUCAUCAAAUUCCGAUAAGAAUUGAAUUUUCUACGAAUUUUACAAGACAGCUGAUUUGUGAGAAUAAAGCCCUACGAAUUUUUGUCAUAAAAAUGAAGAGAAGGUUGAGUAGCUCUCAAAAGUAUAUAAAAAGAAUGAGAGAACAAAUCAAUAUACUCCCUUUGUCCCUCUCGUUUAUUUACAGUGUUUGACACGCAUUUUAAAGCGCAUAUAAAACAUAGUUCUAUGAUUUAUUUUCAAAAUUUUUCUUUUUUGUAUAAAAAUUUAAACAUCAAAUUUUUAUCUAGAAAAAAAGGAAGUUCAAAAUAAUUUAUUGAACUACGUUUUACGAGAGCAUUAGAAUGCGUGCCGAGCCCCCGUCCCCCAAUGUAAACAAAUGAGAGGGACGGAAGGAGUAUAUAUACAGAGUCUUGAGACCCUAAUUCUAAACCUAUCCAUUAUCUGAAUGCAAGGCUGAUCUAUAUUUUAAGUACACUAUCCUAAUUCAAUUUUAAAUCCUAUUCAUAAUCUAAUUUUAAUCCUUUAUUAUUAUUACUAACCAAUUAAUAUUAUUUUAAAAAAAUACUGGAUAUUACAUUCCUGAUCAGACUAGUGAUCGGAUUGCAACCGCAAAGCAGCCUAUAUAUAGUGACAAUUAAAUACACAACAAAACAACUUCUUUCUUCUCUCUUGGGUUAUAAUACUCAGACGGACAAGCUAUAUCUGAGGCGAUUUUCUGGGCGAUUAAACACACAAUAAAAGCAGCUUCUUCUUCUUCAAUUAAGGUUUAUUCUACACCCAAUCACAUACACACACACACUUUAAUAUGACUAGUGAGUUCAAUUUUUGGUGGUAUUAUAUGAUUAUCAUGUUCUCUUUUUAAAUAUUAGUAACGUUAUUUUCGGAGUGGACUCUGUUGAUGUUUAAAUUUGAUAUAGAUAUUGUAAUUGAAAAUUUAUGUUGAUUUGUUGUUCAGAUUUCAAGUAUUAAUUUGUGUGUGAUCAAAAUUUUGCUUCUACAUCGAUUAUCAGGAGGAAAUAUGAGGCCGAUCUUGAUCAAAGGACACGAAAGGCCAUUAACAUAUCUAAAGUAUAACAAGGAGGGUGACCUCCUCUUCUCCUGCGCAUUAGACAGAAACCCCGCUGUUUGGUACGCUGAUAAGGGAGAGCUUUUAGGCACUUACCGUGGGCACAUUGGUUCUGUUUGGGGUUGUGAUGUUUCUAGGGAUUCAAAACUUUUAAUAACUGCAAGUGCGGAUCAAACAGCAAAGGUAUGGGAUGUUCAAACUGGGUCUGAGCUGUUCACGUUUGAAUUUAAGUCCACUGUGAAAUCAGUAGAAUUUGGUGUCGGAGACAAGCUUGCUGUCAUUGCAACAGACUCCUUUCGUGACAUGUCUUCUGCAAUUCAUGUCAAACACAUAGCCAGAGAUCCUAGUGAACAGUGCGGUGAUUCUGUGAUUGAAUUCUCACCUGGAGGAAGAAUCAAUAGAGCUGUUUGGGGACCUUUAAAUAGGACCAUAAUAAGUGGUGGUGAACAAGGCGUUGUUCGUGUGUGGGACGUUGAGACAAAGAAAGUGAUUUAUGAGUCAGACAAGGAUACUGGUCAUCAGAAGGCCAUUACAUCACUUGCAAAAUCAAGAGACGGUUCACAUUUACUUACUGCUUCCAUUGACAAAUCAGCUAAGCUUUGGGACAUCAGAUCAAUGAAACUUCUCAGGACAUACAAGGCUGAAGCCCCAGUUAAUGCAGUUGCACUCUCUCCACUACUUGAUCAUGUCGUGCUCGGAGGUGGUCAAGAUGCAUCGACUGUUACAAACGAUCCUCGUGCUGGCAAGUUUGAGGCCAAAUUUUAUUCCAAGGUCCUUGAAGAAGAAAUUGGAUCUGUGAAAGGACACUUUGGUCCGAUAAAUGCAUUGGCAUUCAACCCUGAUGGAAAAAGUUUCGCAAGUGGAGGUGAAGAUGGUUAUUUGCGAUUACAUCACUUUGAUCAUGACUACUUCAACAUGGCGAUUUAAUUCGAAUUACUUACAUUGCUACGUCUUUUUUUUUUUUUUUCCGGUUUUAUUCAAGUUAUUUUCUGGUUUUUAUGUUGAUCUUAUGUUCUUUGUUAUAAAUAGAAGUGUGGUUCCUUUUAAAACUAUUUACAUAAGUUUUUGGCUUUUCAUGUAAUUUAAUCAAAGUAAAUGCCAUGAGAUCCUGAAUAUAUCUACUUAUCUAUCUAUCUACUUAUUAAAGCAGAAUCAGGGGAAAAAUAUACCAGAAAUUGGAUGAAAAAUUUACAUACACACCCUCAAUUAUUCAUCAAUUCCGAAAUUGGCCUGUAGUUUAGCUGUUAACUUGCAGGAUUUUUGUAAAAGUAGGAAUCAGCGAUUCUUAGGUACCCCAGUGACCCCGAAUCGGUUUCUCAGAUUCUUGGAAAUCCUCGGUCAGUUGAUUUAGAUUGUGGGCAUAUAUACACCUAUAGUCAGCCUCCGGCGGUGCAAUCUUUUGGUGGUGUUUUUCAGCCUUUUCUGCUAUAGCGAUUCUUGUUAAAACAUUCAGGUGCUAGGGUUGUUUUGUUGGUAAAGGGAAUUGGAUUGUUGUAUCUGCGGUUGUGGCAAAGGUAAUUUUCUUGCCCUUGCUAUUCUUUUGGGAUGUCUGAUUAUAAAUAGCCCUUCUAACUUUGUUCACCUGUUCUGUAUGAUGUGUGUCAUUUGUGAUUGAGUCGAGCAGUAUAUCAUUUUGAUGCAUAUUGUUAAUUUCACUCUGGGAAAUUUUUAUGCUGAUGUUUGGGCAAUUAAUUCUGGUUAUUUCGUUGAUUUUGUUUGUGGUUUGUUUCCACCUGCCAUUAGAACUGUAAAGUAAAGUGUAUUUAUUGAUCAUGAUUCAAGUGUUUGUAGAUAAUCGAUGUGGGUGACAAAGAAGCUGCAAAUGAUGAUGGUUCUUCACAAAUUUUAUCUGCUUUGCUUCCUUUUGUUGUGGCUCUCACCAUGGUUGUCAAGUCGACGACUGCUGUUGCUGCUCUUGCUCAGCCCUCAACUUUCACCUGGUAACAACUUUUGUAUGUUUGGUAAAAUAUUUUGAUUUUUUUUUUUUUGUAAGGGUAAAAUAUUUUGAUUGUGAUAAGCUAAUUUAUUGUUUUUUAAUGAUUCCAACACUACAACAGAUUUAGCAUCACACAACGGUUUUUGCCCGUUGUCUGAGACCACGGAAAACCGUGGUCUAUCGAGACGCCGUCUGAUAUGCGUAUCAGACAACGGUGCGCACCGUUGUGUGAUAGUGCUAAACACGAUGGUUUACGUUAAAAAAAUUGUUGUGCAACACCCAGAACCAACAACGUUUACUCUUAAACGUGGUGUUGUUAGAAACACUCCUUAACAAUAGUCGAUUUCAAAAAUGGUGUUGUUAGAGAGACUAUCCACAACAGUUUUAUUAGCUCGCAAGACUUGUUGGAAAGAUGAUCAUACAACAGUAGUUGAAAUAGAGAAGCUCGUUCUUUCCUCUCUUGUACAACGGGUUUCGAACACCAAGCCACUUGUGUAAGGCCCCUUCUAACAAUGUUUUAAUUAGUGAGGUUGUUGUGUUUAGUUACGUCAGACAAUGGUUUUCUUUCAUAGUUGGUUGUCGUUUACAUGUUUUAACAAUUGUUUCUGUUUCAUCAUUAUUGCAAGUCAUUUGUUUGGACAAUGGUUUUGUGACAAUAAAUCAUUGUUUCCAGUUUUAUGAGACAAUGUUUUUAAUGAAUAAUGAUUAUUGUAUCAUGUUCAGUAUGACAAUGGCCCUGUAUUAUCCCAUUACCUAAAUACAUAAUAGACAAUGAUUAACAUAACUCGAUUAAACUAAGCUAGAGAAUGUAAUUAAAAAGCCAAAAAUUUGUAAACAAAAAAUUUCAUUAUGCACUAAUAACCAUUGUUACAACCAAAUCAUAUAUACCAUCCAAUAUCCAGAAAUAUUUCCCCCGAGGAUGGCAAAUCUCAAAAAUAUAAAUACCUACAAUAAAUGGUAGCAUCUAGAGAGGCAUAUGUGACUACAAGAGUCUUUUGUGAGCUUUUCAACUACCCAGCCCAGGAACAAUCCUCUGAUUGCAUUCUUUUGAUUCGGAUGGAGCCCUCCUGCUAUCUCUUUUGGAAGUGACUCUACUGCAACCACCUGUAAUACAUAAAAAAGUUCUUGAUAUGCUUUUCGUACAAAGAAAUUAAUGUGGUUGAGGAGUAUGUUUCGAGUUCAAAAUAUACCAGUGUGCCAUCUUCCAUGGUUUCACGUCAUUCAUACACAAUAAAUUGUAGCAAUUGUGAGCCCUAUCAACAUACCAGUCUUUCUGUAUUUAGAGUUGGAGCAGCUAAGCCAAAAUCAGACAAAUGGGGAUUGAGUUCAUCAAGUAAAAUAUUUGCUGACUUUAAGGUACUAUUAACAACAUAAGGAACAACAUCAGCAUCUUGCUUCUAUCAUCAGUGAAGUAUAAAAACUCUUGCAAGCUACUAUUUGCAAUAUAAUCAUGGACCAGAAGACGUACCAUGUUCAGCGGAAUAUCAUUCAAAUCUCUGGCAUGGUUGUUGUGAUGGAUAAAAAUAAGUUCCUUUAUGACCUGAAUUAAACAUUAAAAGAUACCAAAUUAACCGAAAUGCGUAGAGAUGCACAAAAAGUCCAGGCCCGAAAAUAUGGUCAUAGAGAUUUAAAAAAAGUCGAAAAUAAAGACAAACCAUGUGAGUAAAAAGCAGAGUAAGGAGGAUUGAUGGUAGUGUUUGAUAUAGAUGCCAUGUGGGUAGAUCCAUAUGAGCUGCUGGAAGCAGAGAGAUUUCUUCCAAACUCUCUUACAUUAUUGACAACAUUUGUGUUAACAUAUAUGUGUUGUAUAUGAAAUUUUAAAGAUUAGAUACAUAAAUAUAAUAUUAUUCGGAAAAUAUAACAUACCAUCUCGAGUCAUUUUCUUGCUUGGUCAUUAAAAUAACCUACAGCAAGUAAUGUACCCUCACUCUAUAAGAAGAAGAUGGACAAAAAGAAGUCAGUUGUAUGGAUGCCUCGGAAUAUAUACAAGAAUGUCCCAGGGAUAUUUAUUCAGUUGAUGAAGCAUGUAUAUCUAGAAAUUAACAAACCUCAUCAGCCAAAACAAAUAUAAAAUUAAUAAAAUCAUCUGUCUCCAAACACACAGAUUAAAAUCAAAGCACAAAUGUUAUCACACAAAACCAAGACAACACAAGAUCCAUCACUAAAACACACAACUACUACUAAAAUCAAACACACAAACAAAAAUCUCAUAUAGAUUCAAACUUUAUCCCCAAAAUCAAGUAUAAUUACACAGUAAAAAGCAUUCGUUUACCUCUUCAUAAGGUGAAUUGUUGUUAAACUAAUCAGCACGGUCAACACCGGCAUCAAAAACUUGAAUGGCCUUUGGGGUUAUCGCCGACAGAACAGAUCUGAGUAAGCUUUGUAGAAAAUGAGAUAGAGACGGGGGAGGGAGGGGAGAGUUCAGAGGAGGGUGAGGGAGAGACAGAGGGCGAGAGGGAGGGGAGGGGCGAGAUGCUUUAACAAAUCAAUUGCGGCAAGAGUGGGGAAGACACAGCCGCACCAGAAGAGGAAGAGAUAGAUUCAGAAGAAGAGAGAUUUACUCUCACUUACAAAUUUUAGGUCAAAAUAGAGGGGGGGAAAUGAAAAUUUGGAUAAACAAGUAGAGAGGGAAUUGAAAAUUUUUGUAAGGUGGAAAUCAUUCGUUCAUCCCGUGUAAAUAACAAAAUCAAUGUAUUAUAAUAUCCAUAUAGUUGAAUUAUAAAUAAAUGAAUUUUUUAAAUUAUAUUUUUGUAUUUGAUUACAAAUAUUUCAUAUUAAAUAAAUUUUAAAAACAAUUUUAAUGUAGAUGUCAAUAUCUAAUUAUUUUAGUUAUUUGUGAAAAUCUUCAAAAAAUUAAAAAUUAAUCUGGUAAAUCUUUUUGACAAAAUAUAGUUGAAAUACAACUAUUUAAUAAAAAAUUAAUAAUUCUUUAAAAGUUAAAAUUCUCAUUUUCUCGAUGUAUUCCGUUUUUGUACUCUUUGUCUAAAUAAAAUAUACACAAAUUUUUAUUAUUCAUUUGUAAUAAGAAGAUAUUUGUGUGGUUCAAAUGUCAAUAUUAGUAUAAAUUUCAUAUUUACAAUAUAGGAUGUACUUAAUAGAAGUUUUGUGAUCUAUAUGAUUAACCCCGUAUUAAUUUUGAAAUAUUUUCGAUCAUCCAAACAUAUAAAGAUCUUAAUAUCUAUCAAUAUUAGUCAUGUAUAAUAUUUUUAAAUUUUUCUAUAUUUAUUUAUAUCUUGUUGUAACAAAACUAGUGAUGAUCGUUGUUUUUAUGUCAUUUCUUAUUUUUGUACUUUUUAUCAAAAAAUUAUAUUUAUAUUAUGCAUAUGUCCAAAUUUGUAUUAUUCAUUUGUAAUUGGAAGAUAAUUUUGUUGUUCGGACCUGAGUAUUACUAUGUGUUUUAUGUUCACAAUUUAGGAAGCACUAGAUAGAAUUUUUGUUAUCUACAAAAUUUGCUCUGAAUUAAUUUAUAAAUAUUUUUUUCGAUGAUAUAACCGUACGGAUGUUAAUAACUAACAAUAUUAGUCAUGCAUAAAAAAAUUAGAUUUUUUUAUGCUUAUUUUAUAUGCUUUUUUUACAAAACUAGUCAAUUGUAAAUUUUGUCUUAUUGUAAAAAGGUAAUUUUUGUCUUGUAGUGUCCAACAGACAACGGUACUUAUAGGCACGUGUGUUGUAUGAGUUAAAAUGACACAACUGUUAUGGACAUUAUACAGUCAUAACAAAAUCUAUUGUCUAAAAUAGGCUCAAACAAUGUUUCGGGAAAAACUCGUUGUGUGUAAGUAGUGUAGACAAUGGUUUCUGGGAGGCAAACCGUUGUAUAAUAAAUUUUCAUUUUUAAGAGUUAGAAAUUCACAUUUUCUUGAUUAGUUCUUGUUUUUGUACUCUUUGUCUUAACAAAUAUACUUAUAUUAUGUAUAUAUGCAAAUAUCAAUUGUCAUUUGUACUAUGAAGAUAAUUUUGUAGUUCGAACAUGAGUAUUGGUAUGUGUUUUAUAUUUACAAUUUAGAAAGUACUGAAUAGGAUCUUUGCUAUAUAUAAGAUUAGCUCCGUAUUAUUUUAUAAAUAUUGAUUUUGAUGAUCUAACCGUACGGAUGUCGAAAACUAACAAUAUUAGUCAUGUAUAAAAAAAAUCAAUUUUUUAUGUUUAUUUUGUAUGUUUUUUUUAACAAUACUAGUCAAUUGUAAAUUUUGUCUUACUGUAAAAAGGUAUUUUUUGUCAUGUAGUGUCUAACAUACAAUGGUUUUUAUAUGCACCUAUGUUGUAUAAUUGAAAAUGAUACAACUGUUACAGAAGUAUACCGUUCUAAGAAAAUCUAUUGUCUAAAUUAGGCUCAAACAACGGUUCACGGAAAAUCCGUUGUAAAAAAGUAGUGUAGACAACAGUUUAUGGGAAGGAAACCGUUGUAUAAUAAAUUUUCAUUUUUAUGAGUUAAAAAUUCGCAUUUCCUUGAUCAAUUCUUGAUCUAAUGCAAGAAAAACAUAUGACUAUCAAGAAAUUGAUUGUUUUGUUAUAACUUUGGUUAGGACUUUGAAUCUUUGCACUCUCUUAUGUACAUCCAUUUUCUUAAAAUUCAUUCAAUCAUACAACAUUUUAUUAGUUAGUAGAGGCUUGUCUAUAAUGCCAUGCUACAAUGCUAACAAAAACACUUGUAUGUUAGCUUCCCAGUCACACAACACUAUAUAAAACCCUUGUUUGAACUCCUCGUAAACAACACAACAAAUAAAACACUUGUCUAAUUACAACGACGGUUUCUUGAACUAUUGUCUGAAGUUUCUUCACACAUCGGCUCUCAAAACAGUUGUCUAACAUGCAUCAUUACACAAUACCACAGUUAAGAAACCAUUGUCUAAUUGAAUUUACUAGACAACAAUUUUUUAACCGUUGUAGGUCGUAGAUGUUAGACAAUAGUUUUUCGAGGCCGAAAAGAAAGUGUUGUGUCUUUUUUCCAAACAACGCUUUUUUCACCGUGCGUUGUCUGAUCAGUGUUGUCUAAUGGUGUUAUUGUUGUAGUGCAAGUUGGAUUUAUUUAAUGCUAAUAGGUACUUGUUCAAGUGAGGAGAUUUAACUGAGAUUCAGGUUCUGGCAUUUGUCUUGUGUUGUUAUUUGUUUAUGUACCGGUUUUGAGAGUCAUUAGAGAUAUGUAAGGUAUUUAUUCCUAUUUUUUAUUAUUAGUAUUACAUCGUUUUCGGGUAAAAUAAUCGAUGAUUGUUUGUUUUAACUGUGUAAUAGCCUUAUGAUCUGCCAACUUAUGUAGACAUGUGAUAAACAUGUUGACUGUGGUCAAUAUUUUAGAUGAGGUAGUGUGUUUGUUGUUAUUGCAAGACUUUUUGGAAUAAUCAUUGUCAAAAAGAACUAACGAUGAAUGGAAAUGAAGUUCUGAAGAAGUGAUGAUACAAUGUUAAAGAGAUUGCUUUUUGUUGAAUUUUUCUGACUCUGGAAUUAAACUGCGUUAGUAUCUUCUUCUCUGAUUUUCCUUAUUUGGUAGACCUACUACUUUCAGAAGAUACAUGUGGUAUUUGUUUGGUUGAUUAAUUUUGGUAAGAUACAGUUUCCGUUUGGAAUCAGACUAUCCAUUGAACAAUCAGACUAUCCAUUGAAGAUUUUAUGCUCGCUCUUAAAUGGUUGAUCCACUGAUCUUAUUCUUACUUCAUAUGAGCUAAAGCCAGCUCUAGGGGUGUUUCUCGCAUACAAAAAAAUUAAAAAAAAUAUUAUGAAACUAUACUUUGCAGGAGUCUCAAAAUAAAUAAGUGUAAACGAUAAACUUAAACACCUAACUUCUUAAACACCUAGCAUAACACGGGUGAGCAUAUGGUCAAUCAUACCAAAUUGAAUAAAUCGAAAUUAAAAUUUAAAUAUUUUUAGACUGGACCAAACUGAAAUAUUUUGUCCGAUCCAGUUCAGUAUGAUCGAAAAGAAUUGAUUCUUUUGGAAAAAGUAACUUAAUAUUAUAAAUAAAAUUAAGAUUUAUAAUUUAUUUAAAAACUAUCAAUGAAUCAUCAACACUUCUUCAAAAAUAGAUACAUUUGAAUUUAUACAUUAGAUAUUAUAACUUCUAAAAAGUAUAUAAAAAUAUAUAAUAUAAAUAUAAAUUUAUAGUAUAAUUUUUUUGACUAUUUAGAAUAUAUUUUUAACCCAAAUAUUUUUUUUUAAAAUCAAAUUUUAUUUCGAUGAACUUUUCUAGAAAAUUAAGAUAGAAACGAAACUCAUUCCUACAGUAAGGUUUCAGUUUUUCGGCUGCAAUACGGUUUUGCUCAUCAUUAGCAUAAAUGGAGUAUGUAGUAAAUAUGAAUGAAUGGCAUGGGAAUUCUUGGAAUGGUAUCAAGAAUUAAGAUUAAAGCACAUUAGAAGUUUAGAACCAUGAAUGUUAUUUUUGAAAAUAGUAAUCCCUCCGUUUCUUAUCACGUUUCUCGUUUGAUAUGUCGGAACGGUUCAUAAUAUGAGACAAAUUAGUAAUUUAUGUCCAAUUUAUAAAAUUAAAUAUAGUCAUGAGUGAUCUUGUUGGAUUCGUAUCUAUGAGUACUUUAAUAAGAUGAAAUUUUUAUAUUUAAUGUUAAUACAAAAUUAAAAUAUAUUAAUUAAAAAUAUAUAUUGACAAACGUGAUAAAAACAAACAGCAAAAAUAUUAAGAAACGAAGCGAGGGAGUAAUAAAUAUGCUUUAUGCUGAACUGAAUUGAGUGCGUGGAAGCUUGGGGAGGCAGCUUACUACAGUAUCUACGUGUAUCUGUAUAUGCAAUAAAGACACAAAUACUCACAGGAGAUUAUUUUUCAAACACUUAAUUUCCCCCUUUCCUUCUCGUAAUAUUCAACUCAAUUCAUCACAUCAUCUUCUUCAGACAAACAACUAUACUCACUUCAGAUCAUCACAUCAUCUUCUUCUUGACUUCAGAUCCACAUUUCAAACCCUAAUCAUUCGCUUGGUCCCCUCCCUCUCUGUAAUAAUACAAUUCUUUCUACACACAAACAAUAACAUCAUCAUCAUCGAGUGAAGCUUCAUAUCCACAUUCCAAGACCUAAUUACUCGCCAAACCACUCUCGCUCUCAUGGAGGAGGCCUUAGAAAUGGCGAGAUCGAAUGAUACCAAGAAGCGAAGGGCGGGAGUGGAUCGGCUGCAACAGCUUCUUGAAGAUUCAAGAAAGUGCUUGUCAUCGUCGGAAGUGACGGCGCUAGUCGACACGUGUCUUGAGCUUUUGAAGGACACGUGUGUUGCUGUCGUCGGCCGCGGAGUUGUUUAAGUUGCAUUCUGAUAGAAUUAUGACGGCGGUUGUUGAUAGGUUGUGGGAUGGGGAGCAGCGGGUUCGAGACUCGGCGAGGAGGCUGUUGAUUACCCUUAUGGAGGUAAUUUAUUAAUUUUCUUGGGGAAUGCCAGUUGAUUUUAUGGAAUGUGAUAUAGUAUAGUUUCUAUCAAUCGAGUAUCUUAAAUUGAUGACUACAACAAGUAUUAUCGUUUUGCACGCAAGUGGCUAAACUUUUAUGCAUGCCAAAUUGCCAAUCGGGUUUCAAUUUCAGAUCUCUGCCUUCACUUGCAUACGAACACAUUUGAGUUUAAAAAGAUGAAUCACCUCAUAAAUAUCAUUAAUAAUUAGUUGGUGUUAAUAGUGCACUGAAAAAUGGGAGAGAAUGACAAGACUAUAGACAGUAGUAGGGCUGAGCGAGAUGUUAAUUGAGUACUUAUAUGAUGCUUCACUAUGUUCAGGGAGUUAGUUUAUUGCUUCUUUCCUACACUUUCACUUGAAUUAGUACUAAUUAAUAAUUCCUUCUCUAUCUUGUAAAAUUUCUCCUUCAUUGCUAAGCAUAUCUACUCUGAUUAAUUUUCAAACAAACUUUACUACUGAGAUAGGAUUGUUUGCUGGGUAGGAGCACCAUAGAAUGAGUAGCUCUAUUGCUAUAUACUGAAGGGUGCGGUGGCAUCCUCGGUUAUAUUUUAAGUGCUACUUCGAAUUUAGUUGUUGGCUUUUGCAAUUUAUUUUCAUUCACAAUGUUUUAAUAAUGAUACCCCAUAUUAGGUGAGAGAUAUUAGUGCCAGGCUGGAGCAGAUUCAGAUUCAACCAGCAACUUCCGUCUCUUCCAUCUCUGAAGGACUUAAUAGUAAUCUUCUCCACCAUGCACCUGAUUUAGAAGUAUAAUGUAUUAAUGUGAACUUUUUAUUUAUAUUUAUUUCCAUGUGUAGUAAAACGAUCACAUCUUUUAAGAGCUUAGUACAAUGUUAUGUACAAUGUGUAAUUAAUUAAGAGGUUUGUACAUAGUUUAGUAUGAAAUGGAAAAAGUUUGUACAGAAGUUUAUUUGUUCACAUUACAGCUGAGACGAGCAAGCAAAAACCAUCAGAGAAUUCAAAGGAUAAUGAUAAAGGAAUUGAGCCCCUACUGGAACUGCCGGAAGAUAUUAUCUUUCUACAAAUUCUGCCUAAGUUGAACAGCCUAGAUGUUCUUCCCCUGGUUUUGGUGGCUAGGAGUUGGGCCUCCUUUCUUUUGCAUGAGGGACCCAGACUGAUGUUAUUCAACCCACCUAAAAAUCCUACACCUAAACACACUUCAAUUUUAUUUGAUGUAAGCCCGAUUCCGUACUCUGUUUCAGUUUUGUUAUCCCCAGAGAGCCGCCAACUGUGUCAGUCUAGGUGUAUAAUUGUUCCAAUCUUGAAUUCUGGUAUAAAACAUGCUGUUCCAAUUUUCACUGACUACCCAGAUUUUUUAAAGCAGGGGGAAGUCCCAACUGUAGUGGGAUCUUCCAGUGGUAUUAUAUGCCUCUAUAUCACCAGUUCUCCCUCUAGAUACAUCCUGCUAAACCCCUUAACAAAACAUUAUAAAGAGGUUGGGGCCCCUUAUAUUUUUGUACCAGAUUGUGAGCAAGCUUCUGUAACUUCUGGAUUCUUUUAUGAUGAAUGGACUGAUGACUUAAAGAUCGUACAAUUGUUGAGAUGGGAUCAAAGGCUUACGAGCUUGGAUGCUCCGGGACCCAAAAAGAUACAUGCGCUUCGCGUUUGUUCUGUAAAUUCUGCAAAUUGGGAAGUUGUUGACUUGGGGCCAAUGAAAGUCUCCGAUCGUCUUGGUGGUGUGUUAUUUUUGCCGAAAGCUCUCGUCACAUUUGUAGAUGCGUUUGCUACAGAGCCGGAGAUUAACUUUUGGUUGGAUUUUCGUGAUUGCCGUCUAAAGGCAGUUCCGGAAUUAGAAGGGGCUGAACUCAGUAUGAAAUCGGUUUGGUGGAAUAACCAGGUUGGUGUUAUUGUUGGAACUGACAGCAUUUAUGUCCUUGAUGAGGAGUUUGCAGCCUGGUAUUACUGCACAGUGCUUCCGGACGUGGGAAAUUGUGUAUUCUGUUUAGAUGAGAACAAAAUUGUGGGGAUGGGGGCUGGGGAAAGCGGAAGCGUAAAUGAUUACAAUAUUCUUAAUUCCACAAGCGGCGAAAUCCAACAUAUAAUCUCGUUGCCUUCUUGCAGGGUUUUUCCGUAUGUUCCUACAUUCUACUAUAUCGAGGGAAUGGCUAAUUUUUAGACUUUUGCAAGUCACAAUGUAAUAAAAGAAUGUAAACAGUACAUAGCAGCAAUACCUCUCUAUAGCAUAUAGUUUCAGAUACAACAUGUAUUGUGAUGCCAGCUUGUAGAGUACAAGUAUUAUUCUAGGUGAUUGAUUGUUGAGAAUAAUAGAGGCAACCGGUUGCAUGAUGGUAUCCUUGAAACUUUCAUAAUUACUAAUAUCGAACUCAGAUAGCAUGCAAUUUUUCCGGAGAUCAUAUUCUUUAGCUAUCAACUAACUCUACAUUAUAUAUUAUGUCCCAGAUCAAUGAGUUUGUUUGCUAUAAUGUCCUAUUUUAUAUGUGAUUUAGGAAUAUGUUCCAUUAACUUGUUAUCACCCUCAAAUCUAAAAUCUAAGACUACCAUGUCCUUAGUUUAUUUUGUUUAAUAUUUGUGAAUAGACUCUAAUCUGAUCAUAUCAAUUAUAUUUUAGUAACAGAUGUUUAAAUGCAUAUGUUUUUGUUAUCUAGUUAUUUCAAUGAUGAUGGGAUUAAAUUUUUUUAUUCUUGUAAUAUGUACAAUGAUUGGUUUAGCUUUAAUAUUUAUUUUUAUUUUUAUUUACCAAUUUUAAUGUAGGUAAAGUUUUAUCAGCAAAUUUUAUUUUUUGUAUGCAGUAAUCUGUUCUAAUAUCAAAUUUUGAUUUAGAUCGAGUAUUAGUAUGUUGAAUUUGCAUUCAUCUAGUUAGAUGAGUGAAACUGGCUAAUUAAUGGAAAAUCAUAAGUACCUGAGUUGUUUUCAAAUUUUUUUCCCAAAUUUUAAUUGUUUGAUUGGUUUCUUCAAAUUAAUAUUAAUGGAAUCAUGAACGCACAUAAAUAAUUUAAUUAAAAAUUAUUUAUUUAUGUGUCAUUUAGAAAAAAUUGGGGACAAAAUUUGGGAUAGUAAUGGGGACGAAAUAUGUGUUAGCGUUAAUGGUUUAGCGGCAGUGGAGAACGCAAUUUAAGAGCAAAUCCAAUAGUGUCCUAAACUAGUAUCCUAAAUUAAAAAUUAAGGUAUUUAUAUAAAUGAGUGCUCCACCUAAUGAGUGCUCCACCAAUGUCCAGUGAUACCUUAAAAUACUAGGAAAUCCAUCAAGCGUCUCGUUUUUAAGACAUCACUAGGCAUGCCCUAUUUCACUUCUAUCAAUAAAAUAUAUCUUUCCCUCGUUUUUUACAGAUCUCUUCUCUCUCAUUUUUUCCAUUUAUGCCCAAUUAUAAUUCAAAUAUAAUACACCUUCAGUCCCUUUUUAGUUGUGAAAUUUACAAAAAUAAUUUGUCCUUAAAUAAUAUUCUCAUCCUUGUUCCAAUACAUAUUUAUACAUAUUUUUUCAUGUUUACCCCUUGAUUGUUGGUUCAAAUGUUUGACUGUACUACUAAUAUAUACAGUUUUGACUUAGUAUUUAAUAUAAUAAAUAAGGGCAUGCGUGGAAACAACUUACAACAUUUAAUUUUCUUUAAUAUAUGUAUUUUUGCAAAUGUGACAACUAAAAAGGAACAGAGAGAGUAUUAUUUUAAUCAUAAAACAUAUUGUUGGAGUUAAUAUAAAAAAAUCAUGUCUUAAAUCAUAAGAUUACUAUAUUUAAUUAUAUUUAUAAGGCAUCUAAUAGUACAAUAUUGGAUUUGCUCUGAUCACAGAUCAAUCAAAUGAUCGGCAACUUAAGCGAUCAAAUGAGAUGACUCGCAUAGUCCACGCUAAUCGAUAUCCUUAAGAGGAUGUUUGCCUGGGCUUAAAGCCCUUGCUUUAAGCCAUCUUUGGCUUUAAGCUGAAAAAUGUCUGUUUGUGUAAUAAGUCAGAAGCCAGCCUAAAGUCAGAAAUAAGCCAGAAGCUGACUUAAAGCCAGAAGUUAAUUUGAGGUACUUUUUUCAGUGGCUAAAUUUUUUUGAACUUUUUUUUUGAUAAAAAUUACUCCUAAAUCAUAAGUUUCUUAUAAAUCACUUUUAUUUUUAUUAUUAUAUUUUUAAUAACUCAUAAGUCAUUCAUAAGCCAAAAUUACCCAAACAGACAUUUUAAGCUAUCAGCUUAUCAGAUAAGACACGUUAAGUCACAAGUCACAUUAAGUCAUAAGCCAUAAGCUCAGCCAAACGGGCAAGUUUUCUAAGAGACAUUCCUGCUUAGUGCAUUUUUAAUAGGGUUGCCUAAAUCGUUGACGAAAUUGGACAUGUGAGACAUUAUAUAAAAUUUGUUAAACAUGUAAGUGAUUGUGUUUCAAUAAUGUUAACUACAUUGAUAGAUUAUAACUUAAAAAUAGUAUGUUAUUAAUAUUUAGAUUGUUAUAAAAAAAUAUAUGAGUUUAAUAUGAUAGGAAAUGAUGUGUAAAUUACCCCGAUUAUAUAUAUAUAUAAAUAAUAAUAUAUUUAUAUAUAUUAUACUAAAUAUAUUAUUAAAAAUAGAUAAAUUUUAUAAUAUAAUCAAAAGUAAAAAAUAAUCUUUAUUUUUAUUGAUUGAUUAUAAAUAUAUUGUAAUAUAAUAUAUUUUAUAAUUUUAAAUUGUUGUUUAUUUAUAUUAUAAAUCAAUUUUAAUAUGAUUUGAGGUUGAAAAUAUAAGAUAAUAUUAUUUUAUUAUUAUAUUAGGAGUUUGUAGUUUGUUUUUUAAUUAAAAAAAUAUAUUAUAUAUUAUAAAAUUAUUAUGUUUUUAUUAAAAAAUAAAAUUCCCCGAAACCCCGCGGGGAUCCCCGUUCCCCGUUCGGGGCGGGGAUCGGGGCGGAAAAUAAUCCCCGUUCGAGGUUCGGGGCGGGGUCGGGUAGGGCCGUAGGGGUAUUGAAUUCGGGGAUCGGGGUCGGGGAUAGCACUCCCCGCCCUCGAAGUCUCCCCGUGCCCAUCCCUAGUCGAACCUCUAGAGGUCCGUAAAAAAUCUCCAAGAAGAUUACACUAUGUAAUCUUCUUGGAGAUUUUUUACGGACCUCUAGAGGUUCGACAAAUAUAGUGGCCGGUAGGAUGUUGGUUAAAAUUAUAGAUAAGUGGUGUCUAUGGUUGAGUGUGAUUUUUUUGAAUAGAAUGGCUAUAUAUUUUAUUUUUGGGAUGCCAACUCAAUUUUUAAACUAAGGACUUCUCAUAUUUGGAGAUGCUAUAUGAUGGCAAAUCCCGCAAAUCUUCAAUUUUGACAUAUAUUAUCCUAAAUUCUCUUUCAACAAUGAUUGAUUCAAAUUUGGAUCAAGAUUGUUGGAUCCCGCUGACGUGGCAGUGACGUCAUGUUGACGUGGCGCCCUGGGGUGGACCCCGGUGCUGACGUGGCAGAUGACGCGGCGGUGACAUGGCGCCUGGUUGGGGUCCCAUUACUAACGUGGCAUUUGGGUAGAAAGUAUAAAUUACGGAAAAUUGAUGACAAACUGAGAGGUGCAUAUUAUAAGUUUUAAAAAGUAUGAGGAGAUAUUUGAUCAGUUUAAAACUAGUUUUUAGGUUUUUAGGCUAACCGUGGUUUGUAUAUUCGAGCAUCCCCGUGUAUAUUGACAUAUAGGUAAACUCCUUGCAAUACUUUGAGCUGCAAAAUCCAUCAAAAUUUUGAUUUAUCAUGUAACUGUUUGACAGAGUACUUCCAACUUUCAAGCGUAAGUAUCAAAAUCACUACCUUCAUAUGUUCCAUUAAGCGUGAAAGGUACAGAAUAAGAAGUGAAAGAAAUCCUUUAUAUUUACACGGCCAUUGAUCUUAUAGGAUCACCUAGCCCAUCAGUGCUAGGGAAUACGGAACCAUCUUAUCAAUUAACGAAGAAAUGUAUGCAUGCAGUGUCACCACCACAAGUCAGAAAUGGUGAUGAUGCUAAUGAUAAUGAACUCAAUUGGGAGUGAUCCUAAUGGGAUAUGGAUGUGGAUUGGUAUGCGGAUUCUUUGGGGUUUAUUGUUCUUACAAUGGGAAAGCCUUGGUGGUUUAUGAGAUACAUUGAAGUAAGUUGAUAAUGACAUGCACGGCUUAAUUAAGAUUAAUUAAGACAAACACCUUGACAAAAUGUUGUCUUAGAAUGAUAUGUAUUCUGAUUUUUCCUAAUUUAAAAUCAAAUUUAUUACAAUUAAAGUUAAAAUCUGCGUAGCACAUACUAUACUUUGAUUAAAUUUUUAUUGAAGUUGUCCAUAUUAACCUAGUGGCCGAAAGUGAAUAAAUUAAAUUAGUGGGGUCUAAUAUAAAAAUUGCAUUAAUUAAAAUUUGUAAUGUAUAGAUUAUGCUAAAGCUAUUCAUUAUAAAGAACAUAGGAAUGUUAAUCUCUUUAUAUGUUUGCAUGCGGAUAGUCUCUCGGGAGUGUGGUAUAUUGUCAUGGCUGGAAAAACGGCUAAUUUCUACGGUUUUUUUUUGACAGAAAUUAAUUUUGACGGAAUACUGUCGAAAUAUCGAAAGUCGAAAAUAAGCCGCAAAAUUACUUUUUUCAAUUUUCAAUUGAAAACUGUCAAAAAAGUCUCUGGCAAAAUUAUAUUUAUUUCUACAGAUAAUGUCGAAAAUAUUUUCCUGCAAAUUUCCCGCACCUUAGUUGUGAGCGGAAAUAGAUAGUUUGGACAGAAUUCCGUCGAAAUUACGCGAGUUCUUUGUAGUGUGUUUUCACACAUACGCUGAUAAUCUUUGGGGACUGGGGUAUAUUGUUUUCGCAAAGCACUGGUAGUUUGUGAGCUUGUCCAAUUUUUCCCCCCAUGCCUAUACUGGUUGGUCUCAGUCUUAGUGGUAAUAAGCUGGCGUCAAAUUUUCCAGAAUUCAUAUAUAAUUGCUAUAACAUGAUCCGAUGCCUGAAUCAGCAGCUAACAAUUUACGUAAUCUUGAAGAACUAUAUCUUGGUGCCAAUUCUUUCGAGGGCUCAUUUCCAACGAAUAUAUUCAAGCUUUCCAAAUUAAGGGUUCUUGACCUAUCUGUGAAUAAUUUUUCAGGUUCCAUUCCCAAUGGUAUAGAGAUGCUUCCCGAUCUUGGAAUAAAUCGUAUUUAUAAUAAUUCAUUUGAAGGAAUUAUUCCUUCUUCAAUUAGUCUACUUAAAGAUCUUCAACACCUAGACUUCGGUGACGACAACCUUGUGGUUUCAAGUAUAAUGUCUUACGGGUCCAAUCUAACCGAUCAUUACAGGCAACCCCAUUGGAGAUGCUCUUAAUAACAUUUUAACUAGAGAGUAUUUUCUAUCAAUUGCAUUUGUAUUAAAUUUGAUUUAGAUGAAGAGAAACAGAAUACAUAUGAUCCCGAGACAACAUUUUGUCAAUGUUUUCGUCUUGAUUGAACAGUCUUCUUCAUGCGUGUCCUUGUCAACUUCAGUUGCAGUAAUUCAAUGUAUCUCAGGAACCACCUUGGCUUUCCCAUUUUGAUAACAAGUAUCCUGAAGAUAAUCCGCAUAUCAAUCCACAUCCGCGCGUAUCCCAGUUGAUUUAUUAAUUUAUUCAUGAAGUGUUGCGAACGACAUUCCUGCAAAAGUAAAAGUCAGUGGAAUUUGUAUGAUAGCAUGAUGAAUAUUUAAAGUUUCAGUUAAAAUUUCACCAAGUAUUUUAUUUCUGGCUUAAGUCCCGGAUUGACGAAUUCUGCUGAUCACAUUUCUAAUCGACCAAUUCUGGUCGAAUAAAUUAAAUGGCACACUUCCUGAGUUGGUGGUAGGGGCGUUCUUCUUGUGUUUCUUUCUUUUCAUUAUUGACAUUGUUAUCCAGGCCCUUGCUUCUGGGCUUUUGUAAAGCACCCAUUUACGCCAUUGUCAUGAUCAUAGCUAGUCUUCCAUAUCCAAGAUACGCGCAUUAUAGUGGAUUUAUCUUUAUUAGUGAUUUCUGUGGAAAUGCAUAAUCUUAAUUAUAAGCUCCAAUAUUAUAAAAUAAACCUAACUUAUUAGAGUUAACAGGGCAUUUGUGUUGAUAAUUUGCGCAAUGUUAAUGGGGAUCGCUCCCAAGUCUUGGACGGACUCUUUCCAAGUCUUCUGAGGACCCAUCUGCACACUAAUUUGUCCGCCAACUAAAAAUUUAUAUAUAUUUUUCCAUAGAAUAUAAAUAGUUGGGGGUACUAACAGAACCUCUAGUAAAAUUAAUUAAUACCGUUAUGAUUUCGCAAACACAGCAGACAGCAGGCAUAAGGCUUAUAAAUAGAAGUGUCGUAUUUGGUUGAUGGUCAAGUUGAGUGGAAAUAUGGCACACUUUGUAAAGCCUUGUUAUCCUCUUCUCUUUGUUUUCUUUCUCUCAUUACUUCAAUCCAUUCUAACAACACAAGAGGGAGAAGCUCUUGUGAAAUGGAAGAAUAGCCUAGCCCCUUCUUCUUUUCUCGACUCUUGGUCACUCACCAAUCUCGAUAAUCUUUGCAACUGGACUGGCAUUACUUGUAACUCUGCAGGUUCAGUCUCUGAGAUUAACCUUAGUGAGAAACAACUUGAUGGAAUGCUGUCCGAGUUUGGUUUCACUUCAUUUCCAAAUCUCAACAAUCUCACCCUCGCAAUUAACUACUUCUCGGGUCCAAUACCACCAGCCAUUGAGAAUUUAACACAGCUUCAAUAUCUUGAGUUGAGCAAUAAUUAUCUAGAUGGUCCCAUUCCUUUCCAGGUUAGCAAUCUUCAGAGGUUGCUCAUCUUAAACCUGUCAGAGAAUGAACUGCAAGCUCCAAAUUGGUCCAAUUUUUCCCCCAUGCCUUUUUUGACCAUCCUCGACCUUUAUAAAAAUAAUCUUUUGUCAGAAUUUCCCGAAUUUAUAUCUAACUCGUGUAACCUUACGUACCUUGACCUCUCAUCCAACAAGUUUAGAGGGGAUCUUGCGCGAGAAUCAGUAUUAACCAAUCUAGGUGAUCUUGAAACCCUCUAUCUUAUUAGAAAUUCUUUCAAGGGGUCAUUUCCGUCAGAUUUAUUCAAGCUUUCUAAAUUAAAACGUCUUCACCUGUCGAGCAACAAAUUUUCAGGUUCAAUUCCUAAUGCCAUAAGGUUGCUUUGUGAUCUUGAAUUCCUAUAUUUAGGCAACAAUUCCUUUGAAGGACUGCUUCCACCAAAUAUAUUUAAGCUUUCAAAAUUAAAACAUCUUGUUCUUCGGAGUAAUAAGUUUUCAGGAUCUGUUUCCAAUGAUAUAAAUUUGCUUCCUGAACUUGAAUAUCUCGAUCUUAAUUCUAAUUUUUUUGACGGGCCGCUUCCUCCAGAUGUAUUCAAGCUCUCCAAACUAAGGUUUCUUUACCUCUCGGGUAAUACCUUUUCACGUUCUGUUUCCAAUGAUAUAGGUUUGCUUUCUGAGCUUGAAACCCUCGAUCUUAACUCUAAUUUUUUGAGGGUCCGCUUCCGUCAAAUAUAUUCAAGCUCAAAUUAAAAAUUCUAGACCUCUCAAACAAUAGAAAUUUAUUUCAAAGAAGUUUUCCUAUUGGACUGGAACUCUUGAGUAACCUCAGCUACUUAGGUCUAAGUUCCAGUAAUCUCAGUGGCAAUAUUCCAUCUUACAUUGGAAACCUGAAGCUACUAAUAUCUCUUGAUCUCAGUUCUAAUCAAUUGACUGGACCGCUUUCAAAGCUCGUUUCUAAUGUCACAAAUCUUAUAUUUCUUGAUUUAAGAGAUAAUAGUCUUAGUGGAAAUAUUCAGACUGACUUGUGGAAAUAUAACGAUCAUCCAACUCUGGAAUACAUCAAUUUGAGUGGGAACUAUUUUACGGGUAUAGUUUUUCUCUAUAGAUCUUUUCUUUUGUCAUAUGUAACUAAGCUAGUAAUCUGAUUAAUUGCAGUUUUACCAAAGUUUCAACAAUCUUGACAGGUGAGCUUCCAACAACAAUUUGCAAUGUCACUUCCCUUUCGGUUCUUGAUUUGUCAAAUAAUAACUUAAGUGGUGCACUUCCAAAAUGUUACGGGAAUCUUGCUGAUGGAUUGCUUUACAUUAAUCUUGCGAAUAAUCACUUUCGAGGAACAAUACCCACUACUUUCUCCAGGAGUUGUCAGCUGAUAUAUCUGAACAUGGAUGAUAAUGAGUUUGAAGGAUUGAUGCCCCCAUCUUUGGCGAACUGUAAGCACUUGAAAAUUUUUGAUAUUGGCAAUAAUAAAAUAGGUGGUACAUUUCCGUCAUGGCUUUAUGCACUUGGAGAGCUAGAAGUCCUUGUCUUGCGAUCAAAUAAACUCUAUGGUACAAUAAGUGGAAGGAGCAUAGAAGAUCCCUUCCCCAAGUUGCGGAUUGUGGAUCUGUCCAACAAUCAAUUCACAGGCCAUUUGCCAAUUCAAUACUUUAAGAAUAUGAAAUCAACUGAUAAUUUGUAUCGUUAUCAGAAUGACACAGGAGUUUUUUCUUUCCAUUAUGAAGCAUCUGUCUCAUUAACUGUGAAGGGAACAGAGUAUGAAGUGAAAAAUAUCCUUCAUAUUUACACAACCAUUGAUCUGUCCUGCAACAAGUUUCAAGGAGAAAUUCCUGACGUUAUUGGAGAGCUUAGAUGGCUUGCAUUGCUGAACUUAUCUCAUAAUAGUCUAACAGGACAUAUCCCAUCAUUGCUGAGAAAUAUGAAAGGACUCCAAUCUUUAGAUUUGUCUUCAAAUCAACUGAAAGGGGCUAUUCCACUUCAGUUAACUGCAUUGACAUUUCUAGAGGUCUUGAACCUCUCGGGAAACCAUCUUAGUGGAGAGAUUCCUCAGAAAGGGCAGUUCAGCACAUUUAACAUUGAUUCUUAUCUAGGAAACUCCGCGUUAUGUGGUUCACCUUUGAUGAAGAAAUGUGCAAACACAGCAUCACCUCCACAAGAAGCCGGAAAUGGUGAUGAAGAUGAAGCUGGUGAUGAAUUGACAUGGGAAGCAAUCGUGAUGGGAUAUGGAUGUGGACUGAUAUGUGGAUUGUCAUCUGCAUACAUUGUUCUCAAACUAGGAAAGCCUUGGUGGUUUGUGAGAUAUAUCGAAGUACUGCAACAGAAGUUGAUGAAAAGAUAUGCAUGAAGAAAGGUACUGGUAGAUCAAGAUGAACUUGAAAGUUGUUGUCGUGGUAGACAUUUGUGAACCAGUAGUGUACUAGCUGCAUAAGUAUUUGGUAUUAUGUAAUAAUCCGUUUGGUCGGGACUCAAAAUGAUUUCUCUUGCUUCAGGGGUAUUAAUAUUAACCUUGCUAUCUUGAUCAAUGUUAGGGCAAAUUAAAAAGAAUAUAAAAGCAAAAAAUUUGCAUCAAACACCUGUUGUACCAACAUGCAUCCAUUAAUUUGCUUUCAUCUAUUAAGUAACAAUUUAAGAGCGCUUCCACUCUGUUUAAGCAUGGAGAUAACACAAAGAAGGCAAGUCCAUGGACUAAUAUAUUAACACGUAGUCCACAUCUAUGGUAUGAACAAUUCAUAUUGCUCUUCUAUCUGUUCAACAGUCUCCCGAAGAUAGGCCAAAAAUGUCAUCUGUGGUUCUUAUGUUUGUCAGUGAAGGAGAAUCUCUGAUGCCUACACAACCUGGUGUUUUUACAGAAAGGAAUGUAGGUGAAACCAGGGGCGUAAAAUGAAUCAGGACUAAAAUCUGCUAAAAUGAUAAUUAUUUACUCAUCAUUCAAGAUUAGUCGGGCUCAAAGAUUUAUAUGGAUUUUAAGAACAAACUAUGACUAAAUAUGAAAAAAUCAUUAAUUUUUCCGACUCAAUAUUUUUUAGCCUCCCCCGGCCCUGGGUGAAACCAUAAGCUUCUCUGGUGCACAUCCAAAUCAUUCAGUUGGUUCUACUUUCAGCUCACCCACAGGAACAUCAUUCUGCAGGUACUCUUUUAUCUGUACUUUCUUAUAUUGUAUGCCAGUAAAUUUUAUAUCGACAAACUGCACAAUACACCUCGAUCUCAUAUUAUUGACAGGUGAGCUCCUCUCAUAAUGCUCACAGGCGAACCCCUGCAUAUAUACUUUGUGAUGUCAUUGAUGAUCGAUAGACUUGAAAAAAAAUUAUGACAAAGAUUCAUAAAAUAUCUACUUCCAUCCUAAUUCAGUAUUCAAUAUUAUUCAUUCGUAUCAUCAUCCAAUCAAUUCUAAUAGUUCUUCUUUAAAUCAGUACAAAUAUUGUUAAAUACCUGGAUGAUGGUUGUCUUUCCGCGAACCAAUCAUGAAAUUACCUCUGUAUAAAUCCAUCGGAAAUAAGACAGUUAAUAUCCCAAUCGAAUACACCCCGUCAGUUGUCAAACUCCUCGAAACGUAUUAAUCACUUUAGAAAAUUUGUUCCACUGGCGCUAGUCAGUCCCAGAGUUGGUGGUGGGUGCUUCUGGGCUUUCGAAAAGCACCCAUUUACUCCAUUGUUUAGAGAAGUAAAACCCCACCUUCCGCUCAUUUGAUUGAUCAGCUGAAUUAGGCAGAGUUUACAUGGUCAUGAUCAUAGUCUCCCAUNUUAAUAGUCUGACAGGACCUAUCCCAACAUUGCUGAGAAAUAUGAAAUAACUCCAUUACUCCAAUCUUAGAUUUGUCCUCAAAUCAACUGACAGGGGCUAUUCCACCUCUGUUAACUGCAUUGACAUUACUUUUCUCUUUAUAUUCUUUCCUUUUGUAUGUACCUAUGCUAAUUAUCUGAUUAUUAAAAUUAUAACAAAGCUUCAAGAUUUUUAACAGGUGAGCUUCCACUAAAAAUUUGCAAAGUCACUUCCCUUUCGCGUCUCAUUAUGUUAGAUAAUGGGUCAAGUGGUGCACUUCCACAGUGUUUGGGGAACCUUUCUUUGCUUGGUUUCAAUAAUCUUGCUAAUUAUCAAUUUCAAGGACCAAUACCAACGACUGUCCAAGACUUGUCUGUGCAUAUCUAAACAUCCAUAACAAUCACUUUGAAGGUUUGUUGCUCCAAUCUUUGGCAAACUGUAAACACUUACAAAUUCUUGAUAUUGGAAACAACGUUGGAGAGCUAGAUGUCCCAGUUAGGGCGGUAAUUCGACUAGAGCAAACCGAGUUUUGAGCGGAGCCAAAUUCGAGCCAAGUUUAAUCGAGUCGAGCCGAGUCGGCUCGUUUAGCUAAUCGAGCCUAAAACUUAGCCCGAACUCGACUCAUUUAAUUUCACGAGUCGAGUCGAGCCAACUCGUUUAGCUAAAUGAGCUGAUUUUAACAAGUCGAGCGAGCGAGCUCGUAUAAUUUUAACUUAGUCGAGCCUGAAUCUCUACCCAAACUAUUGGCUCGUGUAAUUUCGCGAGUCGAAUCGAGCCGGCUCGUUUUAUUAAACAAGCCGAAAUUUUUGCCCGAAUUUGCUCGUUUAACAAGCCGAUCUGAGCCUAGUUAAAUGAGUUCGAGUUAGUCGAGCUCGCGAGCUGCGAGCUCACCUGCCAGCUCUAGUCCUAGUCUUGCAAUCAAAUAGGUUUAACGGUAUAGAAAGUGGAAGGAGCACAAGGCAUCCAUUCCCCAAGGCUAUUUACCAAUUCAGUACUUUGAGGAUACAAAAUCAUUCUGCAGGUACUCUUGUAUCUGUACUUUCUUGUACUGUAUGCCACUUUGACAGUAGAGUAAAAUUUAUAUCGACAAACUGCAUAUGUUCUGAACUACUCCUCUAUCCCAAAUUAGAUGAGCUAGUUGACUUUGAGCACGUAACUUAAGGUACAUUGACCAACUAGUUCCGAUAUUUAUUUUUUUAAUUUUUCUUUUGUAAAUGAAAAUUUCAUAUUUAAAUUUUUAUUUGCAAAACUAAAAUUUAAAAAUAUGUAAUGUGGCUAUGCGGUCAAUGUCAACGAGCUCAUCUAAUUUGGGAUUGGGAUGCAGGGAGUAUUACGUACUAUGUUAUGCAAGCUGUUUACAACUUUCAUCAAAAUUUUCAAACAUUUCUGAAUAUGUAUUUUCAAAGAAUUCUCGGGCACUCUUAAGGCCUAUAAUUAUUGGAACUCUCACGUUAUGGACCAGAGGACCACUAUGUAUUUUACAAGCACGACGAAUCAUGUGGUCAUUAUGGACUCCCCAAGCCUUAGAGGACUCAUUCCAGGUUUUAGGAGGACCACUGCCUAGCUCACCCUUUCGGAGUGAUGUAAAUUAGUUUCCAGACACUAAAAAUAAGUAAUCAGAUUAAUCAUUACAAAAUUUUGAUAUAAAAUCAGAAUAAAUCCUAAACUUUGAUGAUACAAAAAAAAUUAUAAUUGUAAAUUAUACAAUCAAAUUAAGAUCGAAUUAACUUCCCUCACACUUAAAAUUUAUAGCGAUCAAAUCAAAAUCGAAUUAACUUUCCUAUUACUAAAAUUUAAUUACAAUAUUAUUAGAUAAAGAGAAUAUAUAAUAAUCAAGAGAAAAUAGAUUUUUUUUUGCCACUCAACUUAUUGUGUUUUAAGAAACUUACCACCCAACUAAAUUUUUUUCCUUUUGCUCACUAAUGUUAGGUUUGGAUUUGUUUUUAGCCACCAAAUAAGGUUCGGAUUUGAUUACCAGCAUUAUGAUAAUUUUUUUUGUCACUAAACUUAUUGCGUCUUUAGAAACUAACCACUGAACUAAAUUUUUUUUAUUUUACUCACUAAUGUUAGAUUUAGUUUUUUUUGUCACUAUAGUUAGGUUCAGAUUUGAUUAUUAGCAUUACAUUAAUUCUGUGUAGCAUUUUUAAAAUAUGGUAGUAGUCUGUGAUAUUUAGAUGAUUUGAUAUAUGUCUGUAUUUUUAUAUAUAGUAUAUUUUAUGUCCCCAAGGUCGUUUACCUUGGGUCAUAAAAAUUUUACACUCAUUUUAUGACUUUUAAAAGAUGUAGUUUCAUAAAUAAUUUUAUUUUUUUCUUUCGAAUUAAAAUUCAGCAUUUGAAUUUUACACACAAAAAAAUCGCAAGAAUAAGAUAUGAAACUAUGCUUUACAAGAGUCUUAAAAUACGUGCUAAACGGUAGAAAAAACUGUAAACUAAUGAGAGGUACAUAGGGAGUAAUAAUAACAUAAAAUGAUGCACAAUCAUCGAAUUAAGUUUUCCUCUCUCUAUAUAUUUAUUUUGUAAAUUUUAAUAAGAUAAAGUUAUUAAAAUUUAUGAUAUAAAUUUAAGAGAUAUCUUAGAUUGAGUGGCAAAAAUUUAGUUGGGUGGUAAGUUUCUAAAAACACAAUAAAUUGAGUGGGAACAAAAUCUAUUUUCCCAAUAAUGAGUGGGAAUAAAAUCUAUUUUCCCAAUAAUCAAAGUGACGAAAAAUCAAAGUCAUCUAAUAAGUCCAGAAAAAAUAUGACCAUUAGUAUAUUGAAAUAAUAUUCACGCAUUUAUAUACGAGAAUAUAUGGUCCACAAGUUAGUGCACAAUGUCCAAGAAUCUUUAUCAAAUAACACGGCAAGCAUGCAGCAUAUAAAUAAGAGUGGGCAGUAUGGUAUUGCAUUCAUAACCCACUUGAGCAGAAAUAUGGCACACUUCCUAAAGCCUUCUCACCUUCUUCUCUUUGUUUUCUUUCUCUCGUUACUUCAAUCCAUUCUACCAACAAGACCAGAGGGAGAAGCUCUUGUGAAAUGGAAGAAUAGCCUAGCCCCGUCUUCUUUUCUCGAUUCUUGGUCACUAACCAAUCUCGAUAAUCUUUGUAACUGGACUGGCAUUACUUGUAACUCUGCAGGUUCAGUCUCUGGGAUUAACCUUUAUGAGAAACAACUUGAUGGAAUGCUGUCCGAGUUUGGCUUCACUUCAUUUCCGAAUCUCAACAAUCUCACCCUCGCAUACAACUUCUUCUCGGGUCCAAUACCACCAGCCAUUGAGAAUUUAACACAGCUUCAAUAUCUUGAUUUAAGCAUCAAUAGUCUCGAUGGUCCCAUUCCUUUCCAGGUUAGCCAUCUUCAGAGGUUGCUCGUCCUAAACCUGUCACAGAAUGCAUUGCAAGCUCCAAAUUGGUCCCAUUUCUCUUCCAUGCCUUUUUUGCGCAUCCUCAAGCUCAGUAGGAAUCAUCUUGUAUCGAAAUUUCCAGAAUUUAUAUCCAAUUCUCAUAGCUUGGCUAUCCUUGACCUUGGCCAGAACAACUUUACAGGUGAUCUUGUGCGUGAAUUUACCAAUCUACAAAAUCUUGAAACCCUCUGGCUUUAUCGUAAUUCUUUUGAGGGGCCAUUUCCGCCGGAUAUAGUCCAGCUUUCCAAACUAAAAGAUCUUGCCCUGUCAAGUAACAAAUUUUCAGGUUCAGUUCCCAAUAACAUAAGGUUGCUUUGUGAUCUUGAAUACCUAUAUUUAGGCAACAAUUCCUUUAAGGGGCCACUUCCACCAAAUAUAUUUAAGCUUUCAAAAUUAAAACAUCUUGUUCUUUGGAGUAAUAAGUUUUCAGGUUCUGUUUCCAAUGAUAUAGGUUUGCUUCAUGAGCUUGUAACCCUCAAUCUUAACUCUAAUUUUUUUGAGGGGCCGCUUCCGCCAAAUGUAUUCAAGCUCUCCAAACUAAAGUUUUUUGCCCUUCAUGAGAAUAACUUUUCAGGUUUUAUUUCUAAGGAUAUAGGUUUGCUUUCCGAACUUGAAAUCCUCUAUUUUGGCUCUAAUUUUUUUGAGGGGCCGCUUCCUCCACAUGUAUUUAGGCUCUCCAAAUUAAGAGGUCUGGACCUCUCACACAAUAGAAAUUUAUUUGAAGGAAGUAUUCCUAUUGGACUGGGACUCUUGACUAACCUCAGGUACUUAGAUCUACAUUCCAAUAAUCUCGGUGGCUAUAUUCCAUCUGACAUUGGAAACCUGAAGCUACUAGUACUUCUUGAUCUCGGUUCUAAUCAAUUGACUGGACCGCUUUCAAAGAUCGUUUCUAAUCUCACAAAUCUUAUAUGUCUUGAUGUAAGUCAUAAUAGUCUUAGUGGAAAUAUUCAGAGUGACUUGUGGAAAUAUAACGAUCAUCCAACUUUGGAAUACAUCAAUUUAAGUGGGAACCAUUUUACGGGUAUAGUUUUUCUCUAUAGAUCUUUUCCUUUUCUCAUAUGUAACUAAGCUAGUAAUCUGAUUAUUGCAGUUUCACCAAAGUUUCAACAAUCUUGACAGGUGAGCUUCCAACAACAAUUUGCAAUGUCACUUCCCUUUCGGUUCUUGAUUUGUCAAAUAAUGAAUUAAGUGGUGCACUUCCAAACUCUUUGGGGAAUCUUGCUGAUGGAAUGCUUUACCUUAAUCUUGCUAAUAAUCAGUUUCGAGGAACAAUACCAACUACUUUCUCCAGGAGUUGUCGGUUGACAUAUCUAAACAUGGAUAAUAAUGAGUUUGAAGGAUUGUUGCCCCCAUCUUUGGCGAACUGUAAGCACUUGAAAAUUCUUGAUAUAGGCAAUAAUAAAAUAGGUGGUACAUUUCCGUCAUGGCUUUAUGCACUUGGAGAGCUAGAAGUUCUUGUCUUGCGAUCAAAUAAACUCUAUGGUACAAUAAGUGGAAGGAGCAUAGAAGAUCCCUUCCCCAAGUUGCGGAUUGUGGAUCUGUCCCACAAUCAAUUGACAGGCUAUUUGCCAAUUCAAUACUUUAAGAAUAUGAAAUCAACUGAUAAUUUGUAUCGUUAUCAGAAUGACACAGGAGUUUUUUCUUUCCAUUAUGAAGCAUCUGUCUCAUUAACUGUGAAGGGAACAGAGUAUGAAGUGAAAAAUAUCCUUCAUAUUUACACAACCAUUGAUCUGUCCUGCAACAAGUUUCAAGGAGAAAUUCCUGACGUUAUUGGAGAGCUUAGAUGGCUUGCAUUGCUGAACUUAUCUCAUAAUAGUCUAACAGGACAUAUCCCAUCAUUGCUGAGAAAUAUGAAAGGACUCCAAUCUUUAGAUUUGUCUUCAAAUCAACUGAAAGGGGCUAUUCCACUUCAGUUAACUGCAUUGACAUUUCUAGAGGUCUUGAACCUCUCGGGAAACCAUCUUAGUGGAGAGAUUCCUCAGAAAGGGCAGUUCAGCACAUUUAACAUUGAUUCUUAUCUAGGAAACUCCGCGUUAUGUGGUUCACCUUUGAUGAAGAAAUGUGCAAACACAGCAUCACCUCCACAAGAAGCCGGAAAUGGUGAUGAAGAUGAAGCUGGUGAUGAAUUGACAUGGGAAGCAAUCGUGAUGGGAUAUGGAUGUGGACUGAUAUGUGGAUUGUCAUCUGCAUACAUUGUUCUCAAACUAGGAAAGCCUUGGUGGUUUGUGAGAUAUAUCGAAGUACUGCAACAGAAGUUGAUGAAAAGAUAUGCAUGAAGAAAGGUACUGGUAGAUCAAGAUGAACUUGAAAGUUGUUGUCGUGGUAGACAUUUGUGAACCAGUAGUGUACUAGCUGCAUAAGUAUUUGGUAUUAUGUAAUAAUCCGUUUGGUCGGGACUCAAAAUGAUUUCUCUUGCUUCAGGGGUAUUAAUAUUAACCUUGCUAUCUUGAUCAAUGUUAGGGCAAAUUAAAAAGAAUAUAAAAGCAAAAAAUUUGCAUCAAACACCUGUUGUACCAACAUGCAUCCAUUAAUUUGCUUUCAUCUAUUAAGUAACAAUUUAAGAGCGCUUCCACUCUGUUUAAGCAUGGAGAUAACACAAAGAAGGCAAGUCCAUGGACUAAUAUAUUAACACGUAGUCCACAUCUAUGGUAUGAACAAUUCAUAUUGCUCUUCUAUCUGUUCAACAGUCUCCCGAAGAUAGGCCAAAAAUGUCAUCUGUGGUUCUUAUGUUUGUCAGUGAAGGAGAAUCUCUGAUGCCUACACAACCUGGUGUUUUUACAGAAAGGAAUGUAGGUGAAACCAGGGGCGUAAAAUGAAUCAGGACUAAAAUCUGCUAAAAUGAUAAUUAUUUACUCAUCAUUCAAGAUUAGUCGGGCUCAAAGAUUUAUAUGGAUUUUAAGAACAAACUAUGACUAAAUAUGAAAAAAUCAUUAAUUUUUCCGACUCAAUAUUUUUUAGCCUCCCCCGGCCCUGGGUGAAACCAUAAGCUUCUCUGGUGCACAUCCAAAUCAUUCAGUUGGUUCUACUUUCAGCUCACCCACAGGAACAUCAUUCUGCAGGUACUCUUUUAUCUGUACUUUCUUAUAUUGUAUGCCAGUAAAUUUUAUAUCGACAAACUGCACAAUACACCUCGAUCUCAUAUUAUUGACAGGUGAGCUCCUCUCAUAAUGCUCACAGGCGAACCCCUGCAUAUAUACUUUGUGAUGUCAUUGAUGAUCGAUAGACUUGAAAAAAAAUUAUGACAAAGAUUCAUAAAAUAUCUACUUCCAUCCUAAUUCAGUAUUCAAUAUUAUUCAUUCGUAUCAUCAUCCAAUCAAUUCUAAUAGUUCUUCUUUAAAUCAGUACAAAUAUUGUUAAAUACCUGGAUGAUGGUUGUCUUUCCGCGAACCAAUCAUGAAAUUACCUCUGUAUAAAUCCAUCGGAAAUAAGACAGUUAAUAUCCCAAUCGAAUACACCCCGUCAGUUGUCAAACUCCUCGAAACGUAUUAAUCACUUUAGAAAAUUUGUUCCACUGGCGCUAGUCAGUCCCAGAGUUGGUGGUGGGUGCUUCUGGGCUUUCGAAAAGCACCCAUUUACUCCAUUGUUUAGAGAAGUAAAACCCCACCUUCCGCUCAUUUGAUUGAUCAGCUGAAUUAGGCAGAGUUUACAUGGUCAUGAUCAUAGUCUCCCAUAUAUCCCUGAUACGCACAUUAUAGUGGAUUUAUCUUUAUCAGUGAUUUCUGUGGAGAUGCAUAAUCAUUAUAAGCUCCAAUAUAAAAUUUUAAAGUUAGUAUGGGAAUUUGUGUUGAUAAUUUGCGCAAUGUUAACAGGAUUGCUCCCAAGUCUUGGACGGACUCUUUCAAAGUCUUCUCAGGACCCAUCUGCACACUAAUUUGUCUGCCAACUAAAAAAUCAACAAUAUGUUACUCCCUCCGUUUUUCUUAAACUGAGGUUAAAAUUUUUGACACAAGAUGGGUUGACAGUAUAAAAUUAAAAUAUUUGUGAAUAAAAAUUUUGGUUAUAUUUUUUAUUUAAAAAGAAAAUCUUGAAAAUAAUAUUAUUAACUACCAGUCAGAUCACUUAAGUGUAUGUCCAAAAUUAAAGCGGCAUAUAAAAAAAAGGGAGGAAGCAUGUACUAACUGUUUCCAUAACAGUUUACAAGUAUAAGCUAUACCCCCUCUCUAUUUUUUUCUAUGACAGCUUUGAUUUUGGGCACACAUUCUUAAGUGUUUUGACCGGAUAGUUAAAAAUUUAUCUUCUAAAAUUUUUAAAAAAAGUAAAAUCGCAAAAAAAAUUAGAAAGCUGGUAUUUUUGAUAAAUUUCCAAAUAUGUAAUCAAGAAAAAUAACUUUUACUAUCCAAUCAACUCAUUUAAAGAUGUGUGUCAAAAAUCAAAAUAUCAUACAAAAAAUAGGUAUACAUUUUUUUAAUAGAUUAUACUCCCUCUGUUCCAAAAUAAGUGUCAGCUGGGGGUAAUAACAAGACCUUAGUCAACCCAAGCACAGCAGACAGCAGGCAUAAGGCAUCAGGAAUUUCACAGGACCAUUAUCUUUCUCUUAUUAACUGUGAAGGGAACAGCGUAUGAAGUAGCAAGAACCUUCAUAUUUACACAGCCAUUGAUCUGUCGUGCAACAAAUUUCAGGGAGAAAUUCCAAAGGUUACCGGAGAGCUUAGAUGGCUUGCAUUGCUCAAUUUAUCGCAUAAUUAAUAGUCUGACAGGACCUAUCCCAACAUUGCUGAGAAAUAUGAAAUAACUCCAUUACUCCAAUCUUAGAUUUGUCCUCAAAUCAACUGACAGGGGCUAUUCCACCUCUGUUAACUGCAUUGACAUUACUUUUCUCUUUAUAUUCUUUCCUUUUGUAUGUACCUAUGCUAAUUAUCUGAUUAUUAAAAUUAUAACAAAGCUUCAAGAUUUUUAACAGGUGAGCUUCCACUAAAAAUUUGCAAAGUCACUUCCCUUUCGCGUCUCAUUAUGUUAGAUAAUGGGUCAAGUGGUGCACUUCCACAGUGUUUGGGGAACCUUUCUUUGCUUGGUUUCAAUAAUCUUGCUAAUUAUCAAUUUCAAGGACCAAUACCAACGACUGUCCAAGACUUGUCUGUGCAUAUCUAAACAUCCAUAACAAUCACUUUGAAGGUUUGUUGCUCCAAUCUUUGGCAAACUGUAAACACUUACAAAUUCUUGAUAUUGGAAACAACGUUGGAGAGCUAGAUGUCCCAGUUAGGGCGGUAAUUCGACUAGAGCAAACCGAGUUUUGAGCGGAGCCAAAUUCGAGCCAAGUUUAAUCGAGUCGAGCCGAGUCGGCUCGUUUAGCUAAUCGAGCCUAAAACUUAGCCCGAACUCGACUCAUUUAAUUUCACGAGUCGAGUCGAGCCAACUCGUUUAGCUAAAUGAGCUGAUUUUAACAAGUCGAGCGAGCGAGCUCGUAUAAUUUUAACUUAGUCGAGCCUGAAUCUCUACCCAAACUAUUGGCUCGUGUAAUUUCGCGAGUCGAAUCGAGCCGGCUCGUUUUAUUAAACAAGCCGAAAUUUUUGCCCGAAUUUGCUCGUUUAACAAGCCGAUCUGAGCCUAGUUAAAUGAGUUCGAGUUAGUCGAGCUCGCGAGCUGCGAGCUCACCUGCCAGCUCUAGUCCUAGUCUUGCAAUCAAAUAGGUUUAACGGUAUAGAAAGUGGAAGGAGCACAAGGCAUCCAUUCCCCAAGGCUAUUUACCAAUUCAGUACUUUGAGGAUACAAAAUCAUUCUGCAGGUACUCUUGUAUCUGUACUUUCUUGUACUGUAUGCCACUUUGACAGUAGAGUAAAAUUUAUAUCGACAAACUGCAUAUGUUCUGAACUACUCCUCUAUCCCAAAUUAGAUGAGCUAGUUGACUUUGAGCACGUAACUUAAGGUACAUUGACCAACUAGUUCCGAUAUUUAUUUUUUUAAUUUUUCUUUUGUAAAUGAAAAUUUCAUAUUUAAAUUUUUAUUUGCAAAACUAAAAUUUAAAAAUAUGUAAUGUGGCUAUGCGGUCAAUGUCAACGAGCUCAUCUAAUUUGGGAUUGGGAUGCAGGGAGUAUUACGUACUAUGUUAUGCAAGCUGUUUACAACUUUCAUCAAAAUUUUCAAACAUUUCUGAAUAUGUAUUUUCAAAGAAUUCUCGGGCACUCUUAAGGCCUAUAAUUAUUGGAACUCUCACGUUAUGGACCAGAGGACCACUAUGUAUUUUACAAGCACGACGAAUCAUGUGGUCAUUAUGGACUCCCCAAGCCUUAGAGGACUCAUUCCAGGUUUUAGGAGGACCACUGCCUAGCUCACCCUUUCGGAGUGAUGUAAAUUAGUUUCCAGACACUAAAAAUAAGUAAUCAGAUUAAUCAUUACAAAAUUUUGAUAUAAAAUCAGAAUAAAUCCUAAACUUUGAUGAUACAAAAAAAAUUAUAAUUGUAAAUUAUACAAUCAAAUUAAGAUCGAAUUAACUUCCCUCACACUUAAAAUUUAUAGCGAUCAAAUCAAAAUCGAAUUAACUUUCCUAUUACUAAAAUUUAAUUACAAUAUUAUUAGAUAAAGAGAAUAUAUAAUAAUCAAGAGAAAAUAGAUUUUUUUUUGCCACUCAACUUAUUGUGUUUUAAGAAACUUACCACCCAACUAAAUUUUUUUCCUUUUGCUCACUAAUGUUAGGUUUGGAUUUGUUUUUAGCCACCAAAUAAGGUUCGGAUUUGAUUACCAGCAUUAUGAUAAUUUUUUUUGUCACUAAACUUAUUGCGUCUUUAGAAACUAACCACUGAACUAAAUUUUUUUUAUUUUACUCACUAAUGUUAGAUUUAGUUUUUUUUGUCACUAUAGUUAGGUUCAGAUUUGAUUAUUAGCAUUACAUUAAUUCUGUGUAGCAUUUUUAAAAUAUGGUAGUAGUCUGUGAUAUUUAGAUGAUUUGAUAUAUGUCUGUAUUUUUAUAUAUAGUAUAUUUUAUGUCCCCAAGGUCGUUUACCUUGGGUCAUAAAAAUUUUACACUCAUUUUAUGACUUUUAAAAGAUGUAGUUUCAUAAAUAAUUUUAUUUUUUUCUUUCGAAUUAAAAUUCAGCAUUUGAAUUUUACACACAAAAAAAUCGCAAGAAUAAGAUAUGAAACUAUGCUUUACAAGAGUCUUAAAAUACGUGCUAAACGGUAGAAAAAACUGUAAACUAAUGAGAGGUACAUAGGGAGUAAUAAUAACAUAAAAUGAUGCACAAUCAUCGAAUUAAGUUUUCCUCUCUCUAUAUAUUUAUUUUGUAAAUUUUAAUAAGAUAAAGUUAUUAAAAUUUAUGAUAUAAAUUUAAGAGAUAUCUUAGAUUGAGUGGCAAAAAUUUAGUUGGGUGGUAAGUUUCUAAAAACACAAUAAAUUGAGUGGGAACAAAAUCUAUUUUCCCAAUAAUGAGUGGGAAUAAAAUCUAUUUUCCCAAUAAUCAAAGUGACGAAAAAUCAAAGUCAUCUAAUAAGUCCAGAAAAAAUAUGACCAUUAGUAUAUUGAAAUAAUAUUCACGCAUUUAUAUACGAGAAUAUAUGGUCCACAAGUUAGUGCACAAUGUCCAAGAAUCUUUAUCAAAUAACACGGCAAGCAUGCAGCAUAUAAAUAAGAGUGGGCAGUAUGGUAUUGCAUUCAUAACCCACUUGAGCAGAAAUAUGGCACACUUCCUAAAGCCUUCUCACCUUCUUCUCUUUGUUUUCUUUCUCUCGUUACUUCAAUCCAUUCUACCAACAAGACCAGAGGGAGAAGCUCUUGUGAAAUGGAAGAAUAGCCUAGCCCCGUCUUCUUUUCUCGAUUCUUGGUCACUAACCAAUCUCGAUAAUCUUUGUAACUGGACUGGCAUUACUUGUAACUCUGCAGGUUCAGUCUCUGGGAUUAACCUUUAUGAGAAACAACUUGAUGGAAUGCUGUCCGAGUUUGGCUUCACUUCAUUUCCGAAUCUCAACAAUCUCACCCUCGCAUACAACUUCUUCUCGGGUCCAAUACCACCAGCCAUUGAGAAUUUAACACAGCUUCAAUAUCUUGAUUUAAGCAUCAAUAGUCUCGAUGGUCCCAUUCCUUUCCAGGUUAGCCAUCUUCAGAGGUUGCUCGUCCUAAACCUGUCACAGAAUGCAUUGCAAGCUCCAAAUUGGUCCCAUUUCUCUUCCAUGCCUUUUUUGCGCAUCCUCAAGCUCAGUAGGAAUCAUCUUGUAUCNUUUUUAUUUAAAAAGAAAAUCUUGAAAAUAAUAUUAUUAACUACCAGUCAGAUCACUUAAGUGUAUGUCCAAAAUUAAAGCGGCAUAUAAAAAAAAGGGAGGAAGCAUGUACUAACUGUUUCCAUAACAGUUUACAAGUAUAAGCUAUACCCCCUCUCUAUUUUUUUCUAUGACAGCUUUGAUUUUGGGCACACAUUCUUAAGUGUUUUGACCGGAUAGUUAAAAAUUUAUCUUCUAAAAUUUUUAAAAAAAGUAAAAUCGCAAAAAAAAUUAGAAAGCUGGUAUUUUUGAUAAAUUUCCAAAUAUGUAAUCAAGAAAAAUAACUUUUACUAUCCAAUCAACUCAUUUAAAGAUGUGUGUCAAAAAUCAAAAUAUCAUACAAAAAAUAGGUAUACAUUUUUUUAAUAGAUUAUACUCCCUCUGUUCCAAAAUAAGUGUCAGCUGGGGGUAAUAACAAGACCUUAGUCAACCCAAGCACAGCAGACAGCAGGCAUAAGGCAUCAGGAAUUUCACAGGACCAUUAUCUUUCUCUUAUUAACUGUGAAGGGAACAGCGUAUGAAGUAGCAAGAACCUUCAUAUUUACACAGCCAUUGAUCUGUCGUGCAACAAAUUUCAGGGAGAAAUUCCAAAGGUUACCGGAGAGCUUAGAUGGCUUGCAUUGCUCAAUUUAUCGCAUAAUUAAUAGUCUGACAGGACCUAUCCCAACAUUGCUGAGAAAUAUGAAAUAACUCCAUUACUCCAAUCUUAGAUUUGUCCUCAAAUCAACUGACAGGGGCUAUUCCACCUCUGUUAACUGCAUUGACAUUACUUUUCUCUUUAUAUUCUUUCCUUUUGUAUGUACCUAUGCUAAUUAUCUGAUUAUUAAAAUUAUAACAAAGCUUCAAGAUUUUUAACAGGUGAGCUUCCACUAAAAAUUUGCAAAGUCACUUCCCUUUCGCGUCUCAUUAUGUUAGAUAAUGGGUCAAGUGGUGCACUUCCACAGUGUUUGGGGAACCUUUCUUUGCUUGGUUUCAAUAAUCUUGCUAAUUAUCAAUUUCAAGGACCAAUACCAACGACUGUCCAAGACUUGUCUGUGCAUAUCUAAACAUCCAUAACAAUCACUUUGAAGGUUUGUUGCUCCAAUCUUUGGCAAACUGUAAACACUUACAAAUUCUUGAUAUUGGAAACAACGUUGGAGAGCUAGAUGUCCCAGUUAGGGCGGUAAUUCGACUAGAGCAAACCGAGUUUUGAGCGGAGCCAAAUUCGAGCCAAGUUUAAUCGAGUCGAGCCGAGUCGGCUCGUUUAGCUAAUCGAGCCUAAAACUUAGCCCGAACUCGACUCAUUUAAUUUCACGAGUCGAGUCGAGCCAACUCGUUUAGCUAAAUGAGCUGAUUUUAACAAGUCGAGCGAGCGAGCUCGUAUAAUUUUAACUUAGUCGAGCCUGAAUCUCUACCCAAACUAUUGGCUCGUGUAAUUUCGCGAGUCGAAUCGAGCCGGCUCGUUUUAUUAAACAAGCCGAAAUUUUUGCCCGAAUUUGCUCGUUUAACAAGCCGAUCUGAGCCUAGUUAAAUGAGUUCGAGUUAGUCGAGCUCGCGAGCUGCGAGCUCACCUGCCAGCUCUAGUCCUAGUCUUGCAAUCAAAUAGGUUUAACGGUAUAGAAAGUGGAAGGAGCACAAGGCAUCCAUUCCCCAAGGCUAUUUACCAAUUCAGUACUUUGAGGAUACAAAAUCAUUCUGCAGGUACUCUUGUAUCUGUACUUUCUUGUACUGUAUGCCACUUUGACAGUAGAGUAAAAUUUAUAUCGACAAACUGCAUAUGUUCUGAACUACUCCUCUAUCCCAAAUUAGAUGAGCUAGUUGACUUUGAGCACGUAACUUAAGGUACAUUGACCAACUAGUUCCGAUAUUUAUUUUUUUAAUUUUUCUUUUGUAAAUGAAAAUUUCAUAUUUAAAUUUUUAUUUGCAAAACUAAAAUUUAAAAAUAUGUAAUGUGGCUAUGCGGUCAAUGUCAACGAGCUCAUCUAAUUUGGGAUUGGGAUGCAGGGAGUAUUACGUACUAUGUUAUGCAAGCUGUUUACAACUUUCAUCAAAAUUUUCAAACAUUUCUGAAUAUGUAUUUUCAAAGAAUUCUCGGGCACUCUUAAGGCCUAUAAUUAUUGGAACUCUCACGUUAUGGACCAGAGGACCACUAUGUAUUUUACAAGCACGACGAAUCAUGUGGUCAUUAUGGACUCCCCAAGCCUUAGAGGACUCAUUCCAGGUUUUAGGAGGACCACUGCCUAGCUCACCCUUUCGGAGUGAUGUAAAUUAGUUUCCAGACACUAAAAAUAAGUAAUCAGAUUAAUCAUUACAAAAUUUUGAUAUAAAAUCAGAAUAAAUCCUAAACUUUGAUGAUACAAAAAAAAUUAUAAUUGUAAAUUAUACAAUCAAAUUAAGAUCGAAUUAACUUCCCUCACACUUAAAAUUUAUAGCGAUCAAAUCAAAAUCGAAUUAACUUUCCUAUUACUAAAAUUUAAUUACAAUAUUAUUAGAUAAAGAGAAUAUAUAAUAAUCAAGAGAAAAUAGAUUUUUUUUUGCCACUCAACUUAUUGUGUUUUAAGAAACUUACCACCCAACUAAAUUUUUUUCCUUUUGCUCACUAAUGUUAGGUUUGGAUUUGUUUUUAGCCACCAAAUAAGGUUCGGAUUUGAUUACCAGCAUUAUGAUAAUUUUUUUUGUCACUAAACUUAUUGCGUCUUUAGAAACUAACCACUGAACUAAAUUUUUUUUAUUUUACUCACUAAUGUUAGAUUUAGUUUUUUUUGUCACUAUAGUUAGGUUCAGAUUUGAUUAUUAGCAUUACAUUAAUUCUGUGUAGCAUUUUUAAAAUAUGGUAGUAGUCUGUGAUAUUUAGAUGAUUUGAUAUAUGUCUGUAUUUUUAUAUAUAGUAUAUUUUAUGUCCCCAAGGUCGUUUACCUUGGGUCAUAAAAAUUUUACACUCAUUUUAUGACUUUUAAAAGAUGUAGUUUCAUAAAUAAUUUUAUUUUUUUCUUUCGAAUUAAAAUUCAGCAUUUGAAUUUUACACACAAAAAAAUCGCAAGAAUAAGAUAUGAAACUAUGCUUUACAAGAGUCUUAAAAUACGUGCUAAACGGUAGAAAAAACUGUAAACUAAUGAGAGGUACAUAGGGAGUAAUAAUAACAUAAAAUGAUGCACAAUCAUCGAAUUAAGUUUUCCUCUCUCUAUAUAUUUAUUUUGUAAAUUUUAAUAAGAUAAAGUUAUUAAAAUUUAUGAUAUAAAUUUAAGAGAUAUCUUAGAUUGAGUGGCAAAAAUUUAGUUGGGUGGUAAGUUUCUAAAAACACAAUAAAUUGAGUGGGAACAAAAUCUAUUUUCCCAAUAAUGAGUGGGAAUAAAAUCUAUUUUCCCAAUAAUCAAAGUGACGAAAAAUCAAAGUCAUCUAAUAAGUCCAGAAAAAAUAUGACCAUUAGUAUAUUGAAAUAAUAUUCACGCAUUUAUAUACGAGAAUAUAUGGUCCACAAGUUAGUGCACAAUGUCCAAGAAUCUUUAUCAAAUAACACGGCAAGCAUGCAGCAUAUAAAUAAGAGUGGGCAGUAUGGUAUUGCAUUCAUAACCCACUUGAGCAGAAAUAUGGCACACUUCCUAAAGCCUUCUCACCUUCUUCUCUUUGUUUUCUUUCUCUCGUUACUUCAAUCCAUUCUACCAACAAGACCAGAGGGAGAAGCUCUUGUGAAAUGGAAGAAUAGCCUAGCCCCGUCUUCUUUUCUCGAUUCUUGGUCACUAACCAAUCUCGAUAAUCUUUGUAACUGGACUGGCAUUACUUGUAACUCUGCAGGUUCAGUCUCUGGGAUUAACCUUUAUGAGAAACAACUUGAUGGAAUGCUGUCCGAGUUUGGCUUCACUUCAUUUCCGAAUCUCAACAAUCUCACCCUCGCAUACAACUUCUUCUCGGGUCCAAUACCACCAGCCAUUGAGAAUUUAACACAGCUUCAAUAUCUUGAUUUAAGCAUCAAUAGUCUCGAUGGUCCCAUUCCUUUCCAGGUUAGCCAUCUUCAGAGGUUGCUCGUCCUAAACCUGUCACAGAAUGCAUUGCAAGCUCCAAAUUGGUCCCAUUUCUCUUCCAUGCCUUUUUUGCGCAUCCUCAAGCUCAGUAGGAAUCAUCUUGUAUCGAAAUUUCCAGAAUUUAUAUCCAAUUCUCAUAGCUUGGCUAUCCUUGACCUUGGCCAGAACAACUUUACAGGUGAUCUUGUGCGUGAAUUUACCAAUCUACAAAAUCUUGAAACCCUCUGGCUUUAUCGUAAUUCUUUUGAGGGGCCAUUUCCGCCGGAUAUAGUCCAGCUUUCCAAACUAAAAGAUCUUGCCCUGUCAAGUAACAAAUUUUCAGGUUCAGUUCCCAAUAACAUAAGGUUGCUUUGUGAUCUUGAAUACCUAUAUUUAGGCAACAAUUCCUUUAAGGGGCCACUUCCACCAAAUAUAUUUAAGCUUUCAAAAUUAAAACAUCUUGUUCUUUGGAGUAAUAAGUUUUCAGGUUCUGUUUCCAAUGAUAUAGGUUUGCUUCAUGAGCUUGUAACCCUCAAUCUUAACUCUAAUUUUUUUGAGGGGCCGCUUCCGCCAAAUGUAUUCAAGCUCUCCAAACUAAAGUUUUUUGCCCUUCAUGAGAAUAACUUUUCAGGUUUUAUUUCUAAGGAUAUAGGUUUGCUUUCCGAACUUGAAAUCCUCUAUUUUGGCUCUAAUUUUUUUGAGGGGCCGCUUCCUCCACAUGUAUUUAGGCUCUCCAAAUUAAGAGGUCUGGACCUCUCACACAAUAGAAAUUUAUUUGAAGGAAGUAUUCCUAUUGGACUGGGACUCUUGACUAACCUCAGGUACUUAGAUCUACAUUCCAAUAAUCUCGGUGGCUAUAUUCCAUCUGACAUUGGAAACCUGAAGCUACUAGUACUUCUUGAUCUCGGUUCUAAUCAAUUGACUGGACCGCUUUCAAAGAUCGUUUCUAAUCUCACAAAUCUUAUAUGUCUUGAUGUAAGUCAUAAUAGUCUUAGUGGAAAUAUUCAGAGUGACUUGUGGAAAUAUAACGAUCAUCCAACUUUGGAAUACAUCAAUUUAAGUGGGAACCAUUUUACGGGUAUAGUUUUUCUCUAUAGAUCUUUUCCUUUUCUCAUAUGUAACUAAGCUAGUAAUCUGAUUAUUGCAGUUUCACCAAAGUUUCAACAAUCUUGACAGGUGAGCUUCCAACAACAAUUUGCAAUGUCACUUCCCUUUCGGUUCUUGAUUUGUCAAAUAAUGAAUUAAGUGGUGCACUUCCAAACUCUUUGGGGAAUCUUGCUGAUGGAAUGCUUUACCUUAAUCUUGCUAAUAAUCAGUUUCGAGGAACAAUACCAACUACUUUCUCCAGGAGUUGUCGGUUGACAUAUCUAAACAUGGAUAAUAAUGAGUUUGAAGGAUUGUUGCCCCCAUCUUUGGCGAACUGUAAGCACUUGAAAAUUCUUGAUAUAGGCAAUAAUAAAAUAGGUGGUACAUUUCCGUCAUGGCUUUAUGCACUUGGAGAGCUAGAAGUUCUUGUCUUGCGAUCAAAUAAACUCUAUGGUACGAUAAGUGGAAGGAGCAUAGAAGAUCCCUUCCCCAAGUUGCGGAUUGUGGAUCUGUCCCACAAUCAAUUGACAGGCUAUUUGCCAAUUCAAUACUUUAAGAAUAUGAAAUCAACUGAUAAUUUGUAUCGUUAUCGGAAUUCCACAGGACCAUUAUCUUUCUCUUAUGAAGCAGCAGUCUCAUUAACUGUGAAGGGAACAGAGUACGAGGUAGCAAAGAACCUUCAUAUUUACACAGCCAUUGACCUGUCGUGCAACAAAUUUCAGGGAGAAAUUCCAAAGGUUACUGGAGAGCUUAGAUGGCUUGCAUUGCUGAAUUUAUCUCAUAAUAGUCUGACAGGACCUAUCCCAUCCUUGCUGAAAAAUAUGAAAGAACUCCAAUCUUUAGAUUUGUCCUCAAAUCAACUGACAGGGGCUAUUCCACCUCAGUUAACUGCAUUGACAUUUCUGGAGGUCUUCAACCUCUCGGGAAACCAUCUUAGUGGAGAGAUUCCUCAGAAAGGGCAGUUCAGCACAUUUAACAAUGAUUCUUAUCUAGGAAACUCCGCGUUAUGUGGAUCACCUUUGACAAAGAAAUGUGCAAACACAGCAUCACCUCCACAAGAAGUCGGAAAUGGUGAUGAAGAUGAUGCUGGUGAUGAAUGGACAUGGGAAGCAAUCGUGAUGGGAUAUGGAUGUGGACUGAUAUGUGGAUUGUCAUCUGCGUACAUUGUUCUCAAACUAGGAAAGCCUUGGUGGUUUGUGAGAUAUAUCGAAGUGCUGCAACUGAAGUUGAUGAAAAGAUAUGCUUGAAAAAUUGUACUGGCCGAUCAAGACGAACUUGAAAGUUGUUGUCCUUGUGGACAUUUCUGAACCAGUAGUGUACUAGCUGCAUAAGUAUUUGGUAUUAUGUAAUAAUCCGUUUGGUCAGGACUCAUAAUGAUUUCUCUUGCUUCAGGGGUAUUAAUAUUAACCUUGCUAGUUAAUUCAAAUUAAAACAAAUAUAAAAUCAAAAAAUUUGCAUCAAACACCUGUUAUACCAACAUCCAUUAAUUUGCUUUCAUCUCUUACGUAACAAUUUAACAGCGAUUCCACACUGUUUUAGGCAUGGAGAUUACACAAAGAAGGCAAGUCCAUGAACUAAUAUAUUAACCCGUAGUCCACAUCUAUGCUACGAACAAUUCAUAUUGGUCUUCCAUCUAUUCAACCGUCUCCCGAAGAUAGGCCAAAAAUGUCAUCUGUGGUUCUUAUCUUUGUCAGUAAAGGAGAAUCUCUGAUGCCUAUACAACCUGGUUUUCUUACAGAAAGGAAUGUAGGUGAAACCAGGGGCAUAAAAUGAAUCGGGACUAAAAUCUGCUAAAAUGAUAAUUAUUUACUCAUCAUUCGAGAUUAGUCGGGCUCAAAUGAAGAUUUAUAUGGAUUUUAAGAACAAACUAUGACUAAAUAUGAAAACUAGACAACCUGGUUUUCUUACAGAAAGGAAUGUAGGUGAAACCAGGGGCGUAAAAUGAAUCGGGACUAAAAUCUGCUAAAAUGAUAGUAAUUAUUUACUCAUCAUUCAAGAUUAGUCGGGCUCAAAUGAAGAUUUAUAUGGAUUUUUAAGAACAAACUAUGACUAAAUAUGAAAAAAAUCAUUAAUUUUUCCGACUCAAUAUUUUUUAGCCUCCCCCGGCCCUGGGUGAAACCAUAAGCUUCUCUGGUGCACAUCCAAAUCAUUCAGCUGGUUCUGCAGGUACUCUUCUAUCUGUACUUUCUUAUAUUGUUUGCCAGUACAUUUUAUAUCGACAAACUGCACAAUACACCUCGAUCUCAUACACAGGUGAACUCCUGCAUAUGCUUUGUGAUGUCAUUGAUGAUCGAUAGACUUGAAAAAAAAUUAUGACAAAGAUUCAUAAAAUAUCUACUUCCAUCCUAAUUCAGUAUUCAAUAUUAUUCAUCCCGUAUCAUCAUCCAAUCAAUUCUAAUAGUUCUUCUUUAAAUCAGUACAAAUAUUGUUAAAUACCUCGAUGAUGGUUGUCUUCCCGUGAACCAAUCAUAAAAUUACCUCUGUAUAAAUCCAUCGGAAAUAAGACAGUUAAUAUCCCAAUCGAAUACACCCCGUCAGUUGUCAAACUCCUCGAAACGUAUUAAUCACUUUAGAAAAUUUGUUCCACUGGCGCUAGUCAGUCCCAGAGUUGGUGGUGGGUGCUUCUGGGCUUUCGAAAAACACCCAUUUACUCCAUUGUUUAGAGAAGUAAAACCCCACCUUCCGCUCAUUUGAUUGAUCAGCUGAAUUAGGCAGAGUUUACAUGGUCAUGAUCAUAGUCUCCCAUUUCCCAGAUACGCGAAUUAUAGUGGAUUUAUCUUUAUCAGUAAUUUCUGUGGAGAUGCAUAAUCAUUAUAAGCUCCAAUAUAAAAAUUUAAAGUUAGUAUGGGCAUUUGUGUUGAUAAUUUGCGCAAUGUUAACAGGAUUGCUCCCAAGUCUUGGACGGACUCUUUCAAAGUCUUCUCAGGACCCAUCUGCACACUGAUUUGUCUGCCAACUAAAAAAUCAACAAUAUGUUACUCACUCCGUUUUUCUUAAACGAGGUUAAAAUUUUUGACACAAGAUGGGUUGACAGUAUAAUAAAAUUAACAUUUUUGUGAAUAAAAAUUUUGGUUGUAUUAUUUUAUUUAGAAAAAGAAAAUCUUGAAAAUAAUAUUAUUAACUACCCAGUCAAAUCACUUAAAAGUAUAUGUCCAAAAUUAAAGCGGCAUAUAAAAAAACCGAGAGAGAGUAUGUACUAACCUGUUUCCAUAACAGUUUACAAGUAUAAGUUAUACUCCCUCUCUAUUUUUUUAUAUGACGCUUUGAUUUUGGGCACAUAUUUUUAAGUGUUUUGACCGGAUAAUUAAAAAUAUUAUUUUCUAAAAUUUUUAAAAGAAAGUAAAAUUGAAAAAAAAAUAGAAAGCUGGUAUUUUUGAUAAAUUUCCAAACAUAAUCAAGAACAAUAAUUUUUACUAUCCAAUCAACUCAUUUACAGAUGUGUGUCAAAAAUCAAAAUAUCAUAUAAAAAACAACAAUAUGUUACUCCCUCCGUUUUUCUUAAACUGAGGUUAAAAUUUUUGACACAAGAUGGGUUGACAGUAUAAAAUUAAAAUUUUUGUGAAUAAAAAUUUUGGUUAUAUUUUUUAUUUAAAAAGAAAAUCUUGAAAAUAAUAUUAUUAACUACCAGUCAGAUCACUUAAGUGUAUGUCCAAAAUUAAAGCGGCAUAUAAAAAAAAGGGAGGAAGCAUGUACUAACUGUUUCCAUAACAGUUUACAAGUACAAGUUAUACUCCCUCUCUAUUUUUUCUAUGACGCUUUGAUUUUGGGCACACAUUCUUAAGUGUUUUGACCGGAUAGUUAAAAAUUUAUCUUCUAAAAUUUUUAAAAAGAAGUAAAAUCGCAAAAAAAAUUAGAAAGCUGGUAUUUUUGAUAAAUUUCCAAAUAUGUAAUCAAGAACAAUAACUUUUACUAUCCAAUCAACUCAUUUAAAGAUGUGUGUCAAAAAUCAAAAUAUCAUACAAAAAAUAGGUAUACAUUUUUUUUAAUAGAUUAUACUCCCUCUGUUCCAAAAUAAUUGUCAGCUGUGACAUUUUGCAAAAGUAGCUGGGGGGUAAUAACAAGACCUUAGUCAACCCAAGCACAGCAGACAGCAGGCAUAAGGCAUCAGGAAUUUCACAGCACCAUUAUCUUUCUCUUAUUAACUGUGAAGGGAACAGAGUAUGAAGUAGCAAGAACCUUCAUAUUUACACAGCCAUUGAUCUGUCGUGCAACGAAUUUCAGGGAGAAAUUUCAAAGGUUACUGGAGAGCUUAGAUGGCUUGCAUUGCUCAAUUUAUCUCAUAAUAGUCUCACAGGACCUAUCCCAUCAUUGCUGAGAAAAAUGAAAGAACUCCAAUCUUUAGAUUUGUCCUCAAAUCAACUGACAGGGGCUAUUCCACCUCAGUUAACUGCAUUGACAUUACUUUUCUCUUUAUAUCCUUUCCUUUUGUAUGUACCUAUGCUAAUUAUCUGAUUAUCAAAAUUAUAACAAAGCUUCAAGAUUUUUAACAGGUGAGCUUCCACUAAAAAUUUGCAAAGUCACUUCCCUUUCGCGUCUCAUUAUGUCAGAUAAUGGGUCAAGUGGUGCACAUCCACAGUGUUUGGGGAACCUUUCUUUGCUUGGUUUCAAUAAUCUUGCUAAUUAUCAAUUUCAAGGACCAAUACCAACGACUGUCCAAGACUUGUCUGUGCAUAUCUAAACAUCCAUAACAAUCACUUUGAAGGUUUGUUGCUGCAAUCUUUGACAAACUGUAAACACUUACAAAUUCUUGAUAUUGGAAACAACAAAAUAGGUGGUACAUUUCGGUCAUGGCUAUUUAUUUUGGAGAGCUAGAUGUCCUAGUUAGGGCGGUAAUUCAACUAGAGCAAACCGAGUUUUGAGCGGAGCCAAAUUCGAGCCAAGUUUAAUCGAGUCAAGCCGAGUCGGCUCGUUUAGCUAAUCGAGCCUAAAACUCUGCCCGAACUCGACUCGUUUAAUUUCACGAACGAGUCAAGCGAGUGAGCUCGUAUAAUUUUAACUUAAUCGAGCCUAAAUCUCUACCCGAACUAUUGGCUCGUGUAAUUUCGCGAGUAGAAUCGAGCCGGCUCGUUUUAUUAUAGAAGCCGAAAUUUUUGCCCGAAUUUGGCUUGUUUAACAAGCCGAUCUUUCAUCAAAAAUUUCAAACAUUUCUGAAUAUGUAUUUUCAGAGAAUUUCUCCAGCACUCUUAAGGCCUAUAAUUAUUGCAACUCUCACGUUAUGGACCACUGUGUAUUUUACAAGCACGACGAAUCAUGUUGUCAUUAUGGACUCCCCAAGCCUUAGAGGACUCAUUCCAGGUCUUAGGAGGACCACUGCCUAGCUCACCCUUUCGGAGUGAUGUAAAUUAUUUUCCAAACAUUAAAAAUAAAUAAUCAGAUUAAUCAAUACAAAAUUAAAGAUAUAAAAUCAGAAUAAAUCCUAAACUUUGAAUAUACAAAAAAAAUUAUAAUUGUAAAUUAUACAAUCAAAUUAAAAUUGAAUUAACUUCCCUCACACUUAAAAUUUAUAGCGAUCAAAUCAAAAUCGAAUUAACUUUCCUAUUACUAAAAUUUAGUUACAAUAUUAUUAGAUAAAGAGAAUAUAUAAUAAUCAAGGGAAAAUAGAUUUUUUUUUUUUGCCACUCAACUUAUUGUUUUUUAAGAAACUUACCACCCAACUAAUUAUUUUUUCCUUUUGCUCACUAAUGUUAGGUUUGGAUUUGUUUUUAGCCACCAACUAAGGUUCGGAUUUGAUUACUAGCAUUAUGAUAAUUUUUUUUGUCACUAAACUUAUUGUGUCUUUAGAAACUAACCACUCAACUAAUUUUUUUUUAAUUUACUCACUAAUGUUAGGUUCAGUUUUUUUUUGUCACUGAAGUUAGGUUCGGAUUUGAUUAUUAGCAUUACAUUAAUUCUGUGUAGCAUUUUUAAAAUAUGGCUCAUAAGAAUUUUACACGCAUUUUAUGACUUUUAAAAGAUGUAGUUUCAUUAAUAAUUUUAUUUUUUUCUUCCGAAUUAAAAUUUAGCGUUUGAAUUUUACACACAAAAAAUCGAAAGAAUAAGUUAUGAAAGUAUGCUUUAUAAGAGUCUUAAAAUACGUGCUAAACGGUAGAAAAAACUGUACACUAAUGACAGGUAAAUAGGGAGUAAUAAUAACAUAAAAUGAUGCACAAUCAUCGAAUUAAGUUUUCCUCUCUCUAUAUAUUUAUUUUGAAAAUUUUAAUAAGAUAAAGUUAUUAAAAUUUAUGAUAUAAAUUUAAGAGAUAUCUUAGAUUGAGUGGCAAAAAUUUAGUUGGGUGAUAAAUUUCUAAAAACACAAUAAAUUGAAUGGGAACAAAAUCUAUUUUCCCGAUAAUCAAAGUGACGAAAAAUCAAAGUCAUCUAAUAAGUCCAGAAAAAAUAUGACCAUUAGUAUAUCGGAAUAAUAUUCACACAUUUAUAUACGAGAAUAUAUGGUCCACAAGUUAGUGCACAAUGUCCAAGAAUCUUUAUUAAAGUAACACGGCAAGCAUGCAGCAUAUAAAUAAGAGUGGGCACUGGGCAGUAUGGUAUUGCAUUCAUAACCCACUUGAGGAGAAAUAUGGCACACUUCCUAAAGCCUUCUCACCUUCUUCUCUUUGUUUUCUUUCUCUCGUUACUUCAAUCCAUUCUACUAACAAGACCAGAGGGAGAAGCUCUUGUGAAAUGGAAGAAUAGCCUUGCCCCUUCUUCUUUUCUCGAUUCUUGGUCACUCACCAAUCUCGAUGAUCUUUGUAACUGGACUGGCAUUACUUGUAACUCUGCAGGUUCAGUCUCUGAGAUUAACCUUUAUGAGAAACAACUUGAUGGAAUGCUGUCCGAGUUUAGUUUCACUUCAUUUCCAAAUCUUAACAGUCUCACUCUCGCAUACAACUUCUUCUCGGGUCCAAUACCACCAGCCAUUGAGAAUUUAACACAGCUUCAAUAUCUUGAUUUAAGCAUCAAUAGUCUCGAUGGUCUCAUUCCGUUCCAGGUUAGCCAUCUUCAGAGGUUGCUCGUCUUAAACCUGUCACAGAAUGCAUUGCAAGCUCCAAAUUGGUCCCAAUUCUCUCCCAUGCCCUUUUUGUGCAGCCUCAACCUCAGUAGCAAUCCUCUUGCGUCGAAAUUCCCAAAUUUCAUAUCCAAUUCUCAUGGCCUGACUCACCUUAGCCUUGAUCAAAACGAGUUUACAGGUGAUUUAGCGCGUGAAUCAAUAUUUGCCAAUCUGCAUAAUCUUGAAGUCCUCAGUCUUGUUGGCAAUUCUUUUGAGGGGCCAUUUCUGCCAAAUAUAUUCAAGCUUUCCAAAUUAAAACGUCUCACCCUGUCAAGUAACAAAUUUUUAGGAUCAAUUCCCAAUGACAUAAGGUUGCUUUGUGAUCUUGAAUUCCUGUAUUUAGGAAACAAUUCUUUUGAAGGACCGCUUCCACCAAAUAUAUUCAAGCUUUCAAAAUUAAAACAUCUUGUUCUUUGGAGUAAUAAGUUUUCAGGUUCUGUUUCCAAUGAUAUAGGUUUGCUUUCUGCGCUUGAACUUUUGAAUCUUCACUCUAAUUUUUUUGAGGGGCCGCUUCCGCCAAAUGUAUUCAAGCUCUCUAAACUAAGGUUUCUUAACCUCUGGGGUAACAACUUUUCAGGUUCUGUUUCCAAUGAUAUAGGUUUGCUUCCGGAGCUAGAAAUCCUCAAUCUUCACUCUAAUUUUUUUGAGGGCCGCUUCCGCCAAAUAUAUUCAAGCUCUCUAAACUAAGGUUUCUUAACCUUUGGGGUAAUAACUUUUCAGGUUCUGUUUCCAAUGAUAUAGGUUUGCUUCCUGAGCUAGAAUUCCUCAAUCUUCACUCUAAUUUUUUUGAGGGUCCGCUUCCGCCAAAUGUAUUCAAGCUCUCUAAACUAAAGUUUCUUCAUCUUCGAGGUAAUAAGUUUUCAGGUUCUGUUUCCAAUGAUAUAGGUUUGCUUCCUGAGCUUGAAAUCCUCAAUCUUCGCUCUAAUUUUUUUGAGGGGCCGCUUCCGCCAAAUGUAUUCAAGCUCUCCAAACUAAGGUUUCUUUCCCUUAAGGAAAAUAAAUUUUCAGGUUCUGUUUCCAAUGAUAUAGGUUUCCUUUCUGAGCUUGAAUACCUAUAUCUUGACUAUAAUUUAUUUGAAGGAAGUAUUCCUAUUGGACUGGGACUCUUGACUAACCUCAGCUACUUAGAUCUAAGUUCCAAUAAUCUCAGUGGCUAUAUUCCAUCUGACAUUGGAAACCUGAAGCUACUAGUAUUUCUUGAUCUCAGUUCUAACCAAUUGACUGGACCGCUUUUAAAGAUCGUUUCUAAUCUCACAAAUCUUAUGAAUCUUGAUGUAAGUGAUAAUAGUCUUAGUGGAAAUAUUCAGAGUGACUUGUGGAAGAACUCUAUAUCCUUACGUUACAUUAAUUUUGCAAAUAAUUAUUUGUCUGGGAACAUUCCUAAGGAAUACAACGAUCAUCCAACUUUGGAAUACAUCAAUUUAAGUGGGAACCAUUUUACAGGUAUAUUUUUCUCUAUAUAUCUUUUCCUUUUCUCAUAUGUAACUAAGCUGGUAAUCUGAUUAUUGCAGUUUUACCAAAGUUUCAACAAUCUUGACAGGUGAGCUUCCAACAACAAUUUGCAAUGUCACUUCCCUUGCGGUUCUUGUUUUGUCAAAUAAUGGAUUAAGUGGAGCACUUCCAAAUUGUUUCGGGAAACUUGCUGAUAGAUUGCUUUCCAUUAAUCUUGCUAAUAAUCAGUUUCGAGGAACAAUACCAACUACUUUCUCCAGGAGUUGUCAGGUGAAAUAUCUAAACAUGGAUAAUAAUGAGUUUGAAGGAUUCUUGCCCCCAUCUUUGGCGAACUGUAAGCACUUGAAAAUUCUUGAUAUUGGCAAUAACAAAAUAGGUGGUCCAUUUCCGUCAUGGCUUUAUGUACUUGGAGAGAUAGAAGUCCUUGUCUUGCGAUUAAAUAAACUCUAUGGUACAAUAAGUGGAAGGAGCGUAAAAGAUCCCUUCCCCAAGUUGCGGAUUGUGGAUCAAUAGACAUCGGCUAAAAAGCGAUGUCUAUGUAAAAUCAGACCGAUGUCUUCGUGGGUGAUGAGAAAAGUAAGUGCAUUACACAUCGCUUUCUAGCCGAUGUCUAUAACCUAUUUACACAUCGUUUAAUAUGACAAUCUGAUGUAUUUUUUAACAGUAGAUACCUUCACUAUAAUUUCAGUUCCUCAUUCCUAUGCCCUCUAUAUCAUUUUAAACUUGUCACAUGCUUAAUAAAAUGAUACUUUAACAUCUUAAAACUUGUAAAAUAGAUGUAUAUGAUAACCUUUUACAUCAUGCUUUUAUAGGAAGUGAUGUGGUACCCUUCUUUUCUUUAAGAAAGCGAUGUCUUUGUUCUUGUUUUACAUCAGUGAUUUUUAUACUCUGAUAUCUAUUAUAUAGUUUAACAUCAGGCUUUUUCUUGUUAACUGAUAUGUAUUCAUUCUUAUGACAUCGCUUACUAAGUGAUGUAAAUGUUAGUUUUAAAUUGCCAUGAAUCCUCCUGUUUCUUAUGAAUCCCCCUGUUUCAUUUAAAUUUCCAACAAAUUCCAAAACAACACCAAAGCUAUACUAAUUAAACAACCAAUUACCAAUGUCUAGCCUACCAUAACAGAACUAAAACAAAACUAGCUAGCAAAACAAUACUUCCGCAAAAGCCAAAUAUAUUACCAUCAAUCAUUACCAAUCAAAUUACAUCCCACAAUCAAAGAAACUGCACAAAUCCUAAAUAUUAACCAAGCAACCAUAAUUUACAAGCAGUUCACCACGUACUCCAGCAACCAUAAUUUACCAACUACAUUUCCCUCCAUUUAUCAACAAAAUCUACUUAGCUAGCUAGUGUCACUGUCUUACAUAAACUGAACUAAUUAAAGGAAACCAAAGUUCUCCAAUAAACCAAAGGCCUGUUUAUAAGAAGGACUCGAUAUGGCUAAGUGUCUCAAACCGAACCUCGUCAAGCUCAGCCUUGGAACAAAUCACUUUUCGAUUCUUGGAUGCCCACUGAAAAAUGUAAAACAAUAACAUUGAAUUAUACCUAAAUUUAUAUGUACACCAUUUAAUUAUAUCAACAAUGGAUUAGGCAAAGAAAAAUACCCUUUUAAAAAAUGUCAUUUCAUUGUCCAUGACAAUCUCUUUCAUAUACCGCAUAAUAACAUAGCCGCAUUCAGUUCCACCGGGCUGUUUAGGACAUCCCUAUUUAACCAAAAAAAACUCAAAAUAGUAAGUAAAGUAAUGCCCCUGGUUCUAAGCAUCAGUAGCACAAAUUGUUAAAAAUAAAUACGAAAGCUUACUGUAAUAUAUUUGAAGCUUGGGGCUUUAUUUCCCCUUCCGGCCUGAACAUUGAAAGUAAUCACAGCCCUGUCAUCUUGGCAGUGUUAAUAAUGCACAUGCAUUUAUAUCUCCAUAAGAAAGAUAAUCAAUAAAAAAAUAAAUGAAAAUACCUUGAUAUUGCUUUUUCCAAGUUGGGGAAACUAGUUGAACGAGGCAGAGGAUUAAGUAUGAAAACCUCGCCACCCCAAAACAGAACCAAUACCCAAUGGAAACUAUUUUUAACAAAUAUUUAUGAAAAACACAAUUACUAUCAAAAUCAUAUAAAUUUUAUUUUCAGUCAUGUAAAAAACUAAAUAAAAGAGAUUUAUAAUAAAUAAGAAAACACUUAAGCUACUUACUUGCUAUUAUGCGGCAUCAAAAAGAGACGAUCAGGAUUACCCUCUUUAAAUCGAUUAACCAAGUUAUCUUCAAAAGAAUUGUUCAUCAAGUUCAGCGAGGCUCCAGGAUCACAAAAAGCAAAUUGAUCCUUAGUGCCAUUUUCACGAACCACGCAAUGCAAGUAUCUACAUUGUAAAUGAAAUGAAAUUAUAUAAAAUUACACGAAUAUGAAUUAUAACUAAACAACAGUCAUGAUCUAGAAGACAGUAAUUAAAAAAAGUUUACUCACGCCAUGUAUGCAGCAAUUGCUGCUUGGCCAAUCAUAUUAAACUCCAGCAAGGCGACUAUGUUUUCAUACAAGAUGAAGAUUCUUUUCUCGAUACCAAACACCUCAGCAUCACACGGGAUUUGAAUUGAGUCUCCGGAGGAUUGCAUAAAUGUUGUUGCAUGUUUAUACAACAACCGAAAGCGUUUUGGAACAUUUUUAUUGAUCUCCAUGUUAUGAAACAAGGACUGGACUUUAUCUAAAUCGGUUUUAGGUUCCUUUACUUUCCGUUUACCUUUCUGAAAAAUGAACAAAAUUAAUUUAAAACAAAAUAUAACAAAAUAUAGGGGUAACAUAUAAUAGUACAAUCCAGUACAACAAUUAUGUUAAAGUACACACCAUAGUAGGAAUAGUAGGAGGGGCAUUUGGGAAUAUGAUCAAGUCGCGGGGCCAUGAGACGUACGAGCCAACAGCUUGCUCUACUGUUUCAAUCUCACCUGGUACCGGUUUAGGAAUCUUGGCUUGUCCUUGAAUUGGGCCAUCCACUGAGACGCGAACACAUCCAGGCUCUAUCGGCACUCCAUGUAUAGAUUUGUUCAUGUUAUCAUCAUCAAACAACAAACCAAAUGCCACUUUAUUUUCUAUUGUGCCUACAGCCAACUCACAUUUUCGUGGACCGGCCUACACACAUAUAUUUAAACAAUUAUGACGAAUGCUUGAAAUAUGUUGAGCUAAAUUGAAUAAAUGUGCUAGUUAUUUUACCUUAUUCUCUGGUGGAUUAGGUUCCAAGUCAACUUCAAUCAUCUCUGGUUCCAGUUUUUUCACCACCUCUGUCUUAGCUUCUUUGACAGUGUUUGCCUCACAACUUGCUUUAUCAGAAGCAAUAGGAGAUGAAAUAUUUGCUUUGCUGAGCAAGGCCUUCAUUUCAGCCAUCUCCUGCCUUGUCUUCUCCAUUUCCAUGGCCAUCUCUUUCUUGGCUUUCUCCAGCUCCGCGUCCCUCUCUCGAUCCCUCUCCAACAACUCAGCUUUGGUGAUUCUAUUUCUUCUUCCUGGUGGUAUAUUAAAAAAAAUUGACGGGCUCACAAAGCCUCCAACUCCUCGAACCCUCCCCGAAUGUUCAGGAGUUUGUAGGGCCGUAGUCAACACAUCUCGACUCCCAGAAGGAGUGAAUUCCCCCUUACUUUGCUGCUCUAGUAAAAUAUUCUGACAUGAAAAAUAUGAACAUACAAAUCAUCAUCUAGUGAACCUCAUCAUCAAUAUUAACUUUAAUUUUACGAGCCUUUUAAUUAUAAAUACUCACAAUUCUUUUUCCUAUUUCAGCUAGGUCUGAAUCCUCAUCAUCAGCAUCAUCAGCCUCAUCAUCAUCAUCAACAUUAUCAUUAUCAUCAUCAAUUUUAAUUUUACGAGCCUUUUGCCACAUGAGAGCCCGAUCAGGUUCUUCAUCGGCAGCCAAAGUUCCUUUCUUGAUCUGAUUAAAAUCAAAAAAAAAUUAAAAAGGCCAAGAUAUGUAAAAUACAAUUAUUUAGGUUCAAUGCUUAAAAUACAACUAUUUUUAUACCUCUUCUUCCAAUAAUCCAAUGUAACCCUUUCUUGAUGUCCGGUGAGGAUAUUUUCGAUUACUCACCCUCAGCUUUUGUUUUUCACUAAAAGACUUCAAAUAUUUUAAAUAAUAUUAGAAUACUAUUUUUCAGAAUAUAAAAAGACAUUUAUAUCACAAUAAAGCAGAACAUAAAAUAUAUUUCAUACCAGAAAUUUCGAGGUAGUCCUCUCAGCAACAAAAUUUUUCCAAGCCUCCUUUCCAACAAAAGCAUACUUCUUUGGAGGCUUUCGUAAUUUCUUCUUCUGCCCAAGAUACGGCCUCACAUAAUCUCUUGUUAAAUUUGCUUUAAAAUUCCUCCACUUUGCUCCUGCAGACCUGAUCAACCCCUUCUCAAGUUGCUUAGGAACUUUAAAUGUCUCCUGCAACCAAUGUUAAUUGACAAAAUUUACAAAAUUAUACUCUAAAUGAGUAGAAGAAAAUGCAAAAUUUACAAAAUGCAUAGGAGAUUACUUAUUUUUAUACCUUCACAUCAAUCCAUAUUUUCUCCUUUAGUUCAUCAGGUACCUUUGACCAGUUAGGAUAAUCAAUCGGAAUCAUUGUCCUAGCCAACAUUCCAGUGUAGGAUUGUAGACUGUGCCUUGCAUCCCCUGUAGGAACUCCAUGUGCAUUACAUGAAACCUUUGUUUUCUUGCCCUGCGCCUUCCUCACCACCACUUUAUACAUAGCAGAAACCCCUCGGGCACCCCCACGCUUUUUCUUUGCUGUUUCAGAUGUUGUAACUGUUGCAUCCGUUUCCUCCACAGAAUUCACAUUUUCUCCCUGAGGUUCUGUUGUCAGCUCCAACCUUUUAUCUGAUGCCUCAUCCGACUUUUUGGAGUCUUCAUGGAAUUGUACUUUGGUUUUUUGCUUUUUAUUUGCCAUUUAUCUUCUUCAAUCUGAAAAUGAAACAUAUAUAAUCCAUUAGUCACAGGCAUAUAUACGAGCAAUUACAGGAUAAGCAGUUAUAAAGUUACAUAAGCCUACAUAAGCCGUUACAAAAUUGUAAAAAUGCAUAACUAAACAUUUACACAGAGUGAAAAUUACAGGAGUCUAAUUACACAGAGUAAAUUACAAAGUUGCAUCACAUAUAUUACAUGACUUGAAAUAAUGUUAUCACAGAGUAAAUUACAAAGUCUCAUCACAAAAUUAACUAUUACAUGACUUGAAAUAAUGUUAUCACUUCUUAACCCAAGUGCCCUUAAUAUUUUCUCUAAUACUUUUCUCAACAUCAUCACCGACAUCACAUGUAGGAAUUUGGCAGCAGAAUGGAGGAUUUUCCAUGGUUGUGUCUCCUAAAUCAUCAUCGUUAUACACCUCUUGGUAGUCUCGAGUUGUAGAGGUUAAUACGACGGACCACUUGGCAUCCACCGGAUCUUCAAUAUAAUAAACUUGCUUUACUUGAUCUAUAGACACGUAUUUAUCUCUCUUGUGGCCUUGUCGACUUAGAUCGACAAGUGUGAACCCAAGAUCAUCCACCUUAAUUCCCUUGUCAUUGUCCGCCCAAUUACAUAAAAACAGUGGGGCUUUGAAUGCAUGAUAAUCCAGCUCCCAUAUAUCUAGGAUAACACCAUAAAAUGUCAAGUCACUUUCUACGGGGUUUAAAUCUUUAGCGCUAGACACUUGGACAGUUUUAGCAACUAAAGACACUCCGCUGUUUUGAACUACCCUCACAUUGUCUCGCUGUUUUGUAAAGUAUCGGACCCCGUCUACUAGAUAAGCUUCGUAAGUCAUAACUGAAAAUGAUGGUUUUCCAGCUAUCCAUCUUACUGUCUCUGAAACUCCUCCAGGAUUCUCCACCAUUUCACUACUGACCUACACAUUUCAUAAACAGAAAUUAUCCUAAAUUACUAUAGAGAAAAUAAAUUAGGCACAAAUGAAACUAUAAAAAUACUAACUUUUUCUAGAAACCAAUCAGCAAAACUGUUAUUGUGCUCUCUCAAGAGCCAAUGAACGCUUUUCUUUUUCCCACGAUGGAUUUCCUCUAGAUACUCCUUAUGCAUUCUGCCAAAAAUUAUAUAUUCAUUAAAGAAGUAGUUUAUACAGAAUGUAUAUAUUAAUUGAACAGCCACAAAAUUAAAAAAAUCUUACAAGAUAUAUGGCUGUACUUCAAGGUUGUUUAGAAGAACGUGUAAAUGAGCUUCAUCCCUCUCUUUUUCUUCGAUUGAUUUCAUUACCGCAACAGAUAAUGGACCACUUAACUUGCCUUCAUCUUUGCGAAGACCAGCAGUGGUGCAAGUUUGCUUGACAAACUCUUGGCAGAAUUCAAUCGAUUCUUCUCCAAGAUAACAUUCUGCUAUACAACCUUCGGGGUAGUAACGAUUGCGUACGUAACUCUUCAACACCUUAUUAAACCUCUCAAAUGCAUACAUCCAUCUAUAGAAGACUGGCCCACAUAACCGUAAUUCCCGAACCAAGUGCACUAUGAGAUGUAUCAUUACAUCAAAAAAUGAUGCAGGAAAAAUUUUUUCUAGCUCGCACAAAGUUACUAUUACAUCUGAUUGCAAUUUAUCUAGUUUAGAUACGUCGACAACUUUGCUGCAUAAAGCAUUAAAGAAGAAACACAAUCUAAUUAUUGUGACCCUGACUUUUUUUGGAAGUACCGCGCGAAUUGCAAUAGGAAGUAAUUGUUGAAGUAGGAUGUGGCAAUCGUGGGACUUCAACCCAAACAUUUUUAAUUCUUCCAUGGAAACACAGUUUUUAAUGUUUGACGCGUGUCCAUAAGGAAGUUUCAUGUGCAUUAACGAUGACAACAUCUUCUUCUUUUCUGCCUUGGACAAAUUAAAAAUCGAAGGAGGUAAAUAGGUCUUUCUUUCUCCUUUUUGUGGAGCUAGAUCAGCCCUAACCCCCAUGUCAAUCAUGUCAAGACGAGAAGCUUCACUAUCUUUAGACUUAUGUUUCAUAUUCAGUAGUGUGCCAAUCAAGCUAUCACACACGUUUUUCUCCACGUGCAUAACAUCUAGACAAUGACGGACAUGGUGAAAUUUCCAAUACUCUAACUCGAAGAAAAUUGACUUUUUCUUCCAUGGACAGUCAACCUUCUUUGACUUCCUUACUUCUUUCCCAAACUGAAAUUCAAUUUUUUCUUGCUGCAAUAAAACCUCUUCUCCCGAAAGAGGUUGACGUGCCUGCCCUAAUUCUUGUUGUCCAUUAAAAGCAGCUUUUUGCUUCCUAUAUGGAUGAUUUCUAGCCAAGUAACGUCGAUGACCUUGGUAACACAUCUUCCUACUAUGGCUUAAAUACUUUGCAACAGUAUCAUCACCACAUAUUGGACAAGACAUAUAACCUUUAUUAACACAUCCGGACAGAUUUCCAUAUGCGGGAAAGUCGUUUAUUGUCCACAAUAAAAUUGCUUUUAAAGUGAAAUACGACUUAGUGUGUGCAUCAUAGACAUUUGGUUCACCUUCCUCCCACAACUUCUUUAAAUCAUCGAUUAGAGGCUGUAAAUAUACAUCAAGGUCAUUACCAGGCUCAUGAGGACCGGGAACUAAAACUGUUAGCAUCAUAAACUUCCUCUUCAUGCAUAACCACGGAGGAAGAUUAUAAGUCACUAGUACUACUGGCCAACAAGUGUAUCUAUUGGUUAGACCGUUAUUAUGCGGGUUUAUACCAUCUGCAGACAACGCCAAGCGAAUAUUUCUUGCCUCACUACCGAAGGCAGGCCACCUAUAGUCGAUAUUUCUCCAAGAAGGAGAGUCGGCUGGAUGCCGCAUCUUUCCAUCUUCUAUUCGCUGCUUUGCGUGCCAGGUAAUCAGUUCAGAUGUAGAAGGAGAUUUAAACAUUCGCUUCAAUCUCGGAAUAAUUGGAAAAUACCACAUUAUUUUAGCAGGAACAUUAAUCCUUACUUUACCAUCCUUUCCUAACUUCCAGCGAGAUAGACUACACUUAGGACACUUAGAAGCAUCAACAUAUACCCCCCGAUAUAGUAUGCAAUCGUUUGGACAUGAGUGGUACUUUAUGUAUUCUAGGCCUAAGUUGGAUAAUGUUUUCUUGGCUUCAUAUGCAUUAGGUGGCAUCACAUUUUCCUUAGGAAGGAGAGAGCCAACAGUAGACAAUAAAUCUGUAAAGGCGCUAUCACUAAUUCCAAACCUUGCUUUCCAAUUAUGCAGUUUUAGCAUCGACUCCAAUUUGGUACAUUCACUACCCUCAUACAAAGGCUGUUGAGCAUCAGCCACAAAUCUCCUAAACUGAUACGACUCAUUAUUGUACUCACUCGAAUUAUACGCAGCAUCACAAACAUUGACUGUUUGUGAUGCAUGACCAGGGGAAUGCAUCGAUGCAGGGUCAAGCGUAGGUGCAGGGCUAGGGGCAUUGUCAUGAACUGUUGAUCCAGUGAUUCCACACCCUUGUGUGUGCCAAAUCCAAUCAAGGUAUCCCAAACUAAAACCGUAUUCAUAUAAAUGUCCCCUAAUAAUCUUAACUGCAAAUUUUUUAAAGUUAACACAUCUUUUGCAGGGGCAUGGGAUUUUUUUAGUAUCACUAGCAUUUUCCUCGGCAAAUAUUAAAAACUCUUCAACCCCGAUUUCAUAGUCAAGUGUAUCCCUAUCUUUGAAAAUCCAAGACUUGUCCAUGUUAUUCUCAAACUACCUGAUUGUCAAAUAUGAUAUCAAAUUACAUGGUAACAAAGAUCCAAACACAAUAUACAAUUACAUUUACAAACUAAACAAACACAAAUAUAUUUACACAGCUGUGCAUAAAACAUAAAAAACAAAUCCCAAGCUCUAAACAUAUAUAACACAGUACAUAAAAAAGAAACCCCAAGCUCCAAACAUAUAUAAAACAUAUAUACAACUACACGUUUAAUUUUCACAUGCAUACAUAUAACUACAAAAAGUUAUACUUGCAACCGAAACAUUUAUAUAAAUAUAAAGAAGAAUAUAGAAGAAUAUAUAUACCUAAAACCCAGCAGCUUCGAAACCCAGCACCUCCAAAAUCCAGCAGCUAUCCAGCAGCUUCGAAAACCCAGCAACUACCCUAAUCUCCAAGCUUCAAAUCUCCAAGCUUCAAAGAACCCUAAUCUCCAAGCUCCACUCGACCCUAAGCUUGAAGAUCGAACCUUAAGCUUGAACACAGCAGCUUCGAAUCGCGCACAAAUCGCACCUAGGGUUUAGAAGAGAGGGAAUCAGUUAAUAGAACAUUUGAAAGGGGGUUUAGAAGAGAGGGAAUCAGUUAUUAAACCAAGAACGAGGAUUGAAGGACUGAAGGAUUGAAGAAAAUCGCAUACCUAGGUUUAGCUGUCGAGAGAAAGGGGGAAGAGCUGCUGUCUGAAAGAAAUAUGUAUAUAUGUCCCGAUUGUUUUCUUUUGAAUGCUUUUGUUUUAAUUUUGAUUUAUUUUUAAUGUUUUUUUAUUGUUUUAUACUGAGGCGGGAGUGAAUGAUAUGUUAAAGGGGGGGAAAACAGUAGGGGGAACUAAUUAAAAAAUUGACUAAGGGCGGGGGAGCGGAGGGCGCGGGCUUUAAUAUUUUUAAAAUUGAGAUUAGACAUCGCUUAAUAAACAAUGUGAUGUGAAAAAAUUUUAAAGUGAGAGCUUAGACAUCACUUAUGUUAAGGACUGAUGUAAAGAUACCAGAAAGACAUCACAUAUAAAACGAGCGAUGUAAAAAAGGCAUUUUACAUCGGUGACACUUCCGACUGAUGUCUAAUGUGCGAUGUCUAUUGACGAAUUUCUAGUAGUCUCCAAAGGAUAUUUAUCUUUCCAUCAUGAUGCAGCAGUCUCCUUAACUGUGAAGGGAACGGAGUAUGAGGUAGCAAAGAACCUUCAUAUUUACACAGCCAUUGAUCUGUCGGGCACCUAAUUUCAGGGUCGAAUUCCAAACGUCACUGGAGAGCUUAGAUGGCUUGCAUUGCUCAAUUUAUCGCAUAAUAGUUUAACAGGACCUAUCCCAUCAUUGCUGAGAAAUAUGAAAGAACUCCAAUCUUUAGAUUUGUCCUCAAAUCGACUGACAGGGGCUAUUCCACCUCAGCUAACUGCAUUGACAUUUCUAGAGGUCUUGAACCUCUCGAAAAACCAUCUUAGUGGAGAGAUUCCUCAGAAAGGACAGUUCAGCACAUUCAACAAUGAUUCUUAUCUAGGAAACUCCGCGUUAUGUGGAUCACCUUUGACGAAGAAAUGUGCAAACACAGCAUCACCUCCACAAGAAGUCGGAAAUGGUGAUGAAGAUGAUGCUGGAGAUGAAUUGACAUGGGAAGCAAUCGUGAUGGGAUAUGGAUGUGGACUGAUAUGUGGAUUGUCAUCUGCGUACAUUGUUCUCAAACUAGGAAAGCCUUGGUGGUUUGUGAGAUAUAUCGAAGUACUGCAACUGAAGUUGAUGAAAAGAUAUGCAUGAAGAAUGGUACUGCACUACAACAAAAACAGCAUCACACAACGGUUUUUGCCCGUUGUCUGAUACCCAAGAAAACCGUGGUCUAUUGCGAUGCCGUCUGAUACGCGCCUCAGACAACGUUUUAUUAGUUAAAGGCUUGUCUAUAAGGCCAUGCUACGAUGGUAACAAAAACACUUGUAUGUUAGCUUCCUGGUCACACAACACUGUAUGGAACCCUUGUUUAAACGGCUCGUAAACAACACAACAAAUAAAACACUUGUCUAAUUACAACAACGGUUUCUUGAAAUAUUGUCUGAAGUUUCUUCACACAUCGGCUCUAAAAACAGUUGUCUAACGUGCAUCAUUACACAAUAUCACAGUUAAGAUACCGUUGUCUGAUUGAAUUUACUAGACAACACUUUUUAAACCGUUGUAGGUUGUAGGUGUUGGACAAUAGUUUUUCGAGGACGAAAAUAAAGUGUUGUGUCUUUGUUUCGGCCAACACUUUUUCCAGCGUCCGUUGUCUGACUAGUGUCGUGUGAUGCCAGUUUUGUUGUAGUGCUGGUUGAUCCAGACGAACUAGAAAGUUGUUGUCCUGGUAGACAUUUCUGAACCAUUUGUGUCCUGGCUGAAUAAGUAUUUGGUAUUAUGUAAUAAUCCGUUUGGUUGGGACUCAAAAUGAUUUCUCUUGCUUCAGGGGUAUUAAUAUUAACCUUCCUAUCUUGAUCAAUGUUAAAUCAAAUUAAAUGAAUGAAAAAACAAAAAGUAUGCAUCAAAUCCGCUCCUGCUGUACCUAACAAUUUAACAGCACCCUUCCACACUGUUCAUACCUAAUUUGCGUGUAAUAUGAAAACUAAGAGGCAUGGCUUUUGUCUUUGAGAGAACUUAUUCCAAGUCUUCUUCGGAGGCCUACUGCCUCAACAACCUUUCAAAGACUAUGCAAUAAUCCACGUGACAGAAAAACCAAAGUCCAAUUAGUAUUAUAAGUUCAUAAAAAAUACUAUAGGAUCAUUAGCAUUAGCAUUACAUUAGCAUACAGCAUAUAUAUAAAUAGAAGAAUGCAGUGUGGUAUUGGAUUCAUAAUCCAAUUGAGCAGAAACAUGGCACACUUUGUAAAGCCUUAUGACCUUCUUCUCUGUGUUUUCUUUCUCUCAUCACUUGAAUCCAUUCUUGCAACAAGACGAGAAGGAGAAGCUCUUGUGAAAUGGAAGAACAGCCUAGCCCCGUCUUCUUCUCUUGAUUCUUGGUCACUCACUCAUCUCGAUAAUCUUUGUAACUGGACUGGCAUUACUUGUAACUCUGCAGGUUCAGUCUCUGACAUUAACCUUUUCAACAAACAACUCACUGGAAAGCUUUUCGAGUUUGGUUUCACUUCAUUUCCGAAUCUCAACAAUCUCACCCUCGCAGAUAACUUCUUCUCUGGUCCAAUACCAUCAGCCAUUGGGAAUUUAACACAGCUUCAAUAUCUUGAUUUGAGCAAUAAUUAUCUCAAUGGUUCCAUUCCGUACCAGGUUAGCCAUCUUUCAAAAUUACACGUCUUAAACCUGUCAGAGAAUGAACUGCAAGCUCCAAAUUGGUCCAAUUUCUCCCCCAUGCCUUAUUUGACCAUCCUCGACCUUUAUCAGAAUAAUCUUAUGUUGGAAUUUCCAGAAUUUAUAUCUAACUCGCGUAACCUGACAUACCUUGACCUUUCAUAUAACAAGUUCACAGGCGAUCUUGUGCGCGAAUCAGUAUUAGCCAAUCCAGGUGAUCUCGAAACCCUCUAUCUUAAUGAAAAUUCUUUUGGGGGGCCAUUUCCACCAGACAUAUUCAAACUUUCCAAGUUGAGAGUUCUUGCCCUGUUCAAUAAUCUUUUUGAGGGGCCGCUUCCGUCAAAUAUAUUCAAGCUCUCUAAACUAAGAUUCCUUUUACUUUGGAGUAAUAAUUUUUCAGGUACUCUUUCGAAUGAAAUAGGUUUGCUUUCUGAGCUUGAAGACCUAGAUCUUCACUCCAAUUUUUUUGUGGGGCCGCUUCCGCCAAAUAUAUUCAAGCUCUCUAAACUAAGAACCCUUUUCCUCUUGGGUAAUAACUUCUCAGGUUCUAUUUCCAACGACAUAGGUUUGCUUUCUGAGCUUGAACACCUAUAUCUCGACUCCAAUUCUUUUGAGGGACCUUUUCCAACAAAUAUUUUCAAGCUUUCCAAAUUAAUACAACUUGGUCUCGCAAACAAUACAAAUUUAUUUGAAGGAAGUAUUCCUCCAGGACUGGGGCUCUUGACUAACCUAGAGGACUUGUCUCUUGCUUACAAUAAUCUUGGUGGCUAUAUUCCGUCUUCCUUUGGAAACCUAACACUACUAGUAUAUCUUAAUCUCGCUCGUAAUCAAUUGGUUGGAACACUAUCAAAGACCAUUUCUAAUCUCACAAAUCUAUGGUUUCUUGAUGUACAUCAUAAUAGUCUCUCUGGGAAUAUUCAGAGUGACUUCUGGAAAAACUCUACAUCACUGCGUUACAUUAAUUUGGCAGACAAUAAUUUUUCUGGGAACAUUCCUAAGGAAUAUAAUGUUCUUCCAAUCCUGGAUCACAUCAAUUUUAGGGGGAACAAUUUUACAGGUAUUUUUCUUUCCAUAUUUUUUCCUUCUGUUGUAUUCAAUUAUGCUAGAAACUACAGCCUCUGUUUUUUCAAAUACAUAUCGUUUAACUUUUUGGCACAAAACUUUAUAAUAAUUCUAACUAAAAGGUCAAUGAACUCAAAAAUGUGUGUCAAAAAGUCAAACGUCAUUUAUCUGAAAUCAGAGGGAGUAUAUAUUACUGUUUUACCAAAGUUUCAACAAUCAUGACAGGUGAGCUUCCACCAACAAUUUGCGAUGCCACUUCCCUUUCGAUUCUUGAUCUGUCAAAUAAUGGAUUUAGUGGUGCAGUUCCACAUUGUUUGGGGAAUCUUGCGGAUAAAUUGAUUUCGAUUAAUCUUGCUAAUAAUCAGUUUCAAGGACCAAUACCAACAAAUUUCUCCGAGAGUUGUCGUCUGACGUAUCUUAACAUCUAUAACAAUCACUUCAAAGGUUUGGUUCCCCAAUCUUUGGCAAACUGUAAGCACUUGCAAAUUCUUGAUUUUGGAAAAAAUGAAAUAGGUGGAACACUUCCGUCAUGGUUUUUUACUCUUGGAGAGCUAGAAGUCCUGAUCCUGCGAUCAAACAGAUUUUUCGGGAGAAUAACUAGAAGGAGCAUACCACGCCCCUUUCCCAAGUUGCGGAUUUUGGAUCUAUCCAACAAUCAGUUCACCGGCUAUCUGCCAAUUUUAUACUUCAAGAAUAUGAAACCAAAUGAUAAUAAUUAUGAUUAUUUCAACAACACAAACGAAGCCUAUUACGUUUAUCAAGUUUCUAUCACAUUAAAUGUGAAAGGAAGCGAGCAUGAAGUGACAAAUAUUCUUCAUAUUUACACGGCCAUUGAUCUGUCGUGCAACAAAUUUGAAGGAAAAGUUCCAGACAUUACCGGAGAGCUUAGAUGGCUUGCAUUGCUAAAUUUAUCUCAUAAUAGUCUUUCGGGGCCUAUUCCAUCACAACUGGGAAAAAUGAAAGAGCUCCAGUCUCUAGAUUUGUCGUCAAAUCAAUUGACAGGUGUUAUUCCGGAUCAACUUACUAGUAUGACAUUUCUUGCUAGUUUGAACCUCUCAGAAAACCAUCUUUCUGGGAAAAUCCCUCGGAAAGGACAGUUCAGCACUUUUGGCGAAGAAUCUUACUUAGGUAAAUCGGCCUUGUGUGGAGUUCCUUUGACAAAGAACUGUAUAGACGAUGUGCCACCUUCACAAGUUGGAAAUGGCAAUGAUGAAAAUGUUGAUGAAGAUGAUACCGUUGAUGAAUUCAAUUGGAAAGUGAUCCUGAUGGGAUAUGCAUGUGGAUUAAUAGGCGGAUUGUCUGCAGGAUACAUUGUCUUCACAGUCGGAAAGCCUUGGUGGUUUUUGAGAUACAUUGAGACACUGCAGCAGAAGUUGAUCUGAUGCGCAACUAGAAACAACGUUAUAAUCUUAGAAUGACUUGUGUCUUUAAACAGAGUUAGGAACUUAGGAUGACUUGUGGUGCUAUAUUUUUUUUUUGAAAAAAAAAAACAUAUUUUUGUAAUUUUUUAGAUACAGAUGUUAAGAAGGUGUUGUAUAUUCAUUUUUUACCCAAAAAAAAAAAGAGGGCUUAUUUCAUGAAAAUUAGAGUUUUAUGUAUUUUCUCCAGAAAUUAGUCCUUAUUUCUGAAAAUAAGGUUAGUCAAAACGGUCACUACACGAUUGGUAGCCUUUCAGUUCUUCCUAGUGUCCACUACAGUUUCAUUCCUUACCAGUUAUUUUAUGCUCUGCACUGCAUUAUGCAGCUUUCAUAUUACUGACAGCUAAUCUCCUUCCAACACUUUGCGAUGCGAAGCAGGGACGCAUAAGUAUUUUUAUAUGUGUAUUAGUUUUGAAGAUUAAAGUUGCAUGGACAAUUGUGUUGAUAAUUUGAGCAAUGUUAACCGGGAUAGGUCUUCUUCUCUCUCCCAAGUCUUCUGAGGACUCAUCGGCUCAGAUUAGUCUAUCCAAAAAUUAUGAUCUGACGGCUAUUGGCACACUAACGAUUUACAUAUCACUUGAAUAUUACUGGAUACCCGCAUCUUGUUUUAAAUGGCGUAUAUCGGCUAAUAGUUCAACGAUGGUGACAAAUCCCGGUGAUCCAAAUAAUUGAUUGUCGCAAAAUUUUCCGCUUACAUCCAACUAACACGUAUUAGGAAAAAAAAUUAUAUAAUUAAACACGCUCAUGUAUCUAUAUCUUUUACAAGAUUGUAAGUCCCCAAUUCUAUGUGAUAUUAGCUAUAUGUGACUAGAAGGUUUAGAAAUACUAGAUUAUCAAGAUUUCUUUUUAUUCUAGCUAGUGUUGAGUUAUAUUUAUUUUCUUCAAACAAUCAAUACUUAUUUUUUAUUAAUAUGUGAAACUCCAAUAUAUAUUAUUAUACGAUAUAUUAUGAAAACACUAUAUUUUGUAAUGUUCAUCUUAUCCUACCAGCAAAAUUACAUCGCUAACAAAAUUAUAUCAAUUUUAUUUUAUAAACUCAAAUAAUUUAAUUUAUGAAACAACUCUAUGAGAUUCUUAUCAUGAGUUAGAAUUCAAAUAAAUAAAGAGUUCAUAUUGAUAAGUGGAAUUGAUGUGCAAGUAAGGGGUAUAAAAAAAUCUCAAAAUAACUCCAAAAAGCACAUGACAUGUUUGAUUUAAUAGAACUGGUACAUAAACAGGGGGACCAUUAUAUUUAUAAGCAAGUGACCAACAAUAGUUUACUACUGAUAUUUUGUGAUAUUUUUUGUGAUAUUUUUUGAGACCUUUAACAUUAUUCUGUGAAGUGGUAUACUACUGUUACUAGUUCUGAAACUUCAAACAAAGUAGGCGCAACAUUGUAAGAGUGAUUAAUAAAGUUGAGAAACAGUGUGUACAUUGAGCAGUAUGACAAUCAGGUUCAGCAUAUAAUACAAUCAGAUUCACAAUCAGGUUCACGAGAAACAUGCUGCAUUCCAAAAAGCCUUAUUAUCUUCUUCACUAAAUAACAAGGCAAAUACAGCAUAUAAAUACAAGUUAUAAGUACAAGUGUGGUAUUAGAUUCAUAACCCAGUUGAGGAGAAACAUGGCACACUUUGUAAGGCCUUCUCACCUUCUUCUCUUUGUUUUCUUUCUCUCAUCACUAGAAUCCAUUCUUGCAACAAGACGAGAGGGGGAAGCUCUUGUGAAGUGGAAGAAUAGCCUAGCCCCUUCUUCUUUUCUCCACUCUUGGUCACUCUCCAAUCUCGAAAAUCUUUGCAACUGGACUGGCAUUACUUGUAACUCUGCAGGUUCAGUCUCUGAGAUUGACCUUUGUGAGAAACAACUUGAUGGAAUGCUGUCCGAGUUUGGUCUCACUUCAUUUCCAAAUCUCAACAAUCUCACCCUCGCAGACAACUUCUUCUCAGGUCCAAUACCACCAGCCAUUGAGAAUUUAACACAGCUUCAAUAUCUUGAUUUAAGCAUGAAAAGUCUUAAUGGUCCCAUUCCGUUCCAGGUUAGCCAUCGUCAGAGCUUGCUCAUCUUAGACCUGUCACAGAAUGCAUUGCAAGCUUCAAAUUGGUCCAAUUUCUCUCCCAUGCCUCAGUUGCGCUUCCUCAAGCUCAGUAGCAAUCAUCUUGUGUCGAAAUUCCCAAAUUUUAUAUCCAGUUCUCAUAGCCUGACUUACCUCAACCUCUCAUAUAACAUUGGAAACCUCAAAAAAUAUAUAUUUAUAUAUUUAUAAUUAAAAAAUUGAAUUACUUAAUAUAUUAAAAAAUUGAAUAAAAUUUUAUAUAUUUUAUUAAAAAAUUGAAUAAAAAUUGAAUAAAAUUGAAUAAAAUUGAAGUACACGAAAAGGUACACGACACGAAAUACACGACUGAGAAGUCGUGUCGGUUUUGUGUUUACCCUUCGGGUACACGACACGAGGUACACGAAAUAAAUAAAUAAAUAUAUAUAUAUAUAUUUACCCUUCGGAUUAAGAGUUGGUCGCGGACAAAUUCAAAGUUUCCCAAUUAUCCUUUAUUUUAUGUAACUUUGCUUAUGUUUAAGCCUAAAUUUGGACAAUAUUUGUAAAAUAUUAAUAUUUCGUGUACUAAUUCGUUACCAGUUUCGUGUAUUUUUUCGUGUAUAUUUCGUGUUUUCGUGUUUUCAUGUACUAUUUCGUAUCGUGUCGUUUUCGUGUACAUGAAAAAAUUCGUGUACUACAGUUCGUGUCGUUUUUACCUGUUUCUAAAUCGUGUCGUGUUCGUGUUUACAAUCGUGUACACGAAUUGAAUUCGUGUCGUGUUCGUGUAUACCCACCAGAUACACGAAACACGAAAGUACACGACACGUUUAUACACGACACGAACGAUUUGCCAGGUCUANGAAACACGAAAGUACACGACACGUUUAUACAUGACACGAACGAUUUGCCAGGUCUAUUCAAACCUAGCAAGUAACCAAGAGGGGGCAAACUCCACCAGAGACAAAUCAAAGACCAUACCUGAGUAUUGCCAACAUAACAUUACAAACUGGCAGGUGAAAAAUAUGUGAAUAAGGUCUUCGUCACCAGAGUUACACAUGGGACAGUCAAGAGAAAGAUUUACUCCCUUAGAUUGUAAUCGACUUUUCACAGGCACAUUAUUCCUGCAAAAACGCCAUAAAAACACUUUGAUCUUAAGAGGAACCUCCAACUGCCAGAGUUUCUUCCACCCACUAGAUUGUGUAACAGUGCCAGUGCCAAUAUUUUGGGCAUGCCAAAACUGGUAACCUGUUUUCACAGAAUUUUGGCCGUUAGUAGUCUUUGACCAAGCUAGAUGAUCCACGGUCGACCUAUAGGGAACAGAAGUUUUUAAAAAUUAUGUAAUUCAUUCAAUUCCGUAUCAGACAAUACAUCUUAUCAUCGGUGAUAAUGGAAAUAGUGUAGAUGUUUGACCUAGUCCAUGUUUGACAACCAAUAUAAUAAGAAAUAAAUUCUUAUUUUUCUAAAAAAUAUAUUUUUGUAUAUAAAUGUUAAAGAGAUAUUUCUUAUUUGUUGUUUGAAAAAAGUAAAGACUUAUUUCAGAAUAAAUAAAAAUUAUUGUACAUUCUCUUUAUUUUUAAAAAUAAGUUUGGUCAAAUCGCCCAUAAUUCUCGUAAUUCAAAAGCCCAUUAUUUUUUUUUUUCUUGCUAAUUGAUCAGCACACGCACACGUUUCCAACUUCCCGCAAAGGGUACCGGAGUACCACCACACCGACGCUUUGUUGGGCCCAAUAAUUGGCUGAAGUUGAACGGGGCUUUCUGCCUCCGCUGGACCCCAGUUGGGAGGACUCUUUCCAAGUCUUUCGGAGACUCUUUCCCAUUGACUCCAACUUUCCAGGGUGUAUACAAAUUUUUUGAAAGAGGGUGUAUACAAAUUAUUCACGGCCAUCAAAUUAACCAGCGUAGCUGGUGAACAAAUAUUAUUGUUUAUUAUAAUUUUAUUUAAUUUAAAUGUGAUUAUAAAGAACAUAAGAGGACGUUUGAAAGUGUGGGUCUUAUUUCAAACAGUAGAUUUCAAAAAAUAUGAUUUCAAUUGUUAUUUAAAAUUCUUAAAUUUAUAUUAUAUUAAAAUGUUCUUAUCUAUACUAUACUAUUAAAACCGAAACAUUAAAAGUUUGGUCGGUCGGUACUUGGGCCGAUAUAUGGGCCUAUCUAUAUAACUAAUUAUUUUUUUUUAAUUUUGGGCCGAAAUACAGGCCUGUCUAUAUAAUCAAUUAUUCUUUUUAACUAAAAUAUGUUAUCUUUUUUACUAUUAAAGCCAAAACAUUAAAAAUUUGAUCGGUCGGUACUUGGGCCGAAAUAUGAGCGUAUCUAUAUAACUAAUUAUUUUUAUUUUUUUUUAUUUUUGGCCGAAAUACAGGCCUAUCUAUAAAAUCAAUUAUUCUUUUUAACUAAAAUAUGUUAAUUUUUUUUACUAUUAAAGCCGAAAUAUUGAAAGUUUGGUCGGUCGGUACUUGGGCUUCUAGGCCGAAAUAUAGGCCUAUCUAUAUCAUCAAUUAUUCUUUUAAACUAAAAUAUGUUAUCUUUUUUACUAUUAAAAUCGAAACAUUGAAAGUUUGAUCGGUCGGUACUUGAGUCGAAAUACGGGCCUAUCUAUAUAACUACUUAUUAUUUUUAACUUGGGCCGAAAUACAGGCCAAUCUAUGUAAUCAAUUACGCGGUAUUCUUUUUAACUAAAAUAUGUUAUUUUUUUAACUAUUAAAGUUGAAAUAUUGAAAGUUUAGUCGCUCGAUACUUGAGCCGAAAUACGGAUCUAUCUAAAUAACUAAUUAAUUUUUUUUAACUUUGGAUGGAAAUACAGCCCUAUCUAUAUAAACAAAUAUCUUUUUAACUAAAAUAUGUUAUCUUCUUUAUACUUUCUAACUAAAAACUCAAUCUUCUAAAUGAACAUGGAAGAAUAUAGUAAUUAUCUUUUUAACUAAAACAAAUUAUCGUCUAUUAAAUCAAAUUAUAACAAACUAUCCAUAAACAUCCUUAAUUUAUAACAAAUUAUUAAAUAUUUUUUAUCAUCUACUAAAUCAAAACAUUAAAAAUUAGAUUACCAUUAUGGAUCAGUAUUUGAAUUACGCUUCUCUUUAACUUAUAAUAUGUUUUAUACUAUAUUAUUAACUAUUAAUAACUAAAUAUUAAAACGCUGAUUGGGUUGUUUCUAUCUGGGUUUACGGGUCUCCUCAAAUUAUAAUCCCUCCGUUCUUAAAUAUCUGCCUUUUGACUUUUUGGCACGCAUGUUAAAGUGUUUUGAAUUUAUAGUAAAAAUAUUAUUUUUAAAUUUCUUUUUCUGAAUAAAAAUUUUAUAUCAAUACUUUUAUUCAUAAAAAGAAAUAUUUGAAAAUAACAUUUCUAGCUAUGUGGUCAAAAUAUCUUAAAAUGUGUGCGAAAAAGUCAAAAGGCAUAUAUUCAAGAACGGAGGGAGUAACAUGUAAAAAAAAUUAUUUUAACAUUAUCAUUAAAAAAUUAUAUAUUUGACCUAAUUAUAAAUUAACUAUUUGAAGGAAUAAACUAUUAAGAAUUUAUUUAGCUGCUAAAUAAAAGUUUUUUUAAUAACAUUAUUCUAUCACAAUUUUACUUUCAAUAAAAUUCGUUAAAUCUAAAAUAUAUGCGAUGAAAUAACAAAUAUUAAAACCGCCCGUGCAUUGCACGGGUUUUAAGCUAGUUCUAAUUAAUGAGUCACUAUUCGUAUUCUCAAGCAUGUUAGUUUGUUAAAAUUUAAAAUUUCAAAUGAAAUUAGGCUAAAAGACCAUAAUAUCAAAUCAAAAUCUCAUUAUCCAAUAUAUUGGUGGGCAAAAAUAUUAAACCUGGCUAUUCAUUAAUAUUGGUUCUUUAUUCAAAUUAUGUCAAAUUUAUAUAAAAUUUCGAAAAUUAUUUAUGAAUAAGAGUCGGCAUUCAUAUAUUUAUUAAGGAUACAAGUGAGAAAAUGUUAUUAAAUUAAUAUUUUUUAAUAUACGUAAGUUUUUUAAAAUAAAUUUGUAGCGUGGGACGGGAGUAUUAGACUGAUUCUGGCUUGGAGUGAAUCAGCCCAUAAAGUUUACAGGGUAGAUGACCAUUCUUAAAUCUUAAAGAAUCUUACGGUGACAGCUAACUGAACGACUCGGUUUCAGAAGUGCUGAAAAGUUUCGACGUAAACUACAAUUUGCCUAGCAUGUAAUUUCCAUGCAUUUUCUCGUUACGAGUAGGUUUGUCCGGAAGUACAAUUCAAAAUAGAGUGCUGUUAAAAAAAAUUGAGUUACUUAUUCAAUAACUUUUUUGAUAUUUAUAUAUUUUUAAUUAUAAUAAAGAUACUAGUGAUUAUGGUUAGCUUUUGGAGUACUUUUGGAGUACUUGGAAAUUUUCUUUUCGAGAAAAACGAGAGUACCUAUUUCAAUUUUUUACCAAAAAUUAUAAUUGAAAACAACGGACUUUUAUACUUAUCAUAACAAUUUUUAACAUCUUGUUUAGAAAUAACCUGUUGUUGUAUUAUGCAAAAGUAAUAUCACUAGUUUCUAUAUCCGUAUUCUAAUGAUAAUAAAAACAUCUCUAAUUCAUUAAAACUCUUACAUAGAAAUUGAUAAAAAAAGAAGAUAUAAAAUAAUUUAUUAAAAAUAUAUCAAAGUUUUUGCACUCGGUUAUAAUUAUUGUGUAAUUUUUUUUUUCAAUUCCAAGAUAUUGUUAUAAGAAAAUUUUACAUCAUAUAUAUAUUACAAAAAAAAUUAAUGUAUUAUAUAUAUAUAGGGUCCUACUCUGGUACAAACCUUUUUAGCGUACAAACUACAAACCAAAAUUAAAAAGUCUCUAAAUCAAAUCAGAAUAUAGCACAUAUGGUAUGGAAAUUGAUCGUUGCGAGAUGAACAAAAAUAAUGAUUAUAAAGUUUGUAUUUGAGCCAUUAUAUAUAUACUUACAAUAAAAGUAAUAAUAUAUUAUAUUCUAAAUAUAGUUAACCACUGCAGUUGGUCGCUUAUAAAUAGAAGUGUGCAUUAUAGGAUGAAACGUACAUCAAGCUGAGGAGAAACAUGGUACACUCUGCAAAGCUAUAUCAUCUUCUUUUACUUGUUUUCUUUUCCUCCUUACUUCCAUCCAUUCUAUUGGCAACAAGACGAGAAGGAGAAGCUCUUGUGAAAUGGAAGAAUAGCCUAGCCCCGUCUUCUUUUCUUGAUUCUUGGUCACUCUCCGAUCUCGAUAAUCUUUGCAACUGGACUGGCAUUACUUGUAACUCUGCAAGUUCAGUGUCUCAGAUAAAUCUUUCCCAAAAACAGCUCGAUGGAACGCUGUCCGAAUUUGGUUUCACUUCAUUUCCGAAUCUCGAAAAUUUGACUAUAAGAGACAACAGCUUCUCCGGGCUAAUACCACCAGGCAUUGCGAAUUUAACACAGCUUCAAUACCUUGAUUUAAGCUACAAUUAUUUCAGUGGUUCCAUUCCGUACGAGGUUAGCCAUCUUCAGAGAUUACGUGUUUUAGACUUGUCGUAUAAUGAAAUGCAGGCUCCAAAGUGGUCUGACUUCUCUCCCAUGCCUUUUAUGAGCAUCCUCAACCUACGGGCCAAUCAUCUUGUGUCGAAAUUCCCAGAAUUUAUAUCCAAUUCUUUUAGCCUGACUUUCCUUGACCUUGGAGACAACAAGUUCACCGCUGAUCAUCUUGUGCUCGAAUCAGAAUUUACCAAUUUGCAAAAUCUUGAAACGCUGUUUCUUGAUGGUAAUUCUUUUGAGGGGACGUUUCCACCGAAUAUAUUCAGGCUUUCUAAAUUAAAAUACCUUUCCCUAUCUGCUAAUAAGUUUUCAGGUUCUGUGCCGGAUGACAUAGGGAUGCUUCGUGAUCUUGAAUCCCUUUAUCUUGGUAACAAUUCUUUCAAAGGGAUGCUUCCACAAAAUAUUUUCAGACUUCCCAAAUUACGGGAUCUUUCCCUCUGGGGUAACAAUUUUUCAGGUCUUAUUUCAGAUGAUAUAAGGAUGCUUUCUAACCUGGAAUCUCUUGAUCUUAAUGGUAAUUCUUUUCAGGGUCCGCUUCCACCAAAUUUCUUCAAGCUUUCCAAAUUAAGACAUCUCGCCCUCUCAAAUAAUAAAAGAGUAUUUAAAGGAAGUAUUCCUCUUGGGUUGGGGCUUUUGACUAACCUUGACUACUUAUGUCUUAAUUCCAAUUAUCUCACUGGCUACAUUCCAUCUGACAUUGGAAAUCUAAAGCUACUAGAACAUCUUGAUCUCAGUUUUAAUCAAUUGACCGGACCGCUCCCAAAGAUCAUUUCUAACCUCACUAAUCUAACGCGUCUUGGUCUGAAUGAUAAUUGGUUUUCCGGCAGUAUUCCAAGUGACUUCUUGGAAAACUCUACAUUAUUAUUUUACAUUGAUCUUUCAAACAAUGAUCUGUCUGGAAGCAUUCCUAAGGAAUUCAACGUUCAUCCGACAUUGGAUUAUAUCAAUUUAAGUGGAAACCGUUUUAGAGGUCUACUUCUCUCUUUAAAUUUUUAUGUUCGUUUUGUAUAUGCUAGUAACCUGAUUAUUACACUUUUACUGAAGCUUCAACAAUUCUAACUGCAGGCAAGCUUCCAGCAACGAUUUGCAAUGCUACAUCCCUUUCGACUCUUGUUCUGUCAAAUAAUGAAUUCAGCAAUGCACUUCCACAUUGUUUGGGGAAUCUUGCUGAUCAACUUCUUUCCAUUAAUCUUGCUAAUAAUUUGUUUCGAGGACCAAUACCAACAACUUUCUCUAAGAGUUGUCGGCUGACAUAUCUAAACAUGUACAACAAUCACUUUGAAGGGUUGUUGCCGCAAUCUCUGGCAAACUGUAAGCACCUACAAAUUCUUGAUAUUGGAAACAAUGAAAUAGGUGGUAAAUUCCCGUCAUGGCUGUUUACUCUUGGAGAGCUGGAAGUCCUAGUCUUGCGAUCAAAUAGAUUCCACGGUCCAGUCAAUGGAACAAGCUCAGCAAAUUUAUUCCCCAAGUUGCGGAUUGUUGAUCUCUCCAACAAUCAAUUUACAGGCGAUUUACCAAUUCAGUAUUUUAAGAAUAUGAAACCAACAGAUAACCACUAUAGUUAUUUUUAUACAGAAAGUGGUUUUUACUAUCAUCAAGCAUCGAUCUCAUUAACUGUGAAAGGAAGAGAGUAUGAAGUGAAAAAGAUCCUUCAUAUUUAUACAGCCAUAGAUGUGUCAUGCAACAAAUUUCAGGGAGAAAUUCCCGAGGUUAUUGGAGAACUUAAAUGGCUUGCAUUGCUCAAUCUAUCACAUAAUAGUCUUAUUGGACCUAUCCCAUCACAGCUCGGAAAUAUGGAAUCACUUUUAUCUCUAGAUUUGUCUUCAAAUCAUUUGACAGGGGGUAUUCCCGAUCAGUUGAUUAGGUUGACAUUUCUAGAGGUCUUGAACCUCUCGGAAAAUCAUCUGACAGGGCCUAUCCCCCAAAAAGGACAGUUCAGCACAUUCAACAAGGAUUCUUACCUAGGUAACUUUGCCUUGUGUGGAUUACCUUUAACUAAUAACUGUACACACACUGUGUCACCACCACAAGAAGGCGGAACUGGUGACAAUGAUGCCUAUGAUGAACCCGAUUGGGAAGUGAUCCUCAUGGGAUAUGGAUGUGGACUAAUAUGCGGAUUGUCCACAGGGUACGUUGUCUUCACAUUCAGAAAGCCUCAGUGGUUUAUGAGAUACACUGAAAGCGUGCAACAGAAGUUGAUGAGAUGAUGCAUGUUGAGUACCGUUCAAUCAUGAAGCACAACUGGAAACAAUGUUAUCUUAGGAAAACAUGUGUUCUGAACCAGUAGUGUUUGCACAAAAUUUGUGGUGCUAUGUAAUACUUAUAUAAUUGUACGUAUGAUUAUUGAUUAGUCGUUGAGAAAAUGCAUUUUAUUUCAGUGUCAAUGAUAAUCUACAUGUUUUGGAUACUUCCAGCUUCUCAUACUAAUAUAGGAACCACUUGAAAAAUUUUGGACAGGCUCUGAGGAUGCUAAUGCUGCUGUUUAGUUUCUACCGCGGAAUUGACUUUAGCAUAUACUCGUAUGACAUAUUACUAGAUAUAUGGUUGUUAAAUAAAAUUAUCUUUUUGUGGAAUAAAUAGGAAAGCAAAAUCAUAGAAUAAUGUAUGUUAUAUAGGAAGGUAUUGUCCUCUUAGAUAGGUAUCAUUUAUGCCUCAUUGGCAUGUCUCAGAAAACUUUUGGGUUAACACAAUGUUUACUUAGAGCAUUGCCAUUCCUUAAAUAUAAUAUAAAAUAUUGGAUCUUAGUGACUUAAGAUGAUAAUAGCUAUUCGCACCUCCAACAAUAUUCCUUAUAUUCAUUCCUUAUAUACUAUUUUAUUAUUAAAAGUUACCAUUAUUGCAAUAGGUGAAAAGAGAGAACAUGUUUGUAUUCAAAAUUUAUUGUAAAAUAAUAUUUAGGAGAGGAGAGAGGUUACCUAAAGAUAAGGCAUGGCUAGUUAUUUAGAGAAUCACUAGGAUACUGUUGGAGUGGAUUAUUUUCCCAUAUUACUCAUAUUUUGGUUUAAGAUUCCUAAUAGGGAAGCUGCUGGAGUUGCUCUUAGAGCAUCUCCAAGAGAUUCUUCAUUUAAGCUCCUAACUUGAGAUUUGAGUAGGGAGAGGAAAAAUGUUGCUCCAAGAGACUCUUAAGUGGCUCUUAAAUCACUAAGAGCCUCUUGUUUCUCUCUCCUCUCUCCUCAAAGUUAAGAGCCACCACAUUGCUCCUAACUUAUUUUUUCACAAUAAAAAAAUCUUUUCCUCCAAUUCAGCUCCAUCUUUCCAUCUCUUUUGUUAUAGUGGAGCCCAAUAUAUGAAUAAAAUAUGAAAUAGAGAAGAGAUGUAGAGAGUAUUGUUGGAGUUUACACUCUUAACUUUGUCUUAAAUUGCUAAGAGCUAUUUUUUUAUAUUAUAUUUAGGAGCCAAUAAGGAGGCUCUUGGAGAUGCUUUUAGUACUAAUUGUUAGAAUAUGAAAAUGCAGUUAUGAACUAUUAUGCUAGAGAGAGAAAAAUUCAACAAACUUCAUUUCUGUAAACUACAACUAUUAGUCUGUUACAUUGCUGAAAGCUACAUUUAUACAUUUACAGUUUACAACAAACUAUGAAACUGAUUUUCCCGCGUCCUCCUCACUUGUCCACGUGGCCUGACUGGCUUGGUGUCCUUGACACUCUUUAUUAUUGCUAAUAUAUACUUAACACUAAUACCUCAAAGCAGGGUAUAAAUUCAAUAGCACAGCUUCUGGAUAAUGGAAAUUUAGUUAUCCAGAGGUCUUGGUUUUACAUAUCACUUGUAUAUUAUGUCUCGGUCUCAUUGAAGCAUACCAAACGAGAUUUUGGGUUUGUUAAUAUUUUUUUAGUCCAAAUUUGAAUAAUACUGUUAUGCUUAUUCACACGGUAGACGUGUUUUUAUUAAAAUACUGCAACUGAAAUUGAUGAAAACAUGCACAAAGCAUAGCAGACGAAAGACUUGAGGAGAUAUUGUCUUAGGCGAUGCAAUACGUUCUAAUAUAAUGCUAUAUUAUGCAAUCUCGUUUAAUACUUUCAUCAUUAUUCUCCAAGAUGUCUGAACAUGUAUUUUCAAAGAAUUCUCAGUUCACCUUUAGUCUUAUAGCGACAUUUUGAAGGCACUCUCAACUUACACCCUAUAUAUACACGUACGGUUCACUUCAGUACAAAGAUUUUAUGAUACAACUCUCAUAUUAUGAACUAGUUCUGUCGAAUACAUGAAUAUUGAUCAAUCAUUUGAACUCGAGUUUCCCAGCUGGCCAGAUACCCAGAUUAUUAGCCAUGCAAAACAUGCAGAACCACUAGUAAUGCAGAAAAACAAUAUAUUAGUUUUCUCCGGUGUUACAGAAAUCAGGAAUCGGACCUAAUCGGUUUAGCUACCGAUUUAGGGAUUAAUAGGAAAUAGGGGAUUAAUCGGAGUGAAAAUCGGAUUUAUUUUAAUAUUAAAAUAUUAUUUAAUAUUUAGUUAUUAUUAUAUUAGCUAUUUAGUAACUAAUAUAUUUACUAUAUUCAUAAACUCUAUAAUUAUUCGUAUUGAAAGUAAUAUAGUAUUUUAAUUUUAAUAAUUUACUAUAUAUACUUCGAUUAAGAAAUAUAUAUAUAAGGAUUAAUCGGAUUUCAAAAAUCGAAUCGGUGGCCAACCUUGCAGAGGAUUAAUCGGGGAUUAAUUGGUUGAAUCGGGGAUGUUUAGAACACUGGUUUUCUCCAAAUAUCACUACAACAAAACUGCCAUUUUACGACGGAAAUCUAAUAUUCUAAAGGGUUACGACCAAACUAUGUCGGUGGACUUUAUUUUAAUUUACCGUUUAACAGUAGUUAAUUUUGGAUAUCUACACUUGCGAUGGAAAACAUACGACAGUCUACUUCGUGAGAGAAAAUCAUUUUAUUUUAUUUUUUAGCGCCAGAAUUUUAAUACUGAAAUAUUAUAUAUAUGAAGGAAACUGAUCUCUAAUGUUUUCAGCUUGCUCAUCCAUCGUAAGUAAUCCGUCGAAAAAGUUAGUUUGUUGUGGUGGUGUCUUAUCAUGAGAGAAAAUGAUAAUAUCGCAAAAUAUUUGCAACUGAAAGAUAAAUUAUAAUUCUAGAAACCAUUUAGGUAACGAUGCACGAAGUUAUUUUCACUCACUUAGAAUUAAUGNUGAAAACAUGCACAAAGCAUAGCAGACGAAAGACUUGAGGAGAUAUUGUCUUAGGCGAUGCAAUACGUUCUAAUAUAAUGCUAUAUUAUGCAAUCUCGUUUAAUACUUUCAUCAUUAUUCUCCAAGAUGUCUGAACAUGUAUUUUCAAAGAAUUCUCAGUUCACCUUUAGUCUUAUAGCGACAUUUUGAAGGCACUCUCAACUUACACCCUAUAUAUACACGUACGGUUCACUUCAGUACAAAGAUUUUAUGAUACAACUCUCAUAUUAUGAACUAGUUCUGUCGAAUACAUGAAUAUUGAUCAAUCAUUUGAACUCGAGUUUCCCAGCUGGCCAGAUACCCAGAUUAUUAGCCAUGCAAAACAUGCAGAACCACUAGUAAUGCAGAAAAACAAUAUAUUAGUUUUCUCCGGUGUUACAGAAAUCAGGAAUCGGACCUAAUCGGUUUAGCUACCGAUUUAGGGAUUAAUAGGAAAUAGGGGAUUAAUCGGAGUGAAAAUCGGAUUUAUUUUAAUAUUAAAAUAUUAUUUAAUAUUUAGUUAUUAUUAUAUUAGCUAUUUAGUAACUAAUAUAUUUACUAUAUUCAUAAACUCUAUAAUUAUUCGUAUUGAAAGUAAUAUAGUAUUUUAAUUUUAAUAAUUUACUAUAUAUACUUCGAUUAAGAAAUAUAUAUAUAAGGAUUAAUCGGAUUUCAAAAAUCGAAUCGGUGGCCAACCUUGCAGAGGAUUAAUCGGGGAUUAAUUGGUUGAAUCGGGGAUGUUUAGAACACUGGUUUUCUCCAAAUAUCACUACAACAAAACUGCCAUUUUACGACGGAAAUCUAAUAUUCUAAAGGGUUACGACCAAACUAUGUCGGUGGACUUUAUUUUAAUUUACCGUUUAACAGUAGUUAAUUUUGGAUAUCUACACUUGCGAUGGAAAACAUACGACAGUCUACUUCGUGAGAGAAAAUCAUUUUAUUUUAUUUUUUAGCGCCAGAAUUUUAAUACUGAAAUAUUAUAUAUAUGAAGGAAACUGAUCUCUAAUGUUUUCAGUUUGCUCAUCCAUCGUAAGUAAUCCGUCGAAAAAGUUAGUUUGUUGUGGUGGUGUCUUAUCAUGAGAGAAAAUGAUAAUAUCGCAAAAUAUUUGCAACUGAAAGAUAAAUUAUAAUUCUAGAAACCAUUUUGGUAACGAUGCACGAAGUUAUUUUCACUCACUUAGAAUUAAUGCUAAAUAUUUGCAACUGAAAGAUAAAUUAUAAUUCUAGAAACCAUUUAGGUAACGAUGAGCGGAGUUAUUUUCACUCACUUAGAAUUAAUGAUAAAUAUUUGCAACUGAAAGAUACAUCAUAGUUCUAGAAAAGGAUCCACGAAGUUAUUUUCACUCACUUAGAAUUAAUUGUAAGUUAUUGUGAGUUUUUGAAUAUGAAUUAUCUCAAAUUUUAUUAAAACACAUGUUGAUUCUUAUAUACAAAUUUGCCUAUCUAAUAUUAUAAUAUUUAUGGAGAAGGUGUAUGAACAAUUGUGUAGAUAAUUAUACUUUACAAAGCAUACUUCUGCUAGCUGAAUUUUGAUUAAAAAAAUCGAAAGGGAUAGGUCUGGGUCUCUCCAAGUCUUUGAGGACUCAUUCCAAGUCUUCUGAUGAGGACAAAAUAUAUUGCUGGAAGUCUUUCAGUCCUUCCUAGAGUAUUUUGUGCUCUGCACUGCAUUAUGCAGCUCUCAUAUAACUGACCGCUAACCUCCUUCCAACACUUUGCGAUGCAAAACAGUGGCAUGUUAUAAGUAUUUCCGUAUGUGUAUUUAUUUGGAUAUUAAAGUUGCGUAACAUUUGUGUUGAUAAUUUGCGCAAUGUUGAUGAGGAUUGCUCCCAAGUCUUGGCGGACUCUUUCCAAAUCUUCUGAGGACCUAUGGGUUCAAAUUAGUCCAUUAAAAUGAAUACCAUUGUUUUGUGAUUAAGUUGUAUGGUUAAGAGCUUAUCCUCUGUCGUCCCAGGUCCUGGGUUCGACCCUGGCUCACCCCGAGAGUUUCGUAGAACAGAUACUCAUUAUAAGGCUAUAAGCCAUAUUUGUCAAAAAAAAAGUUGUAUAGGCAAUAUGCAUUGCAAAAUCAGCAACAGAAUAUAUACUAAUUAAUUACCUGAUAUCGGUUUGAACAAAUACUUUCUAUGUAGUUGUAAUAUUAGUCUUCUUUAAAAGUUAUCAUGAGGGAAGAUAUAUAUUGUGAUGCGGGGGAAAUAUUGUAACCGAAAAUAAUUAUAAUUCUAAAAAUUUCCAUUAUACACUUUUUUUAGUGUUCGUACGUGGUAAGUACUUCAGACGACAUUUCUCGCGUAUGCCUCCAAUUAAGAAUUUGAUGUUCAGCCUAGUCCUAAACUAAAAUUAUUAUAAAUGUGUAAUUCAAAAUUAUAUUGCUGGUAGGCUCUGAGAUUAACCUUAAACAAAAACAACUCAGUGGAACGCUUUCCGAGUUUGGUUUCACUUCAUUUCCAAAUCUCAACAAUCUCAACAUAGCACGAAACAACUUUUACGGUCCAAUACCACCAGCCAUUAAGAAUUCUAUUUUAAUAUGUAACAUUCUAUUUUCUAAAAUAAUAAAUAUUUUUUUUAAUAGUUGGUCAAAAAUUAGUCAAUUUGACUUCUCAAAAAGCAGAAAGGACAUGUAAAUUGAGACGGGGGAGUAUUUAACGGAAUUCAACGAAAGGUGUGCGUAUCGUUCUUGAAAUGUAAAAAUAGGUGGUGCAAUUCGAGUUUCCAAACCUAUGGGUACAAUAUCGUUUUUAAACGUAAGCUAGGGGGUCCAAAUUACAAUUACAUGUAUAUAUAGUGACUUAACGGAGUGCAUAUAGUUAACGGAAGUUAACGGCAGGGAGUGCAUCUCGGGCUUGAAUAGUAAAGAUAAAAGGUGCGAGUUGAGUUUCUCAAAGUAUGAGUACAAUAUCGUUUUUGAAUGAUAGUUAAGGGGUGCGAUAUGCAAUUACCUCAAAAAAAUAUGAUCAUUAGUAUAUUAUAUUAGUAUCCACACACUUAUAUCUCAAAAUCUAUCCUCCAAAAUUAUCAUCUAUAUAGGCUAGCCACAUAAAAUAAAAAUUUAAAGAUAUUAGAUAUUUAGUUAUUUCAAUUAUAUAAUUUUUCCACGCAAAAUAACAAAAUAUCUUUAUCAACUUAUUAUUUAUGAGUUAAAUAUUCAACUUAUAUAAUUCGGGCAUGCUGGGUAUAAAUAGAAGUGUAACGCCUAAUUUCCGGGGUCUGGGAGUAGUUAGCGGGGUAUGAGAGAGCAGGCUAUUUAGAAGUCUUGGUCAUGAAAACUUCCAAGCUAACUUCGACAACGGAAUCUUCUGAGGCUACUAUUCUAAAGCACGCAUAAUCAUUGUAUUCAUUUUCCUCUAACACUGGCAAAAAGUCUAUUUAAGCAAAUGAAAUACAAACAACUGAGUGGAAUGCUGACCGAAAGUCUUUUUGGCUGAGCUUAUGAUUUAUUAGUACAUGAUUAAUAUGAUAAGCUAAGCUGAGAGCAUAAGAUAUCGUGUGUAUAAUUUUGUGUUUAUUAAUGACUUAUAAAUUAUUAAAAAUAUAAUAAGAAAAAUAAAAAUGAUUUAUAACUAAUUUAUGUUUUAUGAGUAAUUUUUAUUAGAAAAAAGUUUUAAAAAAUUAUUUCACUGAAAAAAAAUCCUCCAACUAACUUUUGGCUCUAAGUCAGUUUUUGAUUUAUUUAUGAUUUUAAGUCGGAUUCUGAUUUUUACACAAACAGAAAAUUUCCAGCUUAAAGUUAAAAACAACUUUAAGCUCCGGUUUUAAACCUCUGAGUUUGGUUUCACUUCAUUUACAAAUCUCAACAAUUUCACCAUCAAACACAAUGACUUCUCCAAUCUCCGGUCCAGUUCACCAGCCAUUGAGAAUUUGGCACAACUUCAAUUCCAUACCAGGUUAGUCGGCUUCGGAGGUUACACGCCUUAGACCUGUCAAAUACAAAUUUCAAUCUCCAAACUGGUCCGAUUUAUCUUCUAUGCAUUUUGUUGAGUCCGGCUCAUCUAAAACCUGAAGGUGUUAGAAGAAACCCGAAUGAAUCUUAUAUAUGAAUCUUAUAUAUGCUAUAUUUAAACAAUUCUGAGCACACUCAACCUUGGUAUUAAUAAUAUCGUGUCGAUAAUUCCAGAAUUUAUAUCUAAUUCUCAUAGCCUAACUUUCCUUGACCUUUCCAUAUAACAAAUUUACAGUUAAUCCUGUGCUUGAAUCAGUAUUUGCAACCAAAAUUAUGCAAUUAUAGUGCAGGUAGUCUUCCAGUUCUUCCUACUCUAUGCUAUAAUUUCAUUUGAUACCAAUAAUUUUACGCUCUACACUCCAGGAUGAGCUCGCAUAUUAUUGACAGCAAUAAUCCUUCCAACACUUUGUGAUGCAAAGCAGGGGGGCGCCUGUAUUUUCAUAUGUCUAUAUUAUUGGAGAUUAAAGUUGUGUGGACAAUUGUGUUGAUAAUUUGCCCAAUGUUAACAGGGAUAGGUUGGCUUAAAAAUAUAUAAGGUCACUUGUGCAUCGCUGUUCACACACUUAGACCCUGUUUGUGUAAGCUUUAAGUCCGGGCUCAAGCAAUUUCGACUUAAUCACUUCCGAGGACCAAUACCAACAGCCUUCUCAAAGAGUUGCCAGCUAAGAUAUCUAAACAUGUAUGACAAUCAGUUAGAAGGACUAUUGCCCCGAUCUUUGUCAAACUGUAAGCACUUAAAAAUUCUUGACAUCGGGAACAAUAAAAUGGGUGGUACAUUCCCUUCAUGGCUAUUUAAUCUCGGAGAGCUAGAAAUCCUAGUCUUGCGAUCAAAUAGACUGUACGGUCCUGUAAGUGGAAGGAGCACAUCACAUCCAUUCCCCAAGUUGCGGAUUCUAGAUCUCUCCAACAAACAAUUCGCGGGCUAUUUGCCAAUUCUAAACUUUAAGAAUAUGAAACCAGCUGCUGAUGAUAACGCGUAUAGUUAUAAAAAUAAGUCACAAGGACUAAUUAAUUACAUCUAUGAAGCAUCUAUCUCCUUAAAUGUGAAAGGAACAGAGUAUGAAGUGAAGAACAUUCUUCAUAUUUACACAGCCAUUGAUCUAUCGUGCAACAAAUUUCACGGAGAAGUUCCAAAGAGAGCUUAAAUGGCUUGCAUUGCUCAAUCUAUCUCAUAAUAGUCUUGCCGGACAUAUGUUCUGAAUUAUUAUUAUGCUUUCAUCAAUAUUUUCAAACAUUUCUCAAUAUGUAUUUCAAAGAAUUCUCAAGCCCUGGAACAUUUGGACCGGUCCUUUCGAAGCCAAGAUGCCCAGGUUAUCAUGGCCAUGCACAAAAAUGAAUAAAUUAUUCCAAGUCUUCCAUGACUCAUUCCAAGUCUUCGGAGGAGACCCUGAGCACAAAGAUGCUCAGGGUCUCCCCAAGCCUUCCAGGACUCAUUCCAAGUCUUCGGAGCACGGCCUCGACUCGCCCUUUCAAAGAUGUGAUAGUAGCUCGAGAGUGAUAUAAAUUAUUUUCCGGACACUAAAAAUAAAUAAUCAGAUCAAAUUAAUCAAUAAUAAAUUAAGGAUGAAAUCCAAAUUAAUCCUAAAUUUUGAUAAUAUAUAAAAAUUAUAAUUAUAAAUUAUAUAACCAAAUCAGAAUUGAAUUAACUUCCUUGGCACUAAAUUGAUAAGGAAAGUAUAAUAAUUUAAAUUUAAUUGAUGAAAAGUCAAAGUCUUCUAAUAAAUCCAUAAAGAAUAUGAUAAUCAAAAUAACGAAAAUUAUAAUUGAAAAAUCAAAAUCAUUAGUGUAUUGGAAUAGUGUUCACACACUUAUAUAUCAAAAUUUGUGGUCCAAAAACUAUAGCACAAUAUCCUAAAUACACCACAUUAAAUAUUAGUUCAAAAAUAUUCUGUAAAUAAUUGUUUUCAUUCAUCAUUUUGUUAUUUAAAAAACUAAUAAUUUGGGUUGAUGUUAACCUAUAUUUUAAUAUAUAAUUAUAUUAUUUUCGUAUUAUUUUAUUUAACUAGAAACAAUAUUUUUAUCAGACAUCAAUUAUAUUAAAAGAUAUAAUUUUAUUAAAAAAAAUUGAAUUAAAUUAAUAGGAUAACUCUACGCCUCACCAAGUCUACAAGACUCAUUUCAAGUCUACCAAGGACCACUACCUCGGUCCUCAACCAUUGGGAGAUGUGAAAGUAGCUUGAGAGUGACAAAAAUUAUUUUCCUCACAAUAAAAUUUAAUAUCUGAUAUAAAUUAAUUAAAUUAGUUAAUAAUAAAUUAAAACUAAUCAUGAAUUAUGAUAAUAAUUAAAUAAAUUAUAAUUAAAUUAUAUAAAUCAACUCCAAAUGAUACAAAUGACACUAAACCUUAGUUACUUUAUUGGUAAAUAAAUAUAAUAUAAUAAUCAAAUUGAUGAAAAAUCAAAAUCAUCUAAUAAAUUCAUAAAAAAUAUAUGAUCAUUAAUAUAUAUUAUAUUAGUAUCCACACACUUAUAUUUCAAAAUCUAUCCUCCAAACUUAUCAUCUCUGUAAACUAGCCACAUAAAAUAAAAAUUUAAAGAUAUUAGAUAUUUAGUUAUUUUCAUUAUAUAAUUUUUCCACACUAAACAACAAAAUAUCUUUAUCAAAUUAGUAUUUAUGAGUUAAAUAUUCAAGUUAUAAAUCCAGCAUGCAGCGUAUAAAUAGGAGAAACAUGGCACACUCUGCAAAGCCUUCUCACCUUCUUCUCUUUGUUUUCUUUCUCUCAUCACUUGAAUCCAUUCUUGCAACAACACGAGAAGGAGAAGCUCUUGUGAAAUGGAAGAAUAGCCUAGCCCCGUCUUCUUUUCUUGAUUCUUGGUCACUCACUCAUCUCGAUAAUCUUUGUAACUGGACUGGCAUUACUUGUAACUCUGCAGGUUCAGUCUCUGAGAUUUACCUUUAUGAGAAACAACUUGAUGGAAUGUUGUCGGAGUUUGGUUUCACUUCAUUUCCAAAUCUCAACAAUCUCACCCUCGCAUACAACUUCUUCUCCGGUCCAAUACCACCAGCCAUUGAGAAUUUAACACAGCUUCAAUAUCUUGAUUUGAGAAAUAAUUAUCUAGAUGGUCCCAUUCCUUUCCAGGUUAGCCAUCUUCAGAGCUUGCUCAUCUUAAACCUGUCAGAGAAUGCAUUGCAAGCUCCAAAUUGGUCCCAUUUCUCUCCCAUGCCUUUUUUGCGCAUCCUCAACCUCAGUCACAAUCCUCUUGCGUCGAAAUUCCCAGAUUUUAUAUCCAAUUCUCAUAGCCUGACUCACCUUAGCCUUAAUUAUAACGAGUUUACUGGUGAUUUAGCACGUGAAUCAAUAUUUGCCAAUCUGCAUAAUCUUGAAGUCCUCAGUCUUAAUGGCAAUUCUUUUGAGGGGCCAUUUCCACCAGAUAUAUUCAAGCUUUCAAGAUUAAAACGUCUCUUCCUGGCAGUUAACAAAUUUUCAGGUUCAAUUCCCAAUGACAUAAGGUUACUUUGUGAUCUUGAAUACCUAUAUUUAGGCAACAAUUCUUUUGAAGGACCGCUUCCACCAAAUUUAUUCAAGCUUUCGAAAUUAAAGCGUCUUUUUCUUUGGAGUAAUAAGUUUACAGGUUCUAUUUCCAAUGAUAUAGGUUUGCUUUCUGAACUUGAAACCCUCAAUCUUCAAUUUAAUUUUUUUGAGGGGCCGCUUCCCCCACAUAUAUUUAGGCUCUCUAAGUUAACAGGUCUAGAACUCGGAGACAAUAGAAAUUUAUUUGAAGGAAGUAAUAUUCCUAUCGGACUGGGACUCUUGACUAACCUCAGGUACUUAGAUUUACAUUUCAGUAAUCUCAGUGGCUAUAUUCCAUCUGACAUUGGAAACCUGAAGCUACUAGUACUUCUUAGUCUCGGUUCUAAUCAAUUGACUGGACCGCUUUCAAAGAUCGUUUCUAAUCUCACAAAUCUUAUAUUCCUUGAUGUAAGUGAUAAUAGUCUUAGUGGAAAUAUUCAGAGUGACUUGUGGAAAUAUAACCAUCAUCCUACUUUGGAAUACAUCGAUUUUAGUGGGAACCAUUUUACAGGUAUAUUUUUUCUCUAUAGAUCUUUUCCUUUUGUCAUAUGUAACUAAGCUAGUAAUCUGAUUAUUGCAGUUUUACCGAAGUUUCAACAAUCUUGACAGGUGAGCUUCCAACAACAAUUUGCAAUGUCACUUCCCUUUCGGUUCUUGAUUUGUCAAAUAAUGAAUUAAGUGGUGCACUUCCAAACUGUUUCGGGAAUCUUGCUGAUGGAUUGCUUUACAUUAAUCUUGCUAAUAAUCAGUUUCGAGGAACAAUACCAACUACUUUCUCCAGGAGUUGUCAGCUGACAUAUCUAAACAUGGAUAAUAAUGAGUUUGAAGGAUUGUUGCCCCCAUCUUUGGCGAACUGUAAGCACUUGAAAAUUCUUGAUAUAGGCAAUAAUAAAAUAGGUGGUACAUUUCCGUCAUGGCUUUAUGCACUUGGAGAGCUAGAAGUUCUUGUCUUGCGAUCAAAUAAACUCUAUGGUACAAUAAGUGGAAGGAGCAUAGAAGAUCCCUUCCCCAAGUUGCGGAUUGUGGAUCUGUCCAACAAUCAAUUCACAGGCCAUUUGCCAAUUCAAUACUUUAAGAAUAUGAAAUCAACUGAUAAUUUGUAUCGUUAUCAGAAUUCCACAAAAGUUUUUUCUUUCCAUUAUGAAGCAUCUGUCUCAUUAACUGUGAAGGGAACAGAGUAUGAAGUGAAAAAUAUCCUUCAUAUUUACACAGCCAUUGAUCUGUCCUGCAACAAGUUUCAAGGAGAAAUUCCUGACGUUAUUGGAGAGCUUAGAUGGCUUGCAUUGCUCAACUUAUCUCAUAAUAGUCUAACAGGACCUAUCCCAUCAUUGCUGAGAAAUAUGAAAGGACUCCAAUCUUUAGAUUUGUCUUCAAAUCAACUGACAGGGGCUAUUCCACCUCAGUUAACUGCACUGACAUUUCUAGAGGUCUUAAACCUCUCGGGAAACCAUCUUAGUGGAGGGAUUCCUCAGAAAGGACAGUUCAGCACAUUCAACAAUGAUUCUUAUCUAGGAAACUCAGCGUUAUGUGGAUCACCAUUGACGAAGAAAUGUGCAAACACAGCAUCACCUCCACAAGAAGUCGGAAAUGUUGAUGAAGAUGAUGCGGGUGAUGAAUUGACAUGGGAAGCAAUCUUGAUGGGAUAUGGAUGUGGACUGAUAUGUGGAUUGUCAUCUGCGUACAUUGUUCUCAAACUAGGAAAGCCUUGGUGGUUUGUGAGAUAUAUCGAAGUACUGCAAUUGAAGUUGAUGAAAAGAUAUGCAUGAAGAAUGGUACUAGCCGAUCAAGAUGAACUCGAAAGUUGUGGUCCUUGUGGACAUUUCUGAACCAGUAGUGUUCUAUUCUCUUUGUGGCUGCAUAAGUAUUUGGUAUUGUGUAAUGUUCUGUUUGGUCUUGAAUCAUAAUAAUUUUUCUUUCUUCAGGGGUAUUUAUAAUAUAAACCUUGGUAUUGUGUACUAGCUGUAAUAUUCUGUUUGAUCAAUGUUUAUACCAGUAAUUUUAUGCUCCGCACUGCAUCAUGCAGCUCUCAUAUUAUCUUCAUAUGUGUAUUUAUUUGGAUAUUAAAAACAUAUGGGAUAUGUGUUAACAGGGACAGCUCCCAAGUCUUGGAUAGACUCUUUCCAAGUCUUCCGAGGUCCUAUAGGUUUAAAUUAGUCCAUUAUCUGCAUACUAAUUUGUCCAACUGAAAAAUCAAGGAUAUUAUGUAUUAACUGUUUUAAUAACAAUUUACAAGUAUAAAUUUCAUAUAUUUUUUCAUAGAAUAUAAAUUAGUUGACGUACUAAAAUCACUAGUCAAAUUAAUUUAAAUAAAUAUAUUGAAAAGAUGAUAAUAAAAUUAUGGUAAUUUAUCACUACAACAAUUCUGGACAUUAAUUAUAUGUAUACUUAAAUAUAUUGAAAAGAUGAUAAUAUAGUAGAAUACAAAUGGUUAUGAUUCCGUAGUAACUACACCGUCGUAAGUUCACAUAAUUAUAUAAUUAUAGUUAUUUGAAAACGAAAAAUAAAUGAGAAAAUAUAUAGUGACCAAAUAUGAAUCAAUCUAAAAUUUUCAUUAUGGAGAUCGUAAGAAACGUGAUGAAGAACUGGAAUGAGAAUUCCUUACAAAACAUUUGGGUUAUAUUAUCAAUGAUGAAUGUUGUAUAUUAUACCUAUGAUUUCAAGUCUCAUACAAAAUUAUAUUGCUCAUAGUCUUUCGAUCAGUUCUUACUAGUGUAUGCAAUAGUUUCUCAUUCCAUACCAGUUAUUUUAUGCUCUGCACUGCCUUAUGCGCGCAGCUAUCAUAUUACUGACAGCUAACCUCCUUCCAACACUUUGCCAUGCGAAGCCUGAAGAUUAAAGUUAACAGGGAUAGGUCUUCUUCUCUCCCAAGUCUUGGACGGACUCUUUCCAAGUCUUCUGAGGACCCAUCGGCUCAGAUCCGUCCAUUAAAAAUUUAUUAUUGAUUACUUAUUAUUAUUGAUUGAUCUAAGAUUCCAAAGACAUGUUCCCGUAAUUUUCAGACUUAGCCAGUUGGUGUGGGCAGAAGUUUUAGAAAUAGUAGAUUAUGGGGAUUUUAUUUAUUCUAACCAAUUUUGAGUUAUUUAUUUUCUUCAAAAAAAUCAAUACUUAUUUUUUAUUGUUAUGCGGAAUUCCAAUAAAUAUUAAAAUAUAUAAUUUUGAUUAUUAUCAUAAAUUUAUUUAUUCAAUAAAUAUUAUUAUACUAUUAUGGAAACAUUUUAUUUUGUAAUGUAUAGUACACCCUUAUCCCACCAACAAAACUACAUCACAAACAAAUUAUAUCAUAUUUAAUUUAAUAAACUCAAAUAAUUUAAUUUAUGUAACAACUCUAUAAAAUUAGAGUGAUUGAUACUUUGCACCCCUUAUGUUUAAGCGUUUUUUCAAUUUGGUUUCAAACAAUUUUUUUGGCAGUAUGCACCCCAAAAUUUGAAAAUUGCUUCGCUUUGCACCCUUUUAAUCGCUCUCCGUUUAAUUGAUAUUGACCGUUAAAGACUUAAAGUUGACAGAUAUGGGUUUACAUUUUCAACACCACAAUUUUAAUUUUUUUUCAUGGGUAUUUUGAAAUAUUCAGACGACUGGGAUGAUUCAAGUGUCUUCAUGUUAGACAGUGCGAUAGGUCGGUCGAGGGGUUUUCAGAAACUGGGACCAAAGAUUGGCGCCAUCAGAUUGGAUUUAUAUCAUUGGAAACUCUCUGUACACCUCUAUAGAAACUGGGACCAAAGACAAGAGGGAGAAGCUCUUGUGAAAUGGAAGAAUAGCCUAGCCCCGUCUUCUUCUCUCGACUCUUGGUCCCUCACCAAUCUCGAUAAUCUUUGUAACUGGACUGGCAUUAAUUGUAACUCUGCAGGUUCAGUCUCUGAGAUUAACCUUUGUGAGAAACAACUUGAUGUAAUGCUGUCUGAGUUUGGUUUCACUUCAUUUCCAAAUCUCAACAAUCUCACCCUCGCAGCUAACUACUUCUCCGGUCCAAUACCACCAGCCAUUGAGAAUUUAACACAGCUUCAAUAUCUUGAUUUGAGAAAUAAUUAUCUAGAUGGUCCAUUCCGUUCCAGGUUAGCCAUCUUCAGAGCUUGCUCAUCUUAAACCUGUCACAGAAUGCAUUGCAAGCUCCAAAUUGGUCCGAUUUCUCUCCCAUGCCUUUCUUGCGCAUCCUCAACCUCAGUAGCAAACCUCCUGCGUCGAAAUUCCCAGAUUUUAUAUCCAGUUCUAAUAGCCUGACUCACCUUAGCCUUAAUUAUAACGAGUUUACUGGUGAUUUGGUACGUGAAUCAGUAUUUGCCGAUCUGCAUAAUCUUGAAAAGCUCAGUCUUGUUGGCAAUUCUUUCGAGGGGCCAUUUCCGCCAGAUAUAUUCAGGCUUUCCAAAUUAAAACAUCUUAGCCUGUCAGAUAACAAACUUUCAGGUUCAAUUCCCAAUGACAUAGGGUUGCUUUUUGAUCUUGAAUACCUAUAUUUAGCCAACAAUUCCUUUGAAGGACCGCUUCCACCAAAAAUAUUCAAGCUUUCAAAAUUAAAAAAUCUUGUUAUUUGGGGUAAUAAGUUUUCAGGUUCUGUUUCCAACGAUAUAGGUUUGCUUUCUGAGCUUGAAAGCCUCUAUCUUGACUCCAAUUUUUUUGAGGGGCCGCUUCCGUCAAAUAUAUUCAAGCUCUCCAAAUUAAGGAUUCUUUUCCUUUGGCAUAAUAACUUUUCAGGUUCUAUUUCUAAGGAUAUAGGUUUGCUUUCUGGACUUGAAACCCUCUAUCUUGACUCUACUUUUUUUGAGGGUCCGCUUCCCCCACAUAUAUUCAAGCUUUCCAAAUUAACAAGUCUUGACCUCGCAUACAAUAGAAAUUUAUUUGAAGGAAGUAUUCCUAUUGGACUGGGACUCUUGACUAACCUCAGAUACUUGAGUCUAUCUUCCACUAAUCUCGGUGGCUAUAUUCCAUCUGAAAUUGGAAACCUGAAGCUACUAGAAGUUCUUGAACUCAGUUCUAAUCAAUUGA